RNAcentral lists this long non-coding RNA (231489 nucleotides) under Gossypium barbadense (sea-island cotton). The record is from RNAcentral. Lineage: Eukaryota; Viridiplantae; Streptophyta; Magnoliopsida; Malvales; Malvaceae.
AGUUUUGAUCGUUACAAGGCUUCACCGCCUUCAGUUUCUUUCUCACCAUCCCCAACACAUUCGGAAUCACAUGCUUUGGUUUCUAACCCAAGCUCUCGCCGUGCGCCACCUAUGAGCUUACCUCCUCAUCCUCCUGGGGCAUCUCUACCUCAUAAGAAGAAUACAAACUUUGAUGAGUAUUGGCCUUCCCCUAAUUUUUCUGCUUCCCCUUCGCCAUCCCCAUCCCCUUCCCCCUCACCAUCACCUCCCAUCCGCAUUCCUGGGGGUCAUCUGUCAAAAGCUCUUUUACGUUCUGAAAGUGCUCCUGUUAACAUACCUGUCCGUAAGCUUGCUGGUUCCCCUGCAUUGUCCUGCAAGCAAAAUCUGCCACCAUCUCCUCCCCUUAAAAUUUCAAGAGCUGAUAUUUCUUGGACUGAUAAUAAUAUGGGUCCCAUGAAAUCUGGCGCAACUAUCGAGAAGGUAUUUCAUAUAUGCCUCAUUGGUAUGAUUUGUGAUUCCAACCCUAUCUUGUUUUUCUCCUUGGAAUUUACUUUCUUUUUGUAUCUUAUAGCUGUUCUCUUUCGGGAAAGGAGACGGUCAGAAAUAUUCUGGAGUGAACUCACCCAGAACUUCAUUUUUCAGAAGCUCCAGUAGGUCUAUACAAGAUGAUUUUGAUGACUCUGAGGUUCCUUGUCCAUUUGAUGUGGAGUAUGAUGAUAUGGACCCUGGUAGCAGGUAAUGCACGGGACUCCUCAUAUAAAUUGUAUUUUUUAGAUUAACCCUUUUUGCAUCACUGUCAAUAGCUCAUACAAUUAAUUUACAUAUUUUUCUUUUUAACUUCGAAGUUAUUUUUAUCCAGAUUUCUUGAGGAUUUGACACUUAAUUAAUUGUUCUUGUGUAUUUUAAAACGUGGCAUCAUUUUUUUUUUUUUUUUGUAUUAACAUAAUUGGCUCAGGACUUGAUUUGGUUGCUUUAACUUACCCUAGAGUAAUUUGGUAAAGGUCAUUUAAGCAAGCCAUCAUGUGUAUGCUAAGACUAAUAAUUGCCUUUUCUGUUUGAAUUUUGUCUUGAACUAGUUCUGAUCUCAUAAGACUGGAUGUUAGCAAUUGAUGAACUUACUAGGAAACUGAAUAAUUGUUUUUAAGCAAAGAGAUUGUGCAUUAGAAACUUCAAUACCUUGCUGCUAGGAGUCUAAGUAGUGGCAUUUCUGGUUCAAGAAUCGGGAUAUAUCAGUUAUGAAGAGUUUCCAAAUAAAGUUUGUUUUCUAUUUUUGAGCAAGCCACCCUGGCUGGCAUUAAACAUUUUCAAUAUCUAGUCCAGGUAGUACCUGUAGUGAAAUAUCUGUUUCAGGGAUUGGGAUAAGUAGUGGUCUAUCAAUCUAUGGAGAGUUGCCAAUUAAACUUUGCUUUCCAGUUUUGUGAAAGAAAGUAAGAAACUUCACAGUAUUAUAAAUUUAGAUAUAUCAGGUAGUCUGCAAAAUUUGUUUUCUAGUUUUCAGAAAGACAGCCUGGCUGGUUAACUUUAAAAUGUUUAAUAGAUAUGAAGUUGGAUUGUAUAACCAUUCUGAAGUUUCUUGUGCCAGUUGAAUUUAUUAGCAAGCGGUGGUAACUGCUAAUCAUACUUCAGUUGUUUCUUGUAAUGCGCAACCAGUAUCAGUGAAUGAAUCAUAUUUGUUUUGGUAUCUUCAAUUUUAACGUAGUUAGAUUAACAAUGUAGAACUGCAGGAACAUGUCUUUAGGUCACAUGGUAGGAUUGGGGCCGAUUUCUGUGCAUGACUUGGCCCUUAUGUUUGAGGCAGCUGAAACAACAGCUGUCUCACUUUUUAUCUUUUGAUUGGUGAGUAAAUUAAAUUAAUAUAAAGAUGGGUGAUUAAGAGGAGGCCAAAAAAAAAGAUGGUUGAUUAAGAAUGAUUUGUUAAUGACUAAAGGAUAUGGUGGUUGCGGCAACGUUCUAUGCAUCCUUCUUGCUUGUCAGUAAUUUGAUUUGUUCAGUUUCUUGAGUUAACUCUAAAAUUGCAACUAAAUGUAGUCGAAUGGCUUGUGUCAGUUGCAUUUGCAGUAACUCUGAUAAUCCUUUAUUAAAACAUGGAACUUUAUCAGUCUGUAUUGCUUUCCUGUAAUACCAGACACAACAAACUGCUUGAAGGAUCAAACAUCAUUUUGUGACUUUGAUUUAUUUUAUGGCAUACUCAGAUGUAUACAUGAACAAAGUAUUCGUAUAAUAAUUUCUACUAGUUAGCUUCGUAUUUAUAAUUAUUAUAUAGGGUUAUGUUUGGUAUUCUUAUGAUAUUUAGAUUUAGGGAAUAACUUGAAUAUUUAUUUUAGUUUCUAGGAGUUUUUGAAAUUGAGAUGUUGGGAUUAUAGAUAAUGGAGAUUUUCAUAUGUGGGCUAUCAGAGUUGGAUUUUUUCUUCUUUAUUUCUCCCUAAGUUCAUCUAUUUCCCUCCUUCUGUUUUUAUUUGAUUCUCCAGUUUCUCUCUUUCCUCUCCUGUUCUUUAUUAGCCUACUUCACGUUUUUGAGGUUCCAUGAAAUUACCAUGGGUGAAGAAAUCCAAAUGUUCUAAAGGUAAUUUGAACAUUUGACAUUCUCUUUUCUGCAAUUGUUAGCUCAAAAUGUUCCCUCAAGAAAAUCCUUUAAUCAUUAACUUAAGCAGGAUUGUUAAUCGAAAAUGAGUCAUGGAAUUCAUAUCCAAAGCCACAAUGAGUCAUUUUAAGAUUUUCUGAUAUCGGAGCACCUUAUACCCUUUGUCACGGUCAUUAUCUUAAUUGUCAGGAAAGAAAUUGCUGUUUUUCUUUCCCUGAAUUAUUUGGGUAAACUGAAUUGGCCUGCUUUGCAUACUAUGUAGGCCCGAGUCCUAUGAUAGAAGAGGAAAUCCAUCUGAUCCAAAUGAGGCAGGGUUGUUUAUGAAUAGAAAAUCCCAAGAUGCUGCGGUUGGUGCUCUUGUACAGAUGCUGAAGAAAGCCCCUCCACUUCGCCAAGACAUCCCAAGUUCGAUAAAUUUUUCAGAAGCCUCGAGGCCAGAAAUGUGGAAUAACAACAUCCAAGAGCAAAACCAGAACACAGAGGCUGUGACCGUUGAACAUGAUGCUUCUUCAAUUAUUACAUCUUCUAGGCUUGUCGCAUCAAUGACAACGGCAGAUGCAUUAGAGGAACUUCGGAGUUACAAAGAGAUGAAAAACUUGUUGCUUAGUGAAGGUGGUAAGUCUUGCAUAUCUGCCAAUUUAACCUCUGGGGCUAAACAUUCUGGCGAAGGUACAUGAGAAUGAUCAACUUAUGUGAUAUUGGUAUAGUUGCAGAUAUGUAGAGCGCUAUGGUUUGAAAGACUACUACUACAUGCUAUACAGCUGAAGCCAUUUUCCUCUUUUUGUGAUCAUAGGAGUAUAUAUAUACAAUAUAUGUGUUUUUGGUUAAGAUUUAUGUUAACAACAGAAGGGUUAUCUGUUGGCCCCGAAAACUUUGUAAAAAGCACUUUUGUCUCUGAUCCUAAGUAACAUAAUUGCACAUAAUUUUAGAUGUUGGGUAAGGGUUGCGCAUGCUUUGAUAUACAGGCUUGCUGAUGCUGUCAUUUCUGUUAUUUUGCUUUUCUCCUUUGUUUCCCCUCCCGCAUAUAGAUUUUCAGUAGAAUGCAGCUUGAGUUUCUAAUACAAAUGGGUUUAAUACGGAUAUAUUUACCUGUUUUAGAAGGGUUUUUCUGUAAAAGUUAUAUUUGAAGUAUGAUAACCAGAUAUAUUUGGAAGAUUAUAAUUCUAUAGGCAUAGUAAUUUAUUUAACCCUCCAAUAACAUUUUAGCUUUCAAUUCGACUUUUUAUCUUUUUCAACUUUUGAAAUUAAGUUUUUUAUCAAAUCAUUUUAAAAAUUAAUGUUUUUUAACUUUAUUGAUGUAAUAUACAUGGUUUGCCACAUAGAUGACAAGUUAUCAUUUAAUUAUUUUUUUAAAAAUUCAUAAAAAUUAUAAAUUAUUUUAAAAAUUUUAAAAACUUAACUAAAUGUUGACAUCAUGGGCGAAUUCAGGGGAGUUGGCAGGGACUCGGUCCCCCCUAAAAUGGAAAUUUGUUCAUGUAAGUCUUUUAAAAUUUUAAAUUAGUAAAUGUAAAAUUGUACUUUGGCCCUCCUUAAAAAUGAUAAUUUUUUUAUUUAAUUAUUUAAAAAUUAUAAAAAUAUAAGUUAUUCAAAUGGUGAAAUUGUACUUUUAUAUUGUAAAAAUUAUAAUUUAAUUUCGACUCUCUAAACAAAUUUCCUGGCUUCGCCUUUGAUGACAUGUCAUCCAUGUAACAAUUCAACUAUAUGUCAUAUUAGUAAAGUUAAUAAACAUUAAUUUUACAUCCAUUUUGAGAUAAUUCGAUAAAAAAAAUGAAAAAUUAAAUAAAAAUUAAAAUAAUAUUUUUUUUUAUAAAUUUUUAGAGCUAAAAGAUUCAUUAUACAUGAAAUGAAGCCCCUUGUCUGAAUGAAUGUUGCAUUUAUCCCAUUCCUUUUGUCAAUUAAUUUGCCAUUCCCAAAUCUCUUGAUAUCCUCUAUAAAUGUCAUAUAUAUUUUUUGUACCGUCCAAUAUCUGAGCCAAAAUAUUCACUUUAUCUUUGAAAAUUCCCACCGUAAGGUUUGUCCUUUUUGCAUGAGAUAAUGCCUACCACAAAUAAUGUCCCUUGUUGCAUGUCUUCGAACCCCACUGUUUUACCUCCAUCAACGCGUGCUAUUCUUGCUGUAAUGAUCACAUAUUUCUUGUUGUCUUAUUUCAUGGAAAUUACCAACGUCGCCAUAGAAAAGUGUGUAGGUGGACUUGACCAAGACUUUUCUUCGCAAGUGGAGUGCAAGGCUAAAAGUGUUAGGUUUCUUUCUAUUUCAUCGGAAUGCAAGCUUCUCACUCUUCUUUGGUAAAUUAACAUUUGGGUCAACUAAUUUUUAAAAGGUAAAUAAUGUAAUAAUGUUAAUGGAUUGUCGUAUUUUGAUUUCUCGUUAAUUAAUUUUCAUUAACCCCUCGAUAAAAUGAUGUCGUGAUACGUUAACCCUCAACAAUAAUUUUAUAAAUAAUACAAAAAAAUAUCAAUUUUAUUUUAUAAAUCUUGAACAUCAUAAUUUAUUUUUUAAAAUUAUAAAAACUAUUUUUUUUGAAAUUAUAAAUAUACGAUUUUUUUUAAAUCAUAAUUUUUUUAAGAGAAGAACUGAUGGUAUUGUACUAUACGAGCAAACCUAUGUUUUCUCUCAAUGAUCAUCGUCAAGGACAACACAGUUGUCAUCCAUUUAUCUAUUAUCUAACGUAAAGUUAUCAUACUUUUAAAGUGAGUUUAGAUGGGCUGUGCGUUUACCUGCGGUUAGUAUAAAAACAGCAGUGGCGGUGGGAUUAGAUACUGUAGCGAUACUGUAGCGUGAGACAAAAAGUAAACUAAACGCACUGCACCCAAUCGCCCAUCCAAACCCACCCUUAAUGGUUAAAGGAUGAAAUUUUAAAAGUUCUAAAAGUAUUUGAAAGUUUUUUUAAAAAUAAAAAAUUAUUAAAAAAUGUAAAUCUAAAAUAAACUUAGACAACAAGAUAUUUAGAUUCAUUUGAAUUUAUACAUAUGUUUAUCCUGUGAAAUAAAAAAAUAUAAUUUUUUAUAUGAUUAGCAUUUUAAAAUUAUAAAAAAAAUAAAAUUAUUAAAAUACACAUUUUGAGUGAAUGGAGAUAAAUGGUCGUCCCAAUUCAUUUAUAUCUAGACAUUUAUUUGUGAUCUAGAUUCAUUACUCAAGUGAAAGAAAAAAAAUCAUUUUUUUGUAUUAUUAUUUUUGAAAUUUUAAAAAUUAUAUUACAUUUUUUUUAAUUUUUGAAGACACAUGUCACUAUUCUAUUGAUUGUCAAUACAAAAAUUAAUUGUGUUUAACAAGCGAGCAACAUUAAUGACUCAAUAUAAACUAGCCAAACUAAUAGGAACAUGACAGAUGUCGUGAUUUGGUAUUAUUUGGAGUAAGCUAGGAUAAAAUGAUAGUCUAAACACUAAAAUGGACUAAAAUAUAAAUUGAAAAUAGUUGAGAGGCUAAAUUAUAAAUAAAGCCAUAUCAUAAUUAUAUUUUCCUAGAAAAUGAAUAGACAGCAAUAAAUAAUUUAUUUAUCAUAUAAAUACUAUUUUGUAAUAUUACUCAGAUGUUGAUAAACUACAAUAAAUGAUGAAUAAGCGUUAGGUGAAACGAUAAAACACAUUACACUUUUCAGAAGAGAUGCAAAUUUAAAUUUGAAAGGCAACAAUGUUAAAAGGAAUAAUCACGAAUCUCAAAUAUAAACUGUAAAACGAAAAUUUAUUUGGUUACGAAAUUGUACUAAUUUAUGUAUUUAAUUUUUAAUUAUAAUUUGAAAUACUUAAGUAUUCAUAAUAAAGAAUUUUUGAGUCUUAGAUCUAUCAAUACAAAAAUAAAUAAUUAUUUGAUGCAUUGAUAAUAAAUAAAUAAACAAUCAACUUUCAUAAGUUUCCAUUUUAGGGUAUAAAAAAUAAAAAUAUUCAUUUUAAGCAUUGUUAUUAAAAAUUAUUUUUAAUUUACUACUGUUAAAAAUCGUUUUCAUUUUAAUCACCCGUAUUAAUUUAAUGUUAUUAUAUACUCGUUUUAAUCACUCAACUUUAAUAAAUUUUUAUUUUUGAUCACUUAUUUUAUUUUUUUAAUUUUAAUUUUUUCAAUAAAAGAAAAAAACGCAGGUUUAUAGGGAACAACUUAGGUUUUUUUACAAGGAAAACUAAUUUAUCUUUUUAAUGUCAUCUAUUUAUUUUAUUUUUUUAGAAUUAAUUUUAGUUUUUCCUAUAAAAUAAAAAACUUGAGAUUUCACAAGAAAUUAUUCGGGUUUUUAAAGGAAAAGUUUGGGCUUUAGAAGGAAAAAAUCAUUUUUAUCUUUUCAAUUUUCUCUAUUUUUUUCUAGAAUUAAUAUUAAUUUUGUUUCUUGGUAAAAGGGAAAAAAUUGAAGUUUAUAGAGAUUACAUGGGUUUUUAUAGCGAAAACUAUUGAGUAUGCCUCAUAUUUUAGUUAAAUUUGAGAUAUAAUCUUCCAAUUAAAUUUUGUUUAUUUGUUUCAGUCGAACUUUGAUUAGUCUAAAUUAUUUUAUUAUUAUUUGACCUACAAAUUAAGCCUAUAAAAAGGUUCUAUUACAACAUUAGAAAAUACACCCAUUAAAAUAUUAGAACUUAUAACAUUUUUGGAGAAUUUUGUAUUUACAUUUUAAGGGUUCUUUGUUUUCAGGUUUAGUUUUUAUUUCAAUCUUUUGUAUUCUUCAUUAUUUUGCCAUUAUAGUAAAAUUAUAUUUGCCCAUGGUUUUUUAUCCUCUUUAGAGGGAUUUUUUCACGUUAAAUUUGUGUGUCUAAUUUCUCAAUUUCUUCCGCUAUCUUUACUUCUUCGUUGCUUAAUCAGGUAAAUCCCCAACAAAAACUUAUAGGGAAAUUUAUUUUAUAUUUUUAAUUUCCUUUUUUCUCUUUUAAAAAAAUUAAUUUUAGUUUUUUUUCCAAAUAACAAGAAAAAAUAGGGAUUUUUCUAGUGAAUUACUUGGGUUUUUACAAGGGAAAAUAAGAGUUUGUACAAUGAAUUGAGUUAUAUUGAAAAACUUGGGCUUAUCUCGCAAAUGAAUAACUCAAUCCCUUGUGAAAACUUAAGUUUUUUUCUUUUUAUGAAAAAUAAAAUUAUUUUUAAAAAAAUUAGUGAGCAAAAUGAAAACUUAUUAAAGUUGGGCGAGUAAAAGUAGUGUACAAUAACAUUGAAUUAAUUGUGGGUGACCAAAAUGAAAAUGAUUUUUAAUGGCAAUGCCUAAAAUAAAAGUGGGCUUUAAUGGCAAUACCUAAAAUGAUUUUUUCUUUUUAAUUUUUUGAUGGCCAAAAUGAAAAUUUAUGAAAGCUUAAUGACCAAUUGUGUAAUUACCCAAAAAAAUUUAUAAAAAAAAAACAUAACGUGUUUCUAUAAGAAAGUUGUCUACAUUUAAUUAAUACAUGGGUAAACUAGCAUUCUUAUUGAGACUCGAACUCAUAGGGAAGAAAAUACAGUUAUGGAUGGAAUCAAAUAUGUAGUAGUUACAGACAAAAGUAUUCAGUUAUUGGUGAAAAAUCAAUAUACUUCUAAUGUCAAAUCAGAAUCAACAAGGACAGAAAUAAAGCAUUGGGUUGAACUCUUCUUUGGUGUCAAGGUAAUAGCUAUGAAUAGUCAUCAACUCCUCAGAAAGGGUAGAAAAUGGGACCUAUUACGAGACAUACAAUGCAUUACAGGCGUAUGAUCAUUACGCUUCAACCGAGUUAUUCUAUUCCACCUCUUAGAACAAAAAGAACUUAAAUCAAAAUACCUAAUAGUGUGGCGAUACAUUUAUACAAAACUUCUACCUCGGGCACACGCAAUGGAGCCGUAGACAGUCAAGUGAAAUCCAAUCUACGAAAUAAUUUGAUCUAUGGAUAGCAUCGUUGUAGUAAAGGUCGUAAUGCCAGAGGAAUCAUUACCGCAAGGCAUAGAGGGGGAGUUCAAAAGCGUCUAUACAGUAAAAUUGAUUUUCAACGAAAUGAAAAAGACAUAUAUGGUAGAAUCGUAACCAUAGAUACGACCCUAAUCAAAAUGCAUACAUUUGUCUCAUACACUAUAGGGAUGGUGAGAAGAGAUAUAUUUUACAUCCCAGAGGGGCUAUAAUUGGAGAUACCAUUGUUUUUGGUACAGAAGUUCCUAUAAAAAUGGGAAAUGCCCUACCUUGAGUGCGGUUUGAACUAUUGAUUUACGUAAUUGGAAGGAACCAAUUAGGUUUACGAUGAAACCUAAAAAUUGAUCACUGAUCCAAUUUGAGUACCUCUACAGGAUAGACCUCAACAGAAAACUGAAGAGUAACAGCAGUAAGUGAUUGAGUUCAGUAGUUCUUCAUAUAAAUUUAUUGACUCUAGAGAUAUAGUAAUAUGGAGAAGAAAAAAUUAUUUCAAGCACCGGCAGAACCAGAAGCGCCCCUUGUUUCACAUUUCAUUUGAUGGUCAGAGGCGAAUUGAAAGCUAAGCAGUGGUAAUUCGAAAGGUUUCCCGGGGGGAAUAAAGAUGUCUCCUACGUUACUCAUAAUAUGUGGAAGUAUCGACGUAAUUUCAUAGAGUCAUUCGGUCUGAAUGCUACAUGAAAAACAUAAGCCAGAUGACGAACCGAAAAGACCUAGGAUGUAGAAGAUCAUAACAUGAGUGGUUCGACAGAUUUGGAUUCCUAUAUAUCCACUCAUGUGGUACUUCAUUAUACAAUAGAUAUCAUCAUCUACAUACAGAAAGUCGUAUGCUUUGGAAGAAGCUUGUACAAUUUGGGAAGGGGUUUUGAUUGAUCGAUCAAAAAGAAGAAUCUACUUCAAUCGAUAUGCCCUUAGGCACGGCCAUUCAUAACAUAGAAAUCACACUUGGAAGGGGUGGACAAUUAGCUAGAGCAGCGGCUGCUGUUGCGAAACUGAUUGCAAAAGAGGGGAAAUCGGCCACAUUAAAAUUACCUUCUGGGGAGGUCCGUUUGAUAUCCAAAAACUGCUCAACAACAGUCGAACAGGUGGGGAAUGUUGGGGUGAACCAGAAAAUUUUGGGUAGAGCCGGAUCUAAAUGUUGGCUAGGUAAGUGUCCUGUAGUAAGAGGAGUAGUUAUGAACCCUGUAGACCAUCCCCAUGGGGGUGGUGAAGGGAGGGCUCCAACUGGUAAAAAAAACCUGCAACCCCUUAGGGUUAUCUUGCACUUGGAAGAAAAGUAGAAAAAGGAAUAAAUAUAGUGAUAAUUUGAUUCUUUGUCGACAGAGUAAAUAGGAGAGAUUAUUUCUUUCUUCGUCUUUACAAAAACAAAAAUAUAUAUUUUUAAAGUAAAAAAAAUGGCGCGUUCACUAAAAAAAAUCCUUUUGUAGCAAAUCAUUCAUUAAAAAAAAAUCGAAAGGCUUAAUACAAAAGCGGAAAAAGAAAUAAUAAUAAUAACUUGGUUCAGAGCAUCUACCAUUAUACCCACAAUGAUCGGCCAUACUAUCGCUAUCCAUAAUGGAAAAGAACAUUUGCACAUUUAUAUAACGGGUCGUAUGGUAGGACAUAAAUUGGGAGAAUUCGCUCCUGUCGAAACCACUUUGAAAAAUCAAAAUUUUUGUUAUCGACUUUUUUAAAAUGAAAAUUUGGGAGUCGCCACCGAUCUUUUAUUGAGGUGUGAUCGGAUCACCUUGAAAAUAAUUUUAGGUCUGCGAAUUUUGAGAAAACAAGUUCGGGAGUCGGUUACGCACGAGGAAGGGUUAGGACCCUCGUGACGCCCAAAAUGGGUAUCGAAUUGAUUGUUUAAUGUCUUAAUGUUGAAACUUUGAAAAGCUUUUAAAAUACGAUCCUUCCCCUCUCUUAUUAGUGCUAAUUUUAUAAAAGAUGCAUGGAUAAAUCGAUGCGGAUACCAAAGACCUUCUUGUCUCAGAGUAAUAAAAUGACACACCCAAUACAUUAGGGCACGACAUUUUUAGUCCUCGAGAAUAAGUUGUCUUUUGAUUUCAAAACUUGUGGUGAAAUUUAAAAAGGGUAUUCAAUUGCUUUAAGUCAGAUGAAGAAUCGAAACCCAAUACAUUAGGGCACAAUUCCUCAAAAUUUCAAGCGUUGAAUGUUGCCCUUAUUAUUUUUUUAAAAAUCUUCAUUUUUGAGAAAAUGACAUGUCACAUCCAAUGCAUUAGGACACGACGUAUCAAAUUCCCGAGAAUGAGUUUUUUUUUGGUUUAUGUGUUUUAAUUGAAGAAAAUUUUUGAUUAUUUAAAUUCUACGAUGAAAAUUGGAACCCAAUACAUUAGGGCUCAAUUCUCUUGAGGACUCCAAAUUUCAAGUAUUGCGUUAUUUUGGAAAGCUUCUUGGAUAAAAAUGCUUUUGACGUUUGAAUGUUAUGAAAUGUAAUCUUUUGAAUAAAUCAAACAAUGGAAGAAUAACAUACAACACUAAAUAGUAAUUCAUAAAUUGAAAUGCACACCGAUGAACAAUAAGUAAUUAAUGAACCAAUAAUAUCGUACUUAUAAGGACAAUAGUUACAUGCAAAUACUACAUUUAAAAGCUAAUGAAUUAAAAUCAAUAAUAUACACACAUAUAUUACAUAUAUGAAAGUAUACAUACAAAAAAAUGUAUACAUAUACAUGUAUGAAAAUUUGAAACAAAUCAAAAAUAGUGUUUAAAUAAAUACCACAUAAAUUAAUAGUAUCUAAAUAAAUCUUAAAGAAAACCAAAAUACAUAAAACAAUAUAUGUAUUAAUUUGAACAAAUCAUAUGUAAAAUGAUAACCUUAGUAUAAAUUAUAAUAUAUAUAUAUCCAUAUAUACGAGGGGUUGAAAUAAACAAAAUAUAUAAUAAAACGUGGUUUAAAAAUCAAUAAUAAAAUAAUUUUAAAUAAGUAAAAAGAAUAUGACUAUGAGUUUUAAAUGGCAAAUGUAGGUUGAUUUGGAGCCAUUAGUAUAGGAUAAAAAAUUUUAAUAAUUUAAUAUAUAAAAUAAUACACGAAACGACCUAACUCAAUAAUUUUUAAAGAAAAUCGAAACAACAUGUAAAAGUUUAAAAUGAUAUAUAAGGGAAAUAAAAAAACAUUAAAGAUAAACAGAGAAGAAGGAAACAAAUUAAACUAACUCACAUGCAUAUGCUAAAUAAGAAAAAUAUGAAAAAUAGUACUUAAUUUAAAACAUUGGACAAUAAGCAGUCAGAUAAAUUAAUAAAUAAAGUUUAAAAGAAGAAUAAAACAAAAAUAUUAAACAGAUUAAUAAAUCAUAAACGAAUUAAAACAAAAUGGAGAGCCUGAGUGUGAUGCACGAAUGACAUGGGGGCCAAGUGGGAAAUAUUCCCUAUUCCCAAAACGCAGCACCUUUACCAUGGACCAGAGCAACAUCGAGUCAAACAUAUGGGACCAAUUAGAAAAUAAAGAAGGAUCGGAUUGAAACCACGAAACAAAACAGAGGGACCAGUGGCGCAAAUAGGCCAUUGAAGUGAAACGCGCGGAUCCUUCCUUAGGGUCGGGUCACCGCGCGGGUCACAGGCCUUUAAACGGCUCCGUUUUAAAUCCGGUGGUCAAAACUAAAACAAAAACUAAAAAAAAAAACUUAACCUAACAUUUUACCUCUUUUUAAAAAAACUAAAAGCUCUCUCUCCCUCUCGGCGCCGCUCUACAGUUCAUCGCCUCAUUCAAAGGCUCUCCGAACCACGCCCCAGACUCCGAUGACAACGGAGAAGGAGCAACAGGUCCAAUCGAGAGGUAAGCCUUCCUUCUUACUGCUUUUAUUUUCUAUAGUAAACACACAAAAGAAAAAAAGAAAAGAAAAAAAACUGCGUAGAAGAACAAAAAGGAGAGGGUGAACCCAGAAAUCACAUUUUUUUUUGGUGUUUUUGUAUUCUGAUUGCAAAAAAAUAAAAAUAAAGUUACAACCUAUUCCUGUCUUUUAUAGUCUCUAUUUACAAGAUAUAAUGACAAAAAAAAGAUAUCACCCCGUUCUGUCCCUUUUCAUUUUCUCUCUCUGCUCCUUUUUGUAUGCUGUUGGAGUCUGUUGCAUUGCUGGUUUGUGCGUCUUUUGCAGGUACGGAGUGCAGGGUCUGCGGCGUGGCAUGUACGGAUGGGCGCGGCCACGUGCGUAGAGAGUGGCUCGGGGAAGGCGGCGGCUGAAGACCCCAGAAACCCUAGGGUUUCUGCUUGUUUCAAUUCUGGGCUAGGGGUAUCGGGCCACUGUAAUUGGGCCUCUUGGGUUUAGGCCAGUUGGGCUAUCAGGUAUUUAGACUAGGAUUUGGGCUUGUACUGGGCCACUUAUUUUUUGGUAAACUGAUUUGGGCCAAUUGUAAAUGGACUGUUUUUUGGACUGAAUUUAUUUAUUAUUUUCUUUGUUUUUGAUUUGAUUUCUUUUUUCUUUUUUUUUUAUUCAGAAUAGGCCCCGAGCAAAUUGGGCCUAUUACAGCACCUACUAUAAAUUUUCACGGACAAGCAAAAAAUGAUAAGAAAUCUCGUCGUUAAUAUUAUUAUAAUUUAUUAUAAUAAAAAAUAGAGAUUAAUUAACGAAUUCAUUAUCGAGAGGUAAACUUUAUGAUAAAGAUAAAGAAACACAAGAGGAACCCAUAUACAACUUCAGAUGAAGUAUACGCUUUAGGUAAACAUAUAUGUAUGUUUGCUCACAAAGCACAAAGAAUAAUUGAUUAGAUUCGUGGACGUUCCUACAAAGAAACACUUAUGAUACUAGAACUCAUGCUUUAUCGAGCAUGUUAUCCCAUUUUAAAAUUGGUUUAUUUUGCAAUAGCAAAUGCUCGUCACAAUAGGGGUUUCAAUGAAGCGAGUUUAAUCAUUAGUAAAGUCGCAGUAAAUGAGGGAACUACUCUGAAAAGAUUAAAACCUCGAGCUCGAGGACGAAGUUAUCUGAUAAAAGACCCUCUUGUCAUAUAACUAUUGCAUUGAAAGAUCUUGAAUUUGAACCAUUUGACAGAUAUAUGCUGCGCCCAAAACCAAAAAACAUCGGAUGGCUAGGAUGGCUAAAAAAGGGAUAAAUAAGAACACAAAUAUGACAUAUCCUAAUAUAUAGUAGUGGAGGAUUAUGAGACAAAAAAUAAAUCCACUUGGUUUCAGACUUGGUACAACCCAAAGUCAUCAUUCUCUUUGGUUUGCACAACCGAAAAAGUAUUCUGAGGGUCUACAAGAAGAUAAAAAAAAAAGAGACUGUAUCAAGAAUUAUGUACAAAAAAAUAUGAGACUAUCUUCUGGUGUCGAGGGAAUUGCAUGUAUAGAGAUUAAAAAAAGACUGGAUCUAAUUUAGGUGAUAAUCUAUAUGAGAUUUCCUAAAUUAUUAAUUGAAGAUACACGAAAACUCGAAGAACUACAUAUGAAUGUGCAAAAAUAACUUAAUUGUAUGAACAGAAAACUCAACAUUACAAUUACAAGGAUUGGAAAUCCUUAUGGGCACCCUAAUAUUCUUGCUGAAUUUAUAGCCGGACAAUUAAAGAAUCGAGUUUCAUUUCGAAAGGAAAUGGAAAAGGCUAUUGAAUUAACUGAGCAAGCGGAUACAAAAGGAAUUCAAAUACAAAUUGCAAGGCGUAUCGACGGAAAAGAAAUCGCAAGUGUCGAAUGGAUCUGAGAAGGGAGGGUUCCUCUACAAACCAUUGGAGCGAAAGUUGAGUAUUGCUCUUAUAGAAUUCGAAUUAUCUAUGGGGUAUUAGGAAUCAAAAUUUGGAUAUUUAUAGAAGAAGAAUAGAAAAUCCCAAGAUGCUGCCGUUGGUGCUCUUGUACGGAUGCUGAAGAAAGCCCCUCCACUUCGCCAAGACAUCCCGAGUUCGAUAAAUUUUUCAGAAGCCUCGAGGCCAGAAAUGUGGAAUAACAACAUCCAAGAGCAAAACCAGAACACACAGGCUGUGACCGUUGAACAUGAUACUUCUUCAAUUAUUACAUCUUCUAGGCUUGUCGCAUCAAUGACAACGGCGGAUGCAUUAGAGGAACUUCGGAGUUACAAAGAGAUGAAAAACUUGUUGCUUAGUGACGAUGGUAAGUCUUGAACCUCUGCGGCUAAACAUUCUGGCAAAGGUACAUGAGAAUGAUCAACUUAUAUGAUAUUGGUAUAGUUGCACAUAUGUAGAGCGCUAUGGUUUGAAAGACUACUACUACAUGCUAUACAGCUGAAGCCAUUUUCCUCUUUUUGUGAUCAUAGGAGUAUAUAUAUACAAUAUAUGUGUUUUUGGUUAAGAUUUAUGUUAACAACAGAAGGGUUAUCUGUUGGCCCCGAAAACUUUGUAAAAAGCACUUUUGUCUCUGAUCCUACAUAACAUAAUUGCACAUAAUUUUAGAUGUUGUGUAAGGAUGGCGCAUGCUUUGAUAUACAGGCUGUCAUUUCUAUUAUUUUGCUUCUCCUUUGUUUCCCCUCCUGCAUAUAGAGUUUCAGUAGAAUGAAGCGUAAGAGUUUCUAAUACAAAUGUUUAAUACGGAUAUAUUUACCUGUUUUAGAAGGGGGUUUUUUUUUUAAAGUUAUUUUAGAUAUAUAUGAAGUAUCAUAUCCUGAUAUAUUUGGAAGAUUAUAAUUCUAUAGUCACUUCUUUGACUCUCCAACAUUAUAAGAAAAAACAUUACAAAAAAACAUUGUAGCACAAAAAAAAUUAAGAUAAAUUAGUAAAAAUUAGAAUUCUAGUCAACUGGUAGAAUAUCCAUUCAACUGAUGCUUCUUUUUUCUGUCAAAUUAGAAAAAUGAAAUUAAAAGACAUUAUCAAAGAAAACACCAAGCUUGCUUGCUUUUUUUUUUUCUGAAAUAAUGAUUAAUUUCAAAGUUGAUUAAAAAUAAUUAUUAUAAUUUUGUUUUGUUUUGUCUACCGCAUCAAGCUGGCAUUAAGAAGGAAAUAUAAAUAUAUACUUGAUGCCCAUCUCUGACACUUAUUUGAAAGGUUAAGAUUCACUCGUUACUUUUUCAUCUACUAAUAUCUAAUACAAUGAUGAUUAUUAUUUAAAUGUGUAGAAUUUAUCUAUUAAAUGUAAAAAUUAAAUUUAUAAAUAAUGAUUAAACAUGCAUUGAAUAGUAAUAGAAUAAAAUCAAGCCCUUUUUAAAUGCAUGUUGCAUUGAUCCCAUUCCUUUGUCCAUUAAUUUGCCAUUCCCAAAUCUCUUGAUAUCCUCAAUAAAUGUCAUUAAGUUCCAAAUGAAAAUAAUUUUUUUUCUUUACAAAAAUAUUAACAUCAUCUUUGAACAUUCCCAGCGUAAGGACUAAAGCCUCUCCUUUUUGCAUGAAAUAAUGGCUUACAGACCACAAAUAAUGUCUCUUGUUGCAUGUCUUCGAACUCCACUGUCUUACCAAAUGAGAACAGUCGCUCUUGGUUGUGAUCCAUUAACGCGCAUGCUAUUCCUGUUCCAGCUCGGCCUCGCUUCCUUGUAAAUGGGUAACAACACUACUCUCACGGUCCGUAAGUCCCCAGGGAAAUAAUGAUCACAUAUUUCUUUUUAUCCUAUUUCAUGGAAAUUACCAACGUCAUUAUUGAAAAGUGUGUAAGUGGAAUUGACCAAGGUAAAAGAAAAUGAGAAUAAGAGCGAGAGUUUUCGAUUAGUUUAAUGAUGCGAAUAGAGAUAAUUAUAAAACAACAAUUUUAACAAUUUAAUGAUUUAAAUGAAAACUUUUGAAUAGGUCAGUAAUUAUUUUGUAAUUUUUUAAAGUUGAGUGAUCAAAAUAUAAAUAAAUAAAACACGUCACAAAUUCCUGAUCCAAUUUGUAAAAGUAAAAAAUCUACAGUUAAUUUAGUAGAUAAUAAUUCACAAUACUUAGAACUAUUCAUAGCCCAUCCCAACCCAUAAAUAAGAGGAUAAUAAGUUUCAGUGUACUUGAACUCACCGUCCUCCUGCAUUGACAACAAUGUCCAGGUCAAUCGAGCUAAAACUCAAUCGGCUAUGGGAAAAAAUACAUUACUUGAUAUAUAUAUUGUUUGAUAUCAUCUAUACUAUAUAUAAAAUGGUCAACUAAGUUAAUAACAUGAAUCAAUUCGACACCAACUCAAUUAUGAAAUUAUUAAAAUAUCAUUACUUUAAAAUGUAAUUAAUAUUAUUAUAAUAGUUCUUUUUCAUACUUUUAUAUAAUAUUUAAAAUAAAAUAACCGAAAAACAUUAUUUAAGAAUCAAAUAGAAGACCAAUAAAUUUAAAUAAAAAUCUCUUAUCACUCCACCCAUAAUCAUUUUGUUGAAAUAAUUAUAUAUAUAUAUAUUUAAGGGAAAAUAUUUGGUACACAGUUAGUAAAGUUUUUAUACUCUACAAGUAGGAUUAGGGAUUUGACAAAUAUUUUAUAAGAGUAUAGUAAAAUAUUAAAAAAUAGAAAUUAAAAAAAUGUAUAUCAAAAUUUUAAAAUUACUUAUAAAAUAAAAAAUUUAUAUUGUUAAUGUACCAAAUAUUUAGCUUAUUUUUAAUAUAAAAUAUUUGCUUUAAAUUAUAGGUGUAAAAUUAAACAUGAUAAUAAAACCAAAAACUAUUGCUUUCAAAUUGAAGAAAAUAAAUGACUAUGUGGCCACAACUAGACCUGUCCAUGGUCCAGGCCGGGCCGGGUUCGGGCCAGGCCCAGAAAAAAUUUUCGGCUCGCCUCCUAGCCCGGGCCCGACCCGGCCCGAAACAUGGGCCUGAAAUUUUGCCCAGGCCCGGCCCGGGAAAAAUAUCAUGAGCCCGGCUCGGCCCGGCCCAUUUUUUAAUAAACAUUAAAAAAUUAUUUUAAAAAUAAAAAAAAUAUUUUAAAAGUAUUUUAAAAUUAAAAAAUAAAAAUAAAAAAUAUAUAUUUAUUAUAUUCGGGUCAUGGACAGGUCUAGCCACAACCAUCAUAGACUCUAAGGCAUUAAAGGUAAUGAACAUGGUAGCAUGCAUGGUAGAAGAUGAGGAAUGCCCAACUUCCUUUUUGUUUACAAGUGCUUUUUCUUAUUUUUUAUAUUUAAAUAAUAAUAAUAAUUAAAUCUUAGUUUUAUUCUCUCUAACAUGUCUAAAUUUAAAUCUUAAUUUUUAUCUUUAAAUUUUUAACAUAAUUAGUCUUUAUAUUUUUAUAAUGUUACUAAUUAGUUGAAAUAGUUAAUAUCGUUAACUUUUUUAUUAAAACAUUAUGUGGUUACAUAUAACUCAGUCUUUGCAGAAUGUCAACUAAGCCCAAAACAUUCUCAAACAUGGAAACUGAAAUACUCUAAAUAUUCAAUUCAAGGUUGUAUAAUGCAACCAGGGCUAGUGAUACACGAGCGGAUGUGUGUUUUACAUCAAGAAAGAAAACAUCGAGCAAAUCAACUCCCUCCACUUGAUUGUCACCCUUUGCGAACAACCUUGCUUUAAACACUCUAUUUUAUCUAAAACUUCUACAAUCUGAAAUCUGUGAUUCCACCGAACUUCUCGAUAUCGAAUUUCGUUGUCCCCAUUUCUGAACAGGUUGAUUGCAAAAUUUGAACCGAACUCUAAUACCAGUUUGUUGGGGAUUGACCCAUGUAAAUAAUGGGAUAGUAAAAGUGGAGAAGAAUAAACACAAAUAUUUUACUUGAAAAACUGUCAAAGAGGAAAAAACCACGAGCAAAGGAGGUAUCAACUUUUUACUAAACAAGUAAACAAACGAGAGUACGAUAUGGGGAAAAGAAAUCUAAUUGUACUAAAUGUACAAGUCCAAACCCCAAAAGCAAAUCCCUAACUCUCAUAAAGAAAACUUGAAAAUAAAACUCUAACUCUUACAGAGUUUUCUGAAAAAGAGGUAUAGAAUUCUUUCCAUAGUUACCACGAAAACUCUCACCAAAACUCAUCUACGACUACUAUAUCUUGUCACCCCUCAAAAGAAAAGUAUUGUAGUACUACAUCUUUAGUUUUCUUUUUAAUUGGUCUCCCAAAACAGGGAUAUAAGACCCCUUCAAAUAGGCAAAGAUUAGAGAUCUAAUCAUACUAAAAUAUCCAUGGAGUAAUCAGAGUUUACUGGAAAAAGAUAGUAGAGUUCAAUUGGGAUAAGAAACCCGAUAUAUAUGGGGAACACGUUGCAACGUUCUCAUUCGCGUCGUCCGUCAUCCCAAUGUUGGGAAGUUUCUUGUUGUAAUGUCGUCGUCUGUUUGGCCGAAAAUACGAUGCAAACCCAAAAAAUCUCUACCUUGACUCGUAUUUACCAUCCCUUCUUCUCCAUGCCCCGUCACGGGCCAAACUUGAUCUUUGUUGAAUGUUAACCAAGCCCAAACCAUUCUCAAACUUGGAAACCGAAAGACUCCUAGUCUUCAAAUCAAGGUUGUAUAAUGCAACUAGGGCUAGUUAUACACGGACGGACGUGUGCUUCACAAUAAGAAAGAAAACAUCGAGGAAAUAAACUCCCUCCACUUGAUUGUCACCCUUUGCAACCAACCUUGCUUUAAACACCCUACUUUAUAUAAAAUUGCUACAAUCUAAAAUCUAUGAUUCCAUCAAACUUCUCAAUAUUGAAAUUCGUUGUUGCCAUCCUUGAAUGAGUUGAUUGCGAAAUCCGAACCAAGCUCUCAUACUAGUUUGUUAGGGAUUGACUCGUGUCAACAACGAAAGAGUAAAAGCAGAGAAGAACAAACACAAAUACUUUAAGUGAAAAACAGUCAAAGAAGAAAAAACCACGAAAAAAAUAAGUAUCGACUUUUCACUAAAUGAGUAAACAAAUGAGAGUACAAUAUGGAGAAAAUAAAUCUAAUAUUACUAAAUCUACAAACCCAAACCCCGAAAACAAAGCUCUAACUCUGAUAGAGCAAAUUCAAAAAAAAAACCUAAAUCUCAUAUAGUUUUCUCAAAAAGGGUUAGAAAAUUCUCUCCAUAUUUACCACAAAAACUGUCACCAAAACUCAUUUGCGACUACAUAUUGACGUCCCCAAAAGAAAAGCCUUUAAUCGCCUUUUUAAUUGGUUUUCAAAAAUAUGGAUGCAAGUCCCAUUAAAAUAGGCUAAGAUUAGAGGUCUAAUCAUACUAAAAUAUCCCUAGAUUAAUCAGAUUUUAAUUGGGAAAAUAUAGCAAAAUUUAACUGUGAGAAGAAACCUGAUUUAUGUGGGGAAAACAUCGUCACGUCGCAACGUACCCAUUUGCAUUGACACUAUGUUGUCCAUUGUCGUAACGUCGAGAAAGCUUCUCAUCGUGCUGUUUGUUUGGCCGAAAAUAUGAGGCACACCCCACAAAUCUCCACCUUGACUUGUAUUUACCAUACAUUCUUCUCUAGACCCUGUCACGAGCCGAACUCAAUCUUUGCAGAAUGUCAACAAAGCUUAAACCGUUCUCGAACUUGGAAAUCGAAAGACUCUUAAUCUUCAAAUCAUGGUUGUAUAAUGCAACCAAAACUAGUGAUAUACAAACAAAUGUGUGCUUCAGAACAGGAAAGAAAACAUCGAGCAAAUUAACUCAUUCCACUUGGUUGUCACCCUUUGAGACAUACCUUGCUUUAAACACUCUACUUUAUCUGAAAUUGCUACAAUCUGAAAUUUUUGAUUCCAUCAAACUUCUCAAUAUCUAAAUUCGUUGUCGUUAUUCCUGAACAAGUUGGUUGCAAAAUCUAAAUCAAGCUUUGAUGCCAGUUUGUUGGGGAUCGACCCGUGUAAACAACGAGAUAGUAAAAGUGGUGAAGAACGAAUACAAAAAUUUUACGUGAAAACUGUCAAAGAGGGAAAAACCAUGGGCAAAAGAGGUAUCAACUUUUCACUAAAUGACUAAACAAGCGAGAGUAUAAUAUGGAAAAAAAACCUAAAUGUACUAAACGUGCAAACCCAAAUCCUGAAAACAAAACCCUAACUCACAUAGAGCAAACUCGAAAAUAAACCCCCAACUCUCACAGAGUUUUCUUAAAAAGGGGUACAAAAUUCUCUCCAUAGUUACCACGAAAACUAUUACCAAUACUCAUCUGCGACUACAUCUAGUCGCCCCUAAAAGAAAAGUCAUGUAGUACUAUAUAUUUAAUUGUCUUUUUAAUUAGUCUCUCAAAACAGGGAUACAAGACCCCUUUAAAUAGGCUAAGAUUAGAGGUCUAAUCAUACUAAAAUAUCCCUAAAGUAAUCAGAGUUUAACUAAGAAAAGAUAGCAGAGUUUAACUGGGAAAAGAAAUCUGAUUUAUGUGGGGAACACGUUGCCACAUCGCAACGUCCCCAUUCAUGUCGUCACGACGUCGUAACCUUGGGAAGCUUCUUGGCGUGACAUCAUCGUCUAUUCAGCCGAAAGUAUGAGGCAUACCCCACACUUUGUAAAUUUGAAAUUUAGUUCAUGUAUUGCUAUUUUUAGGAAUUUCGUGUAUCUACAUUCUAGAUUUCAAACCAGGUCCAAUUAUUAACAUUGUUAAAGGUUUUUUGUUAAAUUUUUUGGUGUGACAUUUUGAAAUAAAAAAAAAAUUACUCACUUGAUAGCCAUGUAACUAAAACAAUGAUGUUAUGAUAAACCUAAAUUUAAUAAAAGAAAUUAGCAAUGUUAACAAUUAGACUUGUAUUUUUAAAUUAGAAAAUAAAAGACUAAAUUCCUUAAAAUAAAAAGUAAAAGGAUUCAAUUCAAAAGAUACUAAGAGUAUAAAAUGUUAUAUCACAUUUUAACUUAUAUAAAUUUAUUAAAAUCCCCAUAUCAUUAUAAUAAAUUAUGAAAAAUAUAUUAUAAAGCUGGACAUAAACACAAAAUAGAUAACAAUUAUUUUGUAAAUUGAAUUUUAAUAAGAAACAAUGCAAAAAUGUUAAAAAGUAAUAGAAUGAAAUCAAACCCCUUAUCUGAAUAUAUGUUGCAUUGAUCUCAUUUCUUUGUCAAUUAAUUUGACAUUCCCAAGUCUCUUGAUAUCCUCUAUAAAGGUCAUUAAGCUCCAAAUGAAAAUGUUUUUUUUUCUUUACCGUCUCCUGUUUCAGCCAAAAUAUUAACAUUUUCCCACCGUGAGGGCUCUUGGUUGUGAUCCAUCGACGCGCAUGCUAUUCCUGUUCUAGCUGGGUCUCCCUUGCUUGCAAAUGGAUAACACUACUCGCCCAGGGAAAUAAGGAUCACAUAUUCCUUUUUUUCUUCUUUCAUGGAAAAUACCGACAUCACUAUUGAAAAGUGUGUAGGUGGACUUAACCAACACUUUUCUUGGCAAGUGAAGUGAAUGGCCAAAUGUCUCACACGUUUCUUUCUAUUUCAUCGGAAUGGAAGCUUCCUCAAAAAAAAAAAAGACAAAUGUUUUUUUUAAUUACAUUGGGUUAACUAAAUUUAAAAAAAAUCAUUACGUGUUUUCGAAAAUUCUCUAAAUUAUUAGUAAAUUUACAUUUUAAUCACUCAACUUCAAAAAGUUAAAAUACUGGUCAUUGAACUAUUCGAAAUCUUUUAUUUAAGUCACUGAGUUGUUAGGUUUUUUUUUUUAAGUUUAACUAGCGAGUUACAAGUGACGAUUUAACGAUCGGUACGAUGGAUCAGUAUCUAUCACUAAGUAGAAGAACAUAAUACUUUAGAUCCAAAUCAAUUUGAUUGUCAAUAUCAAAUGUAAAGGCCCAAUUUUGCCCGGACCCAGAUUACAAACAAUAAAACAAAAAAAUAAAUAGAACCAAAAAUAAAUAAUAAAAAAGUCCAAUCCGUUUACACAAAAAAUAGGCCCAAAUAGCCCAAAUCAGUAACCUAAUGGCCCAACGGCCCAAAAACUUAAAUUUUUUUCAGAUUGGUUUCUAGCGCCACACCCCCUGCCUUGGCACGCACGCUGCCCGAGUGCCUCGUCUCGAGGCCUGAUGCACCCCUGCCUCCAUUUGCACCAAAAUAGCAAGGGUCUCCCCCUCCAUUGACUCCGCCACCUGCAAGAAAAGAGCAAAAAAGGACAGAGACAACAGACGCAAAACAGUAGUGAAACAGAAAUAAACAGUGUAAUAUUGGCUAUAAAGGCCAUGAAAAUAUAUUGUAAUUUUUACCAGGAAGCAAUCAAAACAAAAUAGAAAGAAAAAUUCUAAAAGGUGGUCCUUUUAUUUUUUUACUCUAUUUUUAUUUUAUUUUUAAAUAAAUAUAAAAUAAAAAGGGAGGUCGAAAACCUACCUGGCCCUUCAUGUUCUGCCGCCAUGAGUGGCCGAGGAUCGUCAUCUCCGAUGAAAGAUGACAUCUUUCGGGUAAAAGGGUCUUCAAAACCCAGAAACCAAAAGCUUUUUUAGGGAUUUCUACUAUUUUGAUGAGUUUUUUUUUAAAAAAAAACCCAAAUUGGGUUCGGGGAACCAAAAGGCCAAAGAACAGCCAUUUUUGCGUUUUCUGGCUUCAAAACGAGAUAUAAGUAACGAUCAAUUGGUGUUUAUUCUCGUUUUUAAGGAUUUAAGGCAUUGUGUCCUAACUUACGGGACGUGAUCCUUUUUCUCGAUUAACUUGAAAUAAGCUAUUUUCGCAAAAAUUGCUUUAGUUAGAUAGUGCCUUAAUACAAAAAGGAUUGUGUUUUAAACUCUUUUCAAAGUUUCAAUUAACGAUACUAAGACAUUAAUUAAUCAACUAGGUACCAAUUUUGGACAUUACGAGGGUGAUAUUCCUUCCUCAUGUGUAACCGACUCUCGAACCAAUUUCCUGAAUUUUGUAGACCAAAAAUCGUUGUUUUAGUAAAUCAAACCGUUUAUUAAAACGACCAAAUUACGAGGUGAUCCGAUCACACCUCAUAAAAAGGAUUGGUGGCGACUCCCAUUUUCGUUUUUUAAAAAUAAAAAGUCGAUUUAAAAAAAAGGGGUUUCAAUAUCAAAGAUCAGAUAAUUGCAUUGUUUGGAUUUUGAUUUGCAGAUUCGUGACAUUUAAAGUUGUUUAAUGAAAAGAAAUUAAAUUGUAAGAGAGAAGAGGAGUGGGAGCUUUCGAUUGAAAAACAUACAACAACGAUUUAAUAACCCAAUGACUUAAAUGAAAAUUUUCAAAUUAUUUAGUGAUCAUUUUGUAGCUUUUUAAAGUUAAGUGACCAAAAUAUAAAUUUACUAAUAAUAUAAUGACUUUAAAUAAAAUUUACCCUUAAUAAAUAAAUAAAUCACCGAAGGAAUUCCUGAUCUUAUUUGUGAAAGUAAAAGACCUACAAUUAAUUUAGCAGAUAAUAAUUCACACAAGAAAUGGUUUUAAAUUCCUGAAAAGAAAAUUGAGCGCCAGAAUUAAUUAAUCGAAGACUUCUGUUCCAAUUGGGCGGCGACUUGACCAGAACUUUAUUUGCCGGGUAUUCCCACAGGGAAGUCUUGCUCUGGCUUGCUGCCCAAAGUGUUGAACAUAUAGAAUUAAGGUUGUCUUGCAUACACACUGGUGGAAUUGAAUUUGAUUCCGCGAAUUGAGUAAAAUAUCCCUGUCCGUAGUUCCAGCGGAUUGUCUUUUGUCUUGCAAACCCCUUAUCCUGUACUCCCCUAUUCUUGAAAAGACCACUAUGCACCUUGACUUCUGGCUUUUCGUUCUUCCUGCUGCAGCUGUUUAGCUAUAUGCGUCUCCUUUUUGAAGGAUUAAUUAGAUGUCUCUUCUUUUUUCAAGCAAAAGCAAAAAGCAUCAACUUCCUAACGAAAUGUCGUUGGUCAUGAAAUAGUAUCUGCUUUAUAUUCAUACCGAUGUAGCUGUUAAUUUGAGUACAGGCAAUAUUUUUAUAAGGGGAGUGAUUCAAAACCAUUAAGGGAAUUGGAUUUUGGGCUUCAAUCAUUUUUUGGGGAUGUGUUCAGUCUUUGAAGUUGAAUUAUGGGACAUUUUUUACGGGUUGAGUCUUUUACAAGAUUAAGGCUUAAGCAAAUUAUCGAUUCAUGAGAAUAGCCUUGAGGUAGUUCUUGCUUUGCAAAUGAGUUUUAUAACUAGUUCGAGAUUAGCAUUAGUUAGGCGGAUCCAACAAAAGCUACAAAAUUUCGAGCAUUGAGAGAUCAAACAUGUUCCGAGAGAAGUUAACUUAGUCGCAAAUCGAAUUGUCAAGAUGGUGUCUGUGGAGAUAGAGGGAGUUAAUGUUUUGACAUUUACUCUUAUACGAAUCUUUUAAAAUUCCUAGAAAGUGAUAAAAUUAAGAGUAAACUAUUAAAAUAGUCACUUUUGUUUGCCUCAGGUUACAUUUUAGCCGCUUAUGUUUGAAAUGUUACGUUUUAGUCACUUACAUUAUCAUGUUGUAACAUUUUAGUCACUAAGCUAUUAAUUUCCAUUAACAGUGUAACAGUAAGCUGAUGUGGCACAUUAAAUCAUCAUUUCAAACAAAAAUUUUAGGUUAAAUUAUAAAAUUGGUCCCUAUAUUUUUUCAUUUUAAGCAAUUUAGUUCUUUUCUUUUAUGUUCUUUUAAUUUUUUUUCUUUUAUUUUCCAUUCUUUUCUACUUCUCUCUCUGUUUUCCUCCCUUCUCCAUUUCUUUUAAUAUAGUUUUUUUUUAUAUUUUUCAUUUGUUAAAAAUUAGUUCCUAUACUUUUUUUUCUUGAACAAUUUAAUUUUUUAUUUUUAUUUCUUUAUUUGUUAAAGCAAAUUAUCUUUGAUUACAUACUCUGUGUGUAAACCCAAAGAUUGUUUUUGAUCAUUGCAAGAUGAAUAAAAUCGAUCUUAUUGCAUUAAUCAAUACCAAUUCUUCUUCAAUAUAUAAUAGAACACCAAGCUAAAUUCUACCAAAGACAUUAAUUUGUUUACCAAAUUGGUGCCAAAAACUAGAAAUCAAGUUAACUCUAAUGGGAUAAGAAGGGUUAACCAAUAUUAUGAAAAUCUUGAUUGAAAUAUCUGGUCCAAGCAAUUCUAUAAAAUCACCAUAAUAAUCCAUUUUUGGAUCCUUUGUAUAGCAUCAACAAUAAGUGUAAAAUAUCAAAAACCCCAAUUCACAAAUGUUUACAAUAAGCAAAAAAUAAAAAAAAAUCUUUAUUCUGGAUUUUCAUUGAAGAGUAAUACAAAAUUGUUACCCUAAGUUGAAAAUAUAUUAAAAAACUAAUCAAAAGGAAGAUUAAACAGAACGUACAAGAAACACCCAAGAUCAAAAUAAAAGUAUAGAGACUAGUUUUAACAAAUGGAAAAUAUAGAAAAACUAUGUUAAAAGAAACAGAGAAGGGAGUAAAACAAAGGGAGAAACUGAAGAGAAUGGAAAAUAAAGAAAAAAAAGGAAAGUUAAAAAAUUUUGUAUUGAUCUUCAACGAAAACCCAAAAUUGUGAAAAAAAUAAAUUGUUCAAAAAAAUAAAAGUACAGGGACUAAUUUUAAUAAAUGGAAAACAUAAAAAAACUAUGUUAAAAAAAUAGAAAAGGGAGAAAAUAUAAGGAGAAACAAAAGAGAAUGGAAAAUAAGGAAAAAAAUGUUAAAAAAAUUAAAUUGCUCAAAACGAAAAAGUAUAUGAAUCAAUUGUAUAAUUUAACCUAAAAUUUUUAUAAAUUUUUAUUUAAAAUGAUGAUUUAAUAUGCUACAUCAGCUUACUGUUAUAUUGUUAACGACAAUUAACGGCUCAGUAACUAAAAUGUUACAAUACGAUAACGUAAGUGACUAAAAUGUAACAUUUCAAACAUAAGUAACUAAAAUGUAACCUGAGGUAAACAAAAGUGACUAUUUUAAUAGUUUAUCCUAAAAUUAAUGGUGGUUUCGAUUGUAUUAAUGUAACAAAAUCUAUUAAGCUUUGUUUAUUUCCCCCCAAAAAAUAUUAAACUUUUAAUUAUAGGAUAGGUAAUUUUUGAAUGUUUCUUUUGCUUUUUUAUCUUCAAUAACUCAUAAAAUUAUGGGAAAGAUUACAUGAUAUAUAUACACACAAAAUAUAUUAUAAAUUUAUUAAAAUCUCCAUAUCAUUAUAAUAAAUUAUGAAAAGCUUGACAUAAACACAAAAUAGAUAACAAUUAUUUUGUAAAUUGAAUUUUAAUAAUAAACAAUGCAAAAAUUUUAAAAAGUAAAAAUAAAUAUUAUAAAUAUAAUACUAAUUUACAACAUAAAUAUUUUUUUUCAAAAUCAAUAUUUACUCGAAUAAUAUAAUUAAAUUCAAUACAUAUAUAUUACUAAUUUACAAAAAAAAUCUAAUAUAAAUUUAACCCUUAAAAGUUAAUAAUUUUAAUUUAUUAAACAACACUUUAAUAAAAUCCCCAACUUUAAUCAAAAUGAAAGAAAAAAAAUUAGUAUUUUCUUUUCCUUUUUUUUUUUUAAAAAAAGGAGGUAUUAUUAGUAUUUACAUUCAUAAUCAUCUAAAGUAUGUUUUCGACAGAGUCAAUGAAAGUAAAUAAACAUAUAAAACACAACACCUUCAAUACACCGACUCUUAUCCAAUAUGAUGAGCAUUUCUUUUAUUCGUUCUUGCAAUGUUAGGAACAACGACCAACAUAAUAUCGUCAAUGCUUAAGAGUGUAUGAGAUAUGGCCGGAAGUCUGCAGAAGGGAAAAUGAUGUUAGAAAACGAAAAACUUUCUCAUCCGGACAUGAACUAUUUUUAGUUUACCCUUAGGCUUAACUAAGCAAAUUCAGAGGAGGGCUUCUUCUCCCUUAUCUCCUUGCUUACACCCCAACCUUAGUUAUGGCACAUGUACCGUCAAAUAUUAUUCUCUUGCUGUUCCUUCUGGUUUCUUUCCAUGUUAAUGUCAUAGCUGAAGAAGACGAGGCAAACAUUAUCAAACCCGGUUCUUCACUUUAUACCGGAAAACAGCCUAGUUCGUGGGCCUCACCUUCGGGGAAUUUUGAAUUUGGUUUCUACCGGCAAGGAGAAGGAUAUGCGGCCGGAAUAUGGCUUGUUGGUCGACCAGAAAACACCAUUGUCUGGACUGCAAAACGAGAUGACCCGCCUGUCUCCUCAAAUGCUACUUUGGAAUUCACUACACAAGGCGUAUUGCUUCUUCGGACUGAGGACGGGGUGGGAAAUGUCAUUGCGAAUCUGUCCGGCGUGCAACUUGUUGAUUCUGCUUCGUUGCUGGACACCGGGAAUCUAGUGCUCUAUGAGAACAGGUCUGUUGUUUGGGAGAGCUUUGAUAUCCCGACCGACACAAUCUUAGGAGGCCAGAAUUUAAGCCUUUACAGUGAGUUGAUUUCCAGUGUGUCAAGUUCAAACCACUCAACUGGCCAUUAUCAUUUGCUCUUGAAGUCUGGUGGGCUUGUAGCCAAUUUAAAUAUUUCUUCUGGAGCUGCCUAUGAGUACUGGGUCUUCCCUAAUGGCUUUUCUUCCCCCGUGUUGAAUCUCAAUGAAAGUGGCGUUCUAGCACUGUAUUCAUCACAAAAUUUCGACCAAGAAAAUGUUUUGGCAAGCGGCUCGACAACUGGGAACGGAACAAUGAUUAUCUAUAGAGCAACCCUUGAUCAUGACGGUGUUUUCAGAUUGUACUCGCAUCAACUUGAAAGCAAUACUAUGUCAAACAAGUGGCAGAAUUUGGAUGAUGAAUGUGAGGUUCCAGGUCGGUGUGGGUUGAACAGCUACUGCUCCACCAGCAGGGGUAACGAUACUGAGUGCUAUUGCUAUCCUGGUUUCAUAUUUAUCGACGAGAAUGCCAAAUUCCUGGGCUGCUCUCAGAAUUUCACUGUAGAUGGGUGCGAGACUAAGAGAGAUGUAGUGAUACACCACAAUAGCACUACCUUAGACAAUGUGUCUUGGGCUGGUAAUCUUUAUUCUGUGAAGCGUAAUCUGGAGAAGGAAGACUGUAAGAAAGCUUGCGAGGAUGAUUGCUCCUGUGGUGGAGCUCUCUAUAGCCCAAAUCACUGUAGCAUGUAUUCAUUACCGCUUAAAUAUGGUAGAAAACAUGUAAAUAUAACAACCACAGCCUUCAUCAAGUUGAUUCCGGGUAGCACCAUUAGCCCCCCACCUGAAAAAAGUCAAAUAUUGAUAAGCGAAGGAAACCAAAGCCUCAUUUUAACUAUGGGAUUAAGUUUGGGUUCCGUUGCAAGUUUGUGUUUUGUGAUUGCAAUAUGUAGCUUCUUGUUAUACAGGCAUCGAGUCCAAAGUUAUGAGAAGCUUUUAGACAGUAAAAGUUCAGGAUUUGCCGAGCAAUUUACACUACGAUCAUUCACUUUCAAUGAGCUAGAUGAAGCAACACAAGGUUUCCAAGAUGAGUUGGGUAGAGGCUCAUUUGGAGCGGUUUAUAAAGGAACUUUGCCAGGGGAUGGUAAAAGUAUUGCUGUUAAGAGAUUAGGAAUGGUUAAGGAAGGAGAAAGGGAUCAGUUUCGAACUGAGAUGACAGCCAUUGGAAGAAAUAACCACAGGAACUUGGUCCGAUUGCUUGGAUUUUGUGUGGAAGGUUCAAGGAAGUUCCUUGUUUAUGAGUACAUGAGCAAUGGCUCACUAGCGGAUUUUCUAUUCAACAGGAAUGAACGCCCGGUUUGGAAACAGAGAGCCAGAAUAGCGUUGGACGUGGCUAAAGGUAUCCUUUAUUUACAUGAAGAGUGUGAGGUGAGUAUCAUCCAUUGCAACAUCAAGCCCUGCAACAUACUCUUGGAUGAUUCAUUGACUGCAAAGAUUUCGGAUUUCGGAUUGGCAAAGCUAUUGAGGCCUAAUCAAAGAAGCAGUACAAGUGGAGCAGCAUGGUACUCGGCACCUGAAUGGCAAAACAGUGCAGUGUUAUCGGUAAAAGUUGAUGUAUACAGUUUCGGAGUGAUACUGUUGGAGAUGAUAUGUUGCAGAAGCAACAUAGAAGUAGAAGGUCGCAGUGCAGAUGAGAUACUGCUUUCAACAUUUGUAUACAAUUGCUUUGUUGGGGGAGAGUUGAAUAAGCUCGUGGAAGGUGAAGAAGAAGUGGACAUGAAAAUGGUGGAAAGGUUUGUGAAGGUGGGGCUUUGGUGCAUUCAAGAUGAUCCAAAUUUGCGUCCACUCGUGAAGAAUGUGAUCUUGAUGCUAGAAGGAACAAUGAAUGUACCGAUCCCUCCAUCUCCAUCACUUCCCCAUGUUACUAAUUAAUAUUUUUAACUUUGAAGUUGGGUUUAUUUUAAUUAUGUUUUUCAUGUAAUUAAUAAUAAUUAGAGGAGUAAUUUUUAAAAUAAAAUUUUGGAAACUAUCUGGUUGUUACAAAGAAGGACAUUUUAUGUUCUAUGCAUCAAUUAUCAUGUGAUAAGUGAAAGGUCUCUAAUCUAUACAUCAUUUAUAAUAUUAAAAGUAUACAUGGUUUUUUCCAUUGUUUUCACUUAUGUGUUGUGUUGAAAAAUUAAAUGUUAACAUCUUAAAUACUUACAAAAUCAAUGUGGUAUGUUUGUUAAAUUUAAGUAUAUGAUUAAAUUGUUUGAUAAAGGAUAGCUUUAGGUGUGUUUCUAAUAACUUUAGAGCUCUAAACAAAAUCUUUAAAAAAAUUAUCUUUCGGUCUCACUUGCCUAGAUAUUCCUUUAGGGGCAUUACUUCCUAACUUUUUAGGCCUACUCAAUUUAGUUCAAUUUAGUUCAAUUUAUUAUAAUUUAGUCCUUUUUUUCCAAAAAUUAGCUUACCUACAUUUCCAUCAACCAAAUCCUUUUUUAGGUUUAGCUAUUUAUGCUGCAAAUAAAGAGAAUGAACAUGGAAAUGAAAAGCAAACAAAACAUUGAAGUUAAGAAAAAAAAUGAAAGUUUGGAUUUUUUUUUAUGCAAGAAAACUUAAAGAACAUAAAACUAAAGGCAUUCAACAAGGAAAUCUAAAGCAAUAAAUAGAAAAGGAAUAAACUUUAACAAAUUUAAAGUAAAAGAAACUGAAAUGCAUUAAACUAAAGUUAGAAAUGUCUUACAGCUAAGGUAUAGGGAUUGGAAGUGCAAAUAAACUUAAGCUAUAGUAAUAACUAACUUAACUACCACUAAGAACAACUAAGAACAGCUAAAAUAAGAAAGAAAAUUGUUGGGAAAUGUAAAAUCUACCGCUAAAGAAAUGAAAAUAAAAAAAAAAACCCUAGAGAAAGAAGAAUAAAAGCUAAGAGAAAACCUAGAGAAAACUAAGGCUAAAACUAAACUAAUGUGUGUCUCCUCUCCUCAGCCAAAAUUGGUUAUUUUAGGCUGAAUGCUAAUGGUACUUCGUUGCCAAAAUUGCCCUUACAUGGGCCUUGGGUGAUUGGUGGAUCAGGUAGAAAAAGACUACUCUUUUUAUCCAAUUUUGUCCCCCUCACAAUGUUGGUGUCACGAUACCUAGAAGAGGAUAUCUUGACUCCUCAAGUAGUUUCGAACCUUAGGGUCUUCUUUGAGGGUGGAUAUCGUGAUACCACUAAAAGGUGGUCUCCCAUCUUUCCAUACUGUUGGAGGCAUUGCGAUUUCAAGGUAUGGGAAUAGAGAUACAUUUUCCUUUGGUGUUGUUUUCGCUCGUUUUCAACCUCAGCACGUUCUUACACCACUCAACCAAAUGUUAGGCCCCCCAAUAGUACUAUUGGCCAAAUCUGAUCAUAAAAUGAGUAAAAAUAAGACAUUUACACUUAUUAACUUAAAAUGUAAAAAGUACGAAAAAGUAUGAAAAACGCUAUUUUGCUCGAGAAUAAGGUCCUUAAGUAUAUCGGCAAAGUCUAAUUUUCCAUAUAAAAUUAUGGUAGAUCAAACUCCCCCACAUUUAACUCUUUGCUUGUACUCAAGCAAACCAAACAUGCAAAAGAAAAGACGACUCUUGGACUAAAUCAGACAAUUAAGUCAUAUAUCUGUAAAACAUCAAACUCGUACGGGAACUGCCUCACAUGCAACUUAAGAGUGAUAUCUAGAUAACUUGUUUAUUCUUAAUACAAACAUAAUUAGUUCACUAAGUUAUAAUGUUAAUAGAUGUAGAGGCAAUGAAAAUUAACAUAUGUACAAAUGUUAUCCAUCAAAAUAAAUUAUGCUAAUUGCUCAUAGUUACUUAAAAAACAAAUUGGUCAUAUUCGUUCAAACAAAUGUAGACUAUUUACAAAUUAUUAUAUUGGUGACAUAGAUUGUGUUUAGUAAUGCCUUUUAGAAGUACUUUUGAUAUGAAAAACACUUUUGAAACAAAAAGAAUGCUAAACAAGAUAUUUUUUGCUGAAAUUUUUUGCUUUCAAGAGUACUUUUGAAAAAAAAAGAAACUAAAAUUUUUAAUUUUUCUUCUCCCAAAAACACGUUCAGUGCAUAAUUACUUUUUUCACCUCUCUAAUAAUAUAGUACUUUCUCUUCUUUUUUUUUCUCUGGUGCUUAAUUACAAAUAUAUUAAAAUUAUUAAUUAAAAAUAAAAAAAUAUUUUUAAAAUAAUACAAAUGUGUUAAUAUCUAAUUACAAAUAUUUAAUGGUUAUUUGAGUAUGGCCGGUAAUUUCUUUGCAGCAGAUACGGGUGCCAAACAGUCGAGGAUUCGGCAUGAGCUUCACUUGUUGAAGAAAGGUAAUCUUUCUAUUAAGGCGUAUGUUGCUCCGAUUAAAGAUUUGUGUGCUAUGUUAGAUGCUUCUGGAUCUCGUAUCUCUGAUGAAGAGAAGGUCGAAGUGGUGCUGGCGGGGUUGCCGUCGAAAUUUGAGGCGGUUAUCUCCUCUGCUCGAUUGUCGUCUACAGUUUUGCCGUUACAACGCUUGGUGGAUGCGUUGGUUGAUUGUGAGAGUCGUCACGAACAAGUGUUCCAGGAAGUCAGUUUGAACGCGAACCUUGUUGAGGAUGCACCGUCGGUUGAAGGAGUCAGUCGUGGAGGCCGUGCGUCUGUUCGUGGACGUGGUAGAACGUUCCGAUCUCGCAUACAAUGCCAGAUCUGUAGUCGAUUUGGUCAUGUGGCUCAGAAGUGUUACUAUCGUUACCAUAGAGACUCGAGUGACUCAUCCGUGGUGCCGUCGGUCUCUCAUCAAAAGACUCAGUCGGGUGUUGAGAGAGCUAAUUUUGGACUGGGUGUGCAAGAAGAAGACGAACAGUGUGUGGCCCCUUAUCACAAAAGUCAAAGAACAAUUUAUGGUCAAAAUAGAAAUGGUGGUCAAAAUUGGAGUAAUGGCCAAAGUCAAAAUAGAAAUGGUGGUCAAAAUUGGGGUGCUGGCAUGCAAAGUGAAAAAGUGGCACGUGGGCCCCAGGUGUCUUUUGCAAAUGAAUAUGGCAGGCCAUUUGGAAACAAUUUUCAAUCAAAUUUGCGUCAGUAUGGUAAUGAUGAUGGGCCUAUUUUUAAUCAAAAUGGGUUUACUAGUAAUGCGCCACUGGACCUUGAUAAUGGGAAUGGCAGACGUGUGUUGCAAGGGCCGAAUUUGAUAAGUUCUUCACAUGGGCCGACUGUUGGCCCAAAUGCAAAUGGGGUUCCGUCUUCUAAUUUUGUUCAAGUUGAUCAGAGUGAUCCUAGUUCGCCUGAACCGAUUGGAGUCGAUCGGGUUAUGCGAGUUACCAAACCGCGUGCUCGGGUUUAUACUGGGUUCGAACCCUGUAUUGGACUUCCCCGGCUAGGGGACUUACAUGCAUCUAAUUAUUCUGAUUCUUCGGUGUCCGGCUCUCAUGUCAACAAUGCUCAACUUGGGUUCGGUACUGGUCAUGAUGAUCCGUAUGUUCCAAUGUAUGGUGGCACCACAUCUUGGUAUCCUGACUCGGGGGCAAGUCAUCAUGUCUGUCGCGAUGUGUUUGCUUUACGUGAUGUCUCGCCAUAUUCAGGUACGUCAUCUCUUUUAAUGGGCGAUGGUACUCCUGCGAUAAUUUCGUCAAUUGGUACUGCUAUUUUUUCUACCCAGUAUAAAUUGUUACGACUAUCAAAUGUUUUAUGUGUGCCGAGUAUACGAAAAAAUCUCUUGUCUGUCUCACAGUUUUCUCGUGAUAAUGGUGUGUUUUUUGAGUUUCACCCUACCUACUGCGUUAUUAAGGAUAUGGUGACACGGGAGAUAUUGCUGACGGGCCGCAUUCGUGAUGGUUUAUAUCAGUUUUCUAUACCAGUGGUUUCUACUUCACCUCCGACUGCUCCAUUUGUUGCUCAUUCGCAAGUUCCGCAUAAUGUUUCGACUACUUCUGUGUUUGCUUUAUGGCAUAAUCGUUUAGGCCACCCGUCAACUUCUGUGGUAAAAAAUAUUCUAAAUAAAUGUAAUGUUGUUUCAAAUAAAACUAGUCUGGAUGGUAUAUGUACUGCAUGUCAAAAAGGCAGGUCACAUAAGUUGCCUUUCUCCCCUUCGACUACUAGCUAUCAUCCUUUUGAGUUGGUCGUGUCUGAUCUUUGGGGUCCUGCACCCGUUGCAUGUGGUGAUAAGAGAUAUUAUGUUUCGUUUAUUGAUAUGUGUACCAGAUUUACUUGGGUUUAUCUUUUACGUCAAAAAGCUCAAGCAUUAGAAUGUUUUACUAAUUUUCAACAGUUGAUUAAGACACAGUUUGGCAAGUCUAUUAAGCAGUUUCAGAGCGAUUGGGGAGGUGAAUACCGUGGGUUUACAUCUGUCUUAGAAUCUCAGGGGAUCAUACAUCGACUGACCUGUCCGUAUACUUCCGAACAAAAUGGAGUAGCUGAGCGAAAACAUCGUCACAUUGUUGAAAUGGGGAUUACGUUGUUGGCUCAUGCAAAUUUGCCUAUGGAAUACUGGGGGUAUGCGUUUUGUUGUGCGGUUCAUCUUAUAAAUCGACUUCCCACAGUUGUACUUCAGGAUAGUUCUCCGUUUAAGGAACUGUAUGGAAGCGAUCCGACCUAUGAUCAUCUUCGAGUGUUUGGUUGCUGUUGUUAUCCUUACUUACGUCCGUUUGUGGGUCGUAAGUUGGAAUUUCGGUCUCAGCCGUCUAUUUUUUUGGGCUACAGUCCUCGUCAUAAGGGGUAUCAAUGUCUUUUACCAGAUGGUAAGGUUAUAAUUUCAAGGCAUGUGGUCUUUGAUGAGCAGAGGUUUUUGUUUGCUGAAACUAGUUCAGACAAUUUUGUCUCAACGACCAGUUAGACUAGUUCGACAGUUGUUCCUCUCGUGUGGCCAUCUUUCUCCUCAACUCUUGAGCCAUGUAUGAUGGCACCGUCUGUACAAGGGGUGCUGUCUCAGUCUACUGAUCCUGUAUUAGAUGUUAGUGUGGAGCAGCCCCAGUCUCAUGAUCCUUCAGCUGAUGUUAGGACUGGGUCAGGUAGUUUUCCAGCUCAUGAUUAUUCAGCUAAUGAUGGAACUGAGUUGAGUGAUCUUCCAGCAGAGCGUGGCUCGGGAUCCUCAGGUGAUACCAAUGCUCCCUCUUCGUCUAAUAUGGGACUGUCUGCAGGUGUUUCGUCGGUAUCUGAUAGUCCGAUUAAUAGGACACCUGUGGGCAAUAUUCACCCAAUGGUCACUCGCGCUAAAGCAGGGGUUUACAAGCCUAAGGUUUUAAGUGUUGAAGUUGUUGAACCAACUACAAUUGAAGAAGCUCUGGCUACUGUUGAGUGGCGCACUGCUGCGCAAGAUGAGUAUGAUGCUCUUAUGCGUAAUUCCAUAUGGGAGCUUGUUCCUGCUCCAUAUAAUCGUAAGGUCAUUGGGUGCAAAUGGUUGUUCCGAGUCAAGAAGAAUUCUGAUGGUACUACUGCUCGAUAUAAGGCUCGCUUAGUUGUAAAAGGUUGCUCUCAAGUUUCGGGUUGUGAUUUUAAGGAAACGUUUAGUCCAGUGGUUAAACCGGCUACUAUCAGGGUUAUUUUGUCUAUUGCUGUGUCUAGGGGGUGGUCGCUUCGGCAAGUGGAUGUGAAUAAUGCGUUUCUAAAUGGUGACCUUGACACUAAAGUUUUUAUGCAUCAACCUCCCGGUUAUGUUCAAUAUGGCUCAGAUGGCAGACCUUUGGUAUGUCGUCUGAAGAAAGCGUUGUAUGGUCUUCGUCAGGCUCCUCGUGCCUGGUUUGAAUGGCUAAAAGGAUUUCUAGUCUCUGUGGGGUUUGUGGUUUCAAAGUCUGAUGCUUCUUUAUUUGUUCGAGUUGUACCAGCUUCAACGUUGUAUGUGCUUGUGUACGUUGAUGAUAUUAUUAUUACUGGUGAUGUGCCUUCUGUUAUAGAGUGGUUUGUUAAAUUGCUGAAUAGUGAGUUCUCGCUUAAGGACAUGGGUGAUCUUCAUUAUUUUCUUGGGAUAGAGGUUAAUCGUUCUUCGUCAGGUUGUCUUCAUCUUUGUCAGAAGAAGUAUAUACGUGAUAUUCUUAUAUGUUGUUCGAUGGAGAAUGCAAAGAGUGUUCAUACACCGAUGGUUAGUUCCUCUGUUAUGACUCGUGAUGGUGGUGAGCGGUUACAGGAUCCGACUGAAUACAGGAGUCUUGCAGGAGCAUUACAGUAUGUCACUCUUACGCGGCCUGAUGUUGCCUAUGCUGUUAAUCGAAUAUGUCAAUUUAUGCAUUGUCCUACUUCCAUUCAUAUGACCGCUCUGAAGCGCAUUUUGAGGUAUUUAGGUGGUACGAUUGAUUUUGGAAUUGUGUUUCGUUCGUCCACCAAUUUGUCCUUAGUUGGAUAUGCUGAUGCAAACUGGGGAUUAGAUUUUGAUGACCGGAGGUCCACUACUGGAUACUGUGUUUAUUUCGGACAUACACCUGUGUCAUGGUGUACGAAGAAACAACAGGUUGUUGCUCGGUCUACUGCUGAGGCAGAAUACUGAAGUCUUGCCGCAGUUACUUGUGAGGUUACGUGGCUUUUGUCGCUACUUCAAGAAUUACAUGUUCAGUUUAAUAGUGUUCCCCAUAUUUGGUGUGACAGUUCUGGGGCGGUUGCAGUUGCUGCGAAUCCUGUUCUUCAUUCAAAGUUUAAGCAUGUUGAGUUAGAUUUAUUUUUUGUUCGUGAAAAGGUUGCCGAUGGCACUGUUGCCGUUGGAGAAGUUCCAGCGUGUGAUCAGGUCGCUGAUGUUCUUACUAAGCCACUUUUGUUGUCGAAUUUUACUCGUUUUCGGAGUUUUCUACGGGUCUUGCCUGUGGGGAAGAUGGAUGAAUAUUAGAGAAUAGAAGUAGUUAGUCAGUUAGUGAGGUUGUUACUCAAUUUAGAACGUCUAUAAAUACUGUACAUUAAGAAUUAAGAAGUAAGAAAUUUGAAUAAACAAACAAGAAGUUUAUUCUAUUAUUCUCUACAUUUCACUCUCUGUUUGGAUAGAUAUUUUUAUUUUUUAGCUAGUUCUUUCAUUUGCUAACAAAAAUUAUUAGUGGUAGAAGAAGUGGCAAGAUCAGUUUCAACUACUUCACGCAUGAAAAUAAAACCUCAGAAAAAGCUUGAGAAACCUACAUUAAAUUUAUCACCAUUUUUCCUCAUAAAGUUGUCUAUAUAUAUCAAAAUAUAAAAGGAUAUGUUAUUAGAAAUGGUGGUAUUUGAUUAUACAUUUUAGUAUAGGAUUUAGGAAUGAGAUUUUGGUAUAUAAAAAAACCUAAUGAUUUUCCAUGAAAAUAUUGAUAUUCCCUUAGAAAUUUUGGUAUAUAAUAAGAUAUUUAAAGAUGUGCUUUUAGAAAUUUUAAUAUUUCGGCCGAUUGAGUCAUAAUUCGAUUGACAUACACAAUGUUAUUAAUAUAUAUAAGAGGACGUGGGUUCGAGUGUAUCCUCCUAUUUAUGGUUAGAGAGAGGCUAUGGAUAGUUCAAGCUCAACCUAUUAAGAAUAUUAAUAAGAAAUAAAUAUUAUUAAAUUAUUUUUAUUUAUUUUAAUAUUAUUAUAAAUUUAAUAUAUUUUAUUUAAAUAUAAUUAAAAAACGAAUUUAUGAAAAAAUGAUUAAAAUUUUCAAAAAAAGAUGAUUGUUUAUAAUUAAAAAACUAAUUACGUAAUAUUAUUUUAUUAAUAUUUUAAAAUUAUACUUUUUAGUAUUAUCUAAAAGAAAAAGAGAGAAGUAAACUAAAAAAGGAAAUGCCGUGUUCGCAACUACAUCCUCCCUCCCAUUGAAAAGGAAAAAUUAUUAGAUUGAGCCUUGGAGUUCUCACCGCCUAAAUUAUAAGUCUAAUCAAUUGAAGUAACACACAUCAUGUAUUUUGUUUUAUAAAAGAAAUUGUAUGAUACUAUAGUUUUACGUUAUUUUAUUUUGUUAAUAAGUGAAUGAUAAAUCAUAUGUUUCUCUUAAUUUUUAAAUUUUAAAAAAAAUUAAAUUUAAUUAAAAAUACUAAAAAGUUAAAGAAAAAAAUCUAAUUUUUUAUUUUUUUAUUAAAAAGAGAUAAAAAUAAGGUGUAAUUAUGGAAUUGGAAAUUUUGAUUUAUGUCUACGAUGAUAUAUAUUAAUUUAAUUGAUUAGACGUAUAGUUUAAGUGGACAGAAGGAUUUAUGUAAUAAUUUCUAGGGUUUUUUACUAAACUAGGCUAAAAAAAUUUUUUGUACUGAAAUAGGGUGUCAGAAAAAUUAUUUACGAAAAUGGGUUAUUUUUUGCAUUGGUACCCAUCUCAGAGGCGCCAAUCAAUAAAAAAUUAUUAAAAUUUUUUUAAUGGCGCCUAUUAGAUAGGCGUCAAUGAAUAUUUUAUAUUAAAUUUUUUUAUAAAAUAUAAUUAAAUUUUUUCUCGGGUCAAUAUAUGACUCGUAUAAUACAUAGUAGUGGCACCUAUCUCAAAGGCGCUAAUGGUGAUGCCUAUCUGAGAUGCGCCAUUAGUAGUGCCAUGUUGAGAGGCGCUAAUGGUCUUAUUUUAUAUAAAAUUUUAUUUCAAAAAAUCAAUAAAAUUACAUUAUAUAAAAGUUACAUUAUAUAAAAAUUAAAUGAGUUAACAACAACUAUAUGAUUAAAAAAGUCAGUUAUAAUUAGACUUUUAAUAAAAUGAUUUUUAAUUUUUUUUUAUAAACUUAUAUGUUAAACUCACCAAAUACUAAACUAAAUACAACAAUUUAUAACUUAAUCCUAAAUUGCUAAUAAAUUAAAUUUUAAAUAAUUACAAACACAAAAAUUUAUAACAUAAUCCUAAAUUACUAACAAAUUAAUUAUAAAAUAAUUACAAUAUUCUUACAAAAUUACAAUAUUCAUACAAAAUACUAAUCAAAAACUAUAAAUACAAAAUUAAUUAUAAAAUAAUUAAAAUAUUCAUACAAAAUUACAAUAUUCAUACAAAAAAUUACAAUAUUUAUACAAAAUUACCCAUUGGCGCCUCCCUAUGAGGCACUUUUAAUGGCGCCUUCUUAUGAGGCACAACUAGUGGCGCCUACCUGAUAGGCGCCACCCGACCUAUUUUCCCCUUUGACCCGUUGACUAUAUUUUCAUCUAUAUUUUUAUUUAAAUUUUUUUAAAAAAAUAAAAAAAUAAUAUUUUAUUAAAAAUAAAAAAAUUUAAUAAUUUUUUAUUCAUUAGCGUCUCUGAAAUAGGCACCAAUGAAACAAGUAAUUCAUUUUCGUAAAUAAUUUUUCUGAAAUCCUAUUUCAGUACAAAAAAAAUUACCCUAUUUUAGUAAAAAAACCCUAAUUUCUGCAUUCAAGACGUACGUUUACUCUUUCGAUAAAGGUAAGUCAGGUUACCUGUCUUUUUCCGCGCAAACCCUGAUUCCAGACCUCGGCCAUUUUUAAUUUGGGUACUUGUAAAAUAAUUUCUACAUCAGUUCCAAAAAUAGAAGACAGAAAUACAAUAAUUCCUAUGGCAGCCGUGUGGUCUCUUCUCAUGCUCCUUUCUUCGUUCUUUGCGGCUAGAGGAGUUGACGACAAGCAUUCAAACGGCACCAUUGGGCUGGGAUAUUCGCUUUCUCCCUUAACUCCACCCACCUCAUUGGCUUCGCCUUCUGAUCGUUUCGCAUUUGGUUUUUAAAGUGAAGGCAAUGGCUUUUCAAUUGGAGUUUGGCUGGAGGGCAAUAGAAAGACAGAUAACAAAGUUGUAUGGACAGCUAAUCUGAAAUAUUAUUAGAGCUAUUAAAUCAAAUUAUCAAUUUCUAAUAAUAUAAAUAUAAAUAUAAUUAAUAAAUAGUGAAAUUGGUCAUCCAAGGCUCAUUAGCAUGGUGUAUUUUUCUUGUUUAAACCGGGGUUUGAAACCAAACUUUUCCUCAUAGGAUAGAUGGGGCGAUUCAAGUGAGAUUCAAUGUAAAUUUAACUUUCUAUUCACUCGUUGAAUUUGGGCAAUUCAGAGGAUCACCACAACUCAUCUCUUCUCGAUAAUCCAUACAUUCCUUAUUAAUGUAUGGUAUAAUUGUGUAUGGUAAAACUUAAACAUAAAUACUUAAAAGAAUUUAAACUUAUGUCUUAACGAACAAACCAAAAACAAGAAAUCAUGGUAUUAAGUCUUCUUAAAAUGAUUGAUUUAGUCUAUCUUGAUUUCAAUUUCUUCAUUUGCAUUUACUUUUUGUUAUUUUCUAAAAAUUCACUUUCAAAUACCAAUUAAAUAAUUUAUUGAUAUAUUUUUUAAAUUUUAUAAUCUUUUAGACUUCAGCCAUUUAUUAUUUCGUCACACUUAAAAAAUAGAAGAGAGAAACGCCAUAUUUCCCAUGGCUUGGGUGUGGGCUCUUCUCUUGCUCCUUUCUUCUCUCUGCGUGAAGCAGUCAAGCAGCAUCAUUUCGCUGGGAUCUUCGCUUUCCUCGGCCACUCAAUCCAUCCCAUGGCGUUCCCCUUCUGGUCGCUUUGCAUUUGGCUUUUACAGUCAAGGCGGUGGCCUUUCUGUUGGAGUUUGGUUAGACGGCGGAGGAAAGAACGAUAACAAAGUUAUAUGGACAGCUAACCGUGAUGACCCGCCGCUCCAUGCAACUGCUACUCUGACACUAAACGAGAAAGGUUUGCUUCUUUCGAGCGGUGUGAGCGGAGAAAAUAAAGUUAUUGCUUCUCCAAAUGACUCGGCUGUCAGUGUCUUCUCUGCCUCCAUGCUAGAUUCAGGCAAUUUUGUGCUCUACAACAAAGUCAAUCAUACCAUUUGGGAGAGUUUCGAGCAUCCUACAGAUACCCUUUUAGGUGGUCAGGCUCUAUUAACUAAUCACGAGUUGAUCUCCAGUUCUUCAGAAAAUGAUCACUCGUCCGGAAGGUUUCAUCUACGUAUGCAACUAGAUGGGAAUCUCGUUCUAUACCCUCUAAACGUCGAUGAUGCUGCUACAACUGCCUAUUGGGCCACAGGUACUAAUGGUGUGAAUCUUUCACUCCGAUUAUUUCUUAACUCGACAGGCUUCCUACAACUUAUCAACAACACUGAUUCCUCCAUCUACCUAGAAAUUAAUUAUAGAUUUUAUCAAGAGGUGAGCUACAAUGAUCACAACGAGAACACCACCACCACCAGCAACGACGGUAUCGUUCACAGUGCAACCCUUGAUGUUGAUGGAAAUUUCCAGUUAUAUACUCAUCAAUUUGAGCCAAGUGGUGGGUUUCGAACUUCCCGAGUGUCGCGCGCGUUGAAGGAUUACUGUAAAGUUGUAGGCUUUUGUGGUAUCAAUAGCUAUUGCACGUUUAAUGAUGACAGAGCUUACUGUGCAUGCCUUCCCGGCACUGAUUUUAUCGAUCCUCAACGCGAUACCCUCGGCUGCAAGAGAAAUUAUAGUGAAGCACAUUGUAAAGGAGGGAAGGACAAUAUACCCCUCUAUAACAUCACUCCAUUGCAAAAUAUAGUCUGGACUACAGGUAUAUUUUACAGUGAAGAGCUAAUGUCCAUGAGUGCCUGCAGCCAAACAUGCUUGGAAGACUGUAAUUGUGAGGCAGCACAGUUUAGCGGUGGAGUUUGCAGGAAACAAAAGCUUCCACUAUGGUAUUUGCUACGACAAGAAGGUGAUAAUGACGUGAGUUCCACAGUUUUCUUGAAGAUGGGAAUCAGAAGCCUAGAAGCAGAUGACGGUACUGUUCCCCAUGAAUUAAAGCCCCAAAUCAAACGGAAAGAUCCGACGCUGAAAAUUCUUCUUUUAACUUUCAGUCUUGUCGCAUGUUCAUGUGCUUUGCUUGCAAUCUCUGGUGUAUUCAUUUUUAAAUUUCGAGUUCUAAGAUACAAAAGGCUGUUGGAAAUUGGAAAUUUGGGCCUAACAGGAGAGCUUACGUUGACGUCGUUUUCAUACAAUGAACUCAAGAGAGCAACGAAUGGGUUUAAAGAAGAGUUGGGUAAGGGAUCCUUUGGAGCAGUCUACAAAGGGUCCUUAAACAGAGGAAGAAAUUUGAUUGCUGUAAAGCGAUUGGAGAAGUUAGUGGAAGAAGGAGAAAGAGAGUUCCAAGCAGAAAUGCGAGCAAUUGGCCGAGCUCACCACAAGAAUUUAGUUCGACUGUUGGGAUACUGUGCUGAGGACUCCAAGAGGGUGUUGGUGUACGAGUACAUGGGCAAUGGCUCCCUUGCUGAUCUACUGUUCAAGUCAAGACAGCGCCCUGAUUGGGAUGAAAGAACAAGAAUAGCCCUGGAUGUAGCUAGAGGAAUCCUCUACUUACAUGAGGAAUGUGAGACCCCAAUCAUUCACUGUGACAUAAAGCCGCAAAACAUAUUGAUGGAUGAUUAUUGGAGAGCUAAAAUUUCGGACUUCGGGCUGGCAAAACUGUUGAUGGGGGAUCAUACAAGGACCUUCACAGUAGUGAGGGGAACUAGAGGAUACAUGGCCCCAGAAUGGCAUAAGAACAUUCCAAUAUCAGCGAAGGCUGACGUUUACAGUUACGGAAUUGUGCUAUUGGAAACUGUGUUUUGCAGACGAAACUUGGACACCACUGUAUCAAACCCAGAGGAGAUCAUUCUGUCGAUUUUGGUGUAUAAAUGUCUGGUUGAAAAAAAGUUGGAUAAGCUUGUGCUUGGUGAAGAAGUAGAUAAGAAAAGCUUGGAAAGAAUGGUGAUGGUGGCACUUUGGUGUAUCCAAGAUGAACCAGCACUUCGUCCUUCCAUCAAGACUGUAGUGAUGAUGCUGGAAGGCAUUACUGAUAUAUGCAUUCCCCCAUGUCCAACUGCUUCCUCCAUAUAAUUCAAGUCACGACCUAACAAUCAAUCAUCUCACUCGGAGUGUUCGUGUAGUUUAUGUUACGUAAGGACUGCGUCAUGUUUGUAUUUCCUCUGGCUUGUAAUAAAUUUGUAAAAUGCUUCCUGCAGCAGUGUUCUCCCUUCAUUUGUAGGUUUAAAAAUUGUGUUCGAGUUAUCUAAUCAUAUAGUAGUUGUAUGUAAUAACUGAGUUUUACUGUAAUUUCUAAUUAAUAAUCUCCUAUUGCUCAAAAUGGUAAAAAACUUGCAAAAGGGUCAUGUAAGCAAAGCCAUCAUGUGUAUGCUAAGACUAAUAAGUCCUUUUGUCUUGGACUUGUUAUGAUCUCAUUAGACAGGAUGUUAGGAAACUGAAUAAUCAUUUUUAAGCAGAGAGAUUGCAUUAGAAUAACAGCGUCCAAGAGCAAAACCAGAACUCAGAGGCUGUGACUGUAGAACAUGUUCCGGUAAAGGUACAUGAGAAUUAUCAAAUUAGGUGAUAUUGGUAUAUUUGCACAAAUGUGCAGUGCCUAUGGUUUGAAAGACGACGACGACGACUACUACUACAUGCCAUACAGCUGAAGCCAUCUUCCUCUUUUUGUGAUCAUAUGAGUAAAUACACAAUACAAAGUUUUGGGUUAAGGCCCAGAAACAAUACCAACAAUGCCCAUUCAUGGCAGCCCAUCUAUACAACUAGGAAGGAACUAAUGACCUAGAAAAAUGGUUAAAUUUCAAUUUAAUCCCUCUACUAUGCUUAAAUUUGACAUUGAAUCUCCAUGCUUUGGCCCUUUUAUUUUUGUAAUGUUAUUAAUAAGUCCAAAUAACUAAUAUAAUUAACUUUUCAAUUAAAAUGUUAUGUGUUUAUAUAUAAUUUAAAUGUCCUAAGGGUCUCAAAGACGAACACGUCUUUUCAUUUUUUUUGGAUUUGUCUUCUUUCCUUUUUUGACAUAAUAAGGCAAUGAUCAGACUUCAAUUUUAGCUCCUAUAGUAUGUUGAAACUUGAUAUUUGAUUUACACACUUUAAUUUUUUGACAUAAUUUGGUACUUCUAUUUUUAUAAUGUCAUUAGUUAGUCUAAAUACUUAAUAUUGUUAACUUAACGAUAUUAAGUAUUUUAAUCAGAAUGCUUACAUCAAAUUUUCUUAAGAACACCAUGCCAACAAAAAAUGUAUUAUUUUAUAAUGAUGAGUUCAAAUAGGUGAUUUUAAGAAAAAAAUUUCACAUAAACAUUUUCAAUGUUAAUUUUUAUUGUUAUACGACUACCAAGUGAUUUUUUUUUUAAAUUUCAAAAUGUCAAGCCAAUGAAUUUAAUAUAAAAAUUUUAAUUGUGGUACAACUUGACCUAAAAGCUUAAACCCGAAAAGUAUAGGGACAAAAUUUUUAAAAAUAAAAGUAGAGGGAUUAAAUUCCAAAUGUAUGAAGUGUAUAAGAACUAGUAUAUUCUAACUUUCAAGGUUUUACACCAUUUCUUUUGGUCGAAACCAAAAUAUUUACCAUUAGUAGCCGUAACUAAUCUCUUUCACCGCAAGUGCUCUCUAAAAAAAUAAACAGUUGGUGAUGAAAUGUGAUUCAUUCACAUUAAUUAUGCAUUUUUUUUACUCCAUUCGAGUAUAAAAUUAAAAGGUAAACUACACAAACGAUCAAUCAACUAUAAAAAAAUUUUAUUUUAGACACAAAAAAUAAAAAGUACGUAAUUUAGUCACUCGUAUUUUAAUCACUCCCAUUAAAAUGGAAGAUGGACGUCCACGUGGAAUUUUUUAAAAAUUAUAUUAAUAUUUAAUAAUUUCCGACUAAUAAAUUUUUUCCACGUCUGAAAUUCUUUUAGCCUAAACCUAAGCUAAUAGUGAAACCAAGGAAAGAUUUUCUUCAUUCUAGUGCUAGAAAAAGAAUUGCAGUCACCCUUUCCCUUUCUCGUCCAAUCUCAGCCUCAACCACCUCCCUCUCUAGUUUCUCAUGCACUGCUUUGGCUUCCUUGAUGUGCCUCAUCCCGGCUUGCCACCCCAAGCUUUUUAUAGUGGAGGUCAGUUUGGGGGUGGCUCUUUACCUCCGGGGGCUCGGUUUUAAAAUUUUUAAAAUAGUAAAGGUAAAAUUGUAAUUUAGUCUUUCUAAAAAUGAUAAAAUUUUGAUUUAAUCUUUUAAAAAUUAUAAAAAUAUAAACUAAUUAAUGUUGAAAUUAUUUUUUUACUAUAUAAAAAUUACAAUUUAAUUUUAACCCCUUAAUUUUUUUUUUCUAAAUUUGACACUGUUAUAUAGAUUACCUAAAACCUAAAUUAAAUGAUAGGUUAAUUUUAAAAUAUUGUUUAUUGUUAAUACAAAAGGGUUGGGAGGAAAGAUAACAUAAAUCAUACUCCACCUUUGCACUAUAUAUUAUACAUGCUUUCUUUAUCAUCAUAAUUUGACAGAUAUAAUACAAAGCAAGUCAAGUCAAGUCUUGUGAAAUAUUGAUAGAAUAAAGCAGGCUUUGUGGGAGACUUAUUUGGUUAUGGUUUAACUUAACAUAUGCUUUUGGCUUGGAGUGAAAUAACAUAAGAUUUGAUAUUUUAUAGCUUCUUGUGGAUGAUAUUAUUAACCAUAUGGCGUGGACGGUAGGCUAGGGAAUUUUUUACUCUUUAUGUCAUCUAUAUUUACCAUUGAUAACCACAAUAAUUUAUUUUUUAAUAAAAACAUGACUUAUAAAAUUUCAACCACUUCACAUUAAAAUAAAUCUGUGGUAAUUUAAAGAUUAAAAGAUGUUAUAUAUUCAAAUAAGAAUUAAAAGAUAGUGUUGGUUUGAAUAGGUUACAAGACAUAAGCAAAGUGUUAGGAAGAAGUGACUAAAUAAGUGGAUAUUUUUUCAAGCUCUAUGGUAACAGAAAUAUAAUAGGAGAUAACAAAAAGUUUACUUACACAGCUCGCGGAGCCUAGCUCAGUGAGAAGUAUCCACUAUCUCCAAACACUUACAGCAAAUGACUCUAAAUUUAUCACACCCAAGUGACAAUUUCCUCACUUUUGUACCUUUGAAUACUAAAACCCUCGCCACUAAAUUCACCCCUGUGAACUAAGCAUGUAAAACCACAACCCAAAGGUUUUACAAUCAAAUGCACUCUUAGAAAUAAUGCUCCUCACUUGAACAGAUUAAGUGCUCUCGAUUCUCGACCAUAAUCCUACACAAGUCUCUCAAUUAUAUAGAGUUGUUCGAGACUUGCUAACAUAAAAAAGAUCUAUAACAAUCUCUAUAAAACAAUCACUAUAUAAGUUGAAUAAAAUAUAAUAAUAGCAAACAAGGUAAACUAGAACGGUUGGUAAACAAGGACUGUUGGUAGAUAAGUUGAAUAAAAUAUAAUAAUAAAAUAUAAGUCUUUAAGGGAUUAGAUAAGUAUGAUUCGAUUCGAUUCGAUCCAACCCUCUUUAUACAUUUCCUCAAAUGAUAUAAGCUUCAUUGGUGGGCUAGAUACGAUCCACAAUCUCAAAAUAACCAAAAUAUCUAGCUCAGUAAAUUGCCAACAACUCAAAUAUGGAAAUAGCCUAAUCUGUUGUAGUUGGCCAGGGAGUGGGCACUCUCUUAGACACUUCUUCAGUUUUUCUGUAUUUUCAACAAUCUCCUCAUUUGGAAAUUUUUUGAACAAAGCACAAACAAAGUAGAAAGCUUAAACAUAAACUAACAACCCGCUCCCUCUUAUUAUAUUUCAUUUUAAUCCAACAAUAGUGAAUCAUGAAAAAUAUAUGCAACCAAAGUAAUCAUCAUUUAUUCACCAAAUGAAAUCCAACCAUUAGAAGUAGAAAAAUCAAGAAUCAAACCUCCAAAACCAUAAGUUCCAAAAAACAACAGUAACAUCAAUGAAUUUGAUGCAAAAUAUGAAUCUCCCUUAUCACCAGUAGCUUCCCCUUACUCUCUUUCUCCCUCUUUUUGAUCAACAAGAUUGCCAACUUAUUCUUCGUUAGGAAGGUAUAUUAGAUUAUCACAAAAAGCCUUUUGCCUAUUUAUGAUCUUCUUCAUAGUCUUAGCUUAAAUAAGGAGUCUGGUAAUGUGCCUAUCAUUGGCUUCAAUAAAGGAUGUGAAAUCCUCAAUCAUGAUUUUAUGAAUAUCAUAGGGAAUAACCUUGGGGCCUGGAGAAGUUGGCACUUCUUCUUGCUCAACAUCAUCAUAUCAAAAUUACUUUCCCUUAACAGCAACAUCUCAUCUCCCCCUCAGUAGACCCUAUUAUAUUUAGACAAUAACAAUUUAGGGCCUUCCUCAUCAUUGUAGGGCUAACUUCAUACCAUUCUCCAUAUAUAAAUACCUUUUAAUGUAACUUACUAUUUUUGUUACUUAAUACUUUACAACAAAUUAACAUAAAACUUCAUAACAACAUUGCAAACACAUGACUUGACAUAACUUAUUGAUCUUAACAAACCACUUUUUCCAAUAAGUACAUCUAUGCCAUGACCAACAAACCCUUCAAAAAUAUGAUAAUAGGUUGGAUGAAAUGAUUUGGUAUCAAAGUAUAAUUGGUAAAUUGUGUAAUGUAUAUGUUUACGUAAUACUAAAGCCUAGAAAUGAGUAUUUGUGUAACUCUUAACUUUGCUAAAAUGACAUAAUUGAGAUAUUGGUUUGGUUGUUUAGGUGUAGCAAAAUGGUACCUUUUGGAUCUUUUGGAAAUAGAAAAUUACGUCGUGACGAGGAAUUAACAAUAAGUUGCAUCAUGACUUGGAAACCCCAAUCGUGACGUCAACUCGAUAGUUUGCAAACUUUAUAUUUUGGUCCUAAUUCGACCUCAAGUUAGAAUAUAUAUGAGCUUUCGUAAGCUCGUAUAAGACUUGAAUAUUAUUGAAAAACAUAUUGUGAAAGCGUAAUGUAGUCAGUAGCAUGUGAAAAAGGUUAAAUUGGAUCGGUGUUGCUUUGACAACAAAAGUGGCAUAUAGAGGGGUGCUCCUAGAGGUUGUGCAUUGGAGUUUUAGCCAAACCACAAAUUAUUUGAGAUUUAUAGUCAAAAUUAUAAAUGAGAUUGUUAAGUAGAAAUUUUAAAUGAUGUAUGUAUUAGUAUCAAUUGAUGUGUUUAGUUAAUCUGCUGGAAAGUGAAUUUUAAAUAAUGUUAGUCAGUUAUCCAGAAUUUGUAUCAUCCGGAACCUGGAUUCGGUGAGCGGGUCAGGAAUUGAAUGUUACAUAAAGUCCGUGACGAAUGCACAAAUAACAUCCCAUGGAGGUCAAUUGAUGAAAUUGGGCUCAUUCGACCCAUUUGAACUGACCCAAUUAGUAGAAACGUGGAAAAGCCCAUAUACUUGAAGCCUUGGUUGCCUAGUGAAACACUUAAUGAAAAUUAGGGUUACCUUGGUAAAUAUGACAAGUAAUCUUAUAAGAUAUAUAAUCCGAUAAGACUUGAUUAUGUAAUAUUAAGGGAUUGUGUAAAACCUUUAAGGAUCUCAAUUGUAGGUAGGUUGGAAUCUUGAUCGUCGAUGUAAUUUAAUCUGUACCAUAGGAUUUGGGGGAGUUUAAAUAUAAAUAGAGGCCUUCCCCCCUCAUUUGUAAUCAUUCAGCUGUAAUCUUUCAUAGUAUUUGAAUACUGUUGAGAGCAUUUACUAAAACACUUGACGUGUUUUUUUCUUUCUUGUGACUUUUCUAUUCUUUUGUUGCUUUUUCGUUUUAAGUUGCUUCCACUUUAUUUUCGAAGCGUUGGAGCAUUUUAUCGAGAAUUCUUACUUUAUGAGAGUUUGGCUGAUAAAGUUCUAGCCCCGUGACAAAGACAGCUACCCCAAACAUCCUUCCAAAAGUUAGUGCUACACCCAUUGGCAAUUGAUGAAUGAAUGUUGCACAUAAUAUCAUCUCAAACUCUUGCAAUGGACCACCAGACAUGAGAAGUAGCUAGCCGAUUAGUAUUGGCUGGACAUGUUUCCACCAUGUUAUAUUUAGAGUGCAAAAUUUGAACCCACAAAGCUUAUUUGUUGGUCAAAAUUGUGAAGCCCAAUUUUAUUAGGAACAAAAUGUUAUUUACAUUCAAUUUUCAAAUACCUAAACCUCGUGCUCAUACGAUUGGCAACAUGGGUUCCAAGAUACAAGAGUUGGCUUCUUCAAUCAAUACCCUCUUAAAUAAAGCUUCUAACAAUGUUCUCAAUUUCCAUACAAAUACCUAUAGGGAUCUUAGUAAUUCGCAUGUAAUAAGAAGAGAUUGAGAAUAACACUGGCUUAGCAAGUGUAACACAAGCCGCUAACGAAAGAAAUCUAGCAUCCCAUCCAUUAACCGCUCACAAACUUUCUCAACAAUAAAACGAAACGUAUCUUUGGUAACCCUUUUAUGAAAAAGUGGAAUACCCAAGUACUUUCUCAAAUUUGAAACUUGUUAGAAGCACUGGGUACUUCACCAUGUUUUAGUAUAUGAGUUAGCAAUAGACUAAUUUCAAUUGGUAAUUUUUAGCCACUCACAUGGCUUGUUUCAAGAAAAAAGGAAAAUUUUCUGUUUAUUUUGAAGAUGUCUUUUUUUUACUAGAGUUUUUACUCAUCUUUCUAAUUUCAAGUGUAAAUUUGCACUAGCUAUUCUUUAUUUUAGUCUAACUAUUUAAUACAUAUGGAAUAAAUGAGCCUUUUCCUUAUGUUCUUACAUGAGAAACCAAAAAAGUCAUAAAUGAUUAAUAUACUAUUUGAUACUUUAUUUUGGCUUCAAUGUUCAAUUUCUACCUCAAAAAUUUUUUUUGUCUCAAUUUGGUAUCUGAGUUUGGAUUUGAUGUUCACUUUAUUACGUAAUUUUUUUCAAUUUCAUACUUGAGUUUUUUUGUCACACACCAAAAUUGGCCUAGAAAUUUUGAGGAUUGAUUAAAUGCUGAAGUUACCUAUUUUAUGUAAUUAAAUUGGUCAAUUUAUGAGAAUGCACAACUGAUUUUUCCAUGUUUAUAUUGAAUUUUAUACAGGGGUGCAAUUUGGGCUAAAUAGAAGAAAAAAAAAGGGGAAACAAUUGGAUUAGAUUGAAGGAAGGAGCAAAAGAAGGCGGGCCGAAAUGGAAUUUUGAAAAGUUGUAAUUAGUUGAAAUUUUCUGAUCGACUUAGUAAGAGAAUAUGUAGGGAUUUAUUUUGAUAUUUAGGAUCAUGGGAAUAUUUUUUCCUUGAUUUCAUGCAUUUUCUAUGGAUAGCUUUUAAUCAGGAAUAUUUGCACAAGCCACAAGUAUAAAUAGGUGGUAUUAUGUUCAAUUCAUCAUCAAGCUUUCAUCUUUUGAAUAUGCUCUUUCAUUCCUUCUCACAAAUUUAUUUGUUGUCAUUGGUUCCUUAUACUUUCAUUAAUUUCCAGCUUUGGAAAUAUUGCACUGGAUGCCAAACCCUGCGUCACCAACCUACACCCCUCCACUUACAUUUUCUUUUUCAACCCUUUUUCAUUCCCAGUAGGCUAAAACCAUUCCAUACCCAAUUAAAAAUUUCAGCUACACACUUAAACCACGCCACCCACUUUUUACCCAUUUCAACCUUAUUUCAUUCAUCCAACCCUCUCCAGAUAUGCCCAACUCCAACAUGCCCCAAACAUUAGUCAAUUAAACCCCUUUCAGCCUUAGGUCGGUGUUAACCCCGUCAAAGACCCCUGAGUUACGAACCCAAGCAACUUAACUUCUAAUUUUCAGUAUUUACUAUUCUUUCGGAUUAAGAGUAUGACUUCAUCAACUCACAAGUCAAAUCAACACGAAGCCAAAAAAGACGUCGUUUGAGUUAGUGUGGUUAGACGUACAGUUGGAAUUUCGAAAGGAUCGAUUGUCUAAUUUGUUUUCUGUGAACACAUUGACGUGCCAAGUGGGGAUUGCCCUUUAGUUCCGUCAAGGGAAGUAGUAACCAAAUUUAAAUGUCCCACGCAGUUGAGGGUAUUGGUUCGAUCUAGGCUCUUCUAGAACGCAAAGCUGUCGGAGUUCUAAAUCACGAACAUUUCGUGGGUUGUUCGAUCAGCAAGGGUUAGUUAUAGGACGUUCCAUAACUAAUUUAUAUAAGGAAGAGUUGGUGUCUGAGGCGUCCUUGGUAACUUUAACUAGCUUAUUGGAAAAGAUGAGUUCAUCUAAUUUCGAGGAUCGGUUCAAAGACCAAAAAAACCCGUGCCUGAAGCUGAGCUAAAUUUAAUUGAUUUUUCUUCAAAUUUACUUAACUAUUUUUUUAUUUAAUUGUCUUCAGCUUUUACUUUUUACUCUGUUAUUUCAGGUUUCAUAUUUUAUCCCCCCGAACUUCUUGGGCAAAAGACCUGCCCAGACAUAAAUCUGGUCGAGAGAGAAACAAUUUUCAGUAAACUCAGUCUCUGAGGGAUCAACCGUACUCCCUAUACUGCUUAAAUUUGCAAAUUAGACGUGGGAUUAUAUUGGUGGAAUCGACAACCAUCAAGGGUAAAUUGGGAAUUUUGGCUCAGAAUAGGUUCAGAGAUUUUGAAUUGUGGUAACCUGAAAUUAUUUUUUACUGUAUUUUUUUUAAAUCAAGUCAAUUUUUUAAAAUAGAAAGAAAAAUUCUAAAAGGUGAUCCUUUUAAAUUUUUACUAUUUUUAUUUUAUUUUUUAAAUAAAUAUAAAAUAAAAAAAGGGGGUCAAAAACCUACUUGGCCCUUCAUGUUCUGCCACCGUGAGUAGCCGAGAACCAUCAUCUCCAAUGAAAGAUGACAUCUUUCGGGUAAAAGGGUCUUUGAAACCCAGAAAACGAAAGGUUUUUUAGGGAUUUCUGUUAUUUUGAUGAGUUUUUUUUUUUAGAAAAUAACCCCAGAUUUGGGUUUGGGGAACAAAAAGGCCAAAGAGCGGCCAUUUUUGCAUUUUUCGGCUUCAAAACAAGAUAUAAGUAACGAUCAAUUGGUGUUUAUUUUCGUUUUCGAGGAUUUAAGGAAUUGUGUCCUAACUUAUGAGACGUGAUCCUUUUUCUCGAUUAACUUGAAAUAAGCCAUUUUCGGAAAAAUUACUUUAGUUAGAUAUUGCCUUAAUACAAAAAAGAUCGUGUUUUAAACUCUUUUCAAAGUUUCAAUUUACGACACUAAGACAUUAAUUAAUCAACUAGGUACCAAUUUUGCGUGUUACGAGGGUGCUAUUCCUUUCUCGUGCGUAACUGACUCCCAAACCGAUUUCCUGAAUUUUGUAGACCAAAAAUCGUUGUUUUAGUAAAUCAAACUAUUUAUUAAAACGAUCAAAUUACGAGGUGAUCUGAUCACACCUCAUAAAAAGGAUUGGUAACGACUCCCAUUUUCGUUAUUUUAAAUAAAAAGUUAAUUUAAAAAAAAGGGGGUUUCAACAUCAGAGAUUAGAUAAUUACGUUGUUUGGAUUUUAGUUCGCAGAUUCGUAAUAUUUAAAGUUAUUUAAUGAAAAUAAAUUAAACUGUAAAAGAGAAGAAGAGUGAGAGCUUUCGAUUGAAAAACAUACAACAACAAUUUUAAUAACCCAAUGACUUAAAUGAAAAUUUUCAAAUUAUUUAGCGAUCAUUUUAUAACUUUUUGAAGUUAAGUGACCAAAAAUAUAAGCUUAUUAAUAAUUUAAAAACUUUAAAUAAAAUUUACCCUUAAUAAAUAAAUAAAACACCCAAGGAAUUCCUGAUCUUAUUUGUGAAAGUAAAAGAUCUACCAUUAAUUUAGUGAAGACGUAGUAUAAUUGAAGUCUUCUGCUUCAAUUGGGCGACGACUUGACCAAAACUUUAUUUGAAGUAUUAAUUAUGAAGUACUUGACCAAAACUUGACCAAAACUCUUACGAAUCUUUUAAUAUUCCUUGAAAGUGACAAAAUUAAUGGUGCUUUCGAUUUUAUUAAUGUAACAAAAUCUAUCACCCAAGAAAAUAUUAAACUUUUAAUUAUAGGAUAGGUAAUUUUUGAAUGUUUCUUUUGCUUUUUUUAUCUUCAAUAACUCAUAAAAUUAUGGGAAAGAUUACAUUACUUGAUAUAUAUACACACAAAUAUAUUAUAAAUUUAUUAAAAUCUUCAUAUCAUUUUAAUAAAUUAUGAAAAAAUAUUAUAAAGCUUGACGUAAACACAAAAUAGAUAACAAUUAUUUUGUAAAUUGAAUUUUAAUAAUAAACAAUGCAAAAUUUUUAUAAAGUAAAAAUAAAUAUUAUAAAUAGAAUACUAAUUUACAACAUAAAUAUUUUUUUUCAAAAUCAAUAUUCACUCGAAUAAUAUAAUUAAAUUCAAUACAUAUAUAUUGCUAAUUCACAAAAAAAAAAUCUAAUAUAAAUUUAACCCUUAAAAGUUAAUAAUUUUAAUUUAUUAAACAACACUUUAAUAAAAUCCCCCAACUUUAAUCAAAAUGAAAGAAAAAAAAUUAGUAUUUUCUUCUUCUUUUUUUUUUAAAAAAAGGAGGUAUUAUUAGUAUUUACUUUCAUAAUCAUCUAAAUUAUGUUUUCGACACAUUCAAUGAAACAAUUACACCAAGUAAAUGAACAUAUAAAACACAACACCUUCAAUACACCGACUCUUAUCCAAUAUGAUGAGCAUUUCUUUUAUUCGUUCUUGCAAUGUUAGGAACAACGACCAAAAUAAUAUCGUACCAAUGGUUAAGAGUGUAUGAGAUAUGGCCGGAAGUCUGCAGAAGGGAAAAUGAUGUUAGAAAACGAAAAACUUUCUCAUCCGGACAUGUACUAUUUUUAGUUUACCCUUAGGCUUAGCUAAGCAAAUUCAGAGGAGGGCUUCUUCUCCCUUAUCUCCUUGCUUACACCCCAACCUUAGUUAUGGCACAUGUACCGUCAAAUAUUAUUCUCUUGCUGUUCCUUCUGGUUUCUUUCCAUGUUAAUGUCAUAGCUGAAGAAGACGAGGCAAACAUUAUCAAACCCGGUUCUUCACUUUAUGCCGGAAAACAGCCUAGUUCGUGGGCCUCACCUUCGGGGAAUUUUGAAUUUGGUUUCUACCGGCAAGGAGAAGGAUAUGCGGCCGGAAUAUGGCUUGUUGGUCGACCAGAAAACACCAUUGUCUGGACUGCAAAACGAGAUGAUCCGCCUGUCUCCUCAAAUGCUACUUUGGAAUUCACUAGACAAGGCGUAUUGCUUCUUCGGACUGAGGACGGGGUGGGAAAUGUCAUUGCGAAUCUGUCCGGCGUGCAAUUUGUUGAUUCAGCUUCGUUGCUGGACACCGGGAAUCUAGUUCUCUAUGAGAACAGGUCUGUUGUUUGGGAGAGCUUUGAUAUCCCGACCGACACAAUCUUAGGAUGCCAGAAUUUAAGCCUUGACAGUGAGUUGAUUUCCAGUGUGUCAAGUUCAAACCACUCAACUGGCCAUUAUCAUUUGCUCUUGAAGUCUGAUGGGCUUGUAGCCAAUUUAAAUAUUUCUUCUGCAGCUGCCUAUGAGUACUGGGUCUCCCCUAAUGGCUUUUCUUCCCCCGUGUUGAAUCUCAAUGAAAGUGGCGUUCUAGCACUGUCUUCAUCACAAAAUUUCGACCAAGAAAAUGUUUUGGCAAACGGCUCGACAACUGGGAACGAAACAAUGAUUAUCUAUAGAGCAACCCUUGAUCAUGACGGUGUUUUCAGAUUGUACUCGCAUCAACUUGAAAGCAAUACUAUGUCAAACAAGUGGCAGAAUUUGGAUGAUGAAUGUGAGGUUCCAGGUCGGUGUGGGUUGAACAGCUACUGCUCCACCAGCAGGGGUAACGAUACUGAGUGCUAUUGCUAUCCUGGUUUCAUAUUUAUCGACGAGAAUGCCAAAUUCCUGGGUUGCUCUCAGAAUUUCACUGUAGAUGGGUGCGAGACUAAGAGAGAUGUAGUGAUACACCACAACAGCACUACCUUAGACAAUAUGUCUUGGGCUGGUAAUCUUUAUUCUGUGAAGCGUAAUCUGGAGAGGGAAGACUGUAAGAAAGCUUGCGAGGAUGAUUGCUCCUGUGGUGGAGCUCUCUAUACCCCAAAUCACUGUAGCAUGUAUUCAUUACCGCUUAAAUAUGGUAGAAAACAUGUAAGUAUAACAACCACAGCCUUCAUCAAGUUGAUUCCGGGUCGUAGCACCAUUAGCCCCCCACCUGAAACAAGUCCAAACCAAAGCCUUAUUCUAACUAUGGGCUUAAGUUUGGGUUCCGUUGCAAGCUUGUGUUUUGUGAUUGCAAUAUGUAGCUUCUUGUUAUACAGGCAUCGAGUCCAAAGUUAUGAGAAGCUUUUAGACAGUAAAAGUUCAGGAUUUGCCGAGCAAUUUACACUACGAUCAUUCACUUUAAAUGAGCUAGAUGAAGCAACACAAGGUUUCCAAGAUGAGUUGGGUAAAGGCUCAUUUGGAGCGGUUUAUAAAGGAACUUUGCCAGGGGAUGGUAAAAGUAUUGCUGUUAAGAGAUUAGGAAUGGUUAAGGAAGGAGAAAGGGAUCAGUUUCGAACUGAGAUGACAGCCAUUGGAAGAAAUAACCACAGGAACUUGGUCCGAUUGCUUGGAUUUUGUGUGGAAGGUUCAAGGAAGUUCCUUGUUUAUGAAUACAUGAGCAAUGGCUCACUAGCGGAUUUUCUAUUCAACAGGAAUGAACGCCCGGUUUGGAAACAGAGAGCCAGAAUAGCGUUGGACGUGGCUAAAGGUAUCCUUUAUUUACAUGAAGAGUGUGAGGUGAGUAUCAUCCAUUGCAACAUCAAGCCCUGCAACAUACUCUUGGAUGAUUCAUUGACUGCAAAGAUUUCGGAUUUCGGAUUGGCAAAGCUAUUGAGGCCUAAUCAAAGAAGCAGUACAAGUGGAACAGCAUGGUACCCGGCACCUGAAUGGCAAAACAGUGCAUUGUUAUCGGUAAAAGUUGAUGUAUACAGUUUCGGAGUGAUACUGUUGGAGAUCAUAUGUUGCAGAAGAAACAUAGAAGUAGAAGGUCGCAGUGCAGAUGAGAUACUGCUUUCAACAUUUGUAUACAAUUGCUUUGUUGGGGGAGAGUUGAACAAGCUCGUGGAAGGUGAAGAAGAAGUGGAUAUGAAAAUGGUGGAAAGGUUUGUGAAGGUGGGGCUUUGGUGCAUUCAAGAUGAUCCAAAUUUGCGUCCACUCGUGAAGAAUGUGAUCUUGAUGCUAGAAGGAACAAUGAAUGUACCGAUCCCUCCAUCUCCAUCACUUCCCCAUGUUACUAAUUAGUGUUUUUAACUUUGAAGUUGGGUUUAUUUUAAUUAUGUUUUUCAUGUAAUUAAUAAUAAUUAGAGGAGUAAUUUUUAAAAUAAAAUUUCAAUGUUUAUCAUUUUGGAAACUAUCUGUUGUUAAAAAGAAAAACAUUUUAUGUUCUUUACAUCAAUUAUAAUAAUGUGAUAAGUGAAAGGUCUCUAAUCUAUACAUCAAUUAUAAUAUUAAAAGUAUACAUGGUUUUUUCCUUUGUUUUCACUUAUGUGUUGUGUUGAAAAAUUAAAUGUUAACAUCUUAAAUACUUACAAAAUCAAUGUGGUAUGUUUGUUUAAUUUAAGAGAUAUUGCAAUUUAGUCUAAUUUAUUACAAUUUAGUCCUUUAGGGACAUUACUUCUUAACUUUUUAGGUCUACUUAAUUUAGUCUAAUUUAUUACAAUUUAGUCCUUUUUCCAAAAAUCAGCUUACCUACAUUUCCAUCAACCAAAUCCUUUUUUAGGCUUAGCUAUUUAUGCUGCAAAUGAAGAGAAUGGACAUGGAAAUGAAAAGCAAACAAAACAUUGAAGUUUAAGAAAAAGUAUGAAAGUUUAGAUUUUUAUGCAAGAAAACUUAAAGAACAUAAAACUAAAGGCAUUCAACAAGGAAAUCUAAAGCAAUAAACAGAAAAGGAAUAAACUUUAACAAAUUUAAAGUAAAAGAAACUGAAAUGCAUUAAACUAAAGUUAGAAAUGUCUUACAACCAAGGUAUAGGGAUUGGAAGUGCAAAUAAACUUAAGCUAUAGUAAUAACUAACUUAACUACCACUAAGAACAACUAAGAACAACUAAAAUAAGAAAGAAAAUUGUUGGGAAAUGUAAAAUCUACCGCUAAAGAAAUGAAAAUGAAAACCCUAGAAAAAGAAGAAGAAAAACUAAGAGAAAACCUUGAGAAAACUAAGGCUAAAACUAAACUAAUGUGUGUCUCCUCUCCUCAGCCAAAAUUGAUCAUUUUAGGUUGAAUGCUGAUAGUAUUUUGUUGCCAAAAUUGCCCUUACAUGGGCCUUGGGUGAUUGGUGGAUCGAGUAGAAAAAGACUACUCUUUUUAUCCAAUUUUGUCACCCUCACAAUAUUGGUGUCACGAUACCUAGAAGAGGAUAUCUCGAUUCCUCAAGUAGUUUCGAACCUUGGGGUCUUAUUUAAGGGUGGAUAUCAUUAUACCACUGAAAGAUGGUCUCCUAUCUUUCAAUACUGUUGGAGGUAUCACGAUUUCAAGGUAUAAAAAUCGCGAAACAUUUUCCUUUGGUGUCGUUUUCGCUCGUUUUCAACCUCAGCACGUUCUUACAUCACUCAACCAAAUGUUAGGCCCCCCAAUUGUACUAUUGGCCAAAUUUGAUCAUAAAAUGAGUAAAAACAAGACAUUUACACUUAUUAACUUAAAAUGUAAAAAGUACGAAAAACUAUGAAAAAACACUAUUUUGCUCGAGAAUAAGGUCCUUAAGUACAUCGGCAAAGUCUAAUUUUCCAUAUCAAAUUAUAGUAGAUUAAACUUCCCCACAUUUAACUCUUUACUUGUACUCAAGCAAAACAAACAUGCAAAAGAAAAGACGACUCUUGGACUAAAUCAGACAAUUAAGUCAUAUAUCUGUAAAACAUCAAACUCGUACGGGAACUGCCUCACAUGCAACUUAAGAGUGAUAUCUAGAUAACUUGUUAAUUCUUAAUACAAACAUAAUUAGUUCACUAAGUUAUAAUGUUAAUAGAUGUAGAGGUAAUGGAAAUUAAUAUAUGUGUAACACCCCGAACCCGAGUCCGUCACUAGAUUAGGGUUACAAGGCAUUACCAAACAAGUCAUAGCUCAAAAUAGACAUUUAUUUCAACUUAUGUUCGUAAAUUAACCCAAUCAAUACAUUUAGCCCGUUCAAAUUUCAUAUCUCAAAUCACCCAUACUCAUCUCAUUUGUGUUUUUUUCAAAAAAAUUAUUAUCUAAGCUUAAACUAUUAUAUAACGUAUAUCAUGUAUAUUAUAAUUACUGUGCAGUAUCACCUAGCAUAUAAACUCCAACAUAUUCGGCCUAAAUAAUCUCAACAAAUGGUCAUGUAUGAAAUUUUUAAACUUCAUAAUCAUGCACUCAAAUUACAAAUUUCAUAAUCAAGCCAAACCACAUUUAUUUAUUUAUUCACCUCAUGAAUUAUUCAAAUAGCAUACUAAUCAAAAUUUAACCAUUCACACGACCUAGUAACGUAUAUUUUUACACAAAACCAUAUUUAUAAAAAAAAAAGAGAGACCAAAUACACCACUUCAUUCAUCAUGCGAUUAUGCGCUUAUGAUCACUUUAUUUGUAACAGCCCAAUUUUGACCUUAAUCGGAAUAGUGGUUUCGGGACCACAAAUCCGAGUCUAUAAAAAAUACAAAAUAAAAAAAUAUUUUAAUAUUAUUUUGUGUGUUUAUGAUGUGUGAAUUUACAUGUGUGAAAGUUUCAUGAAAUAAUUUUAUUGUUUGGGUGCUUAAUUUGAGAAAAUGGCAUAAUCGCGUAAAAUAAAAAAUUUGAUGGUUAAAUAUGAAAGUGCCUAAUUUUUGUCAUGUUUAUAAUUUGGAGGUUUUAUGUUGUAAUUUAGCCAAUAUUUUGAGGUUUUAUGUUGUAAUUUAGCCAAUAGUAAAUGUAGUGGACGGCAUGAUCACUACACCAAAGCAGGCUUUUAGUGGCACCUUUAGUGGCGUUUUAACAAAAAACGCCAGAAAAAAUCGAGCAUUAGCGGCGUUUUUAAGAAAACACCGCUAAAAUAGGAGCAUUAGCGGCAUUUUAAAUAACACGCCGCUAAAAAGAGCCAUUAGCGGCGGUUUUAAUAAAAACGCCGCAAAAAAGCCAAAGCAAAACGACGGCGUUUUCCUACUUUCGGGUCUUUAGCGGCGUUUUUUAAUAAGUGCCGCUAAUUCUAUGGGCUUUUAGCGGCGUUUUUGUAAAAGCACCGCUAAUGCUUUGGCCUUUAGCGGCGUUUUGUGAAAAAACGCCGCUAAUGAUGGGUCUUUAGCGGCGUUUUCUGGAAAAGCGCCGCUAAGGACAUUUUAUCUUAACUAGUUUAUUUAUAUUAAUUAAAUAAAAUUCAAUUUAUUUGUAAUUGAAUAUUUAAAAUCUUCAAAAAAAAUAAUAACAUGUGGAAAUAAUUUGAAAUAAAAUAAAUGAAAAAUUAAAAUACUAUUAUUUAAAAUAAUUUAAAGUUUUUUGGGUACAUGAUUAUUGAUUGUUUUUUAAUUUAUAUAUUAAAUAAUUUCUUAUAUAAUCGUAAAAGAGAUAGUAUUAAUAUUAAAAUAUUGAAUUAAUUAUCACUGUAGUUUAGGGUUUUUGGUUUAAUUUAGGGUAUAUAUAUGAUUAUUAAUUUAAGAUUUAAGGCCGGUUUAGGAGUUAUUAUUUUAAGGUUAAUGUUUAGGGGUUAGGAGUUAGACGUUAAGCGUUAAUAGUUAAGGAUUUAGGGUUUAGGGAUUCAGGGGUCAAGUUAGAGUUUUGGGUUUAGAUUAAUUAGUUUUUUAAUUUAUAUUUUAAAUAUGUUUUUAUAUAAUUGUAAAAGGGAUAAUAAUAAAUUUGUUUAAGGUUUUUGGUUUAGGGUAUAUGAUUAAUUUAAGAUUUAAGACCGGGUUAUGAGUUAUUAUUUUAAGGUUUAGGGGGUAUGGAUUUAGGGAUUAUGGUUUAAGGGUUGGGGUUUAAAGGUUUGGGGUUUAGGGAUAGACGUCAGGGGUUAAGAAUAUGAUUUAGGUUUUAGGCCGAAUUCAGGGGUUGGGUUAGGGUUUUAGGUUUAGAUUAAUUAGUUUUUGAAUUUAUAUUUUAAAUAUUUUCUUAUAUAAUUAUAAAAUAGAUAUUUAUGACUUUGUUUAGGGUUUAGGGUUUAGGGUAUUAAUUUAAUAUUUAAGGCCAGAUUAGGAGUUAAUAUUUUAAGGUUUAUGGAGUAUAGAUUUAGGGAUUAAGGACUAGGGAUUAUGGUUUAAGGGUUGAUAUUUAAGGUUUAGGAGUUAGGGGUUAGGGGUUAGACUUUAGGGGUUAAGAAUUAUAUGAUUUAGGGUUUAGAGAUUCAGGGUCAAUUUAGGGUUUUAGGUUUAGAUUAAUUAGUUUUUGUAAUUUAAUUACAUGUAUUGAAUGGUUAAAUUAGGAUUUAAGGUUAAUUAUUGAUUGGGGACUUAAGAUUUAUUAAAUGAUAAAAUUUUAUACAAUUAAUUAAUGCUUUUAUAUUUAAAAAUUUUAAUCUAAACAAUUUGAUAUAUUUAAAUAUUAGUUUAAAUAGAAUUAAUAAAUAAGUUAUAAAAGUAAUAGAUUGAUAUAUAUACGAAUAUUUAGGUAUAAUUAUUUAUUUUGGAUAUAUAGGACCACAUUAUAAGAAAUAAAAAACAUUAGCAGCGUUUGGGUAGAAACGCCGCAACUAUGUACCCAUUUUUUUCAAAACGGCGUCGUAUCCAUUUAGAAAUUUAAUUUAAUUUGUGGCAUUUUAUGGGAAAAUGCCAUAAAUAUGUAUUUUAAUUUAUCAAAACGGCGUCGUUUCAGAAGAGUACUGUAAUCUAUCAGUGGUGUUUAUGCUAGAAACGCUGCAAUGAUAUUUCAAAAUGUCACCGUUUCACUUCAGGACUUGACAUUUUAGUGGCGUUUUUCCGGAAAACGCUGGAAAUAUGAAUUAAAGUUUCUUAAAACGGCACUGUUUCUUUUCAGUAAGUUAAUUUUUAGUGGCGUUUUUGAUAAAAACGCCGCAACUAUACAUUGAAGGUUCUUAAAACAGUGCUAUUUCAGAAUUUAAUUUUGGCAAUUACGCAGGACGACAUUAUAAGGAAAAAAAACAUUAGUGGCGUUUGCAUAGAAACGCCGCAACUAUGUACCCAUUUUUUUCAAAACGACGUCGUUCCCAUUUAGAAAUUUAAUUUAAUUUGUGGCGUUUUUUGGGAAAACGCCGUAAAUAUGUGUUAUAGUUUCUCAGAACGGCACCGUUUCAGAAGAGGAGUGUAAUCUAUUAGUGGCGUUUAUGCUAAAAACGCCGCAAUUAUGUAUUAAUGUUUUUCAAAACGUCACCGUUUCUCUUCAGGACUUGAAAUUUUAGUGCGUUUUUUCGGAAAACGCCGGAAAUAUGAAUUAAAGUUUCUUAAAACGGCACUGUUUCUUUCAGUAAGUUAAUUUUUAGUGGCGUUUUUGAUAAAAACGCCGCAACUAUACAUUGAAGGUUCUUAAAACGGUGCUGUUUCAGAAUUUAAUUUUGGCAAUUACGCAGGACCACAUUAUAAGGGAAAAAAACAUUAGUGGCGUUUGCAUAGAAACGCCGCAACUAUGUACCCAUUUUUUUCAAAACGACGUCGUUCCCAUUUAGAAAUUUAAUUUAAUUUGUGGCGUUUUUUGGGAAAACGUCGUAAAUAUGUGUUAUAGUUUCUCAGAACGGCACCGUUUCAGAAGAGGAGUGUAAUCUAUUAGUGGCGUUUAUGCUAAAAACGCCACAAUUAUGUAUUAAUGUUUUUCAAAACGUCACCGUUUCUCUUCAGGACUUGAAAUUUUAGUGGCGUUUUUUGGGAAACGCCAGAACUAUGGAUUAAAGUUUCUUAAAACGGCACCGUUUCUAUUCAGUAAGGUAAUUUUUAGUGGCGUUUUUGCUAAAAACGCCGCAAAUAUAUAUUUAAGGUUCUUAAAACGGUGCUGUUUCGGAAUUUAAUUUUGGAAAUUAUGGAAGCAAUAGCGGCGUUGUUUCCUUAAAACGCCGCAAAUCUGUAUACUUUGUCUAAACGGCGCCGUUUCUUUACACGUUGUUAAACAUCAGUUUCAGUCUAUCGAUUUAGUAUCUGAGAAAGAAGGAAAAGAAAAAAACACAGAGUAAGGCAGAGUAGAGAAUCGAAAGGAAAAGAAAAAAAUAGAAAGACCAAAAUACAAAGAAAAAAAAUCAGAGGAGAACUCAGAAAUCAAAAGAAACAAAGCAAUAGUUGAAUCGAUCUACACUCUGUUAUCAAAGCUGCGGAAUUUUUGUUUUAAAGGUAACCCUUUUUCCCUCAAUAAUCGAUCUACAUUUAGGGUUUUCUUUCAGUCAAUUUGGGGAUUUUUUUAAUCUAUAGUUAAUCUUCUUUUUUUUCUUUUUGCAUGUUAGGGUCGAUAAUUUUGUAGAAAAAGUUAUGCAUGUUAGGGUUUGUACUCCAUUUGUGGGGAUUCUAUUUCACUGUUUAUUAGUUUAAUUCAGGGUUUAACUUCUAAAGUAUACCUGUUUUCUUAUUUUGGUAUCUAAUUAUUUUGGUAUAAUUCUUAUUUUGGUAUCUAAUUAUUUUGGUAUACUCAAAUUUCCAAUUUGGUUUCCAUUAUUUUUAUUCGUUUGAAUGUCUUUGACCAUUCCUCUAGCUAAUCUGCAGCAGAAAAUAUCAUCAUUUCAUGUUUAUUGAGAACUGUUUCUUAGCAUAUGUUGCAAAAUGAUGGGUUUGUUAGUGGCUUUUUUAAGUGCAGGACACAAAAGGGAAAAUCUAGCUAAAUUGAAUCUCAAAAUUAACCAUUCCUCUAGCUAAUCUGCAGCAGAAAAUAUCAUCAUUUCAUGUUUAUUGAAAACUGUUUCUUAGCAUAUGUUGCAAAAUGAUGGGUUUGUUAGUGGCUUUUUUAAGUGCAGGACACAAAAGGGAAAAUCUAGCUAAAUUGAAUCUCAAAAUAAUAAUGAAGUUAUUAUUAUGUUUAUUGAAACCCAAAUUUCUAUGUAUUCAACUCAACAAGUGUUAGGAUGCUGCUGCAGAUUAAAUUUCUAUGUUUAUUUUACUUGGAUUUUGAGUGAUCCACGAUUGUGGAGAUAAUGGAAUGUGUAUGCCUUUUUUAAAAAAAUAAUAUAUUUGAAGAAUAAUAUCUUGUAUUAAUUCUUGGGUUUUGUUUUCUAGUUUGUUUUCUAGUCUGUUUAGCGAUAUUUUCUGUUUUCUGUUUUGCAAAUACCUGUUCUGUUUAUUUGUCUAGUUUUGCGAUAGCAAAAUAUAUUAUUUAAUAAUAGAUCUUGUUUAUAUUUAGUUAAAUGUAACAAAUUUUAUCUUGUGGGUUAUGAGACUCAAUGCUGCUUUGCCGAAAUUGUGACUGUAGACAGGCUGUAGACAGCAUCUUAGCUACUGUCAACUGUUCAUAAUUUGUAAAAGAAUGGUUGGUUAGAUCCUAAAUUUAGGCUACGGUCAAAUGUUCUUUGAUGUGAAUUUGAUUUUAGAUAUUUCAUCUGAAUCAAAGUUGUUAAAUAUUUGAUAUUAAUAUUUGGUAUGAAUAAUGAAGUGAAUUUGAUAUGGAAAUAUUUCAUACGGUAAUUCUGAAUAAAUAUAGAGUCAUGUUCUGCCAAAGUCUUUAUGUAUUGUUCUGAUUGUUGUGAUAAUUAAAAUUCAAAUUUAGAUUUGAAUCUUAAUUUAGUUAAAUAUUCUUUUGUUUCCUUCUGUUUUGUUGGUACUAAUUUACUUGUGUGUGUGUUUUUUGUUUUUUUGCAGAAGUUUGCUUCGAAGUUGAGGAAAUUUGAGGUAUUUAUUUCUAUGUUUCCCUAGAUAGUUUUCUUAAAAAAAACACCUCCAAAUGUUUAAAUUUUGGAUUUGGUUAUAUUUUAGCUUUAUCAUUUAGUUAUUUUUUUUAGUUUUAAAACGGAGUUUUAAUUAAGAUUUUUGGUUUUAAAGCUGUGGGUAUCGGUUUUAAUGAUCAUCUUUGCUUUAUAUGUUGCUAGCUCAAUUUGCGUGUAACUUUACAGCUUAUUACAAGUUAUGCUAGUUUUAAAUUAUGCUUGUUAUUUUUGUACGUAUCAUUUACCCAAGAACUAUAUGAGGCAAAUUAUUAAAAUUCAGAUUAUGAUUCUUCAAUCACUUUUUAUAUUUGAGUAAUUGAAUAAAUUAUGGCCGAUUAGUUUAUUCGGUUUAAUGUGAAUAAAUUAUCGAUUUUCGAUUUUAUGUCAAUGAAUAAAUUAUCGACGUUAGAUGUGAUUAAUUGAUUGACUGUCAGUGAAUUGUCAAUGAAUGUCAAUGAAUUAUUAAUAUAUAUAUUUUUAAAAUUUAUAACUUACAUUACGUAAAUAUAUUAAUUACUAAAAUUUACUUAAAUAUAUUACUUAAAUACAUUACUUACUAAAGUUAAAGUAUAUAUUACAUUACUUACAUUACUUACUAAAAUAUAUUACUUAAAUAUAUUACAUUACUUAAAAUUAUUACAUUACUUACAAAAAUUUUUAACUUACAUUACUUAAAUAUAUUACAUUACUUAAAAUUUAUAUAUAUAUUUAAAAUUUAUAUAUAUGGUAUGGAUAUAUAACCUAUAUUACAAUUUUAUUGUCAAUAAAUUUUAUAAUUUUAAAAAUAGUUGUAAAUGUUAUUUUUAAAUAUUAAAACCUAUAUUUUUAAUAUAUCACCCCAUAUAUGGUAUGGAUAUAUAACCUAUAUGUCAAUUUUAUUGUCAAUAUAUUUUAUAAUUUUAAAAAUAAUUAUAAAUAAGAUACAUAAAAGUGUAAUACUUACAUAAUAUAAACUUAUAUAUAAACUUGCAUAACUUACAUAAUAACAUAAUAACUUACAUUAUACAUAACCUACAUAACUUACAUAAUACACAACUUACAUAACUUAAAUAACUUACAUACUGUAACUUUGAUAACUAACAUUAUACACAACUUACAUAAUACAUUACUUACAUAACUUACAUAAUAAUAACUUACAUAAUACACAACUUACAUAACUUAAAUAACUUACAUAACUUACCCGUGCAAUUUAUUGUCAACGUCAGACUUCAAGGAUUAAGAUAUGGACCGAUCUUGGAUGAAUUUGUCAAGGGUAAGCAACGGUUAUCGAAACGGAGUUUGAGACUUUUCUCAAUUUUGCAUUUCAAUAUGCAAGCCAAGAGAACAUGAUUCUUUGCCCGUGUAAGAAGUGUGUCAACAUAAACGGCAUUAUCGCGAAGUUGUAUACGAGCAUCUAAUUGUUGAUGGAUUUGUUCGGGGUUAUAAAAAAUGGCAUUUUCAUGGAGAAUGCCCGCCUAGUACCUCCUCUUCAACGAUGGAUGUAUCUUAUCCUGGUACUGCUUACCAUCAGUCUGUUGGAGGGGAUGAUAUGGAAGGUAUGUUGCGAGAUGCAUUUAAUAUGCACAAUCAUGGUUUUCAGCCGUCAUUCCCAGCUGACUUUAUGGCAUCUGAUGAUUGCAAUGUUGGUGCAAAUGCUUUUACCGAACCGGGAACAAGUGUACCUCAUGAAGAGCCGAAUGCAGAAGCGGUGAAGUUCUACGCGCUACUUAAUGAGAUGAACGAAGAACUAUAUGAGGGAUCGAAAUUUUCAAAAAUGUCUUUCUGCAUUCGUCUUUUCCAGUUAAAAUGUUUGGGAGGGUGGACCGGGAACUCAUUGACAAUGCUGUUAGAGUUUUUGAGAGAAAUGUUUCCGUUUGCAAAAAUCCCUCAGUCAUGCAAAGAUAUGAAGAAAAUAAUAAAAGACUUAGGUCUUGGGUACAACAAAAUCCAUAGUUGCCCGAAUGAUUGCAUGUUGUAUUGGGGCGAUCGGAGAAACUAACAGUGCUGUCAUGUAUGCGGUGAAUCCCGUUGGAUAAAUAGAAACACAGAAGAUGGGAACGACGAUGAAAAUGAUGCACAGCCAAGAAAGAAGUCGGUCAAGAUUUUGCGGUAUUUCCCGCUGAUACCAAGGCUUCAAAGGCUUUUCAUGUCGUCGAAGACAGCGAAGUCAAUGACAUGGCACCAUGAAGGAAGAACCGAUGAUGGAUUUUUAAGGCAUCCGGCAGAUUCUUUUGCUUGGAAAUCAUUUGACAAUAAAUUUCCAAGCUUUGCAAGCGAUCCCAGGAGUGUGAGGCUUGGCCUAGCAUCUGAUGGAUUUAAUCCUUACAAGAUCAUGAGUACAGCAUACAGUACUUGGCCAGCAGUGCUUGUUCCUUACAAUCUGCCUCCGUGGAUUUGUAUGAAGCAAUCUUCCCUUAUCUUAUCUAUGAUUAUCCCUGGAGAGAAAGGGCCCGGGAAUGAUAUCGACAUUUAUUUACAGCCACUUAUUGAAGAGUUAAAACAAUUAUGGGCUGGUGUCGAGACAUACGAUGUGCUGAGGAAGGAGAACUUUAAUUUACGUGCAGCUUUGAUGUGGACCAUUACUGACUUCCCCGCUUAUGCCAAUUUAUCCGGUUAGAGUACCAAGGGUCGCUAUGCGUGCCCUUGUUGUGCUGCACAAACAUGUUCGCAAUGGUUAUACAAUGGGAAGAAGUUCUCUUACAUGGGGCAUCGUCGGUGGUUACCGAAAAAUCAUAGAUUUAGAUUUCAAAGUUCGGCAUUUGACGGUACUGAAGAGUUCAGAUAAGCUCCUUCGCAGACAAGUGGAUCUGAAAUCUUGUUAAUGUUGGAAGAUAUGAAUUUCAGUUAUGGGAAGAUUCAUCAACCGGCAAACACGCAAAGAAAUAGAAUAUCAAAUGAUGAAGCUGAUGAUAACUCCGAUGAAGAGGAUGAUCCUAAAGAGGCGGACUUGUGGAAAAAAAAGAAGUAUUUUUUUUGAGUUGCCUUAUUGGGAGCACCACCUUUUACGACACAAUUUUGAUGUUAUGCAUAUUGAGAAAAAUGUCUGCGAGAACAUUGUCUGUACAAUUUUGAAUGUAGACAGAAAAUCAAAAGACAAUCUUCAGAGUCGACUUGAUUUAGUUCAGAUGGGAAUUCGACCUGAUCUUCAUCCGAAUCCACUUUCGAAUGGUAAAUAUCGGUUGCCGCCUUCUAUUUUCUCAAUGUCGAAGACAGAGAAAGAAGUGUUCUGCAUGGUGUUGAAGGAUAUAAAGGUUCCAGAUGCGUAUGCAUCAAAUAUAUCUCGAUGUGUUAGUGUUAAAGAUCGAAGACUAUAUUCGCUAAAAUCACAUGACUAUCACAUCUUGAUGCAAGAUUUACUGCCAGUUGCUCUACGAUGUUGUAUUUCGAAGAAGGUAACGUCUUGUAUAAUUGAACUAUCCAAUAUAAUGAAAGCCAUUUGUGGCAAAGUUUUGGAUGUUCAAGAACUUCAGAAGGUACAGGACCGAGCCGCUUUAACUUUAUGCAACAUGGAGAAAAUCUUCCCACCUUCCUUCUUCACUAUUAUGGUUCACUUGAUAAUCCAUCUCCCGCAUGAAGCAAUUCUUGGCGGACCCGUUUUCUAUCGAUGGAUGUAUCCCAUAGAAAGGUGUUAAUUACAAUUUUUAAAAUUUUCCUUCAUUCACCUAUAUGCCUUUAGUUAUAACUUUUGAUAAUGUUGUAUAUCGUGUUUAGGUUCCUAUCCAAAUUAAAGUCUUAUUGCCGCAACAAGCGUUAUCCAGAAGGAUCGAUUGCUGAAGGCUACUUGGCAGAGGAAUGUAUGACCUUCUGUUCAAGAUAUUUGGAAGAUAUUGAAAUAAGGUUGAACAGACCAAAUAGAAAUGCUGGACUCACGGAUCAUAACUUGGCCGAUAAUUAUUUGUUCCAAAGUUUUGGAGAACCAAUCGGUAAAGUUGAAAUUACAGAAUUAGAUGAUUUAUCGUGGGUACAAGCACAUCGAUAUGUUCUAUUUCACCACGAAUCAAUGGAACCUUUACGCAAGUAAGUUCUAGAAAUUUGACCCAUUUUCUAUCAACUUAAAAUUGUGCGUGAGUCUAACAAACUGAACAUAUUUUACACAUAGUGAGUACAAACAAAUAUUGAGAUCUCGUUCGCGCUCCCGAAGAACACAACAUCGAGAUAUCAAUAAGUUGUUUACAGAAUCUUUUCAUGAAUGGUUAAGCCAAACGGUAUGUAAUUGGAGCUUUCACUGACAAAUAAUAAUAUUUACUCAAAACAUUUUUAAUUACUCAGUUUACUUUCCAUUCAAUAGGUUUGGAGUGGGAAGAACGUCACCGAUGAAGUUAAAUGGCUUUCCCAAGGUCCAAAUCGGGUGGUUAAAAGAUAUAGUGCGUUCCUCAUCAACGGAUUCAGAUUUCAUACAAAAUAUCGUGAGAGAUUGAGGAGAACGCAAAAUUGUGGAAUAGUUGUUAAUUCCUCAAUUACAAGUUAUGCUAGUGCUAGGGACAAUAAUCCUGUGGAGGGAAAUGUGGAAUAUUUUGGACUUCUUGCCGACAUAAUUGAGUUGGAUUACUACGGCAAAUGGAAAGUUGUCUUAUUUCGAGGUGAUUGGGCCGAUGUUAAUACUGCACGUGGAAUUAAGCAAGAUCAAUUUGGUUUCCUAAUGGUAAACUUUGCUCGAUUGAUUCACACAAGACAACAAUUGAUUGAUGAGCCGUAUGUAUUUUCUUCUCAAGUCAAACAAGUUUUUUACUCAAAAGAUCCAACUGAUGAGGGUUGGUAUGUUGUACUCCGUAACAUCCCUAGAGACUUGUUUGACAUGGGCAGUGGAAGUAGAGAUGGCAUUGACGACAGAACACAAACUUUGCCAUUUCCAGAACAGAACUUAAACGAAAACAUCCCUAGUACUAGUACACAAUUUCAAUGGGUCCGCCAGGAUACGGAUGAAGUUAUUUACGAAUUAUAAAAUGUAGUAAGCUUUUACGAUUAUCUAAUUAUAUUUACGGAUGAAUAUAUUUCAACUAUUUUAUAUGUGACCCAAUUGUUGUAAUUGUAUACUAAGUUUUCAACUAAUUUAUUUGUAUUGCAGAGAAAAUGCCUAGAAGAAAAGUACGAGAGCACCGCAUUGUUCAAGGUACUCCAAACUCCGAGGAAACAAACAGCACUGAACAACAGACUGCUAUUGGAUCUUCGAAUGUUCCGGUUACACCUGAGGAACCUAUAGAAGUUCAAAGUAAUUUAACAUUUAAUUUACAUGUGUGUUUACUUCUUGUUUGUUUUUUUUUAAUUUCGUAUAUUACAAUACUUUUAUUUUUCAGAUGAAACUGGUGGGACGCGGAAAGGUCGCGGACGUACGGUACUGAGCGAUUUAUACGAGCUAGAUCCAGUCGAGUGUGUCCAAGUAUCCAGUAAUAGCUUUGGUCAGCCUGUUGGAUCAGAAGCUCGCCUUUUAGUAGGAUACAUGGGCAUUCUAGCACGAAAUGCAAAUAUGUUGCCAAUUAACUUUGAGUCAUGGCAUAAAGUGCCCGAGAGUAACAAGAACCAAGCUCUCGAUAACAUUAAGGUAACAAAACGUGUAUGUCAUUUAUAAUACUUGGGUUUAAGUUUCGUUUACAUUUACUUUCUUAAGUUGUGUUUUUUGUAGACGAGAUUUGCUCUAGAGGUCUUUGAUGCUUAUGUAAAGAAGGCAUUGGGAAAAAGAUGGAGAGACCAUAAGAGCACUUUAAAGAAAGACUAUUUUAAGACAAAAACAACACUCGGUGAGAGAUUACAAAAUGUCCCGCCGGGAAUGCUGAGGUACCAGUGGGAAGAGGUCGUUAGAUUUUGGACUUCGAAGAAAGGAGAGGUAUGUGUAACUUAUAAAAUUUUGUAAUUAUUUUAGUGUAUAGUAUUUACUAAUUAACAUACUAAUAAUUUCAUAAUGUAGGAUCAUGGACGAGUUGGAAGAAAUAGUAGGCAGAAACAAAAAUUCACUCACACAACUGGGUCGAAAAGUUUUGCGUGUGUAGCUCAUGCAGAGGUAUUUUGAAUUUUUUAAUAUUGGCAGAUAUUUAUUACUUUCUAUCAAUUAAUAUUUUUACUAUUGUAUUGUAGGAACUGUCGUCCGGUCAAAAAGUUGGACGCCUUCAACUUUUUGACAUUACACAUAGGAAGAAAGAUGGAAACCCUAUGACUCCUGAAGCUACAGAAAUUAUGGUACGUUUGCUUAAUACAAUUUCACUUGUUUUAAUUAUUUAUAGUGUUUAUUUUCUAAUGGUUUAUUUCAUUUAUUGUAAUGCAAAUAUUGUUAAGUUAUGUUGCAUUGGGUUUUUUUAAUAUAUAUUGCCCUAACUAUGUGAUUUAUUUUUUAGGAAAAAUUGGAGGAUAAAAAGGCGGAGUACGAAGCGAUUGCUUCCAGUGAUAGCUCUGUCCAUAUUGACGAUAUUGAUAACCGGAUUAUCACUGAAGUUUUGGGUCCUGAAAGGUAUGGUCGGGUUCGAUUUCAAGGAUCUUUUGUUAACCCAUCCCAAUAUUUUGGAUCUAGCUCGCAACAAUAUAUGCCUUUGGGGAGUCGAGCUGAAGCUGAAGUUCAGAGGUUAAGAGACCAGAUGACUCAAAUGCAAGCGACAACAACUGAGCAAAUUACACAACUUAAAGCGGAGGCAACAUCGAGAGAAGCUGAGGUUCAAAAAAGAUAUGAAGAACUCCAGCUACAACUUAAAGCGGAUGCAGCAGCGAGAGAAGCCGAGGUUCAAAAAAAGUAUGAAGAACUCCAGCAACAGCUUAAAGCAGAUGCGGCAGCGAGAGAAGCAGAGGCUGCAACGAGGGAAGCAGAGGCUAAAGCGAGGGAAGUAGAAGCUGCAACGAGGGAAGCAGAGCAGCGUAAAAAGUUCGAUGAACUCCAGCAGCAGCUUCAGAGUAUGAUGAAGAUGUUUCAGCAGUCGCAACAGCCGCCGUCUUAGACUAUCGUGUAAAUAUAUUUACAUUUUGACAUUUAAUUAUCAUUUUAACUUUUAACAUUUUUGUAAGAAUAAUGCGAAUUAUUCUUUAUUUAAUGUUAUUUAUUAUAUUAUUUGUUUAAUAUAUAGAUUUAUUACUUUUGGCUGGUUUAGAUAUGAUUUCUUCUAAUUUGUUUUUACAGGAGGGCUGAAAAUAUAAAAAAAAUUAUUUUACAAAUCUGCCAAAAUUAGUGGCGUUUUUUAAAAAAAUGCCACUAAAGAGAAGGGUCUUUAGCGGCGUUUGUGUAGAAAGCGCCGCUAAAGAUAAAGGUCAUUUACGGCGUUUUUGGAGAAAGCGCCGCUAAAGAAAGGGGUCUUUUUGCGGCGUUUCUGGAGAAAGCGCCGCUAAAGACUAGGUUCUUUAGCGGCGUUUGUGAAAAAAGCGCCGCUAAAGAUCAGGUUCUUUAUCGGCGUUUGUGAAAAAAGCGCCGCUAAAGGUCCUCGUCUUUAGCGGCAUUUUUAGUAAAAAACGCCGCUAAAGUUAGCGACGCCUUCUUUAGCGGCGUUUUUCCUGGCGCUUCUAAAAGCGCCGCUAAAAGUAUUUGCGGCGCUAAAAAGCGUCGCUAAAGGCUUAAAAAAGCACCGCUAAAAGCCUGUUUUGGUGUAGUGGAUGGUUUAUAUAUAUAUAGUUUUUAUAUAUAUUAAAUGUAAAGUAAAAUAAUAAUAUUAUAAUAUAAUGCUAAUAAAAUAAAACAUAAAAUAAAUGAAUCAUGCAUUAUUUUCAUCCAUAGCCGAAACAUCAAAAGAAAAAGUAAGAAAAGAAGAAAGCUAGGUUCGGCCAUUUUGUCCUUUGAUUUAGGUAUGUGUUUUGUUCGGUUUUUGAUCAUUUUUAUGUUUUUGAGAUCGUUGCUUUGAAUACUUCAAAACCCAUGUCUUAAUUUUGUGAAUUGUUGAUGAUUUUGAAAUGUGCCAUUGAUGAAUGUUUGAGUUUCAUGAUGUUAGUUGAUGAAAUAUGAAAUAUAAGUGUUAGAUUAACAUGUUUUGUCUUUGAAUUUUUGGUGAAUUUCAGUAAUUAGGGCUAAAUGGAGAAAAUAAAUUUUUCAAUGACUAUAAUGUGAAAUAAAUAAAAUGCAUGAGCUUGUAUAGACACUAGGAAUAUUCGGCCCUUAAGGAGUGUAGUCAAAAUUUGUGUAUUUUGUGUUUUGAGCAAAAAGGAUUAAAUUGUAAAAAGUGUGAAAUGUUAGGGGCAAAAUUGUAAUUUUCCCAUUUAUAUGUUCUUAGACUAAAUUGAAUGAAAAUAUGUUUAAAUGAGAUUUAUUUGAAUAUGUUUAGAUCAAGAAACCAAGAAAUCGGAUUUAAAUCGGGGGAAAUCGAAAGUAGUUGAGUAGCCGAUCUAUUAGUCGAUGGCAUCCGAGGUAAGUUAUUAAGCAUAUAUAUAAUUGUAUCGUUUUAAAAUCAGCUUAGUAUCUAAGUAAAUAUGCUGAAUUGAAUAGUAUAUAUAUAUGUAGUGAUAAAAUUAUUGAAAUAAGAUGUAUUGAGUUGUUGACUUCCGACACUAAGUGUGCGAAUUUAAUUGUAAAGCACUAAGUGUGCGAGUUUAAUUGUAAAGCACUAAGUGUACGAGUUUAAUGGCAAAGCACUAAGUGUGCGAGUUUGAUUAUUGAGCACUAAGUGUGCGAACUUAUUAAAUAUUUUCGAAUAACUAUUAGUAUUGAGUAUUUGUCUUAUUGAGAAAUCAUGAUUAUUAAAAUGAGUAAAUACUUGGAAUUCUUGAGUAAUAACCAUUAUGGUUGUAUUUACGGUUAAGCUUUGUAGAUAUUAAACCUAUGUGGUGAUUAUAUUUGGAAUCAUAUAUAUAUAAUAUGAUUCUUUAUAUUACAUGAUGAGGAAAUGCAUAAUGUAUAUGGUCUUGUGUUUAAAUUUGAAGAAAUGUUUAUGGUUGUGUAAUUAUAUUGAUUUUAGUUAAAUCAUAGUAAUAAGUGAAUAAUUAUCUUAUGAUAGGGUAAGCUAAAGGUAAGAUGAUUUAGUAGUAUGAAUUGGUUGAAUAUUAUUUGAGAUAUCGGUUUAAAUAGUAGAGUUUAUUUGAUUAUAACUUACUAAGCUAAAUUAGCUUACAAUGUGUUGGAUAAUUGUUUUGAUGUAUAGAUUUUGGUGAUCGCUACGUGUUAGGGGAUCAUCAGCUAAGUUCGUCACACUAUCGAUAAUUUCUUUUGGUAUUUUGCUAAAUCGUUCUCAAAUAUAUGGCAUGUAUAGCAUAGUUAAAAUAUUGAUUUUGGAACCAAUGUGUAUAUGAAUUUAAAAGCCAUGCGAAAAUGGCUUAUCUCUUUUGGUUUGAAUUCGGUAUUAAUGCAUGUGCUUUAAUGGUCCAAAAUGUGGUAUAUGUUCAUGUAAUUUUUAUGCUUAAAUGCUAUCCAAUUUGUUGUAUUUAUGCUGCCCAAAUUGUUGUAUAUAUGCUGUCCAAUCUUGAUGUAAAAAUGCUGCUCAAUUUGGUAUAUAUAUGCUGCCCAAAUUGUUGCACAUAUGCUGUCAAAUUUUUAUGCUAAAAUGCUGUCCAAUUUGUUGUAUUUAUGCUGCCCAAAUUGGUGCAUAUUUGCUCUCAAAUUUUUAUGCUAAAAUGAUGUCCAAUUUGUUGUAUUUAUGCUGCCCAAAUUGUUGCAUAUAUGCUGUCCAAUUUUUAUGCUUAAAUGCUGCCCAAUUUGUUGUAUUUAUGCUACCCAAAUUGUUGUAUAUAUGCUGUCCAAUUUUGAUGUAAAAAUGCUGUUAAAUUUGGUAUAUAUAUAGGCUGCCCAAAUUGUUGUAUAUAUGCUGUCCAAUUUUUAUGCUAAAAUGCUGCUCAAUUUGAUUGAUAUAUGUUGCCCAAAUUGUUGUAUAUAUGCUGUCCAAUUUUUGGUGUGAAAAUGCUAUCUAGUUUGGUAUAUGAAUGCUGCCCAAAUUGAUGUAAAAAGGCUGUCCAAACAGGGUAGACUACCUAUGUUGUAAUAUAUAGUAUAGUUAGUAAAUUGAAAUGAAAUAUGUGUUCAAAUAAAUGUUUGGUUAUAUGUUUGAUUUAUGAUAUAUAAUCAUAUAUGUUUGGAAAUGUUUUAAGAAUUGGAAUGAUAUUAAAAUUUGAUUAUGUAAAUGAUAAUGAUAUGGUUGAAUUUUUGAAACAUGGUUAGUAUAUGAAAUUUGAUUAAUGAUGCAUGUUGAUUUUAAUUGGUUAUGUGAUUAUAUAUAUAUGGAAUUAAAUUUUGUGGCUGAGUUGGUAUAAUUUAUGAAAAAAAAAAUUUGAGUUGGGUUUUUGACCGGUAAUGCCUCGUAACUCAAAUCCGGCGACGGACAUGGGUCGGGGUGUUACAUUUGAUUGGUAUCAGAGCUACGGUUUAGUCGAUUCUAGGACUGACGUAGUGCGUAUGAGUCUAGCUAUACAUGCCAUAUUUUAUAUUGAGAUAGUGUGAUGACUUCUGACAUCUACAAAUGUGUUUUCGUAUAGUAAUGGAUCCCGAUCGAACUGUAGCGGAUGAUGUCGAGAGUGUAGCACCUACUCCCAUGCCAGAGACGGAGUCGGUUGAUUCUCGACCGAAUACGAGCAACCAUGGUGAUGAGACUAAAGAAGCCUUCUAUACUAUGAUGAAUGAAUGGUUUACACAAUAUAUCCGGACAAAUCCGGCUGUUCAACAACCUCUGACCCCGAUUAACCCACUUCCGAUGCCUGUGGUACCUCCGACUAUCGAUCCUAUGAGAUUGAAUAAACCUCCUGUUGAUAAGAUAAGAAAAUAUGGAGCUGAAGAAUUUAGGGCCACAGUUAGUGAUGAUGCGGAACGGGCUAAAUUUUGGCUCGAUAAUACCAUUCGUGUCUUCGAUGAAUUAUCCUGUACACCUGAUGAGUGCCUGAAAUAUGCGAUAUCUUUGUUACGAGAUUCAGCUUACUAUUGGUGGAACACUCUAGUUUCGAUUGUUCCGAAAGAGUGUGUCACUUGGGAUUUCUUUCAGACAGAAUUUUGCAAAAAGUAUAUCAUUCAACGAUUCAUUGAUCAGAAACGCAAAGAAUUUCUCGAGCUAAAGUAGGGUCGUAUGACUGUAUCUGAUUAUGAGCGCGAGUUUGUGAGACUCAGUCGAUAUGCCCGAGGAAUGUGUUGCGACUGAGACUACUAUGUGUAAAAGAUUCGAGGCAGGGCUGAAUGAAGACAUAAAAUUGCUUGUCGACAUACUCGAAAUAAAAGAGUUCGUAGUACUCGUCGAUCGAGCUUGCAAGGCUGAAGAACUCGGCAAAGAGAAAAGAAAAGCUGAGUUUGAAGUUAGUGAUUUUCGCAAGAGAUCAGUGAGUAGAACUUUUCAGACGGCAACAAAGAAGUUCAGAGAUGUUAGUAGCUGAUCUAAGGCUACUGCCGAGCUUUCUAUACAAGAACGACCACCAAUGAGUUCAAGAGGCACCUUAGUUGCUAGUGUUGGUAAUACCUGACUAAAUAAACCUGAGUGUCAGCAGUGGGGUAAGAGACAUGUUGGUGAGUGUUGGGGCAAGUACAACAAUCGAGUUUGCUAUAAAUGUGGGUCGAAAGAUCAUUUUAUUCGGGAGUGCCCAGAGUUUACGGAUCGAAAUUUGACUCAGAAUACGAGAUCGGGCAACACAGCAGCUCGGGGUAGACCACCUAGGAACACGGGUAAUGUGAGUGCCAGUCAGAGAGGUACUAAAGAUACGGCCGUUAGAUUUGAGGCUUGCGCACCUGCCAGAACCUAUGCCAUUCACGCACGUGAGGAGGCUUCAUCCCCAGACGUUAUUAAUGGUACUUUCACUCUCUAUGAUACUAAUGUUAUUGCACUGAUUGAUCCUGGUUCGACUCAUUCAUAUGUGUGUGAAACUUUAGCAUUCAGUAAGACUUUGCCUGUUGAGUCUACUGAAUUUGUGAUUAGAGUAUCAAACCCCUUGGGUCGGUGUAUGUUGGUUGACAAAGUGUGUAAGAAUUGUCCAUUGAUGAUUCGAUAUUUAUGUUUUACGGCUGAUUUGAUGUUGUUGCCAUUUGACAAGUUCGAUAUAAUUUUGGGUAUGGACUGGUUGACUUUACACGAUGCUAUGGUUAAUUGCAAAAGGAAGACUAUUAAUUUAAUAUGCCUAAAUGACGAGAUUAUUCGGAUUGAAUCUAAUGAUCUGAAUGGUUUAUCGGCAGUGAUAUCCUCUAUGUUGGCUCAGAAGUAUGUGAGAAAAGGUUGUGAAGCUUAUCUUGCAUAUGUUCUUGAUAGUAAAGUGAUAGAAAAGAAGAUUGAAUCAGUACCUAUUGUAUGUGAGUAUCCAUAUGUGUUCCCUAAAGAAUUACCGGGUUUGCCACCUAUUCGAGAAGUUGAGUUUGGGGUUGAAUUAGUAUCAGGGACAACUCCGAUUUUGAUAGCUCCAUACAGGAUGGCACCUACAGAAUUAAAAGAGUUGAAAGCGCAGUUACAAGAGCUGACAGAUAGAGGUUUUGUACGACCGAGUUUUUCUCCUUGGGGGCACCAGUUCUAUUUGUGAGAAAGAAAGACGGAACGAUGAGAAUGUGCAUUGAUUAUCGGCAACUCAAUAAGGUGACUAUAAAGAAUAAGUAUCAGUUACCACGAAUUGAUGAUUUGUUUGAUCAGUUGAAAGAGGCUACUGUGUUCUCGAAGAUAGAUUUGAGAUCAGGCUACUAUCAGUUGCGAGUUAAAGACUCUGAUGUGCCAAAGACUGCCUUCCGAAUGAGGUACGGACAUUAUGAGUUUCUUGUUAUGCCUUUUGGACUUACUAAUGCACCUGCUGUUUUCAUGGAUUUGAUGAAUCGGAUCUUUAGACAGUAUCUAGAUCAGUUUGUAGUAGUAUUCAUAGAUGAUAUUCUAAUCUACUCCCGUGAUGAGGUAGAGCAUGUCGAACAUUUGAGACUUGUGUUACAGACUUUACGAGAUAAACAGUUGUAUGUAAAAUUUAGUAAAUGUGAGUUUUGGUUGCGUGAAGUCAGUUUCUUGGGCCAUGUUAUAUCGGCAUCAGGUAUUCAGGUUGAUUCAAGCAAGAUUUCGGCUAUACUUGAUUGGAAACCUCCGAGAAAUGUUUCAGAAGUUUGAAGUUUUCUGGGACUUGCCGAUUAUUAUAGACGGUUCGUAAAAGGAUUCUCUAUGAUUGUGACCCCGAUGACAAAGCUACUACAGAAAGACGUUAAGUUUGAGUGGUCAGAAAAGUGCCAGAAAAGUUUCGAUCAGUUGAAAGCUCUUUUGACCGAAGCUCCAGUAUUAGUUCAGCCAGAAUCGGGUAAAGAGUUUGUUAUCUAUAGUGAUGCAUCUUUAAAUGGUUUGGGCUGUGUUUUGAUGCAGGAAGGCAAAGUUGUAGCCUAUGCCUCGAGACAGUUAAAUCCGCAUGAAAAGAACUAUCCGACGCACCAUUUGGAAUUGGCCGCUAUUGUAUUUGCAUUGAAAAUAUGGCGCCACUAUCUGUUUGGCAAAAAAUGUCAUGUUUAUUCCGAUCACAAAAGCCUGAAGUACUUGAUGACUCAGAAAGAUCUGAAUUUGAGACAGCGCCAAUGGUUAGAAUUGCUAAAAGAUUACGAGCUUGUGAUUGACUAUCAUCCGGGAAAGGCUAAUGUUGUUGCUGAUGCCCUAAGUCGAAAAUUACUAUUUGCUUUGCUUGCAAUGAACACACAUAUGAUUAUAUUUGAUGAUGGUGCGAUAGUAGCUGAAUUGAAAGCAAAAUCGUUACUUGUUCAACAGAUUUGUGAAGCUCAGAAAGCUGAUGAUGAUUUAAUUGCAAAACGAGCUCAGUGUGACUUAAAUGUUGAUUCAGAGUUUCUAGUUGAUGCUGAGGAUUGUUUGAGAUUCAGAAACCGAUUAUGUGUUCCAAGAAAUUCAAAGUUAAUUCAGGUGAUUUUGAAUGAAGCUCAUAAUAGUCGAUUUUCUGUUCAUCCGUGUAGUACGAAAAUGUAUAACGAUCUGAAACAGCACUAUUGGUGGCAUGGUAUGAAACGAGACAUUUCUGACUUUGUUUCGAAAUGUUUAAUUUAUCAGCAAGUUAAAGCCGAGCAUCAGGUACCAUCUGGGUUGCUUCAGCCGAUCAUGAUACCUGAAUGGAAAUGGGAUCGAGUCACGAUGGAUUUUGUAUCCGGUUUACCGUUGACACCGAGCAAGAAAGAUGCAAUCUGGGUUAUUGUUGAUAGGUUGACAAAUUUGACACACUUUAUUCCGAUUCGCAUAGAUUUUUCGCUCGAUAAACUUGCGAAAUUGUAUGUUUCACAAAUUGUGAGGUUGCAUGGUGUACCUAUUUCUAUUGUUCCGGACAGAGACCCGAGAUUCACAUCGCGGUUUUGGAAGAAAUUACAAGAUGCUUUAGGUACGAAACUACAUUUUAGCACAGCUUUCCAUCCGCAAACAGAUGGUCAAUCCGAGCGAAUCAUUCAGAUACUUGAGGAUAUGUUGAGAUGUUGUAUUCUUGAGUUUGAAGGUACGUGGAAACGAUACUUACCUUUGAUUGAAUUUUCUUAUAAUAAUAGCUUUCAAUCUAGUAUCAAACUGGCACCUUACGAGGCUUUGUACGGUCGUAAAUGUCGUACUCCAUUGUAUUGGACUGAGCUCAGUGAAAAUAAGAUACACGGGGUUGAUUUGAUUAAAGAGACUGAACAGAAAGUGAAAGUGAUUCGGGACAGUCUGAAAUCAGCAUCGGAUCGUCAGAAAUCCUAUGCGAAUUUGAAAAGAAAGGAUAUAGAAUUUUAGAUCGGGGACAAAGUGUUUUUGAAAGUCUCGCCAUGGAAGAAAAUACUCAGAUUUGGUCGCAAAGGUAAAUUAAGUCCGAGAUUCAUUGGACCGUAUGAGAUUAUAGAGCGUAUCAGGCCAGUUGCUUAUAAAUUGUUGUUGCUAUCUGAGCUAGAAAAGAUUCACAAUGUAUUCCAUGUUUCGAUGCUUCGUAGAUACAGAUCCGAUCCUUCGCAUGUGAUUAGUCCGACCGAGAUUGAAAUUAACUCUGAUAUGUCAUAUGAAGAAUAACCGAUUAGCAUUCUGGCUCGUGAGGUUAAAGAAUUAAGAAAUAAAAAAAUUUCGUUAGUCAAAGUACUUUGGCAUAAACAUGGACUUGAAGAAGCAACUUGGGAGUUAGAAGAUAUAAUGAAAGAACGUUAUCCAAACCUAUUCACCGGUAAGAUUUUCGGGAACAAAAAUCCUUAAGGGGGGAGAGUUAUAACAGCCCAAUUUUGACCCUAAUCGGAAUAGUGGUUUCGGGACUACAAAUCCAAGUCUAUAAAAAAUAUAAAAUAAAAAAAUAUUUUAAUAUUAUUUUGUGUGUUUAUGAUGUGUGAAUUUACAUGUGUGAAAGUUUCAUGAAAUAAUUUUAUUGUUUGUGUGCUUAAUUUGAGAAAAUGCUUAAUAGCGUAAAAUAAAAAAAUUUGAUGGUUAAAUAUGAAAGUGCCUAAUUUUUGUCAUCUUUAUAAUUUGGAGGUUUUAUGUUGUAAUUUAGCCAAUAGUAAAUGUAGUGGACGGCAUGAUGGUUUAUAUAUAUAUAGUUUUUAUAUAUAUUAGAUGUAAAAGUAAAAUAAUAUUAUUAUAAUAUAAUGCUAAUAAAAUAUAACAUAAAAUAAAUGAAUCAUGUAUUAUUUUCAUCCAUAGCCGAAACAUCAAAAGAAAAAGUAAGAAAAGAAGAAAGCUAGGUUCGGCCAUUUUGUCCUUUGAUUUAGGUAUGUGUUUUGUUCGGUUUUUGAUCAUUUUUAUGUUUUUGAGAUCGUUGCUUUGAAUACUUCAAAACCCAUGUCUUAAUUUUGUGAAUUGUUGAUGAUUUUGAAAUGUGCCAUUGAUGAAUGUUUGAGUUUCAUGAUGUUAGUUGACGAAAUAUGAAAUAUAAGUGUUAGAUUAACAUGUUUUGUCUUUGAAUUUUUGGUGAAUUUGAGUAAUUAGGGCUAAAUGGAGAAAAUAAAUUUUUCAAGGACUAUAAUGUGAAAUAAAUAAAAUAUAUGAGCUUGUAUAGACACUAGGAAUAUUCGGCCCUUAAGGAGUGUAGUCAAAAUUUGUGUAUUUUGUGUUUUGAGCAAAAAUGAUUAAAUUGUAAAAAGUGUGAAAUGUUAGGGGCAAACUUGUAAUUCUCCCAUUUAUAUGUUCUUAGACUAAAUUGAAUGAAAAUAUGUUUAAAUGAGAUUUAUUUGAAUAUGUUUAGAUCAAGAAACCAAGAAAUCAAAUUUAGAUCGGGGGAAAUCGAAAGUAGUUGAGUAGCCGAUCUAUUAGUCGACGACAUCCGAGGUAAGUUAUUAAGCAGAUAUAUAAUUGUAUCGUUUUAAAAUCAGCUUAGUAUCUAAGUAAAUAUGCUGAAUUGAAUGGUAUGUAUAUAUAUACAUGUAGUGAUAAAAUUAUUGAAAUAAGAUGUAUUGAGUUGUUGACUUUCGACACUAAGUGUGCGUAUUUAAUUGUAAAGCACUAAGUGUGCUAGUUUAAUUGUAAAGCACUAAGUGUACGAGUUUAAUGGCAAAGCACUAAGUGUGCGAGUUUGAUUAUUGAGCACUAAGUGUGCGAACUUAUUAAAUAUUUUCGAAUAACUAUUAGUAUUGAGUAUUUGUCUUAUUGAGAAAUCAUGAUUAUUAAAAUGAGUAAAUACUUGGAAUCCUUGAGUAAUAACCAUUAUGGUUGUAUUUACGGUUAAGCUUUGUAGAUAUUAAACCUAUGUGGUGAUUAUAUUUGGAAUCAUAUAUAUAUAAUAUGAUUCUUUAUAUUACAAGAUGAGGAAAUGCAUAAUGUAUAUGGUCUUGUUUUUAAAUUUGAAGAAAUGUUUAUGGUUGUGUAAUUAUAUUGAUUUUAGUUAAAUCAUAGUAAUAAGUGAAUAAUUAUCUUAUGAUAGGGUAAGCUAAAGGUAAGAUGAUUUAGUAAUAUGAAUUGGUUGAAUAUUAUUUGAGAUAUCGGUUUAAAUAGUAGAGUUUAUUUGCUUAUAAUUAGCUUACAAUGUGUUGGAUAAUUGUUUUGAUGUAUAGAUUUUGGUGAUCGCUACGUGUUCGGGGAUCGUCAGCUAAGUUCGUCACACUAUCGAUAAUUUCUUUUGGUAUUUUGCUAAAUCGUUCUCAAAUAUAUGGCAUGUAUAGCAUGGUUAAAAUAUUGAUUUUGGAACCAAUGUGUAUAUGAAUUUAAAAGCCACGCGAAAAUGGCUUAUCUCUUUUGGUUUGAAUUCGGUAUUAAUGCAUGUGCUUUAAUGGUCCAAAAUGUGGUAUAUGUUCAUGUAAUUUUUAUGCUUAAAUGCUGUCCAAUUUGUUGUAUUUAUGCUGCCCAAAUUGUUGCAUAUAUGCUGUCCAAUUUUGAUGUAAAAAUGCUGCUCAAUUUGGUAUAUAUAUGCUGCCCAAAUUGUUGCACAUAUGCUGUCAAAUUUUUAUGCUAAAAUGCUGUCCAAUUUGUUGUAUUUAUGCUGCCCAAAUUGGUGCAUAUAUGCUGUCAAAUUUUUAUGCUAAAAUGCUGUCCAAUUUGUUAUAUUUAUGCUGCCCAAAUUGUUGCAUAUAUGCUGUCCAAUUUUUAUGCUUAAAUGCUGCCCAAUUUGUUGUAUUUAUGCUACCCAAACUGUUGUAUAUAUGCUGUCCAAUUUUGAUGUAAAAAUGCUGCUCAAUUUGGUAUAUAUAUAGGCUGCCCAAAUUGUUGUAUAUAUGCUGUCCAAUUUUUAUGCUAAAAUGCUGUUCAAUUUGAUUGAUAUAUGCUGCCCAAAUUGUUGUAUAUAUGCUGUCCAAUUUUUGGUGUGAAAAUGCUGUCUAGUUUGGUAUAUGAAUGCUAUCCAAAUUGAUGUAAAAAGGCUGUCCAAACAGGGUAGACUACCUAUGUUGUAAUAUGUAGUAUAGUUAGUAAAUUGAAAUGAAAUAUGUGUUCAAAUAAAUGUUUGGUUAUAUGUUUGAUUUAUGAUAUAUAAUCAUAUAUGUUUGGAAAUGUUUUAAGAAUUGGAAUGAUAUUAAAUUUUCAUUAGGUAAAUGAUAAUGAUAUGGUUGAAUUUUUGAAACAUGGUUAGUAUAUGAAAUUUGAUUAAUGAUGCAUGUUGAUUUUAAUUGGUUAUGUGAUUAUAUAUAUAUGGAAUGAAAUUUUGUGGUUGAGUUGGUAUAAUUUAUGAAAAAAAAAAUUCUGAGUUGGGUUUUUGACCGGUAAUGCCUCGUAACUCAAAUCCGACGACGGACACGGGUCGGGGUGUUACAUUAUUUGAGCAAAUUUCUUUCACCUAUAUUGAAACAUAUCAUACCAUCACGAACCUAUUCACAGUAAUUCAACCUUAAGUGAUUACAAUACUAACAUAUACAUUUACCUUCACUAAUGAAUAUCCAAAUUCACGUACACAUCAAAUACUAACUUUCAAAUUAUUUCUAAUAUAAAAUUUCCUCAAAUUAUAACACCAAAACAAAACCAUCAAUCAAACAAACAUAAAAAAUGCCUAUUCUUGCAUUGGACAACCGAACUUAUAUAAUCAAAAUUCCAACAAAUAUAUAUAUAUCAUUUUUACAUUACUAAACUAAAUUAUACAAAUAUCCACCAUUCAAUAUUUGUUCCACAACUCAUAUUUCCAAAAUUAGCUAACUAUCAAACCAACUUUUUAAUCUACCUAUCAACUCUCCAUUCCGAUUUAUAAUCAACAUCUCAAUCAUAUAUAUAUAAAUAAAUAGCCUACUUUCAUAAUAGUAUCAAGUUCUAGCCAUAUAUGCACAAACUUUAACAUUAUUACCAAACUAUAUAACCAAACACCAUAUAUAUAUAUAUACCAUGAAAUCUACAUCUAUAAUAAACUAUUGCCAUGACUGGAUAUGCAUAACAUUAAUAUCAAAAUUAAGCCAUUUUUCGCAUGACUAAAUAUCUACAAUUCAAAACCAAGCUGUUAAGUAUGACUCCUAUUUUCAGUCAAAUUUGAGAAAUAAUCUUCUAGUUAAACUCUGUUUAUUUGUUUCAAUCAAACACUGAUUAGUUUAGAUUAUUUUAUUAUUACUAGAUAUAUGAAUUUAACCUAUAAAUAGGCUCUUUUACAACCUUAGAAAAAACCCCAUUUAGAGAUUAGAACUCAUAACACAUUGAGAGAAUUUUGUGUUUACGUUUUGAAGGUUCUUUGUUUUUUCGAGGUUUGGGGUUUAGUUUUAUCUUCAUCUUUUGUACUCUUCGUUCUUUUACCAUUAUAGUAAAUUUAACUUUGCCCGUGAUUUUUUAUCCUCUUUGGAAGGGUUUUUCCACAUUAAAUUUGUGUGUUCAAUUUCUCAAUUUAUUCUGCUAUUUUUGUUACUUGUUGCUUAAUCGGGUCAAUCCCUAACAAGUGGUAUCAGAGCUAGUUCAAUUUUCAUAGAUUAGCCCAUUCAGAUAUGGCAACAACAAUGUUUGAAAUUGAAAAGUUCAAUGGUGAGACAAAUUUUAAUCUGUAGCAAGUUCGGGUGAUGGCAAUUCUAGUUCAAUCUGGUUUGAAAAAGGUUAUUAUCGGGAAAAAGCCUGAGAAUCUAAAUAAAACAGAAUGGGAAGAGCUUGAUGAAAAUGCCUUGUCUGCAAUCCAGUUGUGCCUCGCGAAUAUGGUAUUGCAGGAGGUAUUGAUGGAGAAGACCUCAUCUACCUUGUGGAAAAGGUUAUAAACUCUUUAUGUGACUAAGUCUCUAGCUAAUCGUUUAGUGUUGAAAUAACGUCUAUUUACGUUUCGCGUGAACGAAGGUGAGCUUCUUAGAGAUCACAUCAGUUAAUUCAUUACUCUUUUAAAUGAUUUAAAGAACGUUGAGGUUCAUAUUGAUGAUGAAGAUCAAGCUAUGCUAUUAUUGUGCUCUUUACCCCCUUCAUACAAGUCUUUCAGGGAGACCCUGAUUUAUGGUAGAGAUAAAAUCUUGUUUGAAGAUGUGAAGAGUCAUUUGUUGAGUAGAGACAAACUCGACAAUGAGCUUCAUUUGGAUAGCAAGGAAGAUAGGCAAGCUUUCGUUUUAAUAGCAUCAAAGAAACGAGACAAAAGGUGUCGCUAUUGUAAAAAGUUAGGUCACGUCAAAGCAGAUUGUUAUAAACUGCGAAAUAAAAGAGCUGUUGAGAGUAACGAGGAAGAUGUAGCUGGUGCUAAUUUGGCCGAUGAAAGCGGUGAUGAUUUCUUAUUAGUGUCAACGAGCGAUAACUCCAAGCUCAAGUCCAAGUGGAUUCUAGAUUCGGGAUGGUCUUUCCACAUGUGUCCCAAUAGAGAAUGGUUCUCCACAUACAGUUCAGUUGAAAGUGGAGUUGUGCGCAUGGGAAACGAUUCAUAUAGUAAGGUAAUUGGUAUUGGUACUGUUAAAAUUAGGAUACAUGAUGGGACGAUUAGGACACUUUCAUAUGUCAGGUAUGUACCUGAUUUAUGAAAGAAUCUCAUCUCCUUGAGUAUUUUAGACUUGAAAAGAUGCAGAAUCAACAUCGAGUCAAGCGACAUUAAAGUAUCUCAUGGAGCUCUCAUUUUGUUAAAAGGUAAAAGAACUGGCAGUCUUUAUAUUCUGGAAAGUUCUACAGUGAUCGGUAAAAUUGGACAUCCCUCGUCCGUUACAGAGUCGAAGUUAACUCGUUUGGAGCGGAGGAAACUUGGUCAUAGGAUGGAAAAAUGUAUGAUCGUUUCGUUGAAGAGAGGUUCUCUUUUGGAUGCAGGUUUUGAAAAGUUAGGGUACUGUGUUCGUGAAAAUCAGACCCGGGUUAGUUUUGAUUUGGUAGUGUACAAGUUGAAGGCUAGAAAUCUUCCAGUUUCUAAGCACAGAUUCGACACAGUUAAUUCCCUGUAUAGUUCAAGAUAGCCUCGUGGCGGGCUUUGUCAAAGAUGGCAUUGAAGAAAUAUGAGUCAAGGUGGAGAUUUGUUAAGUAUGACUCCUAUUUUCAGUCAAAUUUGAGAAAUAAUCUUCUAGUUAAACUCUGUUUAUUUGUUUCAAUCAAACACUGAUUAGUUUAGAUUAUUUUAUUAUUAUUUGACAUAUAAAUUUAACCUAUAAAUAGGCUCUUUUACGACCUUAGAAAAAAACCCCAUUUAGAGAUUAGAACUCAUAACACAUUUAGAGAAUUUUGUGUUUACGUUUUGAGGGUUCUUUGUUUUUUCGGGGUUUGGGGUUUAGUUUUAUCUCCAUCUUUUGUACUCUUCGUUCUUUUUCCAUUAUAGUAAAAUUAACUUUGCCCGUGGUUUUUUAUCCUCUUUGGAAGGGUUUUUCCACGUUAAAUGUGUGUUCAAUUUCCCAAUUUAUUCCGCUAUUUUUGUUACUUGUUGCUUAAUCGGGUCGAUCCCUAACACAAGCCUAUCAAGUAAGACUAUUCAUGCCAUAUGACAUAUAUACAAGUUUUCUUUCAAGGUACCAAAAUAGAUAGUGAUGGUGUGAUGAUGUUCCUCAACGAUCCUGAGCUCGAGCUAGCUUUCAAACAUCUAUAAAAUAACAAAUACACAUACAAAGUAAGCUUGGAAAGCUUAGUAAGUCAUAAGUAAUUAAAUUAACAAACGAACAUUAAUAUGAUUAUUUCAAGUAAGCCGAAUACUCCCAAUCUCAAACACAUGUAUUAUAAUCACAUUUAAACAAUUAGUUCACAAUAUCAUAUUAUACAACAACACCUACCUUUAUUAUCAAACAUUAUAUAAACUUAAACAUACCUGAAUCAUUUAAUUCGAACUCACAUUCGGUUUUACCGUACCAUUGCCCGUUGAACUGUUCGAAAUCAAAUAGGAUACUUAGAUAACUUGGAAAGCUCGUACAAUGCCAACGUCCCAGACGUGGACUUACAUGUAAUCAAAUAUCGAUGCCACUGUCCCAGACAGGGUCUUACGCGAAAUCAUAUACGAUGCCAAUGUCUCAGACAUGGUCUUACACGUAAAUCUCAAAUCGAACCAAUGUCCUAGACGUGGUCUUACACGAGAUCACAUCAAAUUCGGGGACGUUCGUACGGGGCUUUCAAACGUCGUAAUUCGAUCAAAUCGAGCUCGUAAUUAAUUCUCCCAUACUUAUAUCAAAUUCAGCAUUUACCCAAAUAUAUUUAAUAAAUCAAUUCAGCACUUAUAAUUUAUAUAUAUUCAAAAUUAACAGUAUUUAUUUACUUAUGAACUUACCUCGGACGAAGACGAACUGACCGGAACGACUAUUCGACAACUUUUGAUUUUCUUAGAUCCAACUCCGAUUUCUUCUUUUCUUGAUCUAAUAAAUUUAAAUUUGGCUAUUUAAUAACACAUUUCAUUCAAAUUUAUUCCAAAAACACAUAAAUGGACAAUUUACAUUUUAGCCCCUAACAUUUUACAUUUUUUUACAAUUUAGUCCCUAUUUCACAAAACACAAAAUACACAUACUUUAAAAAUAUCCUAGCUUGGCCGAAUAUCCCUAUAGCUCAUAUAAGCCCACAUAUUUCAUUUAUUUCACAUUUUAGCCCCUCAAUUUUUCAUUUUCACAAAUAAAUUCCUAAUUUGGAUUUUUAUAAAAAAUUACUUAAUAAAAUUUAAUAAUCUAUCAACAAAUAUUUAUUUUUCAUCAUCAAACAACAAAAACAACAAUUUCUCAUCAAUGGCAAUUCACAAAAUACACAACCAAUUCAAAAAUUAGGACACGGGCUAAUUAGAAUACGAAGCAACAAUCUCAAAAACAUGAAAAUUAUAAUAAUAAAAAAACCAAGCAAAAUACAUACCAAAUUUUAGCUUCCAAAGUGCCGAAUGCUUAAAACACAAAAUGUGUUCUUUGUUCUUCAACUUUCGGCAAAAACAAAGCCAAACGCAUGGCAUUUUGUGUUUUGUUUUAUUUAAUAUUAUGUUAUUUUCUAAUUACUAUUUUAACCUUAACUAAUUCAUUUAAAAAUCCACUAUCAUAUGUCCAUCAAAGUGCACUCAUACUUUCAUUGGUAUAAUAUCAACAUAAGGACCCCACAUUAGAAAAGCCAUAACAAUAAAGCACUUUAACAAAUAGCUAGCCACUUUUGCAUUUUACGCGAUUAAGUCUUUUUCCACAAUUCGGCACAAAAACGAUAGAAUUAAUUCACGAAAAUUUCACACAUGUCAAUUUACAUACUAUAAGCACAGAAAAUAAUAUUAAAAUAUUUUUCUGACUCGGAUUUGUGAACCCGAAACCACUGCUGACUAGGGUCAUAACCGGGCUGUUACAAUAUGUACAAGUGUUAUUCAUCAAAAUAAAUUAUGCGAAUUGCUCAUAGAUAUUUAAAGAAAAAAGUGGUCAUAUUUGUUCAAACAAAUGAAGACUAUUUAUGAAUUAUUGUAUUGGUGACAUAGAUUGUGUUUAGUAAUGCUUUUUAAAAGUACUUUUGAUAUGAAAAACACUUUUGAAGCAAAAAGAAUGCUAAACAAAAAAAAAAUUUUUGCUGAAAUUUUUGGCUUUUCAAAAUUCAAAAGUACUUUUGAAAAAAAAGAGGAGAAACUAAAAUUUUUAGUUUUUCUUCUCUCAAAAAAAAAAGGAGAAACUAAAAUUUUUAGUUUUUCUUCUCUCAAAAAUACUUUUAGUGCUUAAUUACUUUUUCACAUCUCCAAUAAUAUGAUACUUUCUCUUCUUCUUUUUUUCUCUAAUGCUUAAUUACAAAUAUGUUAAAAUUAUUAAUUAAAAAUAAAAAAUUAUUUUUAAAAUAAUACAAAUGUGUUAAUAUCUAAUUAUAAAUAUUUAAUGGAUAUAUUUAAAUAUUUAAAAUAUUUAAAAUUUAUAUUUCAUAUAAUAAAAUAUUAAUAAUAAGUUAUACUAAUUUUUUAUUCUUACUAAAAUAUAAUAAUAUUAACUAAUUUAAACAUUACUUAAUACAUAUUAAUUGGCAAUUUAUUAACUACUUCACGCAUGAAAAUAAAACAUCGGAAAAAGCUUGAGAAACCUACAUUAAAUUUAUCGCCAUUUAUCCUUAGAAAUGUUGACAGUCCAUAAAGUAGUCUGUAUAUAUCAAAAUAUAAAAGGAUAUGUUAUUAGAUAUGGUGGUAUUUGAUUAUACAUUUUAGUAGAGGAUUUAGGAAUAAUAUUUUGGUAUAUAAAAAUUCCUAAUGAUUUUUCAUAAAAAUAUUGAUAUUCCUUUAGAAUUUUUGGUAUAUAACAAAAUAUCUAAAGACGUGCUUUUAGAAAUUUUAAUAUUUCAGCCGAUUGAAUCAUAGUUCGAUUGGCAUACGCAAUGUUAUUAAUAUAGAAGGAUGUGAGUUCGAGUGUAUUUAAACGCAUUAUCCUCCUAUUUAUGGUUAGAGAGAGGCUAUGGAUAGUUCAAGCUCACCCUAAGAAAUAAAUAUUAUUAAAUGAUCUCUAUUUAUUUUAAUAGUAUUAUAAAUUUAAUAUAUUUUAUUUAAAUAUUUCAAUUAAUUAACUAACUUAAUUUUGUUAUUAUAUUAAACAAAUAACUUAAAAUAAAAUUUAAAUGUAAAAACUAAAAAAUUAAUCAUUAUUAAUUUAAAUGAUUUCAAUAUAAUAUAUAAAUAAAAUUAAAAUAAUUAAAAUCUAACAAUUAAAAGAAAGGAAAUAACUUACAUUAGGAUGAUCCUAAAAGCACGUCUGGUUCGCUGUAAUGGAAUAGAGCUUUAAUUGAAUAGAGCUGUAAUGAAAUAGAAAUGUAAUAGUAAUUCAAUUGUUUGGUUGAAUGGAAUGGAAUAGAACUGUAAUAAUAUUCUUGUGUUUGGUUGAAUGGAAUGAUAUUGUAAUAGCAUAAGGAAAAAAACUAAAAUGACUAGAAUACCCUUAGCAGAAUUUUUUUUAGAUGGAUGAUUAUUGUUAUUGUUAUUGUUAUUAAAUUUUAAUAAGAUUAUUAAUAUAAAUAAUAAAUAAUUUAAUCAUAUUUUAACAUAAUUAUUAUUAAAUAUAAUUUAAUAAAAAAUCAUAAUAUAUAAUACUAUAAAAAUAAUAAUAUAUAACCUACUUUAUUAUUUUUAAACUGCAAUACAUAUUUAACGUGCUAAAAUAUCAUUAGUGAAACAAAUAAUUUAAUUAUUUUACAAUAAAAAAUAAAAUAUUAGAAGUAAUAAAUAACUUGAGAAUUAUAUUUCACAUUCAAACAUAAUAUUCAUAUAUUAACAAAAAGUUACAUGAUUUCAUUAGUUUAUAUGUCAUAAUCCAUAUGUUAUAAAAUUUUACAACACUAGAUUACCUUCAUGUCAAAGCAUUUUAACUUUGAGAUCCAACACUACCAUACAUUCAUGGUUUUCUUCAUUACAAAAGUCAAUUAAGUUCACAUACAACAGCAUUGACUGGAUGAGGUUUCAACUACCCACUAUGCAUAUAUGGUUCUUUUCAUACAUCUAGCUCAUCUUUACAAAAACUGUACAAAGAUAGGAUACCUAAAGUUAAUUAGAAAAUGGUGUCAUCACCACCACUGCCAUCAAGAGUAGUUAGAUUACAAAUACAAGGUUUGCUGGAAGCUGAUUUGGCUGCUCAUUUCCUUUAUCUAGGAAAGUAAUCUUUGUUCCUUUCUUCCACCCUGGCUUCACAUCAAUGGUUAAUAUUUUUGAUUCCUGUGCUUGCUGCCUGUAAAGAUCCAAAGUAUUGUCCGAUCAGCAAGAUCAAAAAUAUAAAGCUACCAAUAAUAAUGUUAUCAUCACAACAGUGUAAUUAAGGUGAGAAUAUCUCAGUUGAGUUCAUAGUUUCAGCAUGAAAACAAUAUGCAAGCAUCGAAAACACAAUAUCAAAGAAGAUGAAAGAAAUAAAGUCGUCAGCCACCAUUUGAUCAAAAAUAUAAUUUAUUGUCUUUAUUUUCCUCUCUUGAGUUCAUAAAAAAAUGCAUGCUGUGAUAGUCAACUUGCAGAAACUAAAAAGUUUAUCAAAAUGAAACUUCAGUCAAGCAAAUGCAAUAGAGGAUCAUGUAUGAGAUGAAGAUUCAUAACCUAAUGCAUUAACUAUAGUUCUUGAGACCUUCAUCUUCCUUGUUGAACCAGUAUAUAGCUCUUCAAGGGUGCAAGGCAAUUUGCUCUCAACUAGGGGCGGUUUCCGAGGUGCAGUUGUCUCGUUGUAACUUCAAAAAUUAUUGUCAGUGCAACCGAAUCCUCUUCUGAACUUCCCUCCUUCAGGUUGGAAUCUUGAAUACCAACAUGGUCCUGUUGGCCCACCAGUGCCAUUUCCAUAGGAUGGUCCACUGCUGCUUGGUGGAGGCAUGCCUUUCAACCCUUCUUCACCAUGCUGAUUGUAAAUUGCUUCUUUGAGGGUCACUCAGGACCUGAAUCACAAAAUUAACUUAAUUCCCCAUAAGAUAUCUAUGAAGAUGACAGAUACUGGCACUUGCAUCUCUCCAUGCUUAUCUAUACUAUAGUGAUCCAGGACAAGUUUGACUCUAUUGUAUUUUUGUAUCAUUAAGCACAUGUUAAGAUCAGAUAAGUCGUCAAAAUAAACAGGAAAACCAUAUUGCAGCAAGCACAACCUGUUCUAGGGCAGUGACUACAUUUUGUUUCGACAGUUACCGGCUCCUCUAUGAUGUACCAAGUCCUGGUUUGGAGCCAGACACCAUAAUCUGCUCUCUAGUAAUUUCUCAAGGUUAAAAUAAACCAUGUUUUGGGACCUCUAACGUGACUACUGUACAAGCCCAUUUGCCCGGGCCCAAUUACAAAAACAAAAAAAUAACUAAACCAAUUAAAGUAACCCACCAGCCCAACUAACCCAAUACCCUUCAGCCCAAACCAAGACCCAAGCCCUAAUACUAAGGGUCAAACUAGGGUUUCAGCUUUUCUGAAACUCUAGUGCUGCCGCACCUCACUUGCCCUGCCACUGCCGUUCUGCUGGCCGCCGCGCACGUCCCAUCACCGCUCACCUGCUCCCAACUGCUCACCUGCAACACGCAACAUUAAGAAGCAAAAAUAGAGUAAAAAGAAAAAGAAAAAGCUUGUAAAAGGCUAUAUAUAAAAGCCAUUAAAAAAUCGAAAUGGGGGGCUUCAUCACUGAAUCGGGGGGCUUUUUCUUUUCUUUUGUAAAAUUUUCAUAUAAAUAAAACAAUCAAAAAAAUAGAUUCAAGGCUUUGAUAUCAGAUUCGCAUUUCUUUUUAUUUCUUUUAUUUUCUUUAUUUCGUACAUUAAAUAGAAAAUAAAAAGGGAAAGAGGACUCACAGGGAACCACCGUGGUUGCGCCGUCGAAGGGCUUCUCCUCCGUCGCCGAUUCGGGUCCGAGAGGGGUUGUGGGUUUCCCUCUUUCCCGCGGGUUGAGAGAUCUGAGAUCUCAAGGAUGCCACACGAUGAGGGUUAAAAACCCCUUUUUCUCGCAUGACUCCGGCCACCGUCCUUGGUGGCGCUGCGAUGGAGAUGCGACAGACGGCGGCGGGGUUCUAAGUUUGGAACCCUAGCAGAGAAAGGGGAAGACCCUUUUGUUUUUUCUUAUGUUUUUUUAAGAAAUGAAAUAGCAGAAAAAAAUUAGCUUUUAUAGGAAUUUCAAAACGGCGCCGUUUUGAGGCCCUCUUGACCCGCGCGGUGACCCGACCCAUGGGGAGGAUCCGCGUGUUUUCGCCAAAUGGGUUAUUUAUGCGCGCAGUCCCUCCUAUUUCACAGCGCAUUACAAUCUGGUCCUAUUUCGUUGUUUUCACUUUUUUGAUUUAGCCCUAAAAUUUUAUUUUUGAUUCAAUUUUAGUCCCAUUAAAGUGCAGCGUUUUGGGACUUUAGGGUAUUUACCAUUUUGGUCCUCCCUUCUUCGGCGCGCGUCCCAAUUUAAUCCUUUUAGUGUUUAUUUAUUUCGAAAUCGCCCAGUAUUUAUGUUUUUAUUUCGAUUUAAUCCCUUUUUAGCAAUUUUAUUGUUUAAUUAAUUAUUAUUAUUAUUAUUAUUAUUAUUAUUAUUAUUAUUAUUAUCAUUACUAUUAUAAUUAUUACUACUAUUAUUAAUUAUUAUUAGCUUUAUUUUCUGUUUAUUUAAUUUGUUACUAUUAUAUUAAUAUAUUAAGUAGUUUUAUAUUAUUUUCAACUUCAUUUUUAUUUAUAUAUAUAUAUAUAUAUUUAUGUAUUAUGCUUGCUCAUAUUUUAUAAUAGCUUACUUUUAUAUAUGCAUAAACGUAUAUAUGUAAAUAUUUUUAUAUAUAUUCUAUAAUUAUAUAUCCAUAUGUAUUUUUAUAUAUUUAAUGAUUAUUAUAUAUGUAUAUAUGUAUGUACACACAUUUACAUGAUUUUUAAAUGUAUAAUAAUUCCAAAACCAUGUCCACUCACACAUUUUUUUUCAUAUUCUCAUUAUUUUAUUUAUAUAUGUGUUUAUAUAUCUUUCAUAUUUGCAUCAUGUUGUUAAUUUUGUUCAUUUAUUUGCAUGUUUAUUAUUGUUUGUUCUCUUUCUUUAGUUCUUAAUUAUUUGUUACCUUGCCCGUAAGAUUAUUUUUAUUAUUUAUUGUUUUGCUUGUAUCAUUUUAUUCCAUUACACCCAUUUUUAUUUAGAUUUCGAAAAAGAAACUUUAGAAAUAAGUAAUAUUUGGUAUUUUGGAUCUUCGAGAGAAUCGAGUCCUGACGUAUUGGGUUUCGACUUUCUUCGUUGAACUUAAAUAACCGAGAUUACUCUUUUAAAAAUGAUAAAAGUUCGUUAUCGAGAAUUCAAUAUAUUGUGUCCUAACGCAUUGGAUGUGACAUGUUUUCUCGAAACGAGGAUUUUUCGAAAUAAAUGUAAUAUUCAAUGUUUAAUAUUUUGAUAAAUUGUGCCCUAACGUAUUGGGUUGCGAUUUCUUCAUUUGAUUUAAACAAUUGAAUAUUCUUUUAAACUUUAUUACACGAAUCUUUUCAAACUCAAGUUUUAAACGAUAUCGGGAAUUAAAAAAGGAUCGUGUCCUAACUUACUGGUCGUGAUCCCUUUUUUAUCCAAGAUAGUUAAAUGUCUUUUGAACAAGCAUUUUCAUUCGCGUAUCGGGAAUUCGAGACAUUGUGUCCUAACUUACUGGAUAUGAUUCUCUUUCUCGAAUAACGUGAAAUAUGCCCUUUUCCUGAAAAUUUUCAACUUUUUAAUACAAGGAUCGUAUUUUUAAAUUCUUCAAAGUUUUCACUCUUCGACACUAAGACAUUAAGUAAUCAACUAGGUACCAAUUUUGGGCGUAUCGAGGGUGCUAAUCCUUCCUCGUGCGUAAUCGACUCCCGAACUCGUUUUUUUGAAUUUCAUGGACCAAAUUUGUUGUUUUAAUAAAAUCAAACUGUUUAUUAAAAACAACCACUUUUCGAGGUGAUCCAAUCACACCUCAUAAAAAAGGAUUGGUGGCGACUCCCGUUUUAUUUUUUAAAACCCAAGUCGACCCCGUUUUCAAUCCAAAAAAUGGUGUCAACAACUACCAUAACUAAUCAGACUAACAAGAUAACAUGGAAAAAUAAAAAAUAGUUUAGAAUCUAAUACAAUAUUGGAAAGAAAAAUCAGACACGUCACUAGGAGUAGUCAGGUCCUAUGUUACACGGAUUUGGGUGAGUAUCGCAUGUGGGUAAACUAAUAAACUGGACUCUGCAAAUGCUAUGCAUUUAGUAUGUUACACGGACUCCCUAUUUUUCUUGAAGUACUUGUGUCUAGCACUCAUGUUUGAAAAAUAGAGAGAAGAUACGACCUUUAAGGAUCCUCCAAAUACAUGAAAAAACUUUAAAAAAUCCAUACAUACUCGUAACCAACACUCAUAUCUGAGUACACGUAACAUAGAUGCAUUUGUAUUUUAUCCCUCUUCUUAUUACCAUUCAUCAAUUUCUUACUCCAAUCUCUAAUUCACUUUCAGGAAAGGCAAGAACAAUAAAGAUUACAUCUCUAACACCAAUAAAUAGCUAUGCUAUUGGAAAAUUAAAAGGCAAAGCAACAUGGCCUGAGCAUAAUCACUCCCAGACUACUAUAGCAACUGAAAAAAUCAGAGCAGAGCUAAUGUGCUAAAAACGAGUUGCAAGUUCUCCAUGAAUAACAUUUAAUUACACGAAUGACAGAGAAGUCUACAAGAGAAGAAGAAAACGUAAGAAAAUUCCAGCACACAGUAUAUCACGAAAGGAAGUGGUUGUUCAAAAUAGCAAGUUCGGUCAAUUAAGCUUAAUUCCAAAACACAAAUGGCCAAAUUCCUUACACUCUUUUUUUUUUCUAAAUCAAUUGUCUCAGCAAAGAUCACAUGCAAGAAAGGGGUUAAAAUAAGAAGUAGAAGUAAAUGGGUACAAAGCAUAUUAUGAUUCCACAUAAAACUUCAGCUCCGACGGAAGAAUGAACAAACUUCAAUCCAGAAUCUAAGAAUUCAACUUUCAGGUAAGCAUUUUUCCUUACAUUUCGAGAAUCAUAAUCACUCAUUCAAAUCAAAUAUGUUUUAGAACACAGAUGUCAGAUUCGUAUAAUUUAGGAGAAAUGAAAAAGUUCCAGCAACAAAGAUUUUAUGUGAAGUAUGUCGGAACCAUCUUUUUGUAAAACAAAAAUUCAGUUGUCAACCUUAAAAAUAAAACUGGAGUCGCCACCGAUCCUUUAUUAAGGUGUGAUCGGCUCACCUAAAACCAAUUUUGGUCUACGAAAUUUGAGAAAAUAGGUUCGGGGGUCAGUUACGCACGAGGAAGGGUUAGCACCCUCGUAACGCCCAAAAAUCGGUACCGAAUUGAUUAUUUAAUGUCUUGGUGUUGAAAAUUUGAAAAGAUUUUAAAAGAAAACUUUUUAUCUCAUGAAUGCAUCAAAAUAAUAAAACAUUCUUAUUUCAAAGAAAUAAAACACCACACCCACUGAGUUAGGGCACAAUAUUUUUAAAUCUUCAAAAUACCGAAUAUUGCCUUUUGCUUUAGAAAUUCUUAUUUCGAGUUAAUAAAAUGUCAUGACCAGUAAGCUAGGACCCGACAUUUUUGAAUUCCCGAAAAUAAGCUUUUACUUGAAAUUUGUGAAUUUAUUGUAAAAUGAAUACUUGGCUUUCUAAAUUCAUCGAAAAAUAAUCGCAAUCCAGUAAGUUAAGACACGAUCUUUCUCGAGAAUCAUGAAUGCCAAAUAUUUUGAAAAUUUAUAAAAUAUGAUGAUUUUAAUGCUUUGACAAAACCAAAAUAUAUUUCCCGAAAGGUAUGUUAAAAGUUAAUGUAUAAUAUGAAACAAGAUUUUAAUUUAAGACCAAUAUGAAGAAAUAUUCACAAAUAUAUAUAUAAGUACAAUAUACAAGUAAAUUUACAAAUAUGUGCAUGCAUACAUUUGACACACCUAUACAAAAAUACAAAAAGAUGGGAUGGAAUAUAUAUAUCAAUCAGAAAAAAAAAUGCAUGUAUGUAUUUGAAAAUCGUGAAAAAUAAAAAAAAUAAAAAAUGUAUAUGUGUAUAUAUUUACAAAAUAAAAUGUAUAAGUAUAUAUAUAAUAUAAAGUAUAUAAAAAUAAGAAAAUAAAAUAAGGAUAUAAGGAAAAAUGUAUGUAUAAAUAUAUGCAUGUAUAUAUUAUAUAAAACAAAUGCGUAUGUGUAUGUAUUUUACGAAAAACAUUUUUUGAAAAUGAAAUUCACAAAAUAUAUAUGUUUUGUAAAAAAUAUGAAAGAAAAAAAUAAUAGAAUAUUAUAUAUAUAUAUAAUGCGCAUGUAAAAAAAACCAAUAUAUGUAUAGAUAUAUAUAUUAUAUAAAAAACGUGUGUAAAUGUAUAAGAAUAAUAGAAAAACUAAAAAAAUUAAAAUAACUAAUGAAGGAUUAAAUCAAAAAUAAAAGAAUUUUAAGGGCCGAAUUUAGAAUUAGAAAACACGCGUAUGGACCUAAUCAAAGAGCGCGCAACAAAUGAAGGACCCAAAUAGAAAUUAAUCCAUUCUCUCAAAACGUUGCGCAGCAUUACGGGCCAAUUUGAAACAGAAGUAAAUUAUGCAGCAAAAUUUAAAAAUAAUAAAGAAAUUAAUUUAAAAAACAUUAUAAAAUAGGAGGACCCAUUGCGCAAAUGACCCAAUUUAAAGAAAAUGCGCGGAUCCUGAGAAACAGGUCGAGUCGUCGGGUUUUGGCCUAUACGAUGUCGUUUUGAGGCCAUUGAAGCAGACCCUAAACGACGACGUUUCAUAGCCCUUAUAAAAGCCAAAUUUCCCUUAAAAAAUUUCAUUUUCCUCUUUGAUUCAGAAAAAUAGCAGAGAAGCACUGCUAGGGUUCCUCUUUUAUGCCGCCGCCACCAAUCGAGGCAUACCACAGCCUCCGUCGAUGCCCCGGUCUCCGAUAGCGACGGAGAGGGGCGCUAACUCAGCGGUUCCGGCGAAAAAGGUAUGUUCGUCCCUUUUCUUUAUAUUUUAAACAAAAAUAAAUAAAAAGAAAAGGAAACUAUAUAGAAAAAAAUAUGUAUAUAUGAAAAAAAAAUAAAAGAAUGUUAAUCCCCAACAAGGUAAAACAGAGGGAAAAAAACACCUUCCUAUUUCAAAAGAAAAUUUGUAUUUCUUUUGGUUUUUUCCUCGGUCUACUCUUUCCCCGUAUUUUAGUAUCUCUUCCCCUCCAAAAAAAAUCCCCCCUUUUACAGAUUUUCCACGGCUUUAAAUAGCCGAAAUGGAAAAAAAAAUAAAGAAAAUAAAAAAGAGAUAUAUUCUAUUUUUUGUUGGCGUAAUUUUUGCUAUUCUGUUUGUGUUUGUUGCUGCAGGUUCUGCUGGAGGAGAACGUGCGCGGAGCGGCAGGCACGACGUGCGGGAGCGGUUGCACGAUGUACGGCGCUUGCAGAGGGGUGGUGCGUAGGGUGAUGCGGCGCUGGGGCCAAAGCUGCUAGCUGCUGAAGGUUCUAGGGUUUAGUUUUGGGCUGGAUCGGUUAUUGUUUGGGUAAUUGGGCUCAGGUGGGUAUUAGGCCUGUAACAUGAGACUGCUUAUUUUUUGUUUUGUAAGGGCCCGGGUAAAUUGGGCUUAUUACUGUUGCCCCUCUUUGCUUGUUGUCGUGUAACGAGAACAGAGCAAAGACUGAAGUGCCCAGUUGUGCCCAGUCUUACUAAGCUUCGAUUUCUUUAGUGCUUUUAUUCUUCAGGUAGCCUUAUUCCUUCCUACUACUUCUUCAGAGGUAUAGGAACUGGUGCUCCAAUCUACUCCACUGAAAUGUCGGAGAGAUAGAAUUCAUACGUUGUAGCUUCUCAAAAAAAACAAAAUUUGCUAUCUUUAAUCUGCUCCACUGCAACCUCAGGGAGAUAAGACUUAUAGUUUCAACUUGUUCUGCUACAACUUAAAAAAUAAAUCUUAACGUGAUCUGCUCUACUGCAACUUCAGAGAGAUGAGAUCUGCGGUUUUAAUCUACCCCAUUGCAACUUCAAGAAGAUAGGGUUGCUUCUAUUUGCUCCACUGCUACUUCAGGAAGAUAAGACUUGUAUCUUCGAUCUACUUCACUGCUGAUACAGGAAGACAAUAUCUGCUUUCUUCGAUCUACUUUGCCACCAGUAUGGGAAGAUAAGAUCUGCUAUUUUUUAUCUACUUCACGCCAAUACAUGAAUAUAAGAUCUACUUUCUUCGAUCUACUUCGCCACUAGUAUGGGAAAACAAGAUCUGCUAUCUUCGAUCUACCUCACGCCAAUACAUGAAGACAAGAUCUGCUUUCUUCGAUCUACUUCACGCCAAUACAUAAAGACAAGAUCUGCUUUCUUCGAUCUACUUCACGCCAAUACAUGAAGAUAAGAUCCGCUUUCUUCGAUCUACUUCAUGCCAGUACAUGAAGACAAGAUUCGCUUUCUUCGAUCUACUUCAUGCCAAUACAUGAAGACAAUAUUUGUUUUCUUUGAUCUACUUCGCCACCAGUAUGGGAAGACAAGAUCUGCUAUAUUUGAUCUACUUCACGCCAAUACAUGAAGAUAAGAUCUACUCUCUUUGAUCUACUUCACGCCAAUACAUGAAGACAAGAUCAGCUUUCUUCGAUCUACUUCACGCCAAUCCAUGAAGACAAGAUCUAUUUUCUUCAAUCUACUUCACCACCAGUAUGGGAAGACAAGAUCUGCUGUAUUUGAUCUACUUCACGCCAAUACAUGAAGAUAAGAUCUACUUUCUUUGAUCCACUUCACGCCAAUACAUGAAGACAAGAUCCGUUUUCUUCGAUCUACUUCACCACUAGUAUGGGAAGACAAGAUCUGCUAUCUUUGAUCUACUUCACGCCAAUACAUGAAGAUAAGAUCUGUUUUCUUCGAUCUACUUUGCCACCAGUAUAGGAAGACAAAAUUUGCUAUCUUUGAUCUACUUCACGCCAAUACAUGAAGACAAGAUCUGUUUUCUUCGAUCUACUUCGCCACCAGUAUAGGAAGACAAGAUCUGCUAUCUUUGAUCUAUUUCACGCCAAUACAUGAAGACAAGAUCUGUUUUCUUGGACCUACUUCACGCCAAUACAUGAAGACAAGAUCUGCUAUCCUUUCUACCUGCUCCACUGCAACUCAGGGAGAUAAGGCUUUAUGAUUUCACCAAUCUAUUCUCUGCGGAACAUGACCAGUAUGAUUUAUUUUAUGAACCUAAUUAUGCCUAGUGAAUAGGAUGUCAUGAUCAAAUGAUAACUAGAUGUGUAUGAAUGACAUUUGAAUGAAUGUAGAAUGUCAUAAAAAUGAUAUUUUAACGCUUGAGUUAUCAUUACUCCAAGUUUAUUAAGGUCUUAUCGCUUAAUGUACUAUAGCGCCUUUAUGCUCCACUGGCGAACCCAAUAAGCACUUGACCAGAUUGCCCCCCACUGUAAACCUCCAAGUUUGAUCCACUGGGAUGCAAAAUUUGUACCAUCUUUCUCCCGUUGUAACCCAAGAGUAAAAAGAUUCAGCCUUUUCUCAAUCCUCUGCUAUCACAAUUCAAGGAUACAGGAUGUGAAACUCUUUGGUCUCUUACACCAUUCCCAGGGUGUCAUGCUAAAUGCUCAUGCACAAAUGAAGAAUUUUCUUCUCCAAGAACAACUUCUUAUUAUUAUUCGGUGAUCCUUGCUUGCUUGCUCAUUGAAGCUUUGUCACCAACACGACAUCUCAUCCUUUUGUUCAGUCAAUUUUUUUGACAACAAAAUAUGAAUGGAUAGUCUUAAUUCGGACUCUUCUUUAUCAGAUUUCCAACCUGGUGCGUUCUAAAUAAUAGUCCUGUUUGAGGUUCCUAUAUUAUUCAGAAACUUCUAGAGUAAUAUGCAAAACUUCCUUUGUGAAAGUUUUAUUAGUCCAUUAAUCAUUAUUCUAAUGCAACUUGCUUGCAAAAAAGAUCAUAGAUAAGAAUAGAGUUGGUUCUGAGCAUAGCUCGAAAUGAAUAAGUUGUCUAAGAUAAUAAAGAUGGAUAAUAAAGAAAUUGAUUUAGGAAUGCAUAUAUUGGAAAUGAAUGAAGUGUUCCAAGAAUAACAAAAAAAUAGUAUAAGGAUUAGGUGCCCCAGUUAUCGCAGCUUGAACUUCUCUGUACAGACUUUCUGAAGACCAUUCUAAGUUUAACAUGUGUUUAGGAGAUCUAUAGUACUUCGUCGAUACCCCAAGAUGUCGCCUACCCUUUUUUGUUGAUUCAGGUAUAGCAAGACCACUGCAUGCCCUACUUUGAUCAGUAUUUGAGCUGCUCUGAUUGCCUCAUGCCCCAUUUUGAUCAAUAUUUGAACCGUCCCACUCGGGUUUUCAACUCAAAUCCCCUUUGGCCUCAAGGUACCCUUUGCGGGUUUUCACCUUGGCCUCUCCAUUUUUUCUCUUUUUUUGAUUUUGAUUUUUAUUUUUUUGGACUCAAAGCACCCUUUGUGAGUUUUCACCUUGGCCCCUUUUUUUUUUUAGAAAUCAAAGCGCCAUUUGCGGGCUUUCACCUUGGUUCCUUCUUCUUCUUAAGCAAAGUAUUUAUUGACUGAAUCUGAGUUUAUAGGACAAGGCAGGUUUUUUACCAUCCAUCUCACUCAAGAUUAAUGCUCCUCCAAAAAAAACCCUUUUUACAAUGUAAAGUCCUUCCAAAUUUGGCAUCUAUUUUCCUCUGAAAUCCUUCUGAAGAGGAAGAAUAUUUUCAACACUAGGUCCCCCUCGUGAAACUCUCUAGGCCGAACCUUUUUGUUGUAUGCUUGCGUCAUUUGUUUCUAGUAUAUCUGACCGUGAUAUCGAGAUUGGGUCUAUUCUGCUUCAUCUAACUUCAGCUCAGCCAAUACCUAGAGAUAAAGAAUUUUGACUUCAAAUGGAUAAAACUGUGGUAAACUAAAGAGAAAGGCGUUGCCUCGGUAAAGAAUUUUCACUGCAUCGUUUAUAAUGUUGAUCUUGGAUAUACUGUAGAUUUUUGAUGUCGUACUGCUGUUCAGAUUACAAUCACAAUGCUUAACCCGGACAUAUCCUGGUAUGACUAUGUGAAGAUAUCUUUGAACUCUUGAGGUAACUCAACAAGGUCUUGUUUUGUUUCUCCGAUUAUGCACAUUCCCUUAAGGUCACAAUCUCCACUGUCUCCUCAGGAGGUAAAAUUUCCUUUCUGCUCUACCAUCCUCAACAAGUCCGGAGAUAAGCUACUAUCUAUGGCAUCUUCAAAGUCAUGAGAUCCCUCUCAACAUAUGUCUCACUCAAAAGGAGAUUCUAAGUCUGUAGCAGCGACACUCAAGUCAUUGAUAUCUGGGGACCCAUAGUAGGUACCAAAGAAUAUACACAAGAAUGUAUGAAUAAUAUGAAUGAAUGAAUGGUUUGGUAGGGAAAAAAUCCAAAAGAAUGAAAGAAUCGUAAAGAAUAAAAGAACAUUUACUCAAAGAUGAUUUCAAUAAUGUAUUUCAUUAAAAAUAAUAAUGCUCAGACACGAGCCUAUUUCACAAAGAAGUUCUUAUUGCUUCUAGGCUAAAAGUAACAAGUGUGUUCUGAACAUUACUCUACCAGACUCUAAAUAAUAUAGGGGUUUCCUUUGCAGUCUCAUUGCUUAUAACACCUCCCAGGCGAAUAUCUAACAAGGACAUUUUUAUUUGUGUCUGCAUAUAUGGCAUCGAUAUGAAAACCUCACACUUCUUCAUACAUUGCAUUCCCUCCAUCAUCCAUCAUGAUUGGGUAGCGGAUUUCCUGCACUAGAUGGGUCACCAAACUUGACAACACCCAUGUCGAUGAGUCUUUCAACUUGCUUCUUGAAGGUAGUGCAAUUCUCAAUUGAGUGUCCUAUAAUUCCUGCAUGGUAUUCACAUUGUGCGUUCACAUCAUACCAUUUGGGAUACGGAGGUUGUAGAGGCUUCACAUGAAAAGGGGAAACAACACGUGCAUCAAAUAAAUUUUAAUACAGUUCCCUAUACGACACCGAAAUUGGCAUGAAUUGGAGCCUCUCAGUGUUUUGUCUUGUACCAGCUUCCUGUCUCGAUGAACUUUGUUGAUUAGUGGCCACCUUUCUUGACUGACUUACAGUAACUGAUUUAGAGUAACCCGUGUUGUUCACCUCAUCCUCUCUUCUCCUUGAGACUGACCUCUUGUUACUCUCUCCAGCCUCGAUCUUCCCAUUUCUUAUGGCAUUUUCGAUCAUCUCUCCAUUCAUAACUAUAUCAGGAAAGCUUUUUGUAGCACUUCCUAACAUAUGCGUAAUGAACGGUGCCUUCAGUGUGUUAAUAAACAGCAUGGUCAUUUCUUUCUCCAAGAGCGGUGGCUGAACUUGGACCGCGACUUCCCUCCAUCUUUGUGCAUAUUGCCUAAAGCUUUCGCUCAGCUUCUUCUCCAUAUUUUGAAGGGUGAUUCUAUCAGGAGCCAUGUCUGCUACAUAACUAUACUGUUUCAUGAACGCUUGGGCCAAAUCCCUCCAUAAACCAAUCGUGGUACGACUCAGUUGAUUGUACCACUUAGAUGCUGCCCUGCAAGGCUAUCCUGGAAACAAUGUAUCAAGAGCUGGUCAUUGUUAACAUAUCCCGCCAUUCACCUGCAGAGCAUGGUGAUAUGAGCUUCUGGGCAGCUUGUCCCAUUGUACUUUUCAAACUCAGGCAUCUUAAACUUAUGAGGGAGUACUAAAUCUGGGACUAAAAUCAGCUCUUUAGUGUCAAUACCUCGAUAACUUUCAGUGACCUCCAUUGUCUUGAGCUUUUCCUCGAGCCACUUGCACAUUUCCUCUAACUGUUUCGGUAACUCCUCCUUCAUUCUUUCCUUCUCAGCCACUUCAUCAAAGUCAGGAAUGGUAGAGUUAACAAGGUUAUUUUCAGGAUUAGAGCCCGAUCUAGCUUGGAAGUUUGAAACACCAGCUUGAAACUGCUGAGGCAUGAUGGUGACAGUAGAUCUAUGCGGGUCUUCAGCUUGAGUUCGCACAUGUGGAGGAGUAAAUCCUGGAGGAUAGAGUGGUUUAUCCUCAUUACCCUCUUCAACAUCAGCCAUAAGACCCUUUCCUUUAUCACCUCCUCCAGUCAACAGUUUGAUUAGCUUUGCCAUCAUAGUAUUUUGGGAUUCCUGCAUCUUCUCCGACAUAUCCUGUUGCAUCUUGUCCAACCAUUCCUGCACUUGUAGCUGAAGUCGGUCUUGCAUUUCUUUCUGGUACUGCUGCUCGAGCUUUUCCAAUCUCUGAUCCAUGUCUUUAAUCUUUGCUCGAGUGCCGUAUCGGUGUUUGGUUGGUUGGUUGGUUUCCAGGUUAACUGAGCAAUGAUUUAGUUAAUUAGGAUCAUUUAGCGAUGUUUAAUGCAUAUGAUGUAAUGUAAUGCAAAUGCAUAAAAUGAAUGCAAAAAGAGACGUUGAUUCACGUUCAAUUCUUUACUAGAAAACUUCACUAGAAAAUAAAUCUCUUUACAUAAAGCGGAUAUAUAUAUACGGCUUCACCCUUGUACUCCAAGCGAAGACAUCGACCAUUCGGAUAUUAAGAUGCAUCUCGCGAAUUUGAUCUCCUUUUUGUUUGAUUUAGGUCGUAAAUCCUUGCUCAUUCACGUUCAUUAGCUUCUUUAUGAGAUUGGGACCUUUGCUGACUUUUGAAUAAACUUUGACAAUUUGGAUCCUCAGGUCAUGCAGGAAAGUCGUAUACUCCUCUUGUUAGGCUUUUCGUGCCAUGUUUUCUUCAGACCACCGUAUUAUCUUCCACCUUAUAGAGAAACCCAUAUUCCAUAACAAGCUUUCUAAUUUAGUAAUCGAACUCAAAUCAACACCGCUUUUCUAAGAUGCAAAUGUAAUGCAAUCAUGAUGUCAUGCAAUCAAAACAAAAUAAACCCAAGUCAGUAUCACACCAAAAAGAUAUAAUCCAAUACAAACAUAAAAUAGCAAGAACAUUUAUUCAGGAAUCCACUAGGGUUUGGUAUAGCUCUACCUAGAGCAAGUUCCUAAAGCUCACUAUAUGAGGCUUAGUUUCUAAAGUAAGGGUACCCGAACAAGCAGAUUCCUCGAUCCUCACCCAUUAUACGCUCAUGUGGAUCGAGUUCAAUUCAGGGGGAUACAUUUCCCUAUGGCUGCACGGAGAUGAAAAUCUCACGAAGACAUAGGUACGGAUGUAUCCCAAAAGCGGUCCCCUACCCUGCACGGAGAUGAAAACCUCAUGAAGGACUAGUUUCUCGCUCCCACUUAAAGGGUAAAACUAACCAUGUAAUGCAAAAUGUAAAUGCAAAUACAAAGUUGCUAACACCAUGAUGGAAAAAAAAAUCAAUGAGUAUGAAGGGAACUCAUGAAUUUUUUUUAAAAACUUUUGAUUUCCGACACAAAGACAAACAUAAUCAGUUUAUGGCUCGACUCUCUAAAGUCCCCAAUGGAGUCGCCAAGCUGUCGGAACCAUCUUUUUGUAAAACAAAAAUUCAGUUGUCGACCUUAAAAAUAAAACUGGAGUCAUCACCGAUCCUUUAUUAAGGUGUGAUCGGCUCACCUAAAAACAAUUUUGGUCUACGAAAUUUGAGAAAAUAGGUUCGGGAGUCAGUUACGCACGAGGAAGGGUUAGCAUCCUCGUAACGCCCAAAAAUCGGUACCGAAUUGAUUAUUUAAUGUCUUGGUGUUGAAAAUUUGAAAAGAUUUUAAAAGAAAACUUUUUAUUUCAUGAACGCAUCAAAAUAAUAAAAUAUUCUUAUUUCAAAGAAAUAAAACACCGCACCCAGUGAGUUAGAGCACAAUAUUUUUAAAUCUUCAAAAUACCGAAUAUUGCCUUUUGCUUUAGAAAUUCUUAUUUCGAGUUAAUAAAAUGUCAUGACCAGUAAGCUAGGACCCGACAUUUUUGAAUUCCUGAAAAUAAGCUUUUACUUGAAAUUUGUGAAUUUAUUGCAAAAUGAAUACUUGGCUUUCUAAAUUUAUCGAAAAAUAAUCGCAAUCCAGUAAGUUAGGACAUGAUCUUUCUCGAGAAUCAUGAAUGCCAAAUAUUUUGAAAAUUUAUAAAAUAUGAUGAUUUUAAUGCUUUAACAAAACCAAAAUAUAUUUCCCGAAAGGUAUGUUAAAAGUUAAUGUAUAAUAUGAAACAAGACUUUAAUUUAAGACCAAUAUGAAGAAAUAUUCACAAAUAUAUAUAUAAGUACAAUAUACAAGUAAAUUUACAAAUAUGUGCAUGCAUACAUUUGACACACCUAUACAAAAAUACAAAAAGAUGGGAUGGAAUACAUAUAUCAAUCAGAAAAAAAAAUGCAUGUAUGUAUUUGAAAAUCGUGAAAAAUAAAAAAAAUAAAAAAUGUAUAUGUGUAUAUAUUUACAAAAUAAAAUGUAUAAGUAUAUAUAUAAUAUAAAGUAUAUAAAAAUAAGAAAACAAAAUAAGGAUAUAAGGAAAAAUGUAUGUAUAAAUAUAUGCAUGUAUAUAUUAUAUAAAACAAAUGCGUAUGUGUAUGUAUUUUACGAAAAACAUUUCUUGAAAAUGAAAUUCACAAAAUAUAUAUGUUUUGUAAAAAAUAUGAAAGAAAAAAAUAAUAGAAUAUUAUAUAUAUAUAAUGCGCAUGUAAAAAAAACCAAUAUAUGUAUAGAUAUAUAUUAUAUAAAAAACGUGUGUAAAUGUAUAAGAAUAAUAGAAAAACUAAAAAAAUUAAAAUGACUAAUGAAGGAUUAAAUCAAAAAUAAAAUAAUUUUAAGGGCCGAAUUUAGAAUUAGAAAACACGCGUAUGGACCUAAUCAAAGAGCGCGCAACAAAUGAAGGACCCAAAUAGAAAUUAAUCCAUUCUCUCAAAACGUUGCGCAGCAUUACGGGCCAAUUUGAAAUAGAAGUAAAUUAUGCAGCAAAAUUUAAAAACAAUAAAGAAAUUAAUUUAAAAAACAUCAUAAAACAGGAGGACCCAUUGCGCAAAUGUCCCAAUUUAAAGAAAAUGCGCGGAUCCUGAGAAAACGGGUCGAGUCGUCGGGUUUCGGCCUAUACGACGUCGUUUUGAGGCCAUUGAAGUAGACCCUAAACGACGACGUUUCAUAGCCCUUAUAAAAGCCAAAUUUCCCUUUAAAAAAUUCAUUUUCCUCUUUGAUUCAGAAAAAUAGCAGAGAAGCACUGGUAGGGUUCCUCUUUUAUGCCGCCGCCACCAAUCGAGGCAUGCCACAGCCUCCGUCGACGCCCCGGUCUCCGAUAGCGACGGAGAGGGGCGCUAACUCAGCGGUUUCGGCGAAAAAGGUAUGUUCGUCCCUUUUCUUUAUAUUUUAAACAAAAAUAAAUAAAAAUAAAAAGAAACUAUAUAGAAAAUAUAUAUAUAUAUAUGUAUAUAUGAAAAAAAAUAAAAGAAUGAUAAUCCCCAACAAGGUAAAACAGAGGGAAAAAAACACCUUCCUAUUUCAAAAUAAAAUUUGUAUUUCUUCUGGUUUUUUCCUCGGUCUACUCUUUCCCCGUAUUUUAGUAUCUCUUCCCCUCCAAAAAAAAUCCCCCCCUUUUACAGAUUUUCCACGGCUUUAAAUAGCCGAAAUGGAAAAGAAAAGUAAACAAAAUCAAAAAGAGAUAUAUUUUGUUUUUUGUUGGCGUGAUUUUUGCUAUCUUGUUUGUGUUUGUUCCUACAGGUACUGUUAGAGGAGAACGCGCGCGGAGCGGCGGGCACGACAUGCGGGAGUGGUUGCGCGAUGUGCGGCGCUUGCAGUGGGGUGGUGCGUAGGGAGAUGCGGCGCUGGGGCCAAAGCUUCUAACUGCUGAAGGUUCUAGGGUUUAGUUUUGGGCUGGAUCAAUUAUUGUUUGGGUAAUUGGGCUCAGGUGGGUAUUAGGCCUGUAACAUGGGACUGCUUAUUUUUUUGUUUUGUAAGGGCCCGGGUAAAUUGGGCUUAUUACAAAGUAGAUAUAGAAAUUUUUUUAAAAAAAACACAUACUUGUGUUGCAACCGCCAUUUCUCACUUGCUCGUCUGCAAAGCAUCUGGAAUUACAAAAAAAAUAAUAAUAAUGAAAAUUUUAAAAAUAAUGAAAAAAAACACAGUGAAACAGAAUUAACAAAGGAAGUGAGCAAUUAGAGAAUGAUCGCAAAAUGCAGGAAAAAGAAAAAAGAUAGCAAGAAAACAACGAUGGAAUCAAAUCUAAAAUACCUUUGGGAGAUGUUUUCUUCUUGAAGAUCUUCAACAUGAGAUUAACUUCACUGAUUUAUCCUUCAAAAACAAACAAAAACCCUAGGAAACCAAUAGCAAUGUGAGAGCAAUAGCACUUCUAGUGAGGGAGAGACAUGGGCAUCCAUAACCCUGCAACCCAGAAAUAACCAAACAUCUUGCUUGGUUUCCACUUCAAGGAACAAAUAAGCUAAAAACCAAAACCUGCAUAGGAAUAAACUUGAUAGUACCACCAGAAAUACGAAGAGCACCAAGUUUGGGAACAAUUUGGAAUGGAAACUUUUAACAUGUUUCAUCUUCUUAAAGAGGGUCAAACAAUAAUAUAAAAGGAAAUCAAAAUGGGAGUAGAGUUACUUGAGGGACGACUGCUCACAUCGAACCAAUCCGAUUGUUUCUUUUCUCAAGUUUCCACCUCAUACGAUUCGUAACUGAAGGCCUUGUUGAGGGUUGUUAGGGUUUGUCAAAGGGUUGGUCAGGAUAGAAGCAUGAAAAAGAGAGAGAAGGUUGGAAGGAAAUGGGAAGAAGAAUGAAAAAAAGAGGCCACCGAAUUGGGGGAAUGUAUUUUUAUUCCCCCAACCAAACAUGCUGUAAGAGUUUUAGGCACCAAUUAAAUUUUAGCAUAUCAUCACAAUGUAAAGAAACUAAAUUAUUAUUAUACUCUCAUCUAUAGAGAAAUUAUCUUAUUAUCCUUUCCACCACACUAUUCAUGGUCCCUUUCAACAAAUUUUUUCACGUUAAUAACACAUAAUUUUGAUAAUUUUCUUACUUUGAACCUUGACUUUAGAAUCUUGAACCCCAAACUUGAACUUAACACCCCAAAUUCUUAAACCUUAAACACAAACCCAAAUCAUUGAACCUUAAACUCAUACCAUAAACCUCGAAUCUUUAAACCAUCAACCUAAACUUUGAACCCUAAAUCCAAAACCGAACCUCGAACCUUAAAUUUUAAACCCAAAUCCUGAAUCUCAGGGUUCGAGAUUUAAGAUUCAAGGUAAAAUAAUUAUCAAAAUUAUGUGCCAAUGACAUGAGAAAAUUACACAAAAAUUACAAUUUUUUUAAAAUUUGGUUGCAUAAAAAAACGAACUUAUGAAAAUAAAACAAAAUGAUUAAAAUUUUCAAAAAAAUGAUUGUUUAUAAUUAAAAAAUUUAUUACUUUAAAUAAUUUAAUUUAAUUUAAUUUAAUUUAAUUUGAAGAAGAUAUUAAAUAAACAUAAAUAUAUAAUAAUACUUUAUUAUCUUUAAAAUUUAAUGUCGUAAUAUUAUUUUAUUAAUAUUUAAAAAUUAUACUUUUUAGUAUCAUCUAAAAGAAAAAGAGAGAAGUAAACUAAAAAAGGAAAAAUCAAUUGAAGUAAUACACAUCAUGUAUUUUUUUUAUAAAAGGGAGCGUAUAAAAUUAUGAUUUCAUAUUAUUUUAUCUCUUUUUAAUAAGAAAAUAAUAAUUUAUAUUUUUUCUCCUAUUUUUAUAUAUUUUUCUCUUAAAAAAUUUAAUUUAAUUAAAAAAAUUAAAAAUUAACGAGAAAAAUCUAAUUUAAGAAUAAAAAUGACUUGUAAUUACAAUUUCGUACCGAUCCUUAUGCGUAUGGAAUUGGAAAUCUUGAUUUAUGUCUACGAUGAUAUAUAUUAAUAAUUUCUGCAUUCAAGACGGGCGUUUACUCUUUCAAUAAUUUCAACAAUUUAAAGUAAGAGAGUCAGGUUACCUGUCUUUUUCCGCGCAAACCCUGAUUCCAGACCUUGGCCAUUUUUAAUUUGGGUACAGGGUACUUGUAAAAUAAUUUCUUCAUCAGUUCCAAAAAUAGAAGACGGAAAUACAAUAAUUCCUAUGGCAGCCGUGUGGUCUCUUCUCAUGCUCCUUUCUUCAUUCUUUGUGGCUAGAGGAGUUGAAGACGAGCAUUCAAACGGCACCAUUGGGCUGGGAUAUUCGCUUUCCCCCUUAACUCCACCCACCUCAUUGGCUUCGCCUUCUGGUCGUUUCGCAUUUGGUUUUUACAGUCAAGGCAAUGGCUUUUCAAUUGGAGUUGGCUGGAGGGAAAUAGAAAGACAGAUAACAAAGUUGUAUGGACAGCAAACCGUGAUGACCCGCCGCUCCAUGCAACUGCUACUCUGACACUAAACGAGAAAGGUUUGCUUCUUUCGAGCGGUGUGAGCGGAGAAAAUAAAGUUAUUGCUUAUCCAAAUGACUCGGCUGUCAGCGUCUUCUCUGCCUCCAUGCUAGAUUCAGGCAAUUUUGUGCUCUACAACAAUGUCAAUCAUACCAUUUGGGAGAGUUUCGAGCAUCCUACAGAUACCCUUUUAGGUGGUCAGGCUCUAUUAACUAAUCACGAGUUGAUCUCCAGUUCUUCAGAAAAUGAUCACUCGUCCGGAAGGUUUCAUCUAUAUAUGCAACUAGAUGGGAAUCUUGUUCUAUACCCUCUACAAGUCGAUGAUGCUGUUAUAACUGCCUAUUGGGCCACAGCUACUAGUGGUGUGAAUCGUUCACUCCGAUUAUUUCUUAACUCGACAGGCUUCCUACAACUUAUCAACAACACUGAUUCCUCCAUCUACCUAGAAAUUAAUUCUGGAUUUUAUCCAGAGGUGAGCUACAAUGACCACAACGAGAACACCAGCAGCAGCAGCAACGACAGUAUCGUUCACAGUGCAAGCCUUGAUGUUGAUGGAAAUUUCCAGUUAUAUACUCAUCAAUUUGAGCCAAGUGGUGGAUUUCGAACUUCCCUAGUGUCGCGUGCGUUGAAGGAUUACUGUAAAGUUGUAGGCUUUUGUGGUAUCAAUAGCUAUUGCACGUUUAAUGAUGACAGAGCUUACUGUGCAUGCCUUCCCGGCACUGAUUUUAUCGAUCCUCAACGCAAUACCCUCGGCUGCAAGAGAAAUUAUAGUGAAGGACAUUGUAAAGGAGGGAAGGACAAUAUACCCCUUUAUAACAUCACUCCAUUGCAAAAUAUAGUAUGGACUAAAGGUAUAUUUUACAGUGAAGAGCUAAUGUCCAUGAGUGCCUGCAGCCAAACAUGCUUGGAAGACUGUAAUUGUGAGGCAUCACAGUUUAGCGAUGGAGUUUGCAGGAAACAAAAGCUUCCACUAUGGCAUUUGCUACGACAACAAGGUGAUAAUGACGUGAGUUCCACAGUUUUCUUGAAGAUGGGAAUCAGAAGCCUAGAAGCAGAUGACGGUACUGUUCCCCAUGAAUUAAAGCCCCAAAUCAAAGGGAAAGAUCUGACGCUGAAAAUUCUUCUUUUAACUUUCAGUCUUGUCGCAUGUUCAUGUGCUUUGCUUGCAAUCUCUGGUGUAUUCAUUUUUAAAUUUCGAGUUCUAAGAUACAAAAGGCUGUUGGAAAUUGGAAAUUUGGGCCUAACCGGAGAGCUUACGUUGACGUCGUUUUCAUACAAUGAACUCAAGAGAGCAACGAAUGGGUUUAAAGAAGAGUUGGGUAAGGGAUCCUUUGGAGCAGUCUACAAAGGGUCCUUAAACAGAGGAAGAAAUUUGAUUGCAGUAAAGCGAUUGGAGAAGUUAGUGGAAGAAGGAGAAAGAGAGUUCCAAGCAGAAAUGCGAGCAAUUGGCAGAGCUCACCACAAGAAUUUAGUUCGACUUUUGGGAUACUGUGCUGAGGACUCCAAGAGGGUGUUGGUGUACGAGUACAUGGGCAAUGGCUCUCUUGCUGAUCUACUGUUCAAGUCAAGACAGCGCCCUGAUUGGGAUGAAAGAACAAGAAUAGCCCUGGAUGUAGCUAGAGGAAUCCUCUAUUUACAUGAGGAGUGUGAGACCCCAAUCAUUCACUGUGACAUAAAGCCGCAAAACAUAUUGAUGGAUGAUUAUUGGAGAGCUAAAAUUUCAGACUUCGGGCUGGCAAAACUGUUGAUGGGGGAUCAUACAAGGACCUUCACAGUAGUGAGGGGAACUAGAGGAUACAUGGCCCCAGAAUGGCAUAAGAAUGUUCCAAUCUCAGCGAAGGCUGACGUUUACAGUUACGGAAUUGUGCUAUUGGAAACUGUGUUUUGCAGACGAAACUUGGACAUCACUGUAUCAAACCCAGAGGAGAUCAUUCUGUCGAUUUUGGUGUAUAAAUGUCUGGUUGAAAAAAAGUUGGAUAAGCUUGUGCUUGGUGAAGAAGUAGAUAAGAAAAGCUUGGAAAGAAUGGUGAUGGUGGCACUUUGGUGUAUCCAAGAUGAACCUGCACUUCGUCCUUCCAUCAAGACUGCAGUGAUGAUGCUGGAAGGCAUUACUGAUAUAUGCAUUCCCCCAUGUCCAACUGCUUCCUCCAUAUAAUUCAAGUCACGUCCUAACAAUCAAUCAUCUCACUCAGAGUGUUCGUGUAGUUCAUGUUACGUAAGGACUGCGCCAUGUUUGUAUUUCCUCUGGCUUGUAAUAAAUUUGUAAAAUGCUUCCUGCAGCAGUGUUCUCCCAUCAUUUGUAGGUUUAAAAAUUGUGUUCGAGUUAUCUAAUCAUAUAGUAGUUGUAUGUAAUAACUGAGUUUUACUGUAAUUUCUAAUUAAUAAUCUCCUAUUGCUCAAAAUGGUAAAAAACUUGCAAAAGGGUCAUGUAAGCAAAGCCAUUAUGUGUAUGCUAGGACUAAUAAGUCCUUUUGUCUUGGACUUGUUAUGAUCUCAUUAGACAGGAUGUUAGGAAACUGAAUAAUCAUUUUUAAGCAGAGAGAUUGUGCAUUAGAAUAACAGCAUCCAAGAGCAAAACCAGAACUCAGAGGCUGUGACUGUAGAACAUGUUCCGGCAAAGGUACAUGAGAAUUAUCAACUUAGGUGAUAUUGGUAUAUUUGCACAUAUGUGCAGCGCUAUGGUUUGAAAGACGACGACGACGACUACUACUACAUGCCAUACAGCUGAAGCCAUCUUCCUCUUUUUGUGAUCAUAUGAGUAUAUGUACAAUACAAGUUUUCGGUUAAGGCCCAGAAACAAUACCAACAAUGUCCAUCCAUGGCAGCCCAUCUAUAUAACCAGGAAGGAACUAAUGUCCUAGAAAAACGGUUAAAUUUUAAUUUAAUCCCUCUAUUAUGCUUAAAUUUGAGAUUGAAUCUCCAUACUUUGGUCCUUUUAUUUUUGUAAUGUUAUUAAUAAGGUCCAAAUAACUAAUAUAAUUAACUUUUAAUUUAAGAUGAUAUGUGUUUAUAUAUAAUUUAAAUGUCCUAAGGGUAUCAAAGACGAACACAUGUCUUUCCAUUUCUUUUGGAUUUGUCUUCUUUCCUUUUUUGACAUUAUAAGACAAUGAUCAAACUUCAAUUUUAGCUCCUAUAGUAUGUUGAAACUUGAUAUUUGAUUUACACACUUUAAUUUUUUAUAUAAUUUGGUACUUCUAUUUUUAUAAUGUCAUUAGUUAGUUUAAAUACUUAAUAUUGUUAACUUAACGAUAUUAAGUAUUUUAAUCAGAAUGCUUAAAUCAAUUUUUCUUAAGAACAGCAUGCCAACAAAAAAAGUAUUAUUUUAUAAUGAUGAGUUCAAAUAGGUGUUUUUAAGAAAAAAAAAUUCACAUAAACAUUUUCAAUGUUAAUUUUUAUUGUUAUACAACUACCAAGUGAUUUUUUUAAAAAAUUUCAAAAUGUCAAGCCAAUGAAUUUAAUAUAAGAAUUUUAAUUGUGGUACAACUUGACUUAAAAGCUUAAACCCGAAAGGUAUGGGGACACAAUUUUUGAAAAUAAAAGUAGAGGGACUAAAUUCCAAAUGUAUGAAGUGUAUAAAAACUUAGAGUAUAUUUUAACUUUCAAGGUUUUACUCCAUUUUUCUGGUCGAAACCAUAAUAUUUACCAUUGGUAAGCGUAACUAAACUUCCUCACCACAAGUGCUCUCUAAAAAAAUAAACCGUUGGUGAUGAAAUGUGAUUCAUUCACUUUAAAUGCAUAUUUUUUUUACUCCAUUCGAGUAUGAAAUUAAAAGGUAAACUACACAAACUAUAAUAAACUAUAAAAAAAUCAUUUUAGACACAAAAAAUAAAAUAUAUGUAAUUUAGUCACUCGUAUUUUAAUCACUCCCAUUAAAAUGGAAGAUGGACGUCCACGUGGAACUUUUUUAAAAAUUUUAUUAAUAUUUAAUAAUUUCCGACUAAUAAAUUUUUUCCACGUCUGAAAUUCUUUUAGCCUAAACCUAAGCUAAUAGUGAAACUAAGGAAAAAUUUUCUUCAUUCUAGUGCUAGAAAAAAAAUUGCAGUCACCCUUUCCCUUUCUCGCCCAAUCUCAGCCUCAACCACCUCCCUCUCUAGUUUCUCAUGCUCUGCUUUGGCUUCCUUGAUGUGCCUCAUCCCGGCUUGCCACCCCAAGCUUUUUAUAGUGGAGGUCAGUUUGGGGUAGCUCUUUAGCUCCGAGGCUCGGUUUUAAAAAUUUUAAAAUAGUAAAGGUAAAAUUAUAUUUUAGUCUUUUUAAAAAUGAAAAUUUUUGAUUUAAUCUUUUAAAAAUUAUAAAAAUAUAAACUAAUUAAUGGUGAAAAAAAAAUUUUGCUAUCAUAAAAAUUACAAUUUAAUUUUAACCCCUUAAUUUUUUUUCUAAAUUUGACCCUGUUAUAUAAAUUACCUAAAACCUAAAUUAAAUGAUAGGUUAAUUUUAAAAUAUUGUUUAUUGUUAAUACAAAAGGGUUGGGAGGAAAGAUAACAUAAAUCAUACUCCACCUUUGCACUAUAUAUUAUACAUGCUUUCUUUAUCAUCAUAAUUUGACAGAUAUAAUACAAAGCAAGUCAAGUCAAGUCUUGUGAAAUAUUGAUAGAAUAAAGCAGGCUUUGUGGGAGACUUAUUUGGUUAUGGUUUAACUUAACAUAUGCUUUUGGCUUGGAGUGAAAUAACAUAAGAUUGAAUACUGAUAUUUUAUCUUCUUGUGGAUGAUAUUAUUAACCAUAUGGCGUGGACGGUAGGCUAGGGAAUUUUUUACUCUUUAUGUCAUCCAUAUUUACCAUUGAUAACCACAAUAAUUUAUUUUUUAAUAUAAACAUGACUUAUAAAAUUUCAACCACUUCACAUUAAAAUAAAUCUGUGGUAAUUUAAAGAUUAAAAGAUGUUAUAUAUUCAAAUAAGAAUUAAAAGAUAGUGUUGGUUUGAAUAGGUUAUGAGACAUAAGUAAUGUUUGGAAGAAGUGACUAAUUAAGUGGAUAUUUUUUCAAGCUCUGCGUUAACAGGAAUAUAAUAGGAGAUAACAAAAAGUUUGCUUACACAGCUCGCGGAGCCUAGCUCUGUGAGAAGUAUCCGCUAUCUCCAAACAAUUUCAGCUAAUUACCCUAAAUUUAUCACACCCAAGUGACAAUUUCCUCACUUUUGUACUUUUGAAUAUUAGAACCCUCGCCACUAAAUUCACCCCUGUGAACUAAGCAUGUAAAACCACAACCCAAAGGAUUUACAAUCAAAUGCACUCUUACAAAUAAUGCUCUUCACUUGAACAGAUUAAGUGCUCUCGAUUCUCAAACAUAAUCCUAUACAAGUCUCUCAAUUAUAUAGAGUUGUUCGAGACUUGCUAACAUAGAGAAGAUCUAUAACAAUCUCUAUAAAACAAUCACUAUUUAAGUUGAAUAAAAUAUAAUAAUAGCAAACAAGGUAAACAAGAACUGUUGGUAAACAAGAACUGUUGGUAGAUAAGUUGAAUAAAAUAUAAUAAUAAAAUAUAAGUCUUUAAGGGAUUAGAUAAGUAUGAUUCGAUUCGAUUCGAUCCAACCCUCUUUAUACAUUUCCUCAAGUGAUAUAAUCUUCAUUGGUGGGCUAGAUACGAUCCACAAUCUCAAUAUAACCAAAAUAUCCAGCUCAGUAAAUUGCCAACAACUCAAAUAUGGAAAUAGCCUAAUCUGUUGUAGUUGGCCAAGGAGUGGGCACUCUCUCAGACACUUCUUCAGUUUUUCUAUAUUUUCAGCAAUCUCCUCAUUUGGAAAUUUUUUGAACAAAGCACAAACAAAGUAGGAAGCUUAAACAUAAAUUAACAACUCGCUCCCUCUUAUUAUAUUUCCUUUUAAUCCAACAAUAAUGAAUCAUGAAAAAUAUAUGCAACUAAAGUAAUCAUCAUUUAUUCACCAAAUGAAAUCCAACCAUUAGAAGUUGCAAAAUCAAGAAACAAACCUCCAAAAACCAUAAGUUCCAAAAAACAACAGUAGCAUCAAUGAAUUUGAUGCAAAAUAUGAAUCUCCCCUAUCAUCAGUAGCUUCCCCUUACUCUCUUUCUCUCUCUUUUUGAUCAACAAGAUUGCCAACUUAUUCUUUGUUAGGAAGGGAUAUUAGAUUAGCACAAAGAGCCUUUUGCCUAUAUAUGAUCUUCUUCAUAGUCUUGGCUUCAAUAAGGAGUCUGGUAAUGUGCCUAUCAUUAGCUUCAAUAAAAGAUGUGAGAUCUUCAAUCAUCACUUUAUGAAUAUCAUAAGGAAUAACCGUGGGGCUUGGAAAAGUUGGCACUUCUUCUUGCUCAACAUCAUCAUAUCAAAAUUACUUCCCCUCAACAGCAACAUCACAUCUCCCCCUCAGUAGAACCCAUCAUAUUUAGACAAUAACAAUUUAGGGCCUUUCUUAUCAUUGUAGGGCUAACUUCAUACCAUUCUCCAUAUAUAAAUGCCUUUUAAUACAACUUACUAUUUUUGUUACUUAAUACUUUGUAGCAAACUAACAUAAAACUUCAUAACAACAUUACAAACACACGACUUGACAUAACUCAUUGACCUUAACAAACCACUUUUUUCCAAUAAGUACAUCUAUGCCAUGACCAACAAACCCUUCAAAAAUAUGAUAAUAGGUUGGAUGAAAUAAUUUGGUAUCAAAGUAUAAUUGGUAAAUUGUGUAAUGUAUAUGUUUACGUAAUACUAAAGGCUAGAAAUGAGUAUAUGUAACUCGUAACUUUGCUAAAAUGACAUAAUUGAGAUAUUGGCUUGGUUGUUUAGGUGUUGCAAAAUGGUACCAUUUGGAUCUUUUGGAAACAGAAAAUUAUGUCACGAUGAGGAAUCAACAAUAAGUUGCAUCAUGACAUGGAAACCCCAAUCGUGACGUCAACUGAUAGUUUGCAAAUGUUAUAUUUUGGUCCUAAUUAGACUUCAAGUUAGCAUAUGAGCUUUCGUAAACUCGUAUUAGACUCGAAUAUUAUUGAAAAAUAUAUUGUGAAAGCAUAAUGUAGUUAGUAGCAUGUGAAAAAGGUUAAAUUGGAUCGGUGUUGCUCUGACAACAAAAGUGGCAUAUAGAGGGGUGCUCCUAGAGGUUGUACCUUGGAGUUUUAGCCAAACCACAAAAGUAGAAAUUUUAAAUUAUGUAUGUAUUAGUAUCAAUUGUUGUGUUUAGUUAAUUUUCUAGAAAGUGAAUUUUAAAUAAUGUUAACCGGUUAUCCAGAAUUUGUAUCAUUCGGAACCUGGACUCGGUGAACGGGUCAGGAAUUGGGUGUUACACAAAGUCCGUGAUGAAUGCACAAAUAGCAUCCCAUAGAGGUUAAUUGAUGAAAUUGGGCUCAUUCGACCCAUUUGAACUGGCCCAAUUCGUAGAACACAUGGAGAAACCCAUAUACUUAAAGCCUUGGUUGCCUAAUGAAACACUUAAUGAAAAUUAGGGUUACCUUGGUAAAUAUGACAAGUAAUCUUAUAAGAUAUAUAAUCUGAUAAGACUUGAUUAUGUAAUAUUAAAGGAUUGUGUAAAACCUUUAAGAAUCUCAAUUGUAGGUAGGCUGUAAUAUUGAUCGUCGAUGUAAUUUAAUUUGUACCAUAGGAUUUGAGGGAGUUUAAAUAUAAAUAGAGGACUCCCCCUCAUUUGUAAUCACUCAAUUGUAAUCCAUCAUAGUAAUUGACUACUAUUGAGAGCAUUUACUCAAACACUUGACGUUUUUUCUUUCUUGUGACUUUUCUAUUCUUUUGUUGUUUUUUCGUUUUGAGUUGUUUCUACUUUAAUUUCUGUGCGUUGGAGAAUUUUAUCGAGAAUUCUCACUUUGUGAAAGUUUGGCUGACUUAAGCAGAUUUGAAGCAAAGAAAUCUCCUAAGGUUGCAUGGAUUGCCAAACUAAAGUUCUAGCCCCGUGACAAAGACAGAUACCCCAAACAUCCUUCUAAAAGUUAGUGUUACGCCCAUUACCAAUUGAUGAAUGAAUGUUGUACAUAAUAUCAUCUCAAACCCUUGCAAUGGACCGCCAGACAUGAGAAGCAGCUGGUUGAUUAAUGCUAGCUGGACAUGUUUCCACCAUGUUAUAUUUAGAGUGUAAAAUUUGAACCCACAAAGCUUCUUUAUUGGUCAAAAUUGUGAAGCCUAAUUUCAUUAAGAAGGAAUGGUUAUUCAAAUUCAAUUUUCAAAUACCUAAACCCCAUGCUCAUAGGGUUGGCAACAUGGGUUCCAAGACACAAGAGUUGGCUUCUUCGAAUCAAUACCCCCUUAAAUAAAGCUUCUAACAAUGUUAUCAAUUUCCAUACAAAUGCCUAUAGGGAUCUUAGUAAUUCGCAUGUAAUAAGAAGAGAUUAAGAAUAACACUAACUUAGCAAGUGUAACACAAGCCGCUAAUGAAAGAAAUCUAACAUCCCAUCCAUUAACCGCUGAUGAAGUUUCUCAAUAAUAAAGCGAAACGUAUCUUUGGUGACCCUUUUAUGAAAAAGUGAAUACCCAAGUACUUUCUCAAAUGAAACUUGUUGGAAGCCUGGGUACUUCACCAUGUUUUAGUAAAUGAGUUAGCAAUAGACUAAUUUCAAUUGGUAAUUUUUAGCCACUCACAUGGCUUGUUUCGAGAAAAAAGGAAAAAAUUCUGCUUAUUUUGAAUGUCUUUUUUUUACUAGAGUUUUUACUCAUCUUUCUAACUUCAAAUGUAAAUUUGCACUAGCUAUUCUUUAUUUUAUGUCUAACUAUUGUAAUACAUAUGGAAUCAAUGAGCCUUUUCCUCAUGUUCUUACAUGAGAAACCGAACAAGUCAUAAAUGAUUAAUAUACUAUUUGAUACUUUAUUUUGGCUUCAAUGUUCAAUUUGGUACCUCAAAUUUUUUUUAUCUCAAUUUGGUAGCUGAGUUUGGAUUUGAUGUUCACUUUAGUACGUAAAUUUUUCCAAUUUCAUACUUGAGUGUUUUUGUCACACACCUAAAUUGAGCCUAAAAAUUUUGAGGGUAAAUUAGGAAUUUUGGCUCAAAAUAGGUUCAGAGAUUUUGAAUUGUGGUAACCUAAAAUUAUUUUUUACUAUAGUUUCCUUUUAAAUCAAGUCAAUUUUUUAAAAUAAGGUUGAAAAGAUCUUUAAUUUUAACAUAAGGAUUAUUUUGUAAAAUGGUUUGAAUUAGGAGUACCAUUAAGGUAAAUAUCCUAAAGUUUUAAAAAUACCAUAUUUUCCCCAUUCAUAUAUAUAUUAGUCAUGAUACUUCUUCUCCAUCUAUUUGUUGUUGUCACCCAUUAUUUUCCCAAACCCUAUUCCUUCAAUUUUGAUUCCCAAACUUCAUUCCUUUGAUUUCUAUCAUCACCCAAGCCAUAAAUUUCAAUAGAAUUUUAAGAAAAACACCAAAAACACCAUUGAAUUUGGCAUCUUUCAAGUUUGUGGGUUUUCUAAAAUUUUGACUAAGCAUCUAUUUUUUCUUCCAUCGAAGGUAACAAAUCAUUUUCUUAUUAGUUUUUAAUGUUGUCAAGCUUUUGAAACUGAGUUUUUAUACAUUAAAUCGUAUGUUUUGAAUAAAAGCUGAAAAUUGGGUCGUUAAUGUUGGAUUUUGAGAUUUUGAGUAAACACGUGGUUUCAAAAUGUUUUUCAAUUAAUUUUUGCAUGAUUAGAAAGUUUCUAAACAUUAUUUAAAGUUUUGUUAAAGAAUUCUAAUGUUUUAUGGAGUGUUUGUGAAAAUUCCAUUAUAUGUCGAAAUUUUGGAUCUAUGAAUCUGCAUAGUUUUGAGAAGUUUGAAGGUUGAGAAUUAUUCUUAAAUAUAUAAUUAGACUAUUGGAUCAAUUAUAAGUAAUGGGAAUGAGUAAAUAUUAAGAUAUUUUAAUUUCAAGUUUGUUAUAUCGAAAGUUUCGAUUUCAAGAGAAUUUAGCUUAGGCCUAUGUUUUUAGAUUAUUUUGGUGAGUCCUUGGCUGAACGUUGAUUGUGUUGUUGUGUGAAUUAUUUGGUUGAAACUUCGAAAUUGUUAGGACCUUCUACAAGUAAAGAGAAAGGCAAGGAUGUAACACCCCUAACCCUUACCCGUCGCCAGAAUAGGAUUACGGAGUAUUACCAAAAUUUACAGAUCAAAUGACAGAUAUUUCAUAUCAUCUAGCAUCCAUAUUAGAAACUAAUAGGAGCCAUUGAGGCUCAAAAUACACAUUAGUAACAAGUCGGGACUUAAUCGGGUACUCAGAUAAUUUUUCAGAAAAAAUCAAAAGUUUUCAAAUGAGCAGGGGACACACGCCCGUCUGGCCAGGCCGUAUGGCUCACACGAUCAAGAGACACGCUCGUGUCCCAAACCGUGUGGGCAUUCAAAAUUGGGGCACACUUCCGUGUCCCGGCCUAUGUCAAAAUUAGGGUGCUUACUGACUUGGGUCACACAGCCAAGCCACACGCCCAUGUGCUUGGCCGUGUGAGCAUACUGACUUAUAAAAUUAAAGUGCAGGGGUCACACGGCCAAGCCACACGCCCGUGUGCUAGGCCAUGUGAAUAUUUUGAGCAUUCUAUUUCUCAAUUUUUAAGAUGUAGGGGACACACAGCUAAACCACACAUCCAUGUGCUAGGCCAUGUGUCACAUACGGCUGGGACACAAGCCUGUGUCUCUACCCAUGUGGAUGAAAAUAGGCCAUUUUAAGGCCACAUUUCUCACUCAUUUUGAUUUCAACCUAAACACAACAUUUUAACACAUCAAUAAAUCUCAAACCAACAAUCAAAACAAGCUAAAAUCAUGUCUUAAACAUAACAUAACAUCAUAUAUAUACCCAAAUAGCUAAACUUACCUAUUUAAUCCAUCUAACUAGUCUACUAAAGUUAACCACAAAUUGAAUACAAUAAACCUAUAUCAUUCACAUCAACAUCACCAAUAUGUCUCAUUUCCAACCCAACAUAUAUAUAUAAGCAAAAUUAUAAUUAUUAACAUUUAUACAAGACUAACUUUGAUUAAAUCCACACAAACUCUAUACAUGCGAUAUAAACCAUAUUGAACGUACAAAAACUACUAAAAUAGACUGAAUAGUGUGACUUGAUGUGUUGAUCCGAUCUUCCGACCUCACAAAAAUUUACAAAGACAUUAAACCACAUAAGUAAGCUUAAUGAAGCUUAGUAAGUUCGAUGGGUUAAACAUAAAUCUUAUCGAACCUACUAUAACACAUCAAUUAAAUAAAUUCAUUCAAUGUAAACUCCCUGCCAAUCACAACUUCAAUCGAUGAAUACACUUAUUUUAAGUCAAUACCAAUAACAAAACAAUAUGUCUUUUAAUUUCAAUUACAUAGUCACUUACUAAAUAUUCCCAAAUCAGAGAACAACUUACGGAUAAGAGUACAUCAUUUUCAGAAGCCCAAAGGCUGAACAGAAGAUCAUGAGAGCUAAACAGAAACCCAUAAGGGCUGAAUGGAAGCUCAUAAGAGCUGAACGGAAACCCAUAAGGGUUAAAUGGAAGCUCAAAAGAGCUAAAUGGAAACUCAUAUAAGUUAAACAGAAGUUCGUAAGAGCUAAACAGAAAGUAAAACAUGAGAGUUCGCAAAAAAUGUUGAACCUCAGUUUACUUGGGUAAUUUUUUGUCAUUUUUCUCCAAUGUCGUCAUGCGCCACAGAACGAAUAUACUCAAAUCCCGCGUUUUAAUCUAAAUAUCCAAUUCAAAUUUAUAACUUUAACAAUAUUUCAUUUUCAACAAUAGAAUAAAUACAUAAUACCAUUCAUCAAUUCAAUAUAAAUAUUAGAGUUUAACCGUACGAACUUACUUGGGUUAAAUUAUAAUAUUUGCAGGAGUUUAGGGACUAUUCCGCUAUUUUUCCAUUUUCACGAGUAUCUACGGGAUCUUGAUCUAAAAUAUAAAAUUAUUCAUUCAUUAACAUAUAUUUCAGUUUUAAUUCAUUUCACAAUUAAUACCCUUCAAUUUUUCAAAUUUACACAAUUACCCUAAACUUUCACAACUUUUACAAUUUAGUCCUUAACUAAUUAAUCUUAUCAAAUUAACUAUUUCUUCUCAAUUAAUAAUUUAUCUAAAUUUUAUAGGCUAUCAUAUAGCCCUUGAUAAAAUAAAAAUUUAAUACCAAACCCUAAUUCUUUAAUUAUUCACAAUUUGAUCCUAAAAUCAAUAUUUAACAAAAUCACUUUAUAAAAUCAUUAUAAAAAAAAUUAAAGCUCUAAAUCCAUGUUAUUCAUCUAAAACAUCUAAUACUCAUCAAUUUCAACUUUCAGAAUUUUCAAUAAAAUCAAAAACUAAUGUAAUAUUAAGUUGGACUUAAUUGUAAAAGUAUCAAAAACAUAAAAAAUUAUAAGAAAAAGGCAAGAAUUGAACUCACUUGAAGCAAAAAUAUGAAAAUCGGCUUAAGGGAACUCUCCUAUGGCAUUUUGGACAGACAAUUGAUGAAGAAAUUGUCUAGAAACUUUUAGAUUUUCAAUUUGAUAUUUUAAUUUCACUUUAUUUACAAAUUUACCAUUAAAUGGCUUAUUUUAUUAUUUUUUUUCUUACUUAUGCCGCCUCAUCUAUCCCACUUAGGCAUAUUUACUCCUUAAGUCCUCUUUUUUUAAUAAUUAAGCCAUUAAUCGCUAUUUCUUAUAAUUAACAAGUUUUGCAUAUUUUUCAAUUUAGUCUUUUUUAAUUAAUUAACUAUCGAAGCGUUAAAAUUUUCUAACGAAACUUUAAUACUACCUUAAGGACACUCCAUAAAUAUUUAAAAAAAUAUUUACAGCUCAGUUUAUAGAAAUAAGGUCUCGAUACAUUAUUUUCUAAAAUCACUUGACCUAAGAUUUUAUCACUCGAACCUAAUAAUUCAUUAUAAAACUUAAAUUGCCAAUUCAAAAUUUUUCUAAAACCACAUUGACUCAUAAAUACUAAAUAAUAAAAUUCACGAGCUUACUUGUCAGAUUUGGUAUCCUCGAACCAUUGUUUUCGACACCACUAAAAAUCAGGCUGUUACAAAGGAAAAACUAGUUUGAGCUUUCGGUGUAUAGGUGAAAGGGUGAACGGUGAGUGUUUGGAAUCACUGCUUGUAGACACGAUUAAUAGCGUUAAUUGAGAAUUUAGAAGUAGCCUAAACCCCUACUCUAAAUUCCGAGUGUAAGCUUUAUCAUACUAUUGAUUUAAUAUGUGAUUAUGUGUUGUGAAUUUGUGGAUUAAGUUAUGAUAUUGUGACAUGUGAAAUAAGCUUAUGAUGGCUAUUAUGAAAGAGUUGAUUGUGGGCAUGUUAUACAUGCCAAAUGACAAUGAUUAUGUUGUGCUUAUAAUGCGAUUAUGUAGUGAAAAAGUGCAAAAAUGGUAAGUAAUAUGUGUGUUUAAUAAUGAAUAUUUUGGCCUUGUGAUCUUUGAAACCGCUAGAUAUAGUUGGCAUGUCAUAAGAUUGUGAGUACUCACCUAUAUGUGUUGUGUUUUAAGGGUGCUAAGGCCCAGGACAGUUUUGGAGAGAUAAGGAAAUGUGAGCUAAGCUCUAUUCAUCGGGAUAUAUUGGUGUGUUGGAGAGUAUUAGCUAUAUGCUUCACUUUUGGGAUAUGUUCGACUCUACGAGUCAUUUGGUAUAUUGGAGAUCUAUGUAUCUGAUGUAUGGUGAUAGAGCCCACUUUUAUGUUCCAUAGCUUAAGUGCCAAAUUAUCAUUAAAUGUGAUUAUGUGUGAUGUGAUAUAAGCUUAAAUGAGUAUGUGACUUCUAUGUAAAUGAACAUUUGAAUAAUGCAUGAUUAAGUAAUAUGAUGCUAAAGUUGGAAAUGUUGUAAUUAGACUAUAUGAAUGCUUCGUUAAUGCAUGAUGACAUGUUUGCGUAAUAGUUAUUCUAAUCAUUCACUGAGCUUGUUUAAGCUCACCUACUCAUUUUUAAACCUCUGCAGACUGUUAAGCAUUGCGGUGUGAGCGGUGUGAAAUAUUUUCCAAGGGACUGAUCCAAGUAGUUUAGCAUUUGAGUAGGUGAAUUAUAGUAUUAUUUUGAACUGUGGGAAUAAGGCAUUGUAGUAGACUUGUUGCUUGAAUGUUGCCAUGAUGUUUUGGGAUGAUUACUUGGACUUGUUACUCACAAAAUUUAUAGACGUUUGAAAUUGGUUUAUUGGUAUUGCUUAGCUUAAACUAUCAUUGAUGCUUUGAGCUGUAUUUUCGGAUCAUUUUGAAGCUAAACUUUGAGCUUAUAAAUGCAUGAUUAGUUGGUAUAUGUAUGGUUGUGUUAAAUGUUCUAUUUUGAUGUUAUUUUUGUUGAAUUAUGCAGAGGUAUCAAUAACCGGGACAUAUGUAUUGAUACUUGCGUGAUUUAAUCAGUGUAGCAACACCUAGUGCUUAUGUCGCGAUAUCGAAAGCAAUAUGCUCGAUUCCUGGUUCAGCUCCAAGCGUGUGUCACGACAUCUAAUGUCUGUGUCGCGACAUCAAAGACAAUCUUGGUAUAUGUGUGAAGCUUUGAUGUUUGAUGAAGCGUUCUGUUACUCAGGUCCGACGGCUGGGCCGGGUACGAGAUGUUACAUUUUUUUGUCCUGGUUAAGUACCUUAAUUUGGCUUCGAUGUUCAAUAUAGUAUUUGAGCUUUUUAUAUCCCAAUUAAGUACCUAUUUUUUUUUACUAAAGCACACAUGUCAAAUAUUUGUUGGGCCACAUGAUAUUUGGCUUAGGUACCUAAUUGGACAUUGAAGCCAAAUAAGAAAACUCAGGCAUCAAAUUAAAUAUUAAAGUCAAACUUAGGUACCAAAUUGAAAAAAAAACUCAAGUAUCAAAUUAAAUAUUAAAGUCAAACUUAGGUACCGAAUGAUAUUUUAAAGCAAUAUUAAAUCCACGAACUUAAAGUAUUUAUUAACCCAAUUACCCAAACUUCAUUGGUAUUGAAUUUAAAAAAAACUUAGCCCUUAACAUAUAUAUUUUAUAUUUCUUUUUGUCAAUUUGACCUUUAUUUUUGAACUAAAUUUGACCUUCAACCUUUUAAAAAGAUUAGAAUUUGACCAUCAAUAUUUCAAAAAGAGUUGAAUUGUUUUUUAAUGGAAAAAUUGACUAAAACAUUAAUUUUUUAAACAUUGCAGAUUGUAUGGCAAUUCUCGUGUACAUCAUACUAUUUUUUAAAAAUUCAUGAACUUUUUAUAUUCUUUAAUUUUAAUUUGUUUAAUAUUUUAUAAUAUUUAAUUUAUUUGUUGAUGUAACAUAUAAGAUAAAUAUUGUUAUAUUAACAUGUAGUACACAUGGAUUGUCAUGUAGGUUGCCAUACCAAUAUUGUUACAAAAAGUUAAUAUUUUAGUCAAUAUUUACAUUAAAAAAAGUGAGUUAACUCUUUUUGAAAUAUUAAUGACCAAAUUUAGCUAAAAAAUAAGAGUCAAAUUGAUAAAAUAUAUAAACAUUGAGAAUUAAAUUUAGGCAUAAUAAUUUUUUUGGCCUUCCAACUUUACAAAAAAAGUCAUUUUAGCCCUUUAUUUAUUUUUUCGUCUUUUUUAACACUUGAACUUACGGUUUUUUGUGUGUUAAAUCACCUAAAAAUGAAUGGAAAUGUUAACAUUUAUUUAACAUUGUUGACAUUGCAUAUAUGUAGAUUAUCACACAUUAACAUUUUAUUAUUUUUAAAAAUUUUAAAAAAUAUUUUUAAAAAAUUUUAAUUUUUUUAAAAUUUUAAUUUAUGAAGUGGUAUAGAAAGAAACCUAUCUCAUUUGGACUUUAACUUUGCAUGCAAAAUCUUGGUCAAGUCGCCGUACAUAAUUUAUGAAGUGAUUCUUGCUUUUCUUGUUAUUCCAUUUAUUUAGGUUUAUUUUGGACCUGGUUUUUUAAAUCAUAAAAAAAAAUUAAAAUUUUAAAAAAUAUAUCAAAAAGGUAUUAAAAUUAUAUAUAUAUAUAUGUUGACACCAUUUUUUUGUUAAAACGGGGUCGACUUUGGUUUUAAAAAUAAAAACGAAAAUGGGAGUCGCCACCAAUCUUUUUUGAUGAGGUGUGAUCGGGUCACCUUGAAAAAUGGUUGUUUUUAAUAAACGAUUUAAUUUUUAUUAAAACAACGAUUGUGGUCUACGAAAUUCAGAAAACGGGUUCGGGAGUCGGUUACGUACGAGGAAGGAUUAGCACCCUCGUAACGCCCAAAAUUGGUACCUAGUUGAUUAUUUAAUGUAUUGAUGUCGAAAAUUAAAAAAACUUGAAAAGAAUUUAAAAAUACGAUCCCUCUUUCUAUUGUGUUAUUUUAAAAAUACCCGAACAAAUCAAAAUGAAAAAUGCCUCCUUAUCUCGAAGUAACAAGAUGUCACAUCUAGUGAGUUAGGACACGACACCUCGUAUUUUGAGAGUAAGCUUGCCUUUAUUUUUUAUUUAAACCUUACUUAUUUUAGUUUUUAAAGGAUAUUCGGUUAUUUAGGAUCAACGCGAGAAAAAUCGAAGCUCAGUAAGUUAGGGCACGAUCUCUCGAAUUUUCUAAAUACGGAAUAUUACCUUUAUUUUCGAAAAAUCCUCGUAUCGAGAAAACUACGUGUCAUAUCCAAUGCGUUAGGACACAACAUAUUGAAAUCCGAUAAUGAGUUUUUAUUUAUGCUUUUUAUUAAAGAGCAUUCUCGAUUAUUUAGAUUCAACAAAAAAAUUUGAACCCAGCACGUUAGGGCCCAAUUCUCUCGAAGAUCCCAAGUAUCGAGUAUUGCCUUUAUUUCCAAAAUUUUCCUUUUUUACGAAUUCGGGUAAAAAUUGAUGUGACGGAAUAACAAUUACGAUAAUGCUUGUAAAAAUAAUACGAGCAAAAAUAACAAAAAAAAUCAAUUAUACACAAUAACAAGUAAAUAAACAACAUAAAAAAAACUAAAACAUUUUUUAAAAUAAUAAUGGACACAUAAAUAAAUAAAUAAACAUAAAGUAAAACAAUAAUGAUAAUAAAGAAAUGAAUAAAAUUUUAAAAAUUUUAAAAAUGUAUGUAUGAAUUUAAAAAAUUUAAAAUACAAAAAAAACUAUGUAAGUAUAUAUAUAUAAUGAAAAUAUGUAUGUCUAUACGUAUAUAUAUGUGUAUGUAUAAGAAUUAUAAAAAAAAUAAAAACAUAAUUACAUAUAUAUAAAUAACAUGCGCAUGUGUGUAUAUAUAUAUAUUAUAUAAAGACAAAAAAAGAUAUAAAUAUGUAUAUUAUAAAAAUAAAAUAACGUAAGUAUGUACAUACAUUUAUAAGUAUAUGAAUUAAAAUAUGUAAAUAUAUAAGUAUAUAUAUAUGCAUGUAGGGAAUAUGAAAUAUAAAAAAAUAUAUAUUUAAAAUAAAUAAAUAAUAUGUACAUGUAUAUAAAUUAUAAAAAGAGUAUGUAUGAGCAUAUAUAACGACUUAAAUCAAAUAAUACAAAUAAUAAGAAAGAUAUUAGGUAAAUAAUAUAUAUAUAACUUAAAAUAAAUAAUAGAGGAACUCCCCUUUUCUUUUUUCAAAAAAAUAAAUUAAUUAAAUGAACUAAAGGAUGAAAUUAAAAUCAAAUCAAAAUUCAGGGGUCCAAACUGUAAAUAAAUAAAAAAGGGAUCGCCGAUGACUGAAAUGAAACGUGCUCAAAAUCAAGGGACCGAUUGUGAAAAUUCCCCUUCCCUUAUGCGUAUCGUUUUGCGCAGGACUAGGUUGGAAUAGACGCUAAAUUAUAUGGCCAAAAUCGAAAAUAACAAAAAGGUCAGAUUGCACCUCAGCUCCAGAUGAAGGGACCGAAUGCGCAAAUUACCCAUUAGGGCAAAGAGGCCCAGGUCACCCCCUCAAACGGCGCCGUUUUAGCUUCUAUAAAUAGCACAAAAAAAACAAAAAAAACAAAAGAAGUCCCUUCCUUUACUUUUAGAAAGAAAAAACAGAGAGCCAAGGGUCUCUCCCUCUCAGCCUUUCCAGAUCCGGCCAACCAGGCCAUUGCCAUGCACCGCCGCGACCGCCUUGGACGGUGGCCGUCGUUGCGCAUAGGGGCUACUUUAAACCCCGUUUCAGAUCCUGUUCAGAGGCCGAGCUUGCUUGGCCUGAAUACUGAGAGAAAGAACCUUUUGGCCCCGCCUUUAGAGCCGAUUUUGGCGACGGAGAGGGCUCCGACGACGCGGCCAAGGGCGCCCCAGGUAUUUCUUUCCUCCUUUUAUUUUCGUUUAUCAAAAAUAAAAAAAAAACAAUAAUAAAAAAAUAAAGGUAAAAGAAUAUAGAAAGAUUGAAAAUAAAGAGAAUCCUUAAAACUUUGUUUCUUUCUUUUUAUUUCUCCAGAUUCGUCCAAGAGAAGAAGAAGAUUACAAGUUUUUCAUUUUUGGCUUUAUAGCCAAUCCAAACAACUCUUUGAUGUCUACUUUUUGUUGUUUUGCGAUUUGGAUUUUCUCUGUUGUUUUCUUCUUUUGUGUGUUGUAGGUGGUGUCAGACGCGCAUAGAAGGCUGGCGAUUGGCGAUGGUGGCGGUAGCAUGCGUGAGGGAGCUUUGGCAGAGGCAUGCGGCGCUAGGGUGACGUCCUAGGGGUGACAGAUGAUAGACCUAGGUGCGGCGCACCUAGGUUUUUUUUGCUGAAAACUUGUUAAGGUUUAUGGGCUUGUUGGGCUAGGGUUUUUGAUUUUUUGGCCUGCUAAGUGUGCUUUGGGCUGUUUGGGUUUGUUUCUGUUUGCCUGGGCCUGGACGAAAAUCGGGUCUCACAAUAUAUAUAUAUAUAUAUAUAUAUAUAUAUAAGAAAUGGCGAUUUUUGCUUUCUCAGAACAUGUAAAUCCUUUUAUAAUAAAAUUUUAAAAUUAUAAUAUUCAUUAAUACUGAAAAUUGUAUGCCUUACCAUUGCAAUAAAUAAAUUUAUUAUUGUACGUUUCACUUUUUUAUUUUAUGGACAUAUUUAAUUGUAAUUAAUAAGUGUAUUUUUCAACAUUGUAUUUUUGUUUUGGUGAAUUACAUGAGGAGAGCAAAGUCCUAAUAGCAACGCCAGUAACACGACUUAAACUCAGUCUAUACAUUAGGCAAUAAACACUCUAACCAUCAAGCCAAUACAUGAGGUUCUCAACAUUACAUCUUUACAUCUUGUAUUGGAGUUAACAACUGGUUGAAAAAAUGUCCCUAAAAAUAUAUCAAAUACCAAUACUAUAAUUAGCAAAUUAGAUAAAAAAGAUUCUAUAGCAAGAACUAUAAAAAUUUAUAUUUAUCUAUUGUGAGAUAGAAAAAAGAAAGAAGCAAGAAUCACCAUUUCCAUUUUUUAAAAUAAUUUUUACCAUGUUCUAAUAAUUUCUUUUAUUUUUUUUUAUUUUAAAAGAAUUAUGCCUUUAAAUAAUAAUCAACAUGGAUAAAUAAAUGUCCAGAUUUAAAUAAAUUUAGAUGUCUAUUUGUCUAUAUUUAUUUUCAAUUUGAAUUUUUAAUAAUUUUUUAUUUUUUAUUAAAUUAAACUACUAUGUCAAUAUCGUGCUGGUUGAUUCGGUGGAUAUUAAUGACCAUGUUAAUACGGUAAUAAUCAACUGUGAGAUUAAUUAAAAAACAACAACAUGAAGAUAUUUGAUUUUUUUUUUUAGAAAAUUUCAACUUCUUUGACCAUUUAUUUCUUUUUUUUUUCUUGGCGUGGUUGAUUAUCUUUUCUUCUUUUGUUGCUUUAGAGUUGUCUAAAUUUUCAUUUGUUAUCAUAAAAUAGUGUUAUAAUUAUAUUAUCACCGUCAAACAUAGAAUGACGGUCUCUUUUGUCUCUUUUACUAUGUGCAAUUGUCACCCAAAAAUAUAAUAUUUUCAACAAAACUAAAGUCUUUAUUUAAGAAAUACAUUCUCUAGGAAAGGGUUUAAUUUCUUUUUGGAGGGGAGGAUUUCUUUCUAAGAAAGGGUCGUUUUCUUUUAUUAAAAAUUCACCCAUUCCCAAAGACUAUUUCUAGCAUAAAAAAUAAAAUGUCAAUUUAGCCAAGUCAUGUCAAAGUUUUAGAGUGGAUUUAGAUAGAUGAUGUAUUUAUUUAUAUUUAGUGUAAAAAUAAUAAUAACAAUAAAAUAAAAUUAGAUACAAUAAUAUAAAAUAAAAAAUAAAUUAAACACAUCGCAUCGCAUUAUCCACCCAUCUAAACCUAUACUAUAUUAUUAUCAUAGUGAAAUGGGUGAAAUCUGUGUCAAGUUAACAGCCGCAAUACAACCAUAGUUUGGUUUGGUGAUGCAAAGAAGGGAGAAUGAAUAGAAAGAGAAUAUCUGACUGUAGUAAACGAGUCAUAGUUAGGUUUGGUGAUGUAAGGAGACGAGUAAAUGAGUUAAAGAGCAAAUUGGAACACUGUUGCUGGACGAAUCCAAAUGUUCUCUGACUAUUAGAGCUUAGCUUUCCAAUUUUCUCUUUAACUCGUUUAUUCAUCUCCUUACAUCACCAAACCUAACUAUGGCUCAUUUACUACAGUCAGAUAUUCUCCUUCUAUUCCUUCUCCUUUCUUUACAUGUUAUUAUUAUAGCUCAAGAAAACGAGUCGAACAUCAUCCGACCACCUUCUUCACUUUAUGCCGGAAAACACCCUAGUUCAUGGCCCUCAUCUUCAGGGUAUUUCCGAUUCGGUUUCUAUCCGCAAGGCAAUGAAUAUGCGGUUGGAAUCUGGCUUGUUGGCCGGUCAGAAAACACCACUGUCUGGACUGCAAAUCGAGAUGACCCGCCUGUCUCCUCAAAUGCUACUUUGGAAUUCACAACACAAGGCAUUUUGCAUCUUCGGACUGAGGACGGAAUGGAAAAAAUCAUUGCGAAUCUGGCCAGGUCGGUAUCUGUUGAUUCAGCUUCUAUGUUGGACACCGGGAAUUUCGUGCUCUACCAGAACAGGACUGUUGUUUGGGAGAGCUUUAAUUUUCCAACGGACACAAUAUUAGGAGGCCAGAAUUUAAGCGGUUCUCAUAACCAGUUGAUCUCCAGUGUGUCAAGGUCAAACCAUUCAUCUGGGUCAUAUUUGUUGAGAAUGCAGGAUGAUGGUAACCUUGUAGCCUAUGCAAAUAAUCCUGCUGAAGUUGAUCCUAGUGAUGCAUACUGGGACACUGGGACUGAUGGUUGGUAUUUUUCUGUGUUGAAUCUCAAUGAGAGAGGCGUUCUAGCAAUGUAUUCAUCACCAAAAUUCCACCAAGAAAACGUUUUGGCAAACCUCUCCGCAACUGGGAACGAAACAAUGAUUAUCUACAGAGCAACCCUUGAUCCUGACGGAAAUUUCAGAUUGUACUCGCAUCAACUCGAAAGCAAUACUAACUCACACAAGUGGCAGAUUCUGAAUGAUGUAUGUGAUGCUAAAGGUCAAUGUGGGCUGAACAGCUACUGCUCCAGCAGGGGUAAGGAUGCUGAGUGCUAUUGCUAUCCUGGUUUCACAUUUAUCGACGAGAAUAGCAAAUCCCUGGGCUGCUCUCAGAAUUUCACUAUAGAUGGGUGCGUGGCAAGGAAAGAUCUAGUGAUACACUACAACAUCACUACCUUAGACAAUAUGUAUUGGGCUGGUGAUCCUUAUUCUGCGAAGCCUAACUUGGAGAAGGAAGACUGUAUGAAAGCUUGCCAGGAGGAUUGCUCCUGUGGCGGAGUUCUCUAUUCUGACCGAAAAAGCUGCAGGAUGUAUAGGCUACCGCUCAAAUAUGGUAAAAGACAUGGAAAUAUAACAACCACAGCCUUCAUCAAGUGUAUCCUGGGUAGCACCAUUAGCCCCCCACCUGAAACAAGUCAAAUAUUGAUAAGCGAAGGAAACCAAAGCCUCAUUUUAACUAUGGGCCUAGGUUUGGGUUCCGUUACAAGCUUGUGUUUUGUGAUUGCUAUAUGUAGCUUCUUAUUAUACAGGCACCGACUCCAAAAUUAUAAGAAGCUUUUAGAAAAUAAAAGUUCAGUAUUAACCGAGCAGUUUACGCUACGAUCAUUCACUUUCGAUGAGCUAGAUGAAGCAACACAUGGUUUUCAAGAUGAGUUAGGUAAAGGUUCAUUUGGGACAGUUUAUAAAGGAAUUUUGCCAGGGGAUGGUAAAAGUAAAACUAUUGCCGUUAAAAGACUGGAGAAAGUUAACGAAGGAGAAACAGAUCAGAUUCGAACCGAGAUGACAGUCAUUGGAAGAACUAAUCACAGGAACUUGGUCCGAUUGCUUGGUUUUUGUGUGGAAGGUUCAAGGAAGCUCCUCGUUUAUGAAUACUUGGGCAAUGGCUCACUGGCAAACUUUCUGUUCAACAUGAAUAAACGCUCAGUGUGGAAAGAGAGAGCCCGAAUUGCAUUGGACGUAGCUAAAGGUAUCCUUUAUUUACAUGAAGAAUGUGAGGGGUGUAUCAUCCAUUGCAACCUCAAGCCCCAUAACAUACUCUUGGAUGAUUCAUUGACUGCAAAGAUUUCAGAUUUUGGAUUGGCAAAGCUAUUGAGGCCUAAUCAAACAUGCAGUACCCCUAGGACCAAAGGAACAGCAUGGUACUCGGCACCUGAAUGGCAAAGCAGUGGAUUGGUGUCGGUAAAAGUCGAUGUAUACAGUUUCGGAGUGAUACUAUUGGAGAUCAUAUGUUGCAGAAGCAACAUAGAAGUACAAGUUUCUAGUGCAGAUGAGAUACUACUUUCUACAUGGGUAUACAGUUGCUUUAUUGGGGGAGAAUUGAAUAAGCUUGUGGUGGGUGAAGAAGAAGUGGACAUGAAAAUGGUGGAAAGAUUUGUGAAGGUGGGGCUUUGGUGCAUUCAAGAUGAUCCCAAUUUGCGUCCACCGAUGAAAAAUGUGAUCUUGAUGUUGGAAGGGACAAUGACUAUACCAGUGCCUCCAUCUCCAUCACUUCUGUUAUAACUUUGAUUUAGUAUUUACUUCAGUGAUGCUUUUCAUGUAAUGCAUGAUGAUGUGCUUAUUUUUCUUUUCUUUAAUGUAAUGUAAUUAUGUAAGAUAAAAGAGUUUAAUUCUAAAAAAAUAAAAUUUCAGUGGUUAAAAAAAAUAGUGUUAAUUAGGGCAGUAAUUCACCAAAAAGUAAAAAAAAAAAAAAAAAACUUUUGUUGAUUUAGUAUUUAUUUAAGUGUAUUGGUAUCUAAUAAACUUUUAAUAAAUAAUUAAAAUAUUAUUUUUAUUAAAAAAUCUGAUAAAUAUUAUUAGCAAGCGAUUGAAUCAAAUUAUCAAUUUCUAAUAAUAUAAAUGCAAAUAUAAUUAAUAAAUAGUGAACUUGGUGAUCAUCCAAGGCACAUUAGCAUGCUCUUGUUCGAACCGGGGUUUGAAGCCAAAUAUUUCCUCAGUAGGAUAGAUGGGGCGAUUCAGAUGAAAUCUAAUAUAGAUUCAACUUUCUAUUCACUCGUGAGAUCUAGGCGAUCUAGGGAAUCACCACAGCUCAUCUCUUCUCGAUAAUUUAUACAUCUCUUAUUACUAUAUGGUAUAAUUGUGUAUGGUAAAACUUAAACAUAAAUACUUAAAAGAAUUUAAGCCUUUGCCUUAACCAACAAACCAAAAUCGGUUUCCACCAAAAGUCAUGGUAUUCUUUUAAGAGUGAGUUUGGAUGAGCGGUGCGUUUAUCUACGGUUAGUGUAAAAACAGCAGUGACGAUGAGAUUAGAUACUGUAGUGAUACUGUAGCGUGAGACAAAAAAUAAGCUAAACGCACCGCACCGCACUCAAUCGUCCAUCCAAACCCACCCAAGUCUUUUUAAAAUUAUUGAUUUAGCCUGUCUGGUUUCAAUUUUUCAUUUGCAUUUACUUUUUGUUAUUUUCUAAUAAUUCACUUUCAAAUACCAAUUAAAUAAUUUAUUGAUAUUUUUUUAACUUUUAUUAUCUUUUAGACUUCAGCUAUUUAUUAUUUCAUCGUCACUUAAAAAAUAGAAGAGAGAAACACCAUAUUUCCCAUGGCUUGGGUGUGGGCUCUUCUCUUGCUCCUUUCUUCUCUCUGCGUGAAGCAGUCAAGCAGCAUCAUUUCGCUGGGAUCUUCGCUUUCCUCGGCCACUCAAUCCAUCCCAUGGCGUUCCCCUUCUGGUCGCUUUGCAUUUGGCUUUUACAGUCAAGGCGGUGGCCUUUCUGUUGGAGUUUGGUUAGACGGCAGAGGAAAGAACGAUAACAAAGUUGUCUGGACAGCGAAUCGUGAUGAUCCGCCGCUCACUUCGAAUGUUACUCUGAUAUUAAAUGACAAAGGUGUGCUUCUUUCGAUCGCUGUGAGCGGAGAAAAUAAAUUUAUUGCUAAUCCAAACAAUUCGGCUGUCAGCGUCUUCUCUGCCUCCAUGCUAGAUUCAGGCAAUUUUGUGCUCUACAACAAAGACAAUCAUACCAUUUGGGAGAGUUUCGAGCAUCCUACAGAUACCCUUUUAGGUGGUCAGACUCUAUUAACUAAUCACGAGUUGAUCUCCAGUUCAUCAGAGAAUGAUCACUCAGGUGGAAGGUUUCAUCUAAGUAUGCAAGGAGAUGGGAAUCUCGUUCUAUACCCUCGACAGUCCGAAGAUUCUGCUAUAAAUGCCUAUUGGAGCACAAAUACUUUUUGGAUGGGCUUGUCGCUCCGCCUUUUUCUUAACGCUACCGGCCUCCUCCAACUCAUCAACAACGAUGAUUCGUCCAUCUACGAGACAAUUAAUCUUUCCUUUUUUCCAGAGCCGACCUACAAUGACUACAACGAAAGCAGCAGCAACAACAACAACAGUACUGUUUUCAGUGCAAGCCUUGAUGUUGAUGGGAAUUUCCGGUUAUAUGCUCAUCUGUUUGAGCGAAAUGGUGGGUUUCAGACUUAUCCACUGUUGAGGGCGUUGUUAAAUUCCUGUAAAGUUAGAGGCUUUUGUGGUCUCAACAGCUAUUGCACAUUUAAUGAUAACCGACCUUACUGUGCAUGCCUUCCCGGGACUGAUUUUAUUGAUCCUCUUCAGAACAACCUCGGCUGCAAGAGAAAUUAUUCUGAAGCACACUGUAAAGGAGGGAAGGCCAAUAUACCCUUUUAUAAAAUGACUUCAAUGCCAGGUAUUGAAUGGACUACGGGCAGUUUUUACGGUAAAGAGCGAUUGUCCAAGGAUGCGUGCAGCCGAACAUGUUUGGAAGACUGCAAUUGUGAGGCAGCACAGUUCGACAAUGGGAUUUGCAGGAAACAAAAGCUUCCACUCAGGUAUUUGCUACGAGAUCCUGAUGCCCAAGUGAAUUCUACAGUUUUAUUGAAGGUGGGAAUCAUAAGCCUUGAAGCAGACAACGACACUGUUCCCUCUGAAUUAAAGUCACCGAAAGUCCUAAUCAAACGGAAAAAUACGACGGUGCUAAUUCUUCUAACUUUCAGUUUUGUUGCAUGUUCAUGUGCUUUGCUUACCAUCUCUGGUGUAUACAUUUAUAAAUUUCGAGUUCUAAGAUACAAAAGGGUGUUGGAACUUGGAAAUUUGGGCCUAACGGAAGAGCUUACGUUGACAUUGUUUUCAUACAAAGAACUAAAGAGAGCAACAAAUGGGUUUAAAGAAGAGUUGGGUAAAGGAUCCUUUGGAGCAGUCUACAAAGGGUCUUUAAACAGAGGAAGACAGUUGAUUGCAGUGAAGCGACUGGAGAAGUUAGUGGAAGAAGGUGAAAAGGAGUUCCAAGCAGAAAUGCGUGCAAUUGGUAGAGCUCACCACAAGAAUUUAGUUCGACUUUUGGGAUACUGUGUUGAGGAUUCCAAGAGACUAUUGGUGUAUGAGUACAUGGGCAAUGGCUCCCUUGCAGAUCUACUUUUCAAGUCAACAAAGCCCCUAGAUUGGGAUGAAAGAACAAGAAUAGCCCUGGAUGUUGCUAGAGGAAUCCUCUAUUUGCAUGAUGAGUGUGAGACUCCAAUCAUUCACUGUGAUAUAAAGCCGCAGAACAUAUUGAUGGAUGAUUUAUGGAGAGCUAAAAUUUCAGACUUUGGGCUGGCAAAAUUGUUGAUGGGAGAUCAAACAAGGACCUUCACAGUCGUAAGGGGAACUAGAGGAUACAUGGCACCAGAGUGGCAGAAAAAUACUCCAAUAUCAGUGAAGGCUGACAUUUACAGUUACGGAAUUGUGCUGUUGGAGACUGUGUUUUGCCGACGGAACUUGGACACCAAUGUAUCAAAACCAGAGGAGGUCAUUCUAUCAAGUAUGGUGUAUAGAUGUUUGGUUGAAAAGGAGUUGGAUAAGCUAAUGGUUGGUGAAGAAGUGGAUAAAAGAAGCUUGGAAAGAAUGGUGAUGGUGGCACUUUGGUGUAUUCAAGAUGAACCAGCUCUUCGUCCUUCCAUCAAGACUGUAGUGAUGAUGCUGGAAGGGAUCACUGAUAUAUGUAUUCCUCCAUGUCCAACUGCUUCCUUCAUCUAGUUCAAGUGAUGAUCCAACAAUCAAUCAUUUCACUCAAAAGUAUAUGUGUAUAUUGUCAAUAAAUAUGUAAAAUGCUUCCUGUAGUGUCCUCUUAUGAUAGGCUUAGUAUGAAUAUUCAGUUGCAUUAUUAUUACUCAAUCAUAUGUUAAUGAAAUGGUUAAUUUUGAAUGUAAUUUAAGUAUAUCAUUAAACACAAAGUAUGAAGAAUUUACUUACAGGAACUGAUUAUCCAAUCGUAAGAAGCAGUAUUGCAGUAGCCAGUUGAUGAGUUUAUGUAAUAUGUGUAAAACUAUUACUUAUAUAAUGGCCACAUAUAAGGGCAGGUUUACGACCCUAACCCGGCCUAAUGGACUACCAUAAGAUAAUUGGAUAGAGACCUAUUGGACUAAUGGGUCAUUUUGUCACAUAAAAAACUUUUGAGUUGGUAGUCUCUAGUCUGGGCCUUUAUACAUAAAACAACAAUUUUCAGGCCUAAUUGAGUUUCAUUUAGGCUAGAAAAUAAUUUUACUCAAAGCUUGGCCUUAUAAAAUGGAAUAAAUUAUAAAUACAAUAUAUUAAUACUCAAUAGAAAAUUUUAAAUUAUUAUAUACUUUUAUAUUUAAUUAAAUAUAUGUUAAUUGUUAAUUGUUAAAUUUUAAAAUUUAUUUUUUACUAUUUUAAAAUAGAAUUAAUUGUUAUAAUUAAAAUAAAAUAAAAAGGAAUAAAUUAGUAAUAUAAUAAGCUAAUACUCAAUAGAAACAUUAAACUAUUAUACCCUUUUGGGUAUGGAGUGAAUUCAAAACUCAUGACCAACAUUUAUCUUCUUAAUGAGCCUAUAAAAUACGACAAAUUAAUUACUAAACUCGAUCUGAUAGGUAUAUUGAGAAAUUAAAAAAAUAAUUAUUACAAAAUUUCAAAAUUAUUUAACUAUUUGACCCAAAUCAAUUAAUAUCCAAAAUAAUUCAUACAAAAAAACUCAGCCCAUCAACAGGUGUGCUCCCAACCCAGAACAAUAUAAAUCCAAAGAUAAUUCGAUCCGAAUCCGCCAAACCCACCCGUUUGGUUGAAGGAGACCCAUUCUUCUGCAUUGCUUGCUUUGGUGCUUCUGAUCUAUGGCUUUAUUCUCGAGUUGAAGGAAAAGUUAAAUGGCUCCAGCAAAGAAGGGAAAAGUCAAAACCCAGAAAGCUGAAUCAUCGUAGCCCUCUGAAAAUGACUUCAAGUUCCCAUCUUCAAUCCGCUCGGUUCCUCCUUCGUCUGUUGCCUCCUUCGUCUGUUAUUCAAUUUUUGCAUGGGAAAAAGUAAGAUAGAUGAAGAGAAGAAAAACCCAAAAGGAAAAAAUAAGAAAAAGAAAUGAAAAAGACCUAUGCGUAUGCGCCCAAACGUGUUUCUUACACAACCGGGCCUAGGUAGUUACGAAGAAGCAAGAGUCUGAACUGUUCUAUUUAAUGGGUUUCCCCUGUAAUUUAUAUAGUUUAUAUUUAAUAUAAUAUUUGUAUAGUUGCUUCUUUUAGAUACUGUUUUUCGCUACUUGAAUUGCUAUUCGUUGGUUAAUUUAGUUCUUACUGGGUUUUUUCUUCCCCUUAUGAAUGAGCUUCUGAUUGUUGUUUAUGGCUUUUCUACUUGCAGUGAAACUAUCUGCACAGGUGUUUCAAGUUCGAAUUUUCAGUUUCCCUUAAAAGGGUUUGAUUGUUUCACUUUUAGCUUCUUCUUUUUUUCUUUUUUUUUUUAAUUUUAUAAUAUGGCAUCAUCUCAUAGCAAUACUCACAUUGAAGCCGCAAAAUUGGAACAAAUCAUCACUGAAUUCUUCUAUAAGAGUCUUCUAAUUAUACUUGAAUCGAGGUCUCCUUAUGUGUCAUCGCGAAAUUAUAGUGGUGAACAAAUUAUGUCAUCUCCAUCUUCGUCCUCAUCAUCUUCCUCGGGUGUGAGACCAAGAGAUAAAUGGUUCAAUUUAGCUCUUAGGGAGUGCCCUUCAGAACUAGAAAAUUUUGAUCUUUGUCGCCAGAGUAAUUUUGAGCCGGUAGUGAGUGAUGUUAUCUUGGAGCAGAAGCCACUUGAUUGGGAUCCUGUGACCUUUUCCCCCAAACGUGAUCUUGUUAAGCAUUCUUCAUCAAAAGAUAAGAAUUCAUUUUUCUGGAAUUCUGAUCAAGAAGAAUCAGGCUGUGAGGCAAAAGGUGAGAAGGUUAUAGAAAGGUGGUUUGUGCAGCAUGAAAGUAGAAAGGGUAGUGAUUGCAGUUCAGGGAGUAGAAGGUCAAGUAGUAAUAAUUUGAGUGCAUUAUAUAUGAAAUUGAUAUUGCUGUUGAGGUCCUUAUAUGUGACCUUUAGGCUUUUACCUGCGUACAAGAUUUUUCGUGAUCUCAAUUCAUCUGGUCAAAUCCGUGCUUUUAAGCUUGUUCCUAGGGUAUCCUCUUCUGAUGAAUAUUUCACUCAGAAAGACGAGGCUGAAAUGCAGCGAAUUUGGAUCACCCCUGUGGAUACUUCUUGUGGAAGGCUUUGCCUUUCAGUUUUGUACCGUUCAUCAAUCUCAGAUAAAAGCUCCAUGUCAUCAACCCCUAUGUCCCCUCAAUUUAUACCAGAUUAUGUUGGAAGCCCAUUGACAGACCCACUGAGAAGAUUUCCUUCUCUUCCUGUGUCACAGGGCUCUCCAUCAUCUUUGCCAUUCUCAAGAAGACAUAGUUGGAGUUUUGAUCUUUACAAGGCUUCACCGCCUUCAGUUUCUCUCUCACCAUCCCCAACACAUUCAGAAUCACAUGCUUUGGUUUCUAACCCAAGCUCUCGCCGUGCGUGCCGCCACCUAUGAGCUUACCUCCUCAUCCUCCUGGGGCAUCUCUACCUCAUAAGAAGAAUACAAACUUUGAUGAGUAUUGGCCUUCGCCAAAUUUUUCUGCUUCCCCUUCCCCAUCCCCGCCCAUCCGCGUUCCUGGGGGUCAUCUGUCAAAAGCUCUUUUACGUUCUGAAAGUGCUCCUGUUAACAUAUCUGUCCGUAAGCUUGCUGGUACCCCUGCAUUGUCCUGCAAGCAAAAUUUGCCAUCUCCUCCCCUUAAAAUUUCAAGAGCUGAUAUUUCUUGGACUGAUAAUAAUAUGGGUCCCAUGAAAUCUGGCGCAACUAUCGAGAAGGUAUUUCAUAUAUGCCUCAUUGGUAUGAUUUGUGAUUCCAACCCUAUCUUGUUUUUCUCCUUGGAAUUUACUUUCGUUUUGUAUCUUAUAGCUGUUCUCUUUCGGGAAAGGAGACGGUCAGAAAUAUUCUGGAGUGAACUCACCCAGAAUUUCAUUUUUCAGAAGCUCCUAUACAAGAUGAUUUUGAUGACUCUGAGUUUCCUUGUCCAUUUGAUGUGGAGUAUGAUGAUAUGGACCCUGGUAGCAGGUAAUGCACGGAACUCCUCAUAUAAAUUGUAUUUUUUAGAUUAACCCUUUUUGCAUCACUUGUCAAUAGCUCAUACAAUUAAUUUACAUAUUUUGCUUUUUAACUUUGAAGUUAUUUUUAUCCAGAUUUUUUGAGGAUUUGACACUUAAUUAAUUGUUCUUGUGUAUUUGAAAAUGUGGCAUCAUUUUUCUUUUUUUUUUGUAUUAACAUAAUUGGAUCAGGACUUGAUUUGGUUGCUUUAACUUACCCUGGAGUAAUUUGCUAAAGGUUAUGUAAGCAAGCCAUCAUGUGUAUGCGAAGACUAAUAAUUGCCUUUUCUGUUUGAAUUUUGUCUUUGAACUAGUUCUGAUCUCAUAAGACUGGAUGUUAGCAAUUGAUGAACUUUCUAGGAAACUGGUGUUUUUAAGCAAAGAGAUUGUGCAUUAGAAACUACAAUAUCUUGCCGCUAGGAGUCUAAGUAGUGGCAUUUCUGGUUCAAGAAUCGGGAUAUAUCAGUUAUGAAGAGUUUCCAAAUAAAGUUUGUUUUCUAUUUUUGAGCAAGCCACCCUGGCUGGCAUUAAACAUUUUCAAUAUCUAGUCCAGGUAGUACCUGUAGUGAAAUGUCUGUUUCAGGGAUUGGGAUAAGUAGUGGUCUAUCAAUCCAUGGAGAGUUGCCAAUUAAUCUUUGGUUUCCAGUUUUGUGAAAGAAAGUAAGAAACUUCACGGUAUUAUAAAUUUAGAUACAUCAGGUAGUCUGCAAAGUUUGUUUUCUAGUUUUCAGAAAGACAGCCUGGCUGGUUAACUUUAAAAUGUUUAAUAGAUAUGAAGUUGGAUUGCAUAACCAUGCUGAAGUUUCUUGUGCCAGUUGAAUUUAGCAGCAAGCGGUGCUAACUGCUAAUCAUACUUCAGUUGUUUCUUGUAAGGCGCAACCAGUAUCAGUGAAUGAAUCAUAUUUGUUUUGGUCUCUUGUAACUGCUAACUGCAGGAACAUGUCUUUAGGUCACAUGGUAGGAUUGGGGCCGAUUUCUGUGUAUGACUUGGCCCUUAUGUUUGAGGCAGCUGCAACAACAGCUGUCUUACUUUUUAUCUUUUGAUUGGUGAGUAAAUUAAAUUAAUGUAAAGAUGGGUGAUAAAGAGGAGGCUAAAAAACAAAGAUGGUUGAUUAAGAAUGAUUUGUUAAUGACUAAAGGAUAUGGUGGUUGCAGCAACGUUCUAUGCGUCGUUCUUGCUUGUCAGUAAUUUGAUUUGUUCAGUUUCUUGAGUUACCUCUAAAAUUGCAACAAAAUGUAGUCGAAUAGCUUGUCAGUUGCAUUUGCAGUAACUCUGAUAAUCCUUUAUUAAAACAUGGAACUUUUUCAGUCUGUGUUGCUUUCCUGUAAUACCAGACACAACAAACUGCUUGAAGAAUCAAACAUCAUUUUGUCACUUCGAUUUAUUUUAUGGCAUACUCAGAUGUAUACAUGAACAAAGUAUUCAUAUACUAAUUUCUACUAGUUAGCUUCGUAUUUAUAAUUAUUAUAUAGGGUUAUAUUUGGUAUUCUUAUGAUAUUGAGAUUUAGGGAAUAACUUGAAUAUUUAUUUUAGUUUCUAGGAGUUUUUGAAAUUGAGAUGUUGGGAUUAUAGAUAAUGGAGAUUUUCAUAUGUGGGCUAUCAGAGUUGGAUUUUUUCUUCUUUAUUUCUCCCUAAGUUCAUCUAUUUCCCCCCUUCUGUUUUUAUUUGAUUCUCCAGUUUCUCUCUUUCCUCUCCUUCACGUUUUUGAGGUUCCAUGAAAUUACCAUGGGUGAAGAAAUCCAAAAGUUCUAAAGGUAAUUUGAACAUUUGACAUUCUCUUUUCUGCAAUAGUUAGCUCAAAAUGUUCCCUCAAGAAAAUCCUUUAACCAUUGACUUAAGCAGGAUCGUUAAACGAAAAUGAGUCAUGGAAUUCAUAUCCAAAGCCACAAUGAGUCAUUUUAAGAUUUUCUGAUAUUCGAGAGAACACCUUAUACCCUUUGUCACAGUCAUUAUCUUAAUUGUCACGAAAUGAAAUUACUGUUUUUCUUUCCCUGAAUUAUUUGGGUAAACUGAAUUGGCCCGCUUUGCAUACUAUGUAGACCCGAUUCCUAUGAUAGAAGAGGAAAUCCAUCUGAUCCAAACGAGGCAGGGUUGUUUAUGAAUAGAAAAUCCCAAGAUGCUGCGGUUGGUGCUCUUGUACGGAUGCUGAAGAAAGCCCCUCCACUUCGCCAAGACAUCCCGAGUUCGAUAAAUUUUUCGGAAGCCUCGAGGCCAGAAAUGUGGAAUAACAACAUCCAAGAGAAAAACCAGAACACAGAGGCUGUGACCGUUGAACAUGAUGUUUCUUCAAUUAUUACAUCUUCUAGGCUUGUCGCAUCAAUGACAACAGCGGAUGCAUUAGAGGAACUUCGGAGUUACAAAGAGAUGAAAAACUUGUUGCUUAGUGAAGGUGGUAAGUCUUGCAUAUCUGCCAAUUUGACCUCUGGGGCUAAACAUUCUGGCAAAGGUACAUGAGAAUGAUCAACUUAUGUGAUAUUGGUAUAGUUGCACAUAUGUACAGCGCUAUGGUUUGAAAGACUACUACUACAUGCUAUACAGCUGAAGCCAUUUUCCUCUUUUUGUGAUCAUAGGAGUAUAUAUAUACAAUAUAUGUGUUUUUGGUUAAGAUUUAUGUUAACAACAGAAAGGUUAUCUGUUGGCCCCGAAAACUUUGUAAAAAGCACUUUUGUCUCUGAUCCUACAUAACAUAAUUGCACAUAAUUUUAGAUGUUGGGUAAGGGUUGCGCAUGCUUUGAUAUACAGGCUUGCUGAUGCCGUCAUUUCUAUUAUUUUGCUUUUCUCCUUUGUUUCCCCUCCCGCAUAUAGAUUUUCAGUAGAAUGAAGCUUGAGUUUCUAAUACAAAUGGGUUUAAUACGGAUAUAUCUACCUGUUUUAGAAGGGUUUAUUUUAGAAGUUAUAUUUGAAGUAUGAUAACCUGAUAUAUUUGGAAGAUUAUAAUUCUAUAGACAUAGUAAUUUAUUUGACCCUUCAACAUUAUAAAAGAAAAAGGGAAUGACAUUUUAGCCUUCCAUUUAACUUUUUAUCUUUUUCAACUUUUUAAGUUUUUUAUCAAAUCAUUUUAAAGUGGAUCAAAACUAGAAAAGCUAAUGUUUGUUAAUUUUAUUGAUGUAAUAUACACAUGGUUUGCCACAUGGAUGACAAGUUAUCAUUGAAUCAAUUUUUUAAAAAUUCAUAAAAAUUAUAAAUUAUUUUAAAAAUUUUAAAAACUUAACUAAAUGUUGACAUUAAGGGCGAAUCCAGGGGAGUUAGUAGGGACUCGGUCCCCCUAAAAUCCCCAAAACAGAAAUUUGUUCAUUUAGGUCUUUUAAAAUUUUAAAUUAGUAAAGGUAAAAGUGAACUUUGGCCCUCCUUAAAAAUGAUAAUUUUUUUAUUUAAUUAUUUAAAAAUUAUAAAAAUAUAAGUUAUUCAAAUAGUGAAAUUGUAUUUUUAUUAUUGUAAAAAUUAUAAUUUAAUUUCGACUCUCUAAAUAAAUUUUUUGGCUUCGCCUUUGGUUGACAUGUCAUCCAUGUAACAAUUCAUGUAUAUGUCAUAUUAGUAAAGUUAAUAAACAUUAAUUUUACAUCCAUUUUGAGAUAAUUCGAUCAAAAAACAAAUUUAGAAAUUAAAAGAGAUGAAAAAUUAAAUAAAAAUUAAAAUAAUAUUUUUAUAAAUUUGAAGGGCUAAAAAAAUCAUUAUACAUGAAAUGAAGCCCUUGUCUGAAUGUAUGUUUCAUUGAUCCCAUUCCUUUGUCAAUUAAUCUGCCAUUCCCAAAUCUCCUGAUAUCCCCUAUAAAUGUCUUUUUUUUUUUUCUUUUGUACCGUCUAAUAUCUGGGCCAAAAUAUUCACAUUGUCUUUGAAAAUUCCCACCGUAAGGUUUCUCCUUUUUGCAUGAGAUAAUGCCUCGUGGACCACGAAUAAUGUCCCUUGUUCUUGGAACUCCACUGUUGUACCUCCAUCAACGCGUACUAUUCUUGCUCCAGCUCGGCCUCACUUCUUUCCAAAUGGGUAACACUAGUCUCACAAUCCGUAAGUCCCCAAGGAAAUAAUGAUCAAAUAUUUCUUGUUGUCUUAUUUCAUGGAAAUUACCAACGUCGCCAUAGAAAAGUGUGUAGGUGGACUUGACCAAGACUUUUCUUCGCAAGUGGAGUGCAAGGCUAAAAGUGUUAGGUUUCUUUCUAUUUCAUCGGAAUGAAAGCUUCUCACUCUUCUUUGGUAAAUUAACAUUUGGGUCAACUAAUUUUUAAAAGGUAAAUAAUGUAAUAAUGUUAAUGGAUUGUCGUAUUUGAUUACUCGUUAAUUAAUUUUCAUUAACCCCUUGUUAAUGUAAUAAUGUUAACAACUUUAAAAAAUAUAUCCAAUAAAAUAUUAGAACUUAUAAUAAUUUUAGAGAAUUUUAUGUUUAGGUUUAGUUUUUAUUCUUAUCUUUUGUUUUCUUCUUUUUUUUGUUAUUAUAGUAAAAUUAUAUUUGCCCAUUUUUUUUAUCCUCUUUGUAGGUAUUUUUUCACGUUAAAUUUAUGUGUCUAAUUUUUUAAUUUCUUCCGCUAUUUUUACUUGUUUGUUGAUUAAUCAGGUAGAUCCCCAACAAAACCUUAUAGGGAAAAUUAUUUUAUUUUUUAAUUUCCUUUUCUCUAUUUUUAAAAAAAUUAAUUUUAGUUUUUUUUUUCCAAUAACAAGAAGAAAUAGGGAUUUUUCUAGUGAAUUGCUUGGGUUUUUACAAGGGAAAAUAAGAGUUUAUAUAAUGAAUUGAGUUAUAUUGAAAAACUUGAGCUUAUCUCGCAAAUGAAUAACUUAAUUCCUUGUGAAAACUCAAGCUUUUUCGUUGUUAUGAAAAAUAAAUUAUUUUAAAAAAAUUAGUGUUCAAAAUGAAAACUUAUUAAAGUUGGGUGAGUAAAAGUAGUGUAUAAUAACAUUGAAUUAAUUGUGGGUGACCAAAAUGAAAUAGUUUUUAAUGACAAUGCCUAAAAUGAAAAUGGUUUUAAUGGCAAUACCUAAAAUCAAUUUUUUUUUAUUUUUUGAUGGCCAAAAUGAAAAUUUAUGAAAGCUUAAUGACCAAUUGUGAAAUUACCCAAAAAAAAUUUCAUAAAAAAUAAAAGAAAACCAUAAGUAGUUUCCAUAAGAAAGUUGUCUAUCUUCAAUUAAUACAUGGGUAAACUAAGCUGAUUAAAUUAUUAAUAAAUUUAUAUAUAAGUCACUCAAUUUUAAAGAGUUAAAAAUAAUAAUCAUUAAAUUAUUUGAAAAUUUUUAUUUAAGUCAUUGAAUUGUUAACUUUUUCUUUAAAUAUCCGACUAGCAAGUUUUCAAGUGACAAUUUGAUGAUCAGUCAAUACUCAUCACUAAGUAGAAGAACAUAUCUUAAAUUCAAGUUGAUUUGAUGGUCAGCAUCAAAUAUAAAAGAAUCAAACUGUUUAGAUUUUAGUUCGUAGAUUUGUGAUAUUUAAAGUUAUUUCAUGAAAAGAAAUUAAAUUAUAAAAGAGAAGAAGAGUGAAAUGUUUCAAUUGGUGUAGACGAUGUAAAGAAAAGAUCAUACAAUAAUGCAAUGACUUAAAUAAAAAUUUUCAAAUAAUUCAAUAAUUUUUUUAUAAUUCUUUUUCAAAAUUUAGUUAUCAAAACGGAAAUAAAUAAAUAAAAGACCUGAGGAAUUCCUGAUCCAAUUUGAAAAACUAAAAUAUCUAUCGUUAAUAUACCAGAAUCCCAGAUAAUAAUUCACACAAGAAAACGCGGUUCUAAGUGAACCACGGAUUUAGCCUUGCAUAGGUGCGACGACUUGACCAAGACACUAAUGAAAUUAUUAAUUUUAAGGUCUCUGUAUUUGACCUUCUUUUUUCAAACAAAAGCAUCAGCUUUUCUUAACUUACUAGAAAUGCCGCUGGUUGUGAAAUAAUAAAUUUUAAAAACAUUAAAUUAUUAGGUAGGUACAUUUUGAAUGUUUCUUUUGCAUUUUUAUCUUCAAAGCUCAUAAAAAUAUGGGAAAAAUCCAACUAAUUUAAUUAUGAAAUUAAGAAAAUAAUUUUACGGGUAAUUAAUAUUAUUAUAAUUAAGAAUAAAUUAUCGAUACUAUUAUUUUACAGAAAAAAAAAGAACAUAAUUGAAUUUUAGUAUCGAUUUUCAAAAAGGUAUUGAUUUAGUAUUAAUAUCUACUAUGGAUUUGCAUUAUUGAUUUUGAAACUUAAUCCUAUUAUAUGAUUGGAGUUCACAACUAGAUCCUCUUUGAGUCCAAAAUUAAAUUAUAUAUAUUGGUUUAUAUGUGAUUUAUGUUUAAAAUUUAAGAGUUUUGUGUAUAAUAAAGAAAUUAUCAAUUGUUGAGCUUUGUCGUAACAUUGUUUACUCGGGUUUGACAACUGGGUAAGUAAGGGGUGUUACAUUACUCCUAUGUUAUCAACUACAAAAACAAAAUAAUAAUAAUAAUAAUAAUAAUAAUAAUGGAUUCUACAAGCAUUCUAAGAUGCAAAAUCAUUAAUGAUAACAUCAACAUUAGUGUUUUUCAAAAAAUCUUUCUCGCUUGAUAAAAUUGUCAGACCAUUCAACCGUUCUUGUGACAUUGACAACUUCAAGUAGGUUUUGAUUAACUUUAGCUUUGAAAAACUUUUUUCAAAUGAUGCCACAAUCACAAGGACCGUUAAGAAAAUUCUAUAAGCGAUUAAAAGAUUCGGAUAGCAAUCUGUAGAUUUAACAAACUUAAGAAUUUUAGUAGCUGACAUUAAUUCAUUCAAUAAGGUAAAUUGCAACACUUUCAAUCAGGUAACCUACGAAUUUAGCCUAUAAAUAGGCUCUAUUACAACCUUAAAAAAUAUACCCAUUAAAAUAUUAGAACUUAUAACAUUUUUGGAGAAUUUUAUGUUUACAUUUUGAGAGUUCUUUGUUUUCAGGUUUAGUUUUUAUUUCAAUCUUUUGAAUUCUUCAUUCUUUUGCCAUUAUAGUAAAAUUAUAUUUACCUAUGGUUUUUUUUAUCCUCUUUAGAGGGGUUUUUUCACGUUAAAUUUAUGUGUCUAAUUUCUCAAUUUCUUCCGCUAUUUUUACUUGUUCGUUGCUUAAUCAGGUCAAUCCCCAACAAAAACUUAUAGGGAAAUUUAUUUUAUUUUUUAAUUUCCUUUUUUCUCUUUUUAAAAAAAUAAUUUUAGUUUUUUUUCCAAUAACAAGAAAAAAUAGGGAUAUUUCUAGUGAAUUACUAGGGUUUUUACAAGGGAAAAUAAGAGUUUGUACAAUGAAUUGAGUUAUAUUAAGAAACUUGGGCUUAUCUCGCAAAUGAAUAACUCAAUUCCCAGUGAAAACUCAAGUUUUUUUCUUUUUAUGAAAAAUAAAAUUAUUUUAAAAAAAUUAGUGACCAAAAUGAAAACUUAUUAAAGUUGGGUGAGUAAAAGUAGUGUACAAUAACAUUGAAUUAAUUGCGAGUGACCAAAAUGAAAAUGAUUUUUAACGGCAAUGCCUAAAAUAAAAAUGGGUUUCAAUGGCAAUACCCAAAAUGAAUUUUUUUUAUGGCGAAAAUGAAAAUUUAUGAAAGCUUAAUGACCAAUUGUGUAAUUACCCAAAAAAAUUUCAAAAAAAAAAAACCAUAUCGUGUUUCCAUAAGAAAGUUGUCUACCUUUAAUUAAUACAUGGGUAAACUAGCAUUCUUAUUGAGACUCGAACUCAUAUGGAAGAAAAUAGAUUUAUGGAUAGAAUCAAAUAAGUAGUGGUUACAGACAAAAGUAUUCGGUUAUUGGUGAAAAAUUAAUAUACUUCUAAUGUCAAAUCAGGAUCAACAAGGACAGAAAUAAAGCAUUGAGUUGAACUCUUCUUUGGUGUCAAGAUAACAGCUAUGGAUAGUCAUCAACUCCCCAGAAAGGGUAGAAAAGUGGGACCUAUUAUGGGACAUACAAUGCAUUACAGGCUUAUGAUCAUUACGCUUCAACCGGGUUAUUCUAUUCCACCUCUUAGAACAAAAAGAACUUAAAUCAAAAUACUUAAUAGCAUGGCGAUACAUUUAUACAAAACUUCUACCCCGGGCUCACGCAAUGGAGCCGUAGACAAUCAAGUGAAAUCUAAUCUACGAAAUAAUUUGAUCUAUGGACAGCAUCGUUGUGGUAAAGGUCGUAAUGCCAGAGGAAUCAUUACCGCAAGGCAUAGAGGGGGAGGUCAUAAGCGUCUAUACCGUAAAAUUGAUUUUCGACGAAAUGAAAAAGACAUAGAUGGUAGAAUCGUAACCAUAGAAUAUGACCCUAAUCGAAAUGCAUACAUUUGUCUCAUACACUAUAGGGAUGGUGAGAAGAGAUAUAUUUGUCUCAUAUAUUGAACUAUUGAUUUACGUAAUUGGAAGGAACCAAUUAGGUUUACGAUGAAACCUAAAAAUUGAUCACUGAUCCAAUUUGAGUACCUCUAUAGGAUAGACCUCAACAGAAAACUGAAGAGUAACGGCAGCAAGUGAUUGAGUUCAGUAGUUCCUCAUAUAAAAUUAUUGACUCUAGAGAUAUAGUAAUAUGGAGAAGAAAAAAUUGUUUCAUGCACCGACAGAACCAGAAGCGCCCCUUGUUUCAAAGAGAAGAGGACGGGUUAUUGACAUUUCAUUUGAUGGUAAAAGGUGAAUUGAAAGCUAAACUGUGGUAAUUUGAAAGAUUCCCCGGGGGGAAAAUAGAGAUGUCUCCUAUGUUACCCAUAAUAUGUGGAAAUAUCGACGUAAUUUCAUAGAGUCAUUCGGUCUGAAUACUACAUGAAGAACAUAAGCCAGAUAACGGAACGUGAAGACCUAAGAUGUAGAAGAUCAUAACAUGAGUGGUUCGACAGAUUUGAUUUCCUAUAUAUCCACUCGUGGUACUUCAUUGUACAAUACAUAUAAGAAUUAUAUGAUAAGAAUUAUGCGAAUCCAUUUGUAUAGAUAUCAUCAUCUACAUCCAGAAAGUCAUAUGCUUUGGAAGAAGAUUGUACAAUUUGGGAAGGGGUUUUGAUUGAUCGAUCAAAAAGAAGAAUAUACUUCAAUCGGUAUGCCCUUAGGCACGGCCAUACAUAACAUAGAAAUCACACUUGGAAGGGGUGGACAAUUAGCUAGAGCAGCGCGUGCAGUUCAAAACUGAUUGCAGAGGAGGGGAAAUCGGCCACAUUAAAAUUACGUUCUAGGGAGGUCCGUUUGAUAUCCAAAAACUGCUCAGCAACAGUCAGACAGGUGGGGAAUGUUGGGGUGAACCAGAAAAGUUUGGGUAGAGCCGGAUCUAAAUGUUGGAACCCGAGCCCGGCCCGUUUUUUAAUUAAAAUUAAAAUUAUAUUUUUAUUAAAAUUAAAACUAAUUGUUAUUAAAAUUAAUUGUUAUCAAAAUUAAUUAUUAUUAAAAUUGUAUCAAAUUAUAUAUUUUUUGUACCAAUCAACAUUUUGUAAAAUCUAUCAUUUUGUUAGUAAAAUUAUUAAUUGUAUUAAUUGUUACUAAAAUUAUCAAAUUAUUAAUUAUUAAUUGUUACUAACAUUUUGUUAGUAAAAUUAUUAAUUGUUAAUUGUAUUAAUUGUUAGUAAAAUUAUCAAAUUAUAUCAAAUUAUUAAUUGUUAAUUGUAUUAAUUAUUGUAACAAAAUCUAACAUUUUGUAACUUAAAAUAAAACUAAAACUAGUAUAUUUUAAAAAUAAAAAUAUAUAUAUUUAAUAUAUUUUCGGGCCGGGCCUGGGCCAAAAAAAUCUUGCCCGAGGCCCGGCCCAUUUUUUAAACGGGCCUCAUUUUCUGUCGAAGCCCGUAUUUCGGGCCUAUAUUUUUACCCAAACCCUCCCAUAUUUUGGGCGGGCCGUCGGGCCGGGCUGGGCCACCCGGCCCAUGGACAAGUCUACUCCAUACUACCUAAAACCCAUGCAACCUUCAUACCCUAAGUGGUACGAUGCGAACGCCCAAUGCGAGUAUCACGCGGGGACUACAGGGCACUCGAUUGAAAACUACACUGCAUUCAAGAAGUUAGUUGAAAAUUUUAUCAAUAUGGGGAUUGUAAAAUUUGGUGACCCAUCAGGACCAAAUGUGGCAGGGAAUCCGUUACCCAAUCAUGUUGAUAAAGGGGUGAACGCGAUAAUUGAGAAUGGAGGAAAGAGAGUCAAAGCUAACGUAGCAGAGAUAAAGACUCCCCUUGAAUGGGUUUGGAAAUAAAUGAUAGAAGGAGGCCUCAUCAAGCAAGAUUUAACGGAAAGGCCUGAAGGAACAAGGAAGUUUUGUGAGUUCUAUGCGAAAGAAGGCCAUGACAUCCAAAAAUGCACCUAGUUCAAAACCAUGGUGCAAAACUUAAUGGAUAACAAAGAGUUGGAGUUUUAUGAAGAGAUUACGGGACUAGAAGAGGGAGAAGUUUAUGCCUCAGAGGAAGGAUCUGCAGGGAAAGCCCAAAGGGUUAAUCACCCAGUGGUGAUUAUUUCAAAGCCGAGGAGCACAUAAUCUGGAAUGCAAAUAGCACCUAAGGUCAUAAUCCAAAAACCUGCACCCUUUCCCUACAAGGAUAGCAAAAAGGUUCCUUGGAAUUACGACUGCAACGUGACAAUCCGAGGAGAAGAGAGCUUGGUAAAUGCUUCAAAAGAGGAUGUAGAAUUCUAUACGCGAAGUGAAAAACGUUAUGAUCCUGCAAAUGCAGGAGUGGAAUCUGAAAAAGGAAAAGCAUUAGCAGUUGAGCAAGGGAAAGCAAAAACGGACAGGAUUGAAUCGCAUGUUAAUCAGCCCAUAACUGAAAAUAAGGGUAGAGAAUUUCUAAAAUUCUUAAAGUAUAGCGAGUACAGUGUGGUGGAGCAACUUCAUAAGCAACCAGCUCGUAUCUCGGUGCUUGAGUUGCUUCUAAGUUUAGAGAUACAUUGUAAUGCAUUGAUAAAGGUACUAAAUGAAACAUAUGUCGCUAACGAUAUCUCGGUGAACAAGUUGGACCGUUUGGUUAACAAUAUAAGUGCCGACAAUUUCAUUUUCUUUAAUGAUGAUAAAAUACCACCGAGUGGAAGAGUAGCCACCAAAGCCCUACAUAUCACCAUUCGCUGCAGAGAAUAUACGUUGCCAGUGGUGCUAAUCGAUAAUGGAUCGGCCUUGAAUGUCUUACCCUUAUCCACCUUAAACAGGUUACCGGUGGAUAGCUCUCACAUGAAAUCAUGCCAGAAUAUAGUGAGAGCAUUCAAUGGUACCGAAAGGAGGGUGAUGGGAAGAAUAGAAGUACCCCUCUUGAUUGGCUCGAAUACAUACGAGGUGGAUUUCUUAGUGAUGGAUAUCAAGCCCUCGUAUAAUUACUUGUUGGGAAGAACUUGGAUUCAUUCAGCAGGAGCGGUGCCUUCAUCAUUGCACCAGAAGUUGAAAUUGGUAACUGAAGGCCGAUUAAUUACGAUAAGUACUGAAGAAGACAUCAUUGCAUUAGUGACCAAUGACGCACCAUAUUUGGGAAUGGAUGAUGAGGCGAUUGAAUGUUCCUUUCGAUCAUUAGAAUUUGUAAAUGUGACAUUUGUUGUCGAGGGAAAGAAGAUCCCGAUGCCUAGCAUAUCUAGAGCCACAAGGAUGGGACUACAAAUGACAGUUAGGAAAGGAGCUGUGCCUGGGAGAGGACUUGGAAUAUGCCUUCAAGGAAGGAUAGAGACACCAAUGGUGAAAGAUAAACAAUACUACUUUGGUUUAGGAUUUAAGCCAAAUGCUAGGUAAAGAAGGAAAGAGUUAGAAAAAAGACAGGAGAGGAGAAAGGCGCGUUUGAGUGGAGAAGAAGUUGAUUAGGAACCUAUGACUUUCCCCCACAUAUCUAGGACCUUCGUACCAAGGGGAACCAUGUAUUUUGGACUGAUGACACCAAGAAAGGAGACCACGAAGGAAAUGUUAGGAAACCUGAACAUCAAUGCCAUAUUUAAAGAAGACUCCGAAGAAGAAAGUAUAUCAGGCAUCCGUCCCUAUGAACCUGGGAGUGUUCUAAGUAACUGGACUGCAGAAGAAAUACCUGAAGUUUUUAGAGCUUCUCCAGAGUAAUAUUCAAAACAUACUAAUUGUUUUAAGCCUAGAGACAAUGAAAACUUUUUGUAAAAUGGGCAUAUGUUUGAACAUUGUGACUUCAAUGAAAUAUAUCUUCGCCAUUUCUUUUUGAGCAUAUAUUCUUUCAUUCUUUCGUAUGAAUAGUCAUUUUGGAUCCUUUUAUUCCAAAUCAUUCUUUCAUUAAUUCAUGACCAUACUAUAAAUAAGUAUUCUUAAAUUCAUACAUUCCUUGUAUAUUCUUUGGUACCUAUAACAGGUCCCAAGAUAUCAAUGACAUGAGUGACUCUACUAUGGACUCAGAAAAUCCUUUUGAACGGGAUAUGUGUUUAGAGAAAUCUCAUGAUUUUGAAGAUAACAUAGAUUGCAACCUAUCUCCAGACUUGUUGAGGAUGGUAGAACAGGAGAAGAAACAAAUCCUACCUCAUAAGGAGACGGUGGAGACUGUGAUCCUGGAAGAGGGAAAUGUGGUGAAGAUUGGAACAUGCAUAGCUGAAGAAACAAAACAAGACUUUAUUGAUUUACUUCGAGAGUUUAAAGACGUCUUCGCAUGGUCGUACCAGGAUAUGCCUAGCUUAAAUACUGAUAUUGUAGUUCACCAUCUUCCUAUAAAGGAAGAUUGCAAGCCAGUUCAGCAAAAACUCCGAAGAAUGAGGCCUGAUGUUGUACUAAAAAUAAAAGAGAAUGUUCAAAAGCAAUUCGAUGCUGGAUUCUUACAAGUGGUCAAAUAUUCCGAAUGGGUAGCCAACAUUGUACCCGUCCUUAAAAAAGAUGGGAAAGUACAAAUGUGCGUAGAUUACAGAUAUUUGAAUAAAGCUAGCCCGAAAGAUAAUUUUCCCUUACCUCACAUCGACAAACUGGGAGAUAACACGGUAGGACACUCACUAUUUUCUUUUAUGAAUGGUUUCUCGGGAUAUAACCAAAUCAAAAUGCAUCCUGAAGAUAUGAAGAAAACUACGUUCAUAACCAUAUGGAAGACUUUCUGUUAUAAAGUGAUGUCGUUUGGGUUGAAAAAAGCGGGAGCCACAUACCAGAGAGCCAUGGUGACCCUUUUCCAUGAUAUGAUGCAUGAGGAGAUUGAAGUAUAUAUUGACGACAUGAUCGCAAAAUCCCAGACGAAAAGAGAACAUGUACAAGUCUUAAGAAAGUUGUUCUUAAGAUUAAGAAAGUUCCAAGUCAAACUUAAUCCAGCCAAAUGUAUCUUUGGAGCUAGAUCAGGAAAACUUCUGGGGUUUGUAGUCAGUGAAAAAGGGAUUGAAAUCGACCCAAACAAAGUCAGGCCAAUUCGAGAUUUACCUCUACCACGUACUUAGAAAGAAGUUCGAGGUUUCUCAGGAAGACUGAAUUACAUUGCUCGGUUCAUUGCGUAAUUAACUGAGAAAUGUGACCCCAUAUUCCGUAUUUUAAAGAAACACAAUCCCGAUGUGUGGAAUGAAGAAUGUCAGGAGGCUUUUGACAAGAUAAAACAGUACUUGUCCAAUACCCCAGUGUUGUCGCCACCUAGGCCAGAUAAACCAUUGAUCCUGUAUCUAACAAUGUUCAACAACUCCAUGGGAUGUGUUCUAGGUCAACAUGAUGAGACGGGAAAAAAGGGGAAGGCGAUCUAUUAUCUUAGUAAGAAAUUUACUGACUGUGAAAUGAGGUAUUCGCCUAUUGAAAAAUUAUGUUGUGCCCUGAUCUGGACGACACGAAGAUUGAGGCAAUACAUGCUCUAUCAUAUGACUUGGCUAAUUUCAAAGUUAGACCAUCUAAAGUAUAUGAUUGAGUCAACAGCGUUGAAUGGGAGGAUGGCUAGGUGGCAGAUCCUACUCUCUGAAUUGGAUAUAGUCUAUGUAAAUCAGAAGGCUAUCAAAGGGAGUGCGAUAGCAGAAUUCUUGGCCAGCAGAGCUUUAGAAGACUACAAACCUCUGAAUUUUGAUUUCCCGAAUGAAGACUUGAUGUAUGUGGCAACCGCUGAAGAGGAUUCCCACAAAAAUCAUCCUUGGAAGUUAAAUUUUGACGGAGCUUCGAAUGCUGUAGGCAAUGGAAUUAGGGCAGUCCUGGUGUCCCCUAAUGGAGAUCAUUAUCCUUUUACUAGUAAACUGGAUUUUGAUUGCACCAAUAAUAUGGUUGAAUAUGAAGCUUGCAUCAUGGGCAUCCAGGCAGCCAUAGAGUGAAAAAUUAAGAUAGUAGAGGUAUACGGAGACUCUGCAUUAAUAAUUUACCAGCUCAAAGGGGAAUGGGAAACGAGAGACCCGAAGUUAGUCCGCUAUCAAAAAUUGGUUCUGGAAUUGAUUGAGGAGUUUAAAAGUGUCACCUUUUGUUAUCUCCCACGAGACGAAAACCAGAUGGCUGAUGCUUUGGCCACUCUAGCCUCUAUGAUCAGAGUGAACAGACCAGAAGAUAUGAAGCAUAUUCAGAUCAGCAUUCAUGAGACCCCAGCUUCUUGCUACAGUAUUGAAGAAGAGGAAAAUGAUGAUCAUCCAUGGUACCAAGACAUACUACGAUAUGUAAAGAAUCGUGAAUACCCCGACCAUGUGACAGAAAGUGACAAAAGGACAUUGAGGAGAUUGGCUAUUGAUUAUGUCUUAGAUGGGGAGAUUAUGUACAAGAAGGGAAAUGAUCAAGUAUUAUUAAGAUGCGUGGAUGCUGUGGAGGCUAAGAAAAUUUUGGAAUAAGUCCAUGAAGGUAUCUGUGGAACGUAUGCCAAUGGCUUCACAAUGGCCAAACAGAUUAUGAGAUUCGAUUUCUAUUGGUCCACCAUGAAAGGGGAUUGCAUUAAUUAUGUCAAAAAGUGCCAUAAAUGUCAAAUUUAUGGUGACAAAAUGCAUACACCACCUUCACCCCUUCACGUUAUGACCUCUCCAUGACAUUUCUCCAUAUGGGGAAUGGAUGUCAUCGGGCCAAUAUUUCCAAAGGCUUCUAAUGGACAUCGUUUUAUCUUUGUGGUUAUUGAUUAUUUCACUAAAUGGGUUGAGGCUGCUUCAUAUGCUAAUGUCACGAAAUCAACAGUUAGCAAGUUUCUGAAAAAGGAGAUAUAUGUCGAUACGGGAUGCCUGAAAGGAUCAUAUCUAACAAUACGUUGAACUUGAACAAUAACUUAAUAGUGAAAGUAUGUAGUUAGUUCAAGAUCAGACACCAUAAUUCGUCACCGUACCACCCAAAAAUGAAUGGUGCUGUGGAAGCGACUAACAAAAAUAUCAGGAAAAUUGUAGGGAAAAUGAUUGAAACCUACAAGGACUGGCACAAAAAAUUACCUUUCACUCUCCUGGCAUAUCGAACAUCCGUUAGAACUUCUACUGGAGCAACACCAUCUUCUUUAGUAUAUGGGAUGGAGGUAGUUUUACCCAUAGAAGUUGAAAUCCCUUCUCUCCGAGUAUUAACUGAACUAAAGUUAGAUGAGGCCGAAUGGAUUCAAUCUCGAUAUGAUCAGCUGAACUUGAUAGAAGAAAAGAGGCUAAAAGCUAUUCGUCACGGUCAGAUGUAUCAGAAACGAAUGAUGCGAUCCUAUAACAAAAAAGUUCGUCCCAGAGAAUUUCACGAGGGGGACCUAGUGUUGAAAAAGAUUCUUCCUCUACAAAAAGAUUUUAGAGGGAAAUGGAUGCCAAAUUGGGAAGGUCAUUAUGUAGUAAAGAAGGCCUUUUCUGGAGGAGCUUUGAUCUUGAGCGAGAUGAAUCCUGUAAACUCAGAUUCAGUGAAGAAAUACAUUACUUGAAGGAAGAGGGCUAAAAGUGAAAAUCUGUAAAGGGCACUUUAAGUCUAAAAAAAAAGGGAGAGGCCAAGGUGAAAACCUAUAAAGGGCGCCUUGAGACCAAAGGGGAUUUGAGUUGAAAACCUAAAAAAGGCGGCUCAAAUUUUGAUGGGACAUGAAGUGAUUGGGGCAGUUCAAAUUUUGAUUAAGAUCUGGGGCAUGUACUGGUCCCAUUAUACCUGAAUCAACAAGAAAAGGGUAGGCGACAUCUUUAGGCGUCGACAAAGUAAUGUUGAUUUCCUAAACACAUAUCAAAUUCAGAAUGGUCUUUAGAAAGCUUAUGUAGGGAAGCUCGUGCUGCGAUAUCUGGGGCACUUGUCGUCAUCUUAUUUAUUUUGAAUCCUAGCAGAAUUUACUAUCUUGAUUGAUAUAUUCAUUUCUAGCUUUGCUCUCAAUAAAAUUCCAUCUUGUCCAUUGUUUUUCUAAUCUUAUCUUAGCAAAAUUUGCUAUCUUGAUUAACUUAUUCAUUUCGAGAUUUGUUCUCAAUAAUAUUUUGGUUGUCCAUUAUGAUAAUCAUUUUCAAACAUUUGAAAUAAUGAUUGAUGGACUGAAUGUUCAAGCAAAAAGAGUUUUUGCAUAUUACUCUAGAAAUUUCUAAAUAAUAUAGGAACCUGAAACAGGACUGUUGUUUAGAACACACCAAGUUUAAAGUUUGAAAUGUUUAAGAAGAGAAAGUCUAAAUUGAGACUAUCCUUUCAGAUUUUACUGUCCGAACAUUGAUUAAGUAAAACGACAAGAUGUCGUAUUGGUGACAAAGCUUCAUUAAACAAACAAGCAAUGAUCACCGAAUGAUAAGAAGAGGUUUUCUCAGAAGAAAAAGUCUUACAGUUGUGCAUAAACACUUGGUACGACACCUUGGGAAUGGUGUACGAGGCCAAGGAGAUUCAGAUCCUGUAUCCCCAAUUUGCAGUGGGAGAGAUUUGAGAAAGAGCCAGAUCUUAUACUCCUAAAUUACAGUGGAAGGAAGAUGGUUUUGAAUUUUAUAUCCCAGGAUUACAGUGGGGGCAAUCCGAUCAAGUAAGAAAUGAGCAUUACCAACUGGAUAAGAUAGCAUUCUGACAUGUUGGUAGUUAAGCCUUAUUGAACAACGGGCAAUAACAACUCAAACAUUGAGGGAUCAUUUUCAUUUUGCAUGCAUGCAUACAUAUUUAGCCAAGAUAUUUUGAUUCAUUUCUAUCAUAAUCAGUAGGCAUAAAUAGGUUGAUAAAAUAGAUUAUACAGGUCAUGUUACCCAAAGAAUAGAUAAAUGAAGAUGGCAGAUCUGGUCUUCCUGAACUGACAGUAAAGCAUAUCGAAGAAACCAUAGUUUCCAAUUAAAAGAUUGAGGCCACAACGGUAAAUCUUAUUCCCAGGCAGUGCAGCGGAACAUAUUGAAGCUACAAUGGCAAAUUUUGCUUCCCCGAUAUUGCAAUUAAAAAAUUGAAGCCACAACGGUAAAUCUUAUUCCCAGGAGGUGCAGUGGAAUAGAUUGAAGCUACGACAGCGAAUUUUGAUUCCCUGACAUUGCAAUUAAAAGAUUGAGGCCACAACGGCAAAUCUUAUUCCCAGGCAGUACAGCAGAACAGAUUGAAACUACAAUGGCGAAUCUUGCUUCCCCGACAUUGCAAUUAAAAAAUUGAGGCCACAACGGCAAAUCUUACUUCCCAAGCGGUGCAGCGAAAUAGAUUGAAGCUAUAACGGUGAAUCUUGUUUCCCCGACAUUGCAAUUAAAAGAUUGAAGCCACAACAGCAAAUCUUAUUCCCAGGCGGUGCAGCGGAAUAGAUUGAAACUACAACGGUGAAUCUUGCUUCCCUGACAUUGCAAUUAAAAGAUUGAGGCCACAACGGCAAAUCUUACUUCGCAAGCAGUGCAGCGGAACAGAUUGAAGCUACAACGGUGAAUCUUGUUUCCCCGACAUUGCAAUUAAAAGAUUGAAGCCACAACAGCAAAUCUUAUUCCCAGGCGAUGCAGCGGAACAGAUUGAAGCUACAACGAUGAAUUUCAUUUUCCCCGACAUUACAAUUAAAAGAUUGAUGCCACAACGGCGAAUCUUAUUUCCAGGCAGUGCAGUAGAACAUAUUGAAGCUACGACGGCAAAUCUUGCUUUCUCGACAUUGCAAUUAAAAUAUUAAGGCCACAACGGCAAAUCUUACUUCUCAGGCAGUGCAGCGAAAUAGAUUGAAGCUACAAUGACAAAUCUUGUUUUCUCCGACAUUGCAAUUUAAAGAUUGAAGUCACAAUGGUGAAUCUUAUUUCCUAGGCGGUGCAGUGGGAUAGAUUGAAGCUACAACGACGAAUCUUAAUGCCCUGACAUUACAGUUAAACAGACAGAAGAAGCCAAUCCUAUAUCUCUGAAGUUACAGUGGAGCGGAUUAAAACCACAGAUCUUAUCUCUCUGAAGUUGCAGUAGAGCAGAUCGCAUCCAGUCUUAUCUCCCUGAAGUUGCAGUGGAGCAGACAGAAGAAUCCAAUCCUAUCUCUCUGAAGUUGCGGUGGAGCGGAUUGAAACCACAGAUCUUAUCUCCCUGAAGUUACAGUGGAGAAGAUUGAAGAUGAAUCCUAUACCUCUGAAGUUGUAGUAGGUCAGAUUAAAUCUACCAUAACAAGUCUUAUUUCCCUGAAGUGUAGUGGAGUGGAUUCAAGCGACAAGACACAGUGGACUGGAAUGAGGCUACUUGAAGAAGAAAAGCGUCAAAAGAAGUCGAGACUCGGUAAGGCCGGACAAAAUUGGUCUUUCUUAAUCUUUGCUCUGUUCCCGUUACACGACAACAAGUAAAGAUGGGCAGCUGUACAGACCCAUUCUGCCCGGGCCCAAACCCACCUAAACCUAAGCUUAAACCCAAACCCACCUAAACCUAAACCCAAAAUCCAUUACAAACUAAACCCAAAUAAGCCUAGGCCAGGACCAAUUAACCCAAUUACCCCAAAUUCAUUUCUUGUAGCCCAAAAUAAACAAAAGAAAGAAAGAAAGAAAGAAAGAACCUAACCCUAGGUGCACCGCACCUAGGGUAUUCAGUCCCAACUACCACCGCCGCUCCUCUGACCAGCGCCGCGCGGCCUCACCUGCUCACCAACUCCUCUGGCACCUGCAAGGGAGAAUGCACACGCAACAGAAAGUACAAUGACAGUAGAAAAAUAGUAAAAAAUAUUGUUGUAAUGGGCUAUAAAUAGCCGAAUAUCACCUUUGUAAGGGGCUUUUUUUGUUACGGAUUCAAAAAUCAAAAAAGGAAAAGUAAAAAAGGUUUUUUUUUUCUAAUGUUUCUUCUUGGUUUUAUUUAUUUUAGUUUAUUAAUCUAUAUUUUUAAAAAAAGUAUAGACACUAUUAAACACUUAAAAAAGAACAUAAAAAGAGGAAAGGAAAGAAAUUUACCGGAAUUGGCUCGCGAUCCUACCGUCGGUGACCUCUCGUCGGUGUCGGAUCCGGGUUCGGAAGAAGAUUCGGGGCGCCCCUUUUCUUGUGGCCUCUUGGUUUAAAAAGGCUUCGCUUUUAUACGUGCCGAAAGACAGGGCUUAAAAAAACCCAUCGCACGUGAUCUCGUGCGACUCCGGCCACUGGCCACGGAGGCGGUGUAGCGGAGGCCUGGAAGCCCGACGGUCGAAAAGAGGGAGGGGUUCUUAGGAGAAAAACUCUUUUUUUUUCUUUCUGAUAGGCAAAGAAAUGAAAUUUAAAAAAAAAAAGAUUUAUAUAGGCCAACUAAACGGCGUCGUUUAGGGCUGGCCCUGAUAGCCCUAAAACGGCGUCGUUUCACCUCAAGAUCCGCGCAUGUGACCCGACCCGACCCGACUAAGGGAUCCGCGUGUUUUUUAGGAUUGGGUUAUUUACCCUUUUGGUCCUUCUGCUUUUAGCGAUUUUUUAAAUCAAGUAUUUUUAUCGUUUUCAAUCAUGCCCCACAAUUUGUUGCGCUUUCAUUUUGACCCUUUAUCUGAACGACGUCAUUUUGGGGCAUGGGGAUUAUUACCCUUUUAGUUCCCUCAUGCUGCGCGCAUGUUCAGAUUGGUCCUUACCUUUUAUUUUACUUGGAUUUUGCCCCGAAUGUUUGAUUUAAGAUUCAAAUUAAUCCUUUCUUUUACCCUUUUUGUAUUUCUUAUUAAUUAAUUUAGUUAUUGUCUUCUUUAUAUUUUCUUUUUGUUAUUUCUUUAUUCAUUAUUAUUAUUAUUAUUAUUAUUAUUUACCCAUUUAUAUCCUUUAGUUUCAAAUUUUAUUAUAUAUACAUUAGAUUUUUUUAUAUUUUUUGUUAUUGUUAUUAUUGUUUUAUUUGAUGCUUAUUUGUUUAUAUGUUAAUUAUUAUUUUGAAAAAUGUUUUAGUUUUAUUCGUCUAUUUACAUGUUGUAUGUAAUCUAUUUGUCUUAUUAUUAUUAUUAUUAUUAUUAUUAUUAUUAUUAUUAUUUGUUUGUUAUGGUUGCUUGUUCAUAUCAUCGUAUUCAUUAUUUUCGUUUAUUAAAGCGGCAUUUAUUCAUAUAUUGAGUUUAACAUCACAUCAAUUUUACCCAAAUUCAUAAAAAGAGAAAAUUUUGAAAAUAAAGGCAAUACUCGGUAUUUGGGAUCUUCGAGAGGAUCGAGCCCUAACGUAUUGGGUUCCGAUUUCUUUCGUUGAGACUAAAUAGUCGAGAAUGCUCUUUCAAUCGAAAAACAUGAAUAAAAGCUCAUUAUCGGGAAUUCAAUAUGUUGUGUCCUAACGCAUUGGAUAUGACACGUUUUUUCGAUAUGAGGAUUUUCUUAAAAAUAACAAAGGCAAUAUUCAAUGUUUGGAAUGUUGAGAAAUUGUGCUCUAACGUAUUGGGCUGCGAUUUCCUCAUCUGACUUAAACAAUUGAAUAUCCUUUUUAAAUUUUAUCAUAUGAGUUUUUUAAGACAAGCAACUUGUUUUAUAUAAGUCUUUUAAAACAAAGGAUCGUAUUUUUAAAUCUCUUUAAAAUUUUCAAUUUUCGACAUUAAGACAUUGACUAAUCAACUAGGUACCAAUUUUUUGGGCGUUACGAGGGUGCUAAUCCUUCCUUGUACGUAACCGACUCCCGAACCCCUUUUUUUCUGAAUUUUGUGAACCAAAAUCGAUGUUUUAAUAAAAUCAAAUAGUUUAUUAAAAACAACCACUUUUCAAGGUGAUCCAAUCACACCUUAUCAAAAAGGAUUGGUGGCGACUCCCGUUUUCGUUUUCGUUUUCAAAUUCCAAGUCGACCCCGUUUUUAUCAAAAAUAUGGUGUCAACACUACUCAUAGCCCAUCUCAACCUGUAAAUAGGAGGAUAAUAAGCUUCAGCGUACUUGAACCCACCGUCCUCCUGCAUUGACAACAAUGUCCAGGUCAAUCGAGCUAAAACUCAAUCGGCUAUGGGAAAAAUUACAUGACUUGAUAUAUAUAUAUAUUGUUUGAUAUCAUCUAUAGUAUAUAUAAAAUGGUCGACUAAGUUAAUAAUAUGAAUCAAUUCGACACCAACUCAAUUAUGAAAUUAUUAAAAUAUCAUUACUUUAAAAUGUAAUUAAUAUUAUUAUAAUAGUUCUUUUGUUAUUUCAUACUUUUAUAUAAUAAUUAAAAUAAAACAACCUAAAAAAAAUUAUUUAAGAAUCAAAUAGAAGACCAAUAAAUUUAAAUAAAAAUCUCUUAUCACUCCACCCAUAAUCAUUUGUUGAAAUAAUUAUAUAUAUAUAUAUAUUUAAGGGAAAAUAUUUGGUACACAGUUAGUAAAGUUUUUAUACUCUACAAGAUUAGGGGUUUGACAAAUGUCUUAUAUGAAUAUAGUAAAAUAUUAAAAAAUAGAAAUUAAAAAAAAACGUAUAUCAAAAUUUUAAAAUUUCUUAUAAAAUAAAAAAAAUUAUAUUGUUAAUGUACCAAAUAUUUAUCUUACUUUUAAUAUAAAAUAUUUGCUUUAAAUUAUAGGUGUAAAAUUAAACAUGAUAAUAAAACCAAAAACUAUAGCUUUCAAAUUGAAGAAAAUAAAUGACUAUGUGCCCACAACCAUCAGAGACUCUAAGGCAUUAAAGGUAAUGAACAUGGUAGCAUGCAUAGUAGAAGAUGAGGAAUGUCCACUUUCCUUUUUGUUUACAAGUGCUUUUUCUUAUUUUUAUAUUUAAAUAGUAAUAAUAAUAAUAAUAAUAAUUAAAUCUUAGUUUUUAUCUUUAAAUUUAAAUCUUAAUUUUUAUCUUUAAAUUUUUAACAUAAUUAGUCUUUAUAUUUUUAUAAUGUUACUAAUUAGUUGAAAUAGUUAAUAUCGUUAACGUUUUUAUUAAAACAUUAUGUGGUUACAUAUAACUCGAUCUUUGCAGAAUGUCAACUAAGCCCAAAACAUUCUCAAACAUGGAAACCGAAAUUCUCUAAAUAUUCAAUUCAAGGUUGUAUAAUGCAACCAGGGCUAGUGAUACAUGAACGGAUGUCUGCUUCACAUCAGGAAAGAAAACAUCGAGCAAAUCAACUCCCUCCACUUGAUUGUCACCCAUUGCUAAAAACCUUGCUUUAAACACUCUAUUUUAUCCGAAACUACUACAAUCUGAAAUCUGUGAUUCCACCGAACUUCUCGAUAUCGAAUUUCGUUGUCUCCAUUUUUGAACGGGUUGCUUGCAGAAUCUAAACUAAACUCUAAUACAAAUUUGUUGGGGAUUGACCCAUGUAAAUAACGGGAUAGUAAAAGUGGAGGAGAACAAACACAAAUAUUUUACUUGAAAACUGUCAAAGAGGAAAAAACCACGAGCAAAAGAGGUAUCAACUUUUUACUAAACAAGUAAACAAACAAAGAGUACAAUAUGAGGAAAAGAAAUCUAAUUGCACUAAAUGUACAAUCCCAAACCCCAAAAGCUAAGCCCUAACUCUCAUAAAGAAAACUUGAAAAUAAAACCCUAACUCUUACGGAGUUUUCUCAAAAAGAGGUACAUAAUUCUUUCCAUAGUUACCACUAAAACUCUCACCAAAACUUAUCUGCGACUACUACAUCUUGUCGCCCUUCAACAGAAAAGUAUUAUAAUACUACAUCUUUAGUUGUCUUUUUAAUUGGUCUCCCAAAACAGGGAUAUAAGACCCCUCCAAAUAGGCAAAGAUUAGAGAUCUAAUCAUACUAAAAUAUCCCUGGAGUAAUCAGAGUUUAACUGAAAAAAGAUAGUAGAGUUUAAUUGGGAUAAGAAACCCAAAAUAUGUGAGGAACAUGUCGCAACGUUUUCAUUCGCGUCGUCUGUCAUCCCAACGUUAGGAAGUUUCUUGUUGUAAUGAUAUCGUCUGUUCGACCGAAAAUACGAUGCAAACUUAAUAAAUCUCCACCUUGACUCGUAUUUACCAUUCCUUCUUCUCCAUGCCCCGUCACGGGCCAAACUCGAUCUUUAUUGAAUGUUAACCAAGCCCAAACCAUUCUCAAACUUGGAAACCGAAAGACUCCUAGUCUUCAAAUCAAGGUUGUAUAAUGCAACUAGGGCUAGUGAUACACGAACGGACGUAUGCUUCACAAUAAGAAAGAAAACAUCGAGGAAAUAAACUCCCUCCACUUGAUUGCCACCCUUUGCAACCAACCUUGCUUUAAACACCCUACUUUAUAUAAAAUUGCUACAAUCUGAAAUCUAUGAUUCCAUCAACCUUCUCAAUAUUGAAAUUCGUUGUUGCCAUCCUUGAUGAGUUGAUUGCGAAAUCUGAACCAAGCUGUCACACUAGUUUGUUUGGGAUUGACUCAUGUAAACAACGAGAGGGUAAAAGUGGAGAAGAACGAACACAAAUAUUUUAAGUGAAAAACAGUCAAAGUAGAAAAAACCACGAAAAAAAUAUGUAUCGACUUUUCACUAAAUGAGUAAACAAAUGAGAGUACAAUAUGGAGAAAAUAAAUCUAAUUGUACUAAAUCUACAAACCCAAACCCCGAAAACAAAGCCCUAACUCUGAUAGAGCAAACUCGAAAACAAAACCUAAAUCCCAUAGAGUUUUCUCAAAAAGGGUUAGAGAAUUCUCUUCAUAUUUACCACAAAAACUGUCACCAAAACUCAUUUGCGACUACAUAUUGACGCCCCCAAAAGAAAAGCCUUUAAUUGCCUUUUUAAUUGGUCUUCAAAAAUAUAGAUGCAAGUCCAAUUAAAAUAGGCUAAGAUUAUAGGUCUAAUCAUACUAAAAUAUCCCUAGAUUAAUCAGAUUUUAAUUGGAAAAAUAUAGCAGAAAUUAACUGUGAGAAGAAACCUGAUUUAUAUGGGGGAAACAUCGUCACGUCACAACGUACCUAUUUGCAUCGUCACAAUGUUGUCCAUUGUCGUAACAUCGAGAAGCUUCUCAUCGUGACGUAGCUAUUUGUUUGGCCGAAAAUAUAAGGCAUACCCCACUAAUCUCCACAUUGACUUGUAUUUACCAUACAUUCUUCUCUAUACCCUGUCACGAGCCGAACUCAAUCUUUGCAGAAUGUCAACAAAGCUCAAACCGUUCUCAAACUUGGAAAUUGAAAGACUCUUAAUCUUCAAAUCAAGGUUGUAUAAUGCAACCAAAACUAGUUGUCGAAAACAUUUUUAAUUUUGAAAAAAUGGGAUCGACUUUAAAAAUAAAAAUUAGGAGUCGCCACCGACCUUUUAUUGAGGUGUGAUUGGUUCACCAUUAAAAACGGUUUUGAUCUGUGAAAUUUGAAAAAACGAGUUCGGGAGUCGGUUACGCACGAGGAAGGGUUAGCACCCUCGUAACGCCCAAAAUUGGUACCGCAUUGAUUGUUUGGUGUCUUAAUGUCGAAACUUUGAAAAGACUUUAAAAUACUAUUCUUUGAUGAGAAAACUUGAAUAACUAAAUUGAAUGAUAAGGUGCACCCAUUUCACAGAAAUAGAUUGCCACACUCAGUAAGUUAGGGUGCGACAAUUCAAUCUUUGAAAUUAGAUUCGUUCCUUUUUUAAGAAAAUCAUGUGCUUUAAGAAGGAUAUUUGAUUAUUUAAGUCAGUCGAGAAAUCGUAAUCCAGUAAGUUAAGGUUCAAUUUCUCGAAGUUCUCAAACAUCAAACAUUGCCUUUAUUUCGAAAUUGAGAUAACAAAAUGUUGUAUCCAGUAAGUUAGGAUCAAACAUUUUGAAACCUUAAGAGCUUUAUUUUAAUGCUUGUGUGGCUUUAAUAAAAUGGGCGCUUGAUCAUAUAAAUUCAUCGAGAAGAAUCGAAGCCCAGUAAGUUAGGGCUCAAUUCCCUCGAGAACCUAUGUACGUCAAGCCCUUUUUAAAGUUUGUGGAAUAAGACGGUCAUGAGGCUUUAAUAAAAUUCAACUCAAAUGAAACAUGAUUGAAUAACGAUACAUAGAAUAAUUUAAACUUAAACUAGAAGCAAUUAAACUAAUAAUAGGCAAAUACAAACAUCGAUUUAAAGCAUAUUAUGCAAACAUCCAUAUUAACAUUUAAGCAACCCAUGAAUUCACAAUCAAUUAAAAAACAAAAGACAAUAACAACAAUAAAUAAUACAAAUGUAAUAGAACUAAGAAAACAAAUAAAAUGUUUGAAUGAAUUUUAAUGAAAGGUUUAUAAAAAACGAAAUGAAAUAAAACUGAAUAAUCUUAAAAUUAAUACCUACAUCUUGAUUUAUAUAAAUAAAAUCUAGUAUAAAUAAUAGUAUAUACAUAACAAUAAUAGAUGGAAGUUAAAAUAAAACGACAAAUUUAGAAGGAAUACGACUUCCAUACAUAAAUAUAUCAUUUGAAAUUAAUAAGGUAUUAUUAUAUAUAAUUAUAUAUAAAAAUAUAAAUUAACCUCUUAUAAAAUAUAAAGUUAAUUAUAUAUAUAAAUAUAUAAAGUUAAUCAUAUAUAUAAAAAACAAAUACAUAUAUAAAAAAUUUAAAAAUAAUAAUAACAGUAAUACAAUAAAAAAAUAAGUAUGAUAAUAAAAUAAUAAUAGAUUUCCUAAAUAAAAAAAACUAAAUAACAAAAGGGAUUAAAUCAUAAAUAAAAUCGAAUUAACAGGGAAUAACUAAGAUUAAAGAGAAGUAGGGGGACCAUGUUGCAACACGCGUAUUACAUGGGGGCCCGAUUGGGAAAUAUCUCGCUUCCUCAAAACGCGGCGUUGCAAGCUGGGCCGAAAUGAAACAGAAACAAAAAUGUAGAGCAAAAUCGAAAAAAAAAUAAAAAGGGAUCGAUUUAAAUGCGCUGUGAAAAUGGCAAGGACCAUUUGCGCAAAUCGCCCAACGGAGGCCAAAACGCGCGGAUCCUUCCCCGGGUUGGGUCAUUGCGCGGGUAGUUGGGGUUUAGUCGGCCAACACGACACCGUUUAAGGGCCACUGAAACAGGCCCUAAACGGUGCCGUUUUACACGCUAUAAAAGGCCCCUCAUAACCCUAAAAACAAAUCUGCUGAAAAUAGAUCCUGGCCUCCACACUUGCACCGCUUCGACUAGACGUCCCGGAGCCCUCGAACCUCGUCUCAACUCCGAUGAUUGUAGAGAGAACAAGAGCUCGGCUACCAGGUAUGUUUACACUCCUAAAUCUCUUUCUUUUAUUCCUCUUCUACUCAAAUAAAGAACCAAAUGCUCAUAGGAACAAAGAAAUGAAAGAAAAAAAGGAAAAGGAAACCAAAUGCAAAGGAAAAUUUUUUCACCUUUCGAACUUUUUUCUUUUUUAUUUCUCUGAAUAUUUUUCAAUAUGUGUGUGUGUCCCCUUACAAAAGUUUUCGCCUUUUGUUUUAUAGGUCGAAAACAAUGAACAAAAAAUGAAAAAUGAAAAUACAUUUUUUUUGUUUUCUACUGCGUUGUUUGCUCUGUUUGCAGGUCGUUGCAGGUGUGAGGCCGUACGGUGACGUGGCACGACUCGGCGCAGCGCAUGGAGGUUACUGUUGCAGCGGCUGGAGCUGAAUGCUGUUGAAGGCUAGGGUUUCAUUUUGACUCGGGCCAUGUAAACUGGGUUAGAGUAUUUUGGGCUCGGGUUUGGGCUUGGUGUUGGGUAAUACCAUUUAGGCUGGUGGGUUUUGUGUUGCAUUGGGCUUGGGCUAAAGUAAUUUUGAUUUAUUUAGGUCUGUAAUAUUGGACUUUGAAAGUGGACUUUUAAUUUUUUGAUUUGGUUUAUUUAUUUGUGCUUUUGGGCCCGGGCAAAUUGGGCCUAUUACACUAGUGAUAUACAAACAAAUGUGUGCUUCAGAACAGGAAAGAAAACAUCGAGCAAAUUAACUCAUUCCACUUGGUUGUCACCCUUUAAACACUCUACUUUAUCUGAAAUUGCUACAAUCUGAAAUUUUUGAUUCCAUCAAACUUCUCAAUAUCGAAAUUCGUUGUAGUCAUUCCUGAACGAAUUGGUUGAAAAAUCUGAAUCAAGCUUUAAUACCAGUUUGUUGGGGAUCGACCCGUGUAAACAACGAGAUAGUAAAAGUGAUAAAGAACGAAUACAAAGAUUUUACGUGAAAACUGUCAAAGAGGGAAAAACCAUGGGCAAAAGAGGUAUUGACUUUUCACUAAAUGAGUAAACAAGCGAGAGUAUAAUAUGGAAAAAAAUAAACCUAAAUGUACUAAACGUGCAAACCCAAAUCCUGAAAACAAGACCCUAACUCUCAUAGAGCAAACUUGAAAACAAACCCCCAACUCUCACAGAAUCUUCUUAAAAAAGGGUACAAAAUUCUCUACAUAGUUACCAUGAAAACUAUUACCAAUACUCAUCUACGACUACAUCUAGUCGCCUCUAAAAGAAAAGUCAUGUAGUACUACAUCUUUAAUUGUCUUUUUAAUUAGUCUCCCAAAACAGGGAUACAAGACCCCUUUAAAUAGGCUAAGAUUAGAGGUCUAAUCAUACUAAAAUAUCCCUAAAGUAAUCAGAGUUUAACUAAAAAAAGAUAGCAGAGUUUAACUGGAAAAAGAAAUCUGAUUUAUGUGGGGAACACUUUACCACAUCGCAACAUCCCCAUUCAUGUCGUCACGACGUCGUAACGUUAGGAAGCUUCUCGGCAUGACAUCAUCGUCUAUUCGGCCGAAAGUAUGAGGCAUACCCCACACUUUGUAAAUUUGAAAUUUAGUUCAUGUAUUGCUAUUUUUAGGAAUUUCGUGUAUCUACAUUCUAGAUUUCAAAUCAGGUCCAAUUGUUAACAUUGUUAAAGUUUUAUUUGUUAAACUUUUUGGUGUGACAUUUUGAAAUAAAAAAAAUACUCACUUGAUAGCCAUGUAACUAAAACCAUGAUGUUAUGAUAAACCUAAAUUUAAUAAAAGAAAUUAGCAAUGUUAACAAUUAGACUUGUAUUUUUAAAAUGGAAAAUAAAAGACUAAAUUCCUUAAAAUAAAAAGUAAAAGGAUUCAAUUCAAAAUGUAGUAAGAGUAUAAAAGGUUAUAUCACAUUUUAACUUACAUAAAUUUAUUAAAAUCUCCAUAUCAUUAUAAUAAAUUAUGAAAAAUAUAUUAUAAAGCUGGACAUAAACACAAAAUAGAUAACAAUUAUUUUGUAAAAUGAAUUUUAAUAAGAAACAAUGCAAAAAUGUUAAAAAGUAAUAGAAUGAAAUCAAACCCCUUAUCUGAAUAUAUGUUGCAUUGAUCUCAUUUCUUUGUCAAUUAAUUUAACAUUCCCAAAUCUCUUGAUAUCCUCUAUAAAUGUCAUUAAGUUCCAAAUGAAAAUGAUUUUUUUUUCUUUACCAUCUCCUAUUUGAGCCAAAAGAUUAACAUUUUUCUUGAAAAUUCCCACCGUGAGGGCUCUUGGUUGUGAACCAUCGACGCGCAUGCGAUUCCUGUUCUAGCUGGGCUCCCUUCCUUGCAAAUGGAUAACACUACACACAUAUUCCUUUUUGUCUUCUUUCAUGGAAAAUACCAACAUCACUAUUUUAUCGGAACGAAAGAUUCCUAAAAAAAAAAAAAAAAAACAAAUGGUUUUUUUUUUAAUUACAUUGGGUCAACUAAAUUUUAAAAAAAUCAUUACGGGUUUUCAAAAAUUCACUAAAUUAUUAGUAAAUUUACAUUUUAGUCACUCAACUUCAAAAAGCUAAAAUAAUGGUCAUUGAACAAUUCGAAAGCUUUUAUUAAAUCACUGAGUUGUUAAAUUUUUUUUUAAAAGUUUGACUAGCGAGUUACAAAUGAUGAUUUAACGAUCGGUACGAUGGAUCAGUAUCUAUCACUAAGUAGAAGAACAUGAUACUUUAGAUCCAAAUCGAUUUGAUUGUCAAUAUCAAAUGUAAGGGCCCAAUUUUGCCCGGGCCCAGAUUACAAACAAUAAAAUAAAAAAUAAAUAGAACCAAAAAUAAAUAAUAAAAAAGUCCAGUUCAUUUACAAAAAAAAAAGAGGCCAAAAUAGCCCAAAUCAGUAACCUAAUGGCCCAGCGGCCCAAAAAUUAAAAUUUUUCAGAUUUUUUAGAAACCCUAGGGUUUCUGGCAUCGCACCCCCUCCCUUCGCAUGCACGUCGCCCAAGGCACCUCGUCUCGAGGCCUGGCGCGCCCCUCCUGCCAUUUGCACCAAAAUAGCAAGGGUCUCCCUCUCCGUUGACUCCGCCACCUGCAAGAAAAGAGCAAAAAAGGACAGAGACAACAAACGCAAAACAAUAGUGAAACAGAAAUAAACAGUGUAAUAUUGGCUAUAAAGGCCAUGAAAAUAUAUUGUAAUUUUUACCAGGAAGCAAUCAAAACAGAAUAGAAAGAAAAAUUCUAAAAUGUGGUCCUUCUAUUUUUUUACUCUAUUUUAUUUAUUUUUUAAAUAAAUAUAAAAUAAAAAAGGGGUCGAAAACCUACCUUGCCCUUCGUGUUCUGCUGCCGUGAGUGGCCGAGGACCGUUAUCUCCGAUGAAAGAUGACAUCUUUCGAGUAAAAGGGUCUUCGAAACCCAUAAAUCAAAAGUUUUUUUAGGGAUUUAUGCUAUUUUGAUGAGUUCUUUUUUUAAAAAAUAACCCCAUAUUUGGGUUCGGGGAACUGAAAGGCCAAAGAGCAGCCAUUUUUGCGUUUUUCGACUUCAAAACGAGAUAUAAGUAACGAUCAAUUGGUGUUUAUUCUCGUUUUCGAGAUUUAAGGCAUUUCUCGUUUUCGAGGAGGCAUUGUGUCCUAACUUACGGGACGUGAUCAUUUUUCUCGGUUAACUUGAAAUAAACUAUUUUCGCAAAAAUUACUUUAGUUAGAUAAUGCCUUAAUACAGAAAGGAUCAUGUUUUAAACUUUUUUCAGAGUUUCAAUUAACGACACUAAGACAUUAAUUAAUCAACUAGGUACCAAUUUUGGGCGUUAAGAGGGUGCUAUUCCUUCAUCGUGCGUAACCGUCUCUUGAAUCAAUUUCCUGAAUUUUGUGGACCAAAAAUCGUUGUUUUAGUAAAUCAAACCGUUUAUUAAAACGAUCAAAUUACGAGGUGAUCCGAUCACACCUUAUAAAAAGGAUUGGUGACGACUCUCAUUUUUUAUUUUUUAAAAUAAAAAGUCGAUUUAAAAAAAAAGGGUUUCAACAUCAAAGAUCAGAGAAUUGCGUUGUUUGAAUUUUGAUUCGUAGAUUCGUGAUAUUUAAAGUUGUUUAAUGAAAAGAAAUUAAAUUGUAAGAGAGGAGAGGAGUGGGAGCUUUCGAUUGAAAAACAUAUAACAACGAUUUUAAUAACCCAAUGACUUAAAUGAAAAUUUUCAAAUUGUUCGGUGAUCAUUUUGUAAUUUUUUGAAGUUAAGUGACUAAAAUAUAAAUUUACUAAUAAUUUAAUAACUUUAAAUAAAUUUACCCUUAAUAAAUAAAUAAAUCACCCAAGGAAUUCCUGAUCUUAUUUGUGAAAGUAAAAGAUCUACCAUUAAUUUAGCAGAUAAUAAAAUGGUUUUAAAUUCCUGAAAAGAAAAUUGAGCGCCAGAAUUAAUUAAUCGAAGACUUAUUAUAAUUGAAGUCUUCUGUUCCAAUUGGGCGACGACUUGACCAAAACUUUAUUUCAAGGAUUAGUUAGAUGUCUCUUCUUUUUUCAAGCAAAAGUAUUAACUUUUUUUUCUUUUCAAAAAGCAUCAACUUCAUAAUGAAAUGUCGUUGGUCAUGAAAUAAUAUCUGCUUUAUAUUCAUACGUAGCUGUUAAUUUGAGUACAGGCAAUAUUUUUAUAUGGGGAGUGAUUCAAAACCAUUAAGGGAAUUGGAUUUUCGGAUUCAAUCACUUUUUGGAGAUGUGUUCAGUCUUUGAAGUUGAAUUAUGAGACAUAAUUUGAGUCUUUUACAAGAUUAAGGCUUGAGCAAAUUAUCGAUUCACGAGGAUAGUCUGAGUUUUAUAACUAGUUCGAGAUCAACAUUAGUUAGGCGGAUCCAACAGAAGCUACAAAAUUUCGAACAUUUGAGAGAUCAAAUAUGUUCCGAGAGAAGUUAAUUUAGUCGCAAACCGAAUUGCGAAGAUGGUAUCUGUGGAGGUGGAGGGAGUUAAUGUUUUGACUUUUACUCUUACGAAUCUUUUAAAAUUCCUUGAAAGUGAUAAAAUUAAUGGUGCUUUCGAUUGUAUUAAUGUAACAAAAUCAAUUAAGCUUAGUUUAUUUCACCCAAAAAAAUAUUAAACUUUUAAUUAUAGGAUAGGUAAUUUUUGAAGGUUUCUUUUGCUUUUUUAUCUUCAAUAACUCAUAAAAUUAUGGGAAAAAUUACAUUACUUGAUAUAUAUACACACAAAAUAUAUUAUAAAUUUAUUAAAAUCUCCAUAUCAUUAUAACAAAUUAUGAAAAUAUAUUAUAAAGCUUGACAUAAACAGAAAAUAGAUAACAAUUAUUUUGUAAAUUGAAUUUUAAUAAUAAACUAUGCAAAAAUUUUAAAAAGUAAAAAUAAAUAUUAUAAAUAUAAUACUAAUUUACAACAUAAAUAUUUUUUUCAAAAUCAAUAUUUACUCGAAUAAUAUAAUUAAAUUCAAUACAUAUAUAUUACUAAUUUACAAAAAAAUAAUCUAAUAUAAAUUUAACCCUUAAAAGUUAAUAAUUUUAAUUUAUUAAAUAACAGUUUAAUAAAAUCCCCCAACUUUAAUCAAAAUGAAAGAAAAAAAAUAGUAUUUUUUUUUAAAAGGAGGUAUUAUUAGUAUUUACAUUCAUAAUCAUCUAAAUUAUGUUUUCGACACAUUCAAUGAAAGUAAAUAAACAUAUAAAACACAACACCUUCAAUACACCGAUUCUUAUCCAAUAUGAUGAGCAUUUCUUUUAUUCGUUCUUGCAAUGUUAGGAGCAACGACCAAAAUAAUAUCGUCAAUGCUUAAGAGUGUAUGAGAUAUGGCCGGAAGUCUGCAGAAGGGAAAAUGAUGUUAGAAAACGAAAAACUUUCUCAUCCGGACAUGUACUAUUUUUAGUUUACCCUUAGGCUUAGCUAAGCAAAUUCAGAGGAGGGCUUCUUCUCCCUUAUCUCCUUGCUUACACCCCAACCUUAGUUAUGGCACAUGUACCGUCAAAUAUUAUUCUCUUGCUGUUCCUUCUGGUUUCUUUCCAUGUUGAUGUCAUAGCUGAAGAAGAUGAGGCAAAAAUUAUCAAACCCGGUUCUUCACUUUAUGCCGGAAAACAGCCUAGCUCGUGGGCAUCACCUUCGGGGAAUUUUGAAUUUGGUUUCUACCGGCAAGGAGAAGGAUAUGCGGCCGGAAUAUGGCUUGUUGGUCGACCAGAAAACACCAUUGUCUGGACUGCAAAACGAGAUGACCCGCCUGUCUCCUCAAAUGCUACUUUAUUCACUACACGAGGCGUAUUGCUUCUUCGGACUGAGGACGGGGUGGAAAAUGUCAUUGGGAAUCAGUCCGGCGUUGAUUCAGCUUCGUUGCUGGACACCAGGAAUCUAGUGCUCUACGAGAACAGGUCUGUUGUUUGGGAGAGCUUUGAUAUCCCGACCGACACAAUCUUAGGAGGCCAGAAUUUAAGAAAUGACAGUGUGUUGAUUUCCAGUGUGUCAAGUUCAAACCACGCAACUGGCCAUUAUUAUUUGCUCUUGAAGUCUGAUAUUGGGCUUGUAGCCAAUUUAAAUAUUUCUUCUGCAGCUGCUUAUCAGUACUGGGUCUUCCCUAAUGGCUUUUCUUACUCGUUGAAUCUCAGUGAGAGUGGCGUUCUAGCACUGUAUUCAUCACUAAAUUUCGGCCAAGAAAACGUUUUGGCAAACGGCUCGACAACUAGGAACAAAACAAUGAUUAUCUUAGAGCAACCCUUGAUCAUGACGGUGUCUUCAGAUUGUACUCGCAUCAACUUGAAAGCAAUACUAUGUCAAACAAGUGGCAGAAUUUGGAUGAUGAAUGUGAGAUUCCAGGUCGGUGUGGGUUGAACAGCUACUGCUCCACCAGCAGGGGUAACGAUACUGAGUGCUACUGCUAUCCUGGUUUCAUAUUUAUCGACGAGAAUGCCAAAUCCCUGGGUUGCUCUCAGAAUUUCACUGUAGAUGGGUGCGAGGCUAGGAGAGAUGUAGUGAUACACCACAAUAGCACUACCUUAGACAAUAUGUUUUGGGGUGGUAAUCUUUAUUCUGUGAAGCGUAAUCUGGAGAAGGAAGACUGUAAGAAAGCUUGCGAGGAUGAUUGCUCCUGUGGUGGAGCUCUCUAUAGCAAUAACUGUAGCAUGUAUUCAUUACCGCUUAAAUAUGGUAGAAAACAUGUAAAUAUAACAACCACAGCCUUCAUCAAGUUGAUUCUGGGUAGCACCAUUAGGCCCCCACCUGAAACAAGUCAAAUAUUGAUAAGCGAAGGAAACCAAAGCCUCAUUUUAACUAUGGGCUUAAGUUUGGGUUCCGUUGCAAGCUUGUGUUUUGUGAUUGCAAUAUGUAGCUUCUUGUUAUACAGGCAUCGAGUCCAAAGUUAUGAGAAGCUUUUAGAAAGUAAAAGUUCAGGAUUUGCCGAGCAAUUUACACUACGAUCAUUCACUUUCAAUGAGCUAGAUGAAGCAACACAAGGUUUCCAAGAUGAGUUGGGUAGAGGCUCAUUUGGAGCGGUUUAUAAAGGAACUUUGCCAGGGGAUGGUAAGAGUAUUGCCGUUAAGAGAUUAGAAAUGGUUAAGGAAGGAGAAAGGGAUCAGUUUCGAACUGAGAUGACAGCCAUUGGAAGAAAUAACCACAGGAACUUGGUCCGAUUGCUUGGAUUUUGUGUGGAAGGUUCAAGGAAGUUCCUUGUUUAUGAAUACAUGAGCAAUGGCUCACUAGCGGAUUUUCUAUUCAACAGGAAUGAACGCCCGGUUUGGAAACAGAGAGCCAGAAUAGCGUUGGACGUGGCUAAAGGUAUCCUUAUAUUUACAUGAAGAGUGUGAGGUGAGUAUCAUCCAUUGCAACAUCAAGCCCUGCAACAUACUCUUGGAUGAUUCAUUGACUGCAAAGAUUUCGGAUUUCGGAUUGGCAAAGCUAUUGAGGCCUAAUCAAAGAAGCAGUACAAGUGGAGCAGCAUGGUACUCGGCACCUGAAUGGCAAAACAGUGCAGUGUUAUCGGUAAAAGUUGAUGUAUACAGUUUCGGAGUGAUACUGUUGGAGAUCAUAUGUUGCAGAAGCAACAUAGAAGUAGAAGGUCGCAGUGCAGAUGAGAUACUGCUUUCAACAUUUGUAUACAAUUGCUUUGUUGGGGGAGAGUUGAAUAAGCUCGUGGAAGGUGAAGAAGAAGUGGACAUGAAAAUGGUGGAAAGGUUUGUGAAGGUGGGGCUUUGGUGCAUUCAAGAUGAUCCAAAUUUGCGUCCACUCGUGAAGAAUGUGAUCUUGAUGCUAGAAGGAACAAUGAAUGUACCGAUCCCUCCAUUUCCAUCACCUCCCCAUGUUACUAAUUAGUGUUCUUAACUUUGAAGUUGGGUUUAUUUUAAUUAUGUUUUUCAUGUAAUUAAUAAUAAUUAGAGGAGUAAUUUUUAAAAUAAAAUUUUGGAAACUAUCUGGUUGUUACAAAGAAGGACAUUUUAUGUUCUAUGCAUCAAUUAUCAUGUGAUAAGUGAAAGGUCUCUAAUCUAUACAUCAUUUAUAAUAUUAAAAGUAUACAUGGUUUUUUCCUUUGUUUUCACUUAUGUGUUGUGUUGAAAAAUUAAAUGUUAACAUCUUAAAUACUUACAAAAUCAACGUGGUAUGUUUGUUAAAUUUAAGGAACAGUUAUGAUUAAAUUGUUUGAUAAAGGAUAGCUUUAGGUGUGUUUCUAAAAAUUUUAAAAAUAUCUUUCGGUCUCACUUGCCUAGAUAUUCUUUUAGGGGCAUUACUUCCUAAUUUUUUAGGCCUCCUCAAUUUAGUUCAAUUUAUUGCAAUUUAGUCUUUUUUCCAAAAAUCAGCUUACCUACAUUUCCAUCAACCAAAUCCUUUUUUAGGUUUAGCUAUUUAUGCUGCAAAUAAAGAGAAUGGACAUGGAAAUGAAAAGCAAACAAAACAUUGAAGUUUAAGAAAAAAUAUGAAAGUUUAGAAUUUUAUGCAAGAAAACUUAAAGAACAUAAAACUAAAGGCAUUCCACAGGGAAAUCUAAAACAAUAAACAGAAAAAGGAAUAAACUUUAACAAAUUUAAAGUAAAAGAAACUAAAAUGCAUUAAACUAAAGUUAGAAAUGUCUUACAACCAAGGUAUAGGGAUUGGAAGUGCAAAUAAACUUAAGCUAUAGUAAUAACUAACUAACUUAACUACCACUAAGAACAACUAAGAACAACUAAAAUAAGAAAGAAAAUUGUUGGGAAAUGUAAAAUCUACUACUAAAGAAAUGAAAAUAAAAAAAACCCUAGAAAAAGAAGAAGAAAAGCUAAGAGAAAACCUAGAGAAAACUAAGGUAAAACUAAACUAAUGUGUGUCUCCUCUCCUCAGCCAAAUUUGGUUAUUUUAGGCUGAAUGCUAAUAGUACUUCGUUGCCAAAAUUGCCCUUACGUGGGCCUUGGAUGAUUGGUGGAUCGGGUAGAAAUAGACUACUCUUUUUAUCUAAUUUUGUCCCCCUCACAAUGUUGGUGUCACGAUACCUAGAAGAGGAUAUCUCGAUUCCUCAAGUAGUUUCGAACCUUGGGGUCUUCUUUGAGGGUGGAUAUCGUGAUACCACUGAAAAGUGGUCUCCCUUCUUUCCAUACUGUUGGAGGUAUUGUGAUUUCAAGGUAUGAAAAUAGCGAUACAUUUUCUUUUGGUGUCAUUUUCGCUCGUUUUCAACCUCAGCACGUUCUUACACCACUCAACCAAAUGUUAGGUCCCCCAAUAGUACUAUUGGCCAAAUUUGAUCAUAAAAUGAGUAAAAAUAAGGCAUUUACACUUAUCAACUUAAAAUAUAAAAAGUAAGAAAAAGUAUGAAAAAAAUGCUAUUUUGCUUGAGAAUAAGGUCCUUAAGUAUAUUGGUAAAGUCUAAUUUGCCAUAUCAAAUUAUGGUAGAUAAAACUCCCCCACAUAUAACUCUUUGCUUGUACUUAAGCAAACCAAACAUGCAAAAGGAAAGACGACUGUUGGACUAAAUCAGACAAUUAAGUCAUAUAUCUAUAAAACAUCAAACUCGUACGGGAACUGCCUCAUAUGCAACUUAAGAGUGAUAUCUAGAUAACUUGUUUAUUCUUAAUACAAACAUAAUUAGUUCACUAAGUUAUAAUGUUAAUAGAUGUAGAGGCAAUGAAAAUUAAAAAAUGUACAAGUGUUAUCCAUCAAAAUAAAUUAUGCGAAUUGCUCAUAGAUAUUUUAAAAAAAUGGAUCAUAUUCGUUCAAACAAAUGUAGACUAUUUAUGAAUUAUUGUAUUGGUGACAUAGAUUAUGUUAAGUAAUGCUUUUUAGAAGUACUUUUGAUAUGAAAAAUACUUUUGCAGCAAAAAGAACAAGAUAUUUUUUGCUGAAAUUUUUGGCUUUUCAAAAGUACUUUGAAAAAAAAAAGAGAAACUAAAAUUUUUAGCUUUUCUUAUUCCAAAAACAUUUUUAGUGCUUAAUUAUUUUUUCACCUCUCCAAUAAUAUGGUACUUUCUCUCUUUUUUUCUCUGGUGCUUAAUUACAAAAAUGUUAAAAUCAUUAAUUAAAAAUAAAAAUAUAUUUUUAAAAUAAUACAAAUGUGUUAAUAUCUAAUUACAAAUAUUUAAUGGUUAUAUUUAAAUAUUUAAAAUAUAAUUUAUAUAUUCUACUAAAAUUUUAUAAAUAAAUAAUAUUUAUUGUUUAAAAUAUUUAAAAUUUAUAUUUCAUAUAUUAAAAUAUUAAUAAUAAGUUAUAAUAGUUUUUUAUUCUUACUAGAAUAUAAUAAUAUUAACUAAUUUGAACAUUACUUAAAUGCAUAUUUGUUACUUUAUAAUAUUAUGUCUAAAAUAAAUAUUUUAUUUCUCGAAAGUAUAUUUUCAUAAAACUUUUUAAAAGUAUUUUUCAAAAUUAUAGCAACUAACCCUAAUUCGGAUCCCAAAGAUCUUCUAAGUUUGUAAUGUUACAAGGCUUAGGACAGUUCAAAAUUCAAAUGGGUUCAAACACUAGAAACGGUUGAGCACAUGACAUUGUUCCCUACUUGCCUCAAAUUCAUUUACAAGCUCACCUCCUUAUUUCUCAUUCUCUUGCCUACCAUAUUUUCCCAAAAUGUUAGAAGGUAUUAUGGCACAAAAUUUAUAAUUGUGAACCUAAAGAUAUUCAUUUUUGAGCUUAAUUUUGAUUUAGCUAUCAUUUUCUUUAUUUUGCACUUUUUCAUUCACCCUUUCUUUUUUAACAUACUAAUUUGCGUAAUCCCUUCAUUUUCUUUUUAUAAAUACAUAUAUCAGAAUUUAUAAACACAAAAUUCUAAGGCGAUAGUACAAUUUCUAAGGAUCUUUAGAAAUUUUGGUAUUUUGUAAUUUUCUAAUUUUUUUUUCAUAUUAAAAACUUUUUAAAAUUAAAUUGCCAUGAUUACGUUUAUUAACUAAAAUGAUAUAUAUUUUUUGGAUCCAAAUUGACAUUUGCUAACAAAAAUUAUUAGUGGUAGAAGAAGUGGCAAGAUCAGUUUCAACUAGUUCACGCAUGAAAAUAAAACCUCGGAAAAAGCUUGGGAAACCUACAUUAAUUUUAUCACCAUUUUUCCUUAGAAAUGUUGACAGUCCAUAAAGUUGUCUGUAUGUAUCAAAAUAUAAAAGAAUGUUAUUAGAAAUGUCGGUAUUUGAUUAUACAUUUUAGUACAGGAUUUAGGAAUGAGAUUUUGGUAUAUAAAAAAACCUAAUUAUUUUUCAUGAAAAUAUUGAUAUUUCGUUAGAAAUUUUGAUAUAUAACAAGAUAUAACAAGAUAUGUUUUUAGAAAUUUUAAUAUUUCGGCCGGUUGAGUCAUUAUUUGAUUGACAUACACAAUGUUAUUAAUAUAGGGUUCGAGUGUAUUUAAACGCAUUAUCCUCCUAUUUAUGGUUAGAGAGAGGCUAUGGAUAGUUCAAGCUCACCCUAAGAAAUAAAUAUUAUUAAAUUAUCUUUAUUUAUUUUAAUAGUAUUAUAAAUUUAAUAUAUUUUAUUUAAAUAUUUCAAUUAAUUAACUAAUUUAAUUUUUUUAUUAUAUUAAAUAAAUAACUUAAAAUAAAAUUUAAAUGUAAAAACUAAAAAAUUAAUCAUAAUUAAUUUAAAUGAUUUUAAUAUAAUAUAAAUAAAAUUAAAAUAAUUAAAAUCUAACUAUUAAAAUAAAGGAAAUAACUUAUAUUAGGAUGAUCCUAAAAACUAAGGUUUUUAGGCACCAAUAAAAUUUUGCCACAACAUCACAAUGUAAAGAAACUAAAUUAUUAUUAUGCUCUCAUCUAUAGAGAAAUUAUCUUAUUAAUCCUUUCCACCACAUUAUUCAUGGUCCCUUUCAACAAUUUUUUUCACGUCACUAACACAUAAUUUUGAUAAUUUUUUAAACACAUAAUUUUGAUAAUUUUUUUACUCUGAACUUAACUCUAGAAUAUUGAACCCUGAACCCUAAACUUGAACCUAUAACCUCAAAUUUUUAAACUCUAAACACAAACCCAAAAUCAUUAAACCUUGAACUCAUAUCAUAAACCUCGAAUAUUUAAACCAUCAACCUAAACUUUGAAUCUUGAAUUCAAAACUGAACCUCAAAUUUUAAAUUUUAAACCCAAACCCUGAAUCUCAAGGUUCAAAAUUUAAGAUUGAAGGAAAAAUAAUUAACAAAAUUAUGUGUCAAUGACAUGAGAAAAUUGCACAAAAAUUACUUCUUUUUUUUUAAAUUUGGUUGCAUAAAAAAAAGAAUUUAUGAAAAAAAGAUUAAAAUUUUCAAAAAAAGAUGAUUGUUUAUAAUUAAAAAAUUAAUUAUUUUAAAUAAUUUAAUUUAAUUUAAUUUAAUUUGAAGAAAGUAUUAGAUAUACAAAUAUAUAUAAUAAUAUUUUAUUAUCUUUAAAAUUUAAUGAGGUAAUGCUAUUUUAUUAAUAUUUUAAAAUUAUACUUUUUAGUAUUAUCUAAAAGAAAAAGAGAGAAGUAAACUAAAAAAGGAAAUGCGGUGUUCGCAACUAGGGGUGUUCAUUCGGUUAACCGACCGGUUAACCGACCCGAAAUUAUUAUAACCGAAUUAACCGACCUUCCAAAAAUUUUAACCGUUAACCGAACCGAUUUUUUUUUAAAAAAAUUAACCGAACCGAAAUUUUUUCGGUUAAUAAGGUCGGUUAACCGAAUUAACCGAAAAUUAUGUAUUUUUUAUUUUUGGUUAAAAAUUACCCGAAUUACCCGAAUUAACCGAAUUAACCGAAUUACCGCAAAAUACCCGAAUUACCCGAAUUUUUUUAUUUUUUAUUUUUAAAAUUUAAAAAAUUUAUAAAUUAUUAAAGUAAAUUGGGUUUUAGACUUUAGUAAAUUGGGUUGUCUUUUAGUUUUAGUUUUAUUGGAUUGGGUAAUUGGGUAAACUUUAGUUUUAGUUUUAUUGGGUUGGGUAAUUGAGUUUGGGCUGGGUUGAAUAAUUUUAUUUAUUAAUUUUUUCGGUUAACCGAAAAUUUUCGAUUAACCGACCGGUUUUGAACCGAAUUAACCAUUAACCGAAAAAUCAUAAAAAAAUUAACCGACCCCCGACCGAAAAAAUUCGGUUAACCGACCGAUUAACCGAAUUCGGUCAGUUAACCGAAUUUUUUCGGUUUUACCCGAAUUAUGCACACCCCUAUUCGCAACUACAUCCUCCCUCCCAUUGAAAAGGAAAAAUUAUUAGAUGGAGCCUGGGAGUUCUCACCGCCUAAAUUAUAAGUCUAAUCAAUUGAAGUAAUACACAUUUUUUUUUUAAAUUUUUAAUUUUUUUCUCUUAAAAAUUUUAAAUUCAAUUAAAAGUAUUAAAAGUCAAAGAGAAAAAUCUAACUUAGAGAUAAAAUAACGUGUAAUUAUAGAAUUGGAAAUCUUGAUUUAUGUCUACGAUGAUAUUAGACGUAUAGUUUAAGUGGAGAGAAGGAUUUAUGUAAUAAUUUAGUCAGGUUACCUGUCUUUUUCUGCGCAAACCCUGAUUCCAGACCUCGGCCAUUUUUAAUUUGGGUACUUGUAAAAUAAUUUCUUCAUCGGUUCCAAAAAUAGAAGACAGAAAUAAAUACAAUAAUUCCUAUGGCAGCAGUGUGGUCUCUUCUCAUGCUCCUGUCUUCUUUCUUUGUGGCUAGAGGAGUUGAAGACAAGCAUUCAAACGGCACCAUUGGGCUGGGAUAUUCGCUUUCCCCCUUAACUCCACCCACCUCAUUGGCUUCGCCUUCUGGUCGUUUCGCAUUUGGUUUUUACAGUCAAGGCAAUGGCUUUUCAAUUGGAGUUUGGCUGGAGGGCAAUAGAAAGACAGAUAACAAAGUUGUAUGGACAGCAAACCGUGAUGACCCGCCGCUCCAUGCAACUGCUACUCUGACACUAAACGAGAAAGGUUUGCUUCUUUCGUGCGGUGUGAGCGGAGAAAAUAAAGUUAUUUUUUAUCCAAAUGACUCGGCUGUCAGUGUCUUCUCUGCCUCCAUGCUAGAUUCAGGCAAUUUUGUGCUCUACAGCACAGUCAAUCAUACCAUUUGGGAGAGUUUCGAGCAUCCUACAGAUACCCUUUUAGGUGGUCAGGCUACUACUCAGUCGUUGAUCUCCUGUUCUUCAGAAAAUGAUCACUCAUCCGGAAGGUUUCUUCUAGGUAUGCAACCAGAUGGGAAUCUCGUUCUAUACCCUCUAGACGUCAAUUUUGCUGUUACAACUGCCUAUUGGGCCACAAAUACUGAUGGUGUGAAUCGUUCACUCCGAUUAUUUCUUAACUCGACAGGCUUCCUACAACUUAUCAACAACACUGAUUCCUCCAUCUACCUAGAAAUUAAUUCUAGAUUUGUUACAGAGGUGAGCUACAACGAGAACACCACCACCACCAGCAACGACGGUAUCGUUCACAGUGCAAGCCUUGAUGUUGAUGGAAAUUUCCGGUUAUAUACUCAUCAAUUUGAUCCAAGUGGUGGAUUUCGAACUUCCCGAGUGUCGCGUGCGUUGAAGGAUUCCUGUGAAAUUAUAGGCUUUUGUGGUAUCAAUAGCUAUUGCACGUUUAAUGAUGACAGAGCUUACUGUGCAUGCCUUCCCGGCACUGAUUUUAUCGAUCCUCAACGCAAUACCCUCGGCUGCAAGAGAAAUUAUAAUGAAGCACAUUGUAAAGGAGGGAAGGACAAUAUACCCCUUUAUAACAUCACUCCAUUGCAAAAUAUAGAAUGGACUACAGGUAUAUUUUACAGUGAAGAGGUAAUGUCCAUGAGUGCCUGCAGCCAAACAUGCUUGGAAGACUGUAAUUGUGAGGCAGCAAAGUUUAGCGAUGGAGUUUGCAGGAAACAAAAGCUUCCACUAUGGCAUUUGCGACGACGACAAGGUGUGAGUUCCACGGUUUUCUUAAAGAUGGGAAUCAGAAGCCUAGAAGCAGAUGAUGGUACUGUUUCCCAUGAAUUAAAGCCCCAAAUCAAACGGAAAGAUCCGACGCUGAAAAUUCUUCUUUUAACUUUCAGUCUUGUCGCAUGUUCAUGUGCUUUGCUUGCAAUCUCUGGUGUAUUCAUUUUUAAAUUUCGAGUUCUAAGAUACAAAAGGCUGUUGGAAAUUGGAAAUUUGGGCCUAACCGGAGAGCUUACGUUGACGUCGUUUUCAUACAAUGAACUCAAGAGAGCAACGAAUGGGUUUAAAGAAGAGUUGGGUAAGGGAUCCUUUGGAGCAGUCUACAAAGGGUCCUUAAACAGAGGAAGAAAUUUGAUUGCAGUAAAGCGAUUGGAGAAGUUAGUGGAAGAAGGAGAAAGAGAGUUCCAAGCAGAAAUGCGAGCAAUUGGCAGAGCUCACCACAAGAAUUUAGUUCGACUUUUGGGAUACUGUGCUGAGGACUCCAAGAGGGUGUUGGUGUACGAGUACAUGGGCAAUGGCUCCCUUGCUGAUCUACUGUUCAAGUCAAGACAGCGCCCUGAUUGGGAUGAAAGAACAAGAAUAGCCCUGGAUGUAGCUAGAGGAAUCCUCUAUUUACAUGAGGAGUGUGAGACCCCAAUCAUUCACUGUGACAUAAAGCCGCAAAACAUAUUGAUGGAUGAUUAUUGGAGAGCUAAAAUUUCAGACUUCGGGCUGGCAAAACUGUUGAUGGGGGAUCAUACAAGGACCUUCACAGUAGUGAGGGGAACUAGAGGAUACAUGGCCCCAGAAUGGCAUAAGAAUGUUCCAAUCUCAGCGAAGGCUGACGUUUACAGUUACGGAAUUGUGCUAUUGGAAACUGUGUUUUGCAGACGAAACUUGGACAUCACUGUAUCAAACCCAGAGGAGAUCAUUCUGUCGAUUUUGGUGUAUAAAUGUCUGGUUGAAAAAAAGUUGGAUAAGCUUGUGCUUGGUGAAGAAGUAGAUAAGAAAAGCUUGGAAAGAAUGGUGAUGGUGGCACUUUGGUGUAUCCAAGAUGAACCUGCACUUCGUCCUUCCAUCAAGACUGCAGUGAUGAUGCUGGAAGGCAUUACUGAUAUAUGCAUUCCCCCAUGUCCAACUGCUUCCUCCAUAUAAUUCAAGUCACGUCCUAACAAUCAAUCAUCUCACUCAGUGUUCGUGUAGUUUAUGUUACGUAAGGACUGCGCCAUGUUUGUAUUUCCUCUGGCUUGUAAUAAAUUUGUAAAAUGCUUCCUGCAGCAGUGUUCUCCCAUCAUUUGUAGGUUUAAAAAUUGUGUUCGAGUUAUCUAAUCAUAUAGUAGUUGUAUGUAAUAACUGAGUUUUACUGUAAUUUCUAAUUAAUAAUCUCCUAUUGCUCAAAAUGGUAAAAAACUUGCAAAAGGGUCAUGUAAGCAAAGCCAUUAUGUGUAUGCUAGGACUAAUAAGUCCUUUUGUCUUGGACUUGUUAUGAUCUCAUUAGACAGGAUGUUAGGAAACUGAGUAAUCAUUUUUAAGCAGAGAGAUUGUGCAUUAGAAUAACAGCAUCCAAGAGCAAAACCAGAACUCAGAGGCUGUGACUGUAGAACAUGUUCCGGCAAAGGUACAUGAGAAUUAUCAACUUAGGUGAUAUUGGUAUAUUUGCACAUAUGUGCAGCGCUAUGGUUUGAAAGACGACGACGACGACUACUACUACCUGCCAUACAGCUGAAGCCAUCUUCCUCUUUUUGUGAUCAUAUGAGUAUAUAUACAAUACAAGUUUGCGGUUAAGGCCCAGAAACAAUACCAACAAUGUCCAUCCAUGGCAGCCCAUCUAUAUAACUAAUAAGGAACUAAUGACCUAGAAAAAUGGUUAAAUUUCAAUUUAAUCCCUCUACUAUGCUUAAAUUUGAGAUUGAAUCUCCAUACUUUGGUCCUUUUAUUUUUGUAAUGUUAUUAAUAAGUCCAAAUAACUAAUAUAAUUAACUUUUCAAUUAAGAUGUUAUGUGUUUAUAUAUAAUUUAAAUUUCCCAAGGGUCUCAAAGACGAACAUAUGUAUUUCCAUUUCUUUUGGAUUUGUCUUCUUUCUUUUUUUGACAUUAUAAGACAAUGAUCAAACUUCAAUUUUAGCUCCUAUAGUAUGUUGAAACUUGAUAUUUGAUUUACACACUUUAAUUUUUGACAUAAUUUGGUCCUUCUAUUUUUAUAAUGUCAUUAGUUAGUCUAAAUACUUAAUAUUGUUAACUUAACGAUAUUAAGUAUUUUAAUCAGAAUGCUUACAUCAAUUUUUCUUAAGAACACCAUGCCAACAAAAAAAGUAUUAUUUUAUAAUGAUGAGUUCAAAUAGGUGUUUUUAAGAAAAAAAUUCACAUAAACAUUUUCAAUGUUAAUUUUUAUUGUUAUACGACUACCAAGUGUUUUUUUUUUUAAUUUCGAAAUGUCAAGCCAAUGAAUUUAAUAUAAGAAUUUUAAUUGUGGUACAACUUGACCUAAAAGCUUAAACCCGAAAAGUAUAGGGACAAAAUUUUUGAAAAUAAAAGUAGAGGGACUAGAUUUUAUGUGUGAAGUGUAUAAAACCUUAGAGUAUAUUUUAACUUUCAAGGUUUUACUCCAUUUUUUUGGUCGAAACCACAAUAUUUACCAUUGGUAGCCGUAACUAAUCUCCCUCACCGCAAGUGCUCUCUAAAAAAAAUAAACAGUUGGUGAUGAAAUGUGAUUCAUUCACAUUAAUUAUGCAUUUUUUUUACUCCAUUCGAGUAUAAAAUUAAAAGGUAAACUACACAAACUAUAAUCAACUAUAAAAAAAAUCAUUUUAGACACAAAAAAUAAAAUGUAUGUAAUUUAAUCACUCGUAUUUUAAUCACUCCCAUUAAAAUGGAAGAUGGAUGUCCACGUGGAGCUUUUUUAAAAUUUUUAUUAAUAUUUAAUAAUUUCCGACUAAUAAAUUAUUUCGACGUCUGAAAUUCUUUUAGCCUAAACCUAAGCUAAUAGUGAAACUAAGUAAAAAUUUCCUUCAUUCUAGUGCUAGAAAAAAAAUUGCAGUCACCCUUUCCCUUUCUCGCCCAAUCUCAGCCUCAACCACCUCCCUCUCUAGUUUCUCAUGCUCUGCUUUGGCUUCCUUGAUGUGCCUCAUCCCGGCUUGCCACCCCAAGCUUUUUAUAGUGGAGGUCAGUUUGGGGGUGGCUCUUUACCUCUGCGGCUUGGUUUUAAAAGUUUUUAAAUAGUAAAUGUAAAAUUGUAUUUUAGUCUUUUUAAAAAUGAUAAAAUUUUGAUUUAAUCUUUUAAAAAUUAUAAAAAUAUAAACUAAUUAAUGGUGAAAUUAUUUUUUUACUAUCAUAAAAAUUACAAUUUAAUUUUAACCCCUUAAUUUUUUUUCUAAAUUUGACCCUGUUAUAUAGAUUACCUAAAACCUAAAUUAAAUGAUAGGUUAAUUUCAAAAUAUUGUUUAUUGUUAAUUUCAAAAUAGGUUAAUUUUAUUUUCUUGUGGAUGAUAUUAUUAACCAUAUGGCGUGGACGGUAGGCUAGGGAAUUUUUUACUCUUUAUGUCAUCCAUAUUUACCAUUGAUAACCACAAUAAUUUAUUUUUCAAUAUAAACAUGACUUAUAAAAUUUCAAAUAGUUUAUGAGACAUAGGCAAAGUGUUUGGAAGAAGUGACUAAAUGAGUGGAUAUUUUUUCAAGCUCUGGGAUAACAGAAAUAUAAUAGGAGAUAACAAAAAGUUUGCUUACGCAGCUCACGGAGUCUAAUUCAGUGAGAAGUAUCCACUAUCUUCAAACACUUACAGCAAGUGACCCUAAAUCUAUGAGACCCAAGUGACAAUUUCCUCACUUUUGUGCCUUUAAAGACUAGAAUCCUUGCCACUAAAUUCACCCCUGUGAACUAAGCAUGUAAAACCACAACCCAAAGGUUUUACAAUCAAAUGCACUCUUACAAAUAAUGUUCCUCACUUGAAUAGAUUAAGUGCUCUCAAUUCUCGAACAUAAUCCUAUACAAGUCUCUCUAUUAUAUAGAGUUGUUCGAGACUUGCUAACAUAGAGAAGAUCUAUAACAAUCUCUAUAAAACAAUCACUAUAUAAGUUGAAUAAAAUAUAAUAAUAGCAAACAAGAUAAACAAGAAUUAUUGGUAAACAAGGACGGUUGGUAGAUAAGUUGAAUAAAAUAUAAUAAAUAAAAUAUAAGUCUUUAAUGUUACAAACCAAUCCAACUUCCUUAUCUAAGGGAUUAGAUAAGUAUGAUUCGAUUCGAUUCGAUUCGAUCCAAACCUCUUUAUACAUUUCUUUAAGUGAUAUGAUCUUCAUUAGUGGGCUAGAUACGAUCCACAAUCUCAAUAUAACCAAAAUAUCUAGCUCAAUAAAUUGCCAACAACUCAAAUAUGGAAAUAGCCUAAUCUGUCGUAGUUGGUCAAAGAGUGGGCACUCCCUCAGACACUUAUUUAGUCUUUCUGUAUUUUCAACAAUCUCCUCAUUUGGAAAUUUUUUGAACAAAACACAAACAAAGUAGGAAGCUUAAACAUAAAUUAACAACUUGCUCCCUUUUAUUAUAUUUCCUUUUAAUCCAACAAUAAUGAAUCAUGAAAAAUAUAUGCAACCAAAGUAAUCAUCAUUUAUUGACCAAAUGAAAUCCAACUAUUAGAAGUAGCAAAAUUAAGAAACAAACCUCCAAAAACCAUAAGUUUCAAAAAGCAACAGUAACAUCAAUGAAUUUGAAGCAAAAUAUGAAUCUCCCCUAUCACCAGUAGCUUCCCCUUAUUCUCUUUUCCCCCCUUUUUGAUCAACAAGAUUGCCAACUUAUUUUUCAUUAGGAAGGGAUAUUAGAUUAGCACAAAGAAGCUUUUGCCUAUCUAUGAUCUUCUUCAUAGUCUUAGCUUCAAUAAGGAGUCUGGUAAUGUGCCUAUCAUUGGCUUCAAUAAAGGAUGUAAGAUCCUCAAUCAUCAUUUUAUGAAUGUCAUAGGGAAUAACCUUGGGGCCUGGAGAAGUUGGCACUUAUUGGGUCUAAGGUGCUUCUUCUUGCUCAACAUCAUCAUAUCAAAAUUACUUCCCCUCAACAGCAACAUUACCUCUCCCCCUCAGUAGGACCCAUCAUAUUUAGACAAUAACAAUUCAGGGCCUUCCUUAUCAUUGAAGUGCUAACUUUAUACUAUUCUCCACAUAAAAAUACCUUUUAAUGAAACUUACUAUAUUUGUUACUUAAUACUUUGCAGCAAAUUAACAUAAAACUUCAUAACAACAUUACAGACACACAACUUGACACAACUCAUUGACCUUAACAAACCACUUUUUCCAAUAAGUACAUCUAUGCCAUGACCAACAAACCCUCUAAAAAUAUGAUAAUAGGUUGGAUUAAAUGACUUGGUAUCAAAGUAUAAUUGGUAAACUGUGUAAUAUAUAUGUUUACGUAAUACUAAAGGCUAGAAAUGAGUAUAUGUAACUCGUAACUUUGCUGAAAUGACAUAAUUGAGAUAUUGGUUUGCUUGUUUAGGUGUUGCAAAAUGGUACCUUUUAGAUCUUUUGGAAACAAAAAAUUACGUGGUGACGAGGAAUCAACAAUAAGUUGCAUCAUGACCUGGAAGCCCCAAUCGUGACGUCAACUCGAUAGUUUGCAAACUUUUCAUUUUGGUCCUAAUUCGACCUCAAGUUAGCAUAUGAGCUUUCAUAAGCUUGUAUAAGACUCGAAUAUUAUUGAAAAACAUAUUGUGAAAGCGUGAUGUAGUUAGUAGUAUGUGAAAAAAGUUAACUUGGGUCGGUGUUGCUCUGACAACGAAAGUUGCAUAUAAAGGAGUGCUCCUAGAGGCUGUGCCUUGGAGUUUUAGCCAAACCAUAAAUUAUUUGAGAUUUUCAGUCAAAAUUGUAAAUGAGAUUGUUAAGUAGAAAUUUUAAAAGAUGUAUGUAUUAGUAUCAAUUGUUGUGCUUAGUUAAUUUGUUGGAAAGUGAAUUUUAAAUAAUGUUAGUCAGUUAUCUAGAAUUUCUAUCAUCCAGAACCUGGACUCAGUGAGCGGAUCAGGAAUUAGGUGUGUAAUGGCCCAUUUUCAGUGAAAUCAGAAUAGUGGUUUCGGGACCACAAAUCCAGAGUCAAAAGUUUUACUUAACAUUUUUUAUGUGGUAUAAAACAUGUCAGAAGUAUGGUAUAAAAAUUUCGUUAAGAAAUUUUACCGUUUGUUUGCUAAAUUUGUGAAAAAGGACUAAAUCGCAUAAAGUGCGAAAGUUGUGUUCUAUUAGCUAAAUGUAUUAAAUAGAUAUAGAAUGUUAAAUUACAGGUCCUUAUUGAGUAAUUAGACCAUUAAAGAAGGUAGUGGAUGUACAUGGGGUGAAGUCAUAAAUAGUCAAAGUUGGUAAGGGGUUAGUAAAUUGUUGACUAAUGUUAAAGUAAAUAAAAUAAAAACAAAAUGGCCAUCUUCUUCUUUCUUUUUCAACCAAAAAUACCAUCAAACUAAGAGCUUGGAAAGCUUGAAUUUUUCAGCCGCAAAGUCCCUUGCAUGUAAGUGAAAUUGGUGUUUGUUUUUGUUUAUUGUUAUUUUUGUGGAACCCUUGUAGCUUAAGCUAGCUAAAUAGGGACAAAUUUGCAAAAUGGUUGAAACUCUAGGGUUUUUCCAAGAAAGCAUGAUAGUUUUUUUAAAAUUUUAAUGGAAUAAAAUGAAAAUUUGGGUGUUAAACACUUUUUGUUAAGUGAUUUUUGACAUAAAAUUCAAUUAGGGGUUAAUUUGUGAAGUAUGAAGAUUUUGAGUUAUAUGUGUGAAAUUAGGGCUUAUGUGGGCUUCUAUGAGCACCUAGAUAAUUCGGUCAAGCUUUGAUAUGGAUGAAAUUGCAUAAAUUUCGUUUUACGAGCCUAGGGACUAAUUUGUAAAAAAGUUAAAAGUAUAGGGGUAAAAUGGUAAUUUUUCCCUAAUAUGAAACUGGAUUGAAUUGAAUAGAAUAAGCAUUGAAUUAGUUAAAUUUGAUUAUAUAGAUCAAGAAAAGCAACAUUUAGACAUAAAUCGAGGCAAAGAUAAAGUGGUAGAUUGAUCGAUCGAUUUAAUCCGUACAAUUACGAGGUAAGUUCGUACAAUUAAACAUUUAAUGUUUAUUUAUUUAAUUGAUGAAUGAUAUUAUGCACUUGUACACAUCUAUUGUUGAACUUUGAAAUGGAAUUAAAUGUUCAAACAAGUAAAUCGCAUGAUUGAGUAUAAAUGUUUUAUGCAAAUGAGGAUUUUACGGAUAAGACCAUGGUUGGACCAUGGCAACAUUAGUAUGUAAGACCAUAGCCGGGCUAUGGCAUUCUGAUGAUAAGACUAUAACUGGGUUAUGGCACUACGAAUGUAAGACCAUGGUAGGGUCAUGGCAUUUCGCGUAAAAGACCAUAGUUGGACUAUGGCACAAGGAAAACAAUGUACUCAUAUCCGUAAGCCGAUCUUAGAUUCAGAAUGAUGAGGUAAAUGCAUUCAUCGAUAUUUAAAUAAUCCAAUGAGCUCAAUAAUAAUACGAGUUGAGUCGAGUUAAAGUAAAUCAGUGUAGGUAUUCGCAAGAAUUACAAAAAAUAAUUCAUAGUGGAGGUAGCUAUACAACAUUAACCUAAUUACGAUUAUGUGAUAAGCUUUGAGUCGAAUUGUAAAUUUCCUGUGUAUUAAUUUUGAUAAGUUAAAUUGUGGAUGCUUUGGAAGGUUUUUUUAAUAUUCAUACGAACUUACUAAGCUUAAUUACUUACUCGAUUUAUGUUUCAGUGUUUUAUAGUGAAUUGGAAGCUCACUCGAUUCGGAAGUCGUCGGAGAUCGCGUCACACUAUCAAACUCUCAUUUUGGUAUUUUAAACUUUGUAUAUUUUGGGUUAAAUGGAACGUAUAAGUGUUUUGGUUAAGGUAGCCUAUAUGUUGGUUGUAUAAUUAGCUAAGUGAGUUGGCUUGAGAAUGAUAUAUGUUUUGAUAUGUAAGUAUGUAUAUAUAUGGCCUUUUGAUAUGUUAUGUAUAGUGGCUUUGUGAAUGCCUUGUUGUGGAUUGGUAUCUUGUGUAACAAAUGGUUGGAAUUGAGAUGAGCAUGUAUGCUAAGUUAGGCAUAAGGUUUAAAGCACGUAAUUGGCCAUUUAGUUAUACUUUACAAUUAUCUUUGGUAUGUUUAAAAGUGGUCAAAUGAAUGUGCUUGUGGAGAUCAUGUUGUAUGUGUGGUUUGUGUAUGGUAUAAACUUGAUAUUGGUUUGCUUAAAGUGCCUAUUUAUGCCAUGGUUGUAUGUACAUUAUUGAGUUUAGGUUGGCACCAGUUUGGGUGAGGAAUAUGGCUUGGAAAAUAGCCUAUUUUUGUCCACACGGGCAGAGACACGGGCAUGUGUCUCGGCCGUGUGUCCCCUGAUACUAUUCAAAAAUCAAAGUUAAUGGCUUCACACGGUCUAGCACACUAGCGUGUGGGUUAGCCGUGUGGCACAAGUCAGUAUACCCUCUAAUUUUAGCACAGCCGAGCACAUGACCUGAAUAUGGGCGUGUAUGGCCAUUUCAUGAGGCACACGGCUUGACACACGGGCGUGUGGUUUGGCCGUGUGAGCCAAGUCAAAGAGUUGUACGGGGUCGGACAUGGACAUGGCCAUGUGAUCCCAUUUCGAAUGCGCAUACGGCCUGAGACACAGGUGUGUCUCUUGGCCAUGUGAGAGUCACGGUUGGGGUACACAGACGUAUGACCUCUGUACUUUGAAAAUUUUCAAUAUUUUUUCAAAACUUUCCUGGGUUAUCAGUUUAGUCCCGAAUCACUUCUAAUGCUUAUUUUGGGCCUCUAGGGCUCGUGUUAGGGACUAUAUGAUUGUAUUUGAAUGGUUUUUGUUUGGAUUGAGAAUUAAACACAAAAUGUAUGAUGGUUUGAGUUAUAAGUCCAGUAAUACUCUGUAACACUGUUUCGGCAUCAUAUACGGGUUAAGGGUGUUACAUUUAUUGGUAUCAAAGCUACGGUUUAGUUGAUUCUAGUACUAACGCAGUGUGUGUGAGUCUAGCUAUACAUGCCAUUUAUUAACCUUUGAUAUUGUGACAUCUCUUAACAGUUUAAAAUCGUGUUUUCUAAUAGUAAUGGAUCUAAAUUGAGCAAAUUUCGAUGAAGUUAAAAAUAACGCGCCAGCCUCAGUUUGGGGGGUAACAUUAUCUGACUAUUUACAUGCGUCUGGAAGUCAUGGAGGAGAAGCUAAGGAAACCUUCUUCCAAAUGAUGAGCGAAUGGUACACCAAGUUUGUACGGACGAACUUGGCUAUUCAACAACCGCCACCUAUUCCCUAACAGGUUCCCGUAGCUCCUCAAGGUUUGGAACCUUUACGUAUGAAUAGACCACAUGUUGAUAAAAUUCGAAAGUAUGGGGCUGAAGAGUUUAGAGCUAUAGUUGAUGAUGAUCUCGAGAGAGCCGAGUUUUGGCUUAAGAAUACAAUUCGAGUUUUUGAUGAACUGUCUUGUACACCGGCAAAAUAUCUUAAAGGUGCUGUAUCAAUUCUGAGAGAUACUGCCUAUCAGUGGUGGAACACCUUGAUAUCGGUAGUACCGAGAGAACGAGUCACGUGAGAAUUCUUUCAAGCCGAGUUUAGGAAGAAAUACAUAAGUCAAUGGUUUCUAAAUCAAAAGCAUAAAGAGUUUCUAGAAUUGAAACAAGGCCGUUUGACUGUGACAAAGUACGAAAGAGAAUUUGUAAGAUUAAGUAUGUAUGCUCAGAAGUGUGUUUCUAUUGAAGAAAUCAUGUGUAAGCGAUUCGUAGAUAGUUUGAAUGAAGACAUUAAGCUUUUAGUCAAAAUUUCAGAAUUGAAAGAGUUUGUUGUCUUGGUCGAUAGAGCUUGCAAAGCUGAAGAGCUUGGUAAAGAAAAGAAAAUAGUCGAUUCUGAGGCUAAAGAUUCAAGAAAGACGGGAAAAUCUUAUCACUCAUUGUCAAAGAAAUCAAAGGAUUUCCACAAUCGUUCAACCGCUUUAGUGGGAUAUUCUAACCUAGACCGUGGUAAACAAUACGUAGGUUCAAAAAAUGAAGCCACUUCAAUAACAAGCGUUGGUAGUGUUAAAGCCAAUAGACAAGAAUGUCAGCGAUGUGGAAGACGACAUUUUAAAGAAUGUCAAUUGAUUGACAGAGCCUGUUUUAGAUGUGGCUCGCUUGAGCAUUUCAUUCGUGACUGCCCUGAAUUAUCUGAGAAAGACAAACUUCAGACCGCUCGACCGAGCAAUACAUUUGCUAGAGGGCGACCACCCCAAAAUACUGAAAUAUGAGUGGUAGUUGAGGUACAACGAGAGACUCUACUGUAAGAUCUGAGGCAUGAGCACCAACUAAAGCUUAUGCCAUUCGCGUUCGAGAGGAUUCAUCGGCACCAGAUGUUAUCACUGGUACAUUUUCUCUUUGUAACACUGAUGUAAUUGCUUUGAUUGAUCCGGGAUCAACUUAUUCUUAUGUAUGUACAAAGUUAGUGUCUAGUAAGAGUUUACAUGUCGAGUCCACUGAAUUUAUGGUUAAAGUAUCGAACCCCUUAUGUCAGUAUGUAUUAAUUGAUAAAGUCUGCAAGAAUUGUCCUUUGAUGACUCGGGGUUACACUUUUUCGGCCGAUUUGAUGAUUUUACCGUUUGACGAGUUUGAUACGAUAUUCGGUAUGGAUUGGCUGACAAUGCAUGAUGCGAUUGUGAAUUGUAGAUGAAAGACCAUUAUAUUAAAAUGUUAGAACGGUGAUACUCUUCGUAUCGAAUCCGAUAAUUUUAAUAGUUUGCCUAUUGUGAUAUUGGCUAUGCUAGUAUAGAAAUAUGUGAGGAAGUGUUGUGAUGCUUACCUUGCGUACGUGCUCGAUAGAAAAGUGCCUGAAUCGAAGAUUAAAUCAGUACCAGUGGUUCCAGAUGUGUUUCCGGAAGAGUUACCUAGGUUACCACUGAUCAGAGAGGUCGAGUUCACUAUUGAGUUAGUACCGGGAACAUCACCAAUAUCGAUAGCUCCGUCCAGAAUGGCUUUGACCGACUUGAAAAAAUUGAAAGCUCAGUUGCAGGAGUUAACAGAUAGAGGUUUUGCACGAUCGAGUUUUUCGCCUUGGGGUGCACUGGUAUUAUUUGUAAGAAAGAAAAAUGGAUCAAUGAGAUUGUGUAUCUACUAUCGAGAGCUUAAUAAGGUUACGAUUAAGAAUAAGUAUCAUUUGCCGAGGACUGAUGAUUUGUUCAAUCAGUUGAAAGGAGUAGUAGUAUUUUCAAAGAUUGAUUUAUGAUCCGACUAUUAUCAGUUGAGGGUUAAAGACUCUGAUAUGUCGAAAACUACAUUUAGGACUAGGUAUGGACAUUAUGAAUUUCUUGUUAUGCCAUUUGGAUUAACUAAUGCUCCUGCAGUUUUUAUGGAUUUGAUGAAUAUAAUUUUUAGACCUUAUUUAGACAGAUUCAUGGUUGUAUUCAUUGAAGAUAUUCUGAUCUAUUCGCGAGAUGAGUCUGAACAUGCUGAGCACUUGAGGAUUGUGUUACAAACGUUGAAAGAUAAGCAACUAUUUGCUAAAUCUAGCAAGUGCAAGUUUUGGCUCCGAGAAGUUGGAUUUUUGGGACACAUUGUUUCGGCUGAAGGCAUUAGAGUUGAUUCGAGCAAAAUUUCAGCAAUUGUUGACUGGAAACCACGGAGAAACAUAUUCGAAGUCAGAAUCUUUCUGGGUUUAGUAGGCUAUUGUUGGAGAUUUUUUUAAAGGUUUCUCUAUUAUAGCUACACCAAUGACUCGGUAAUUAUAAAAAAGAUGUGAAAUUCGUGUGGUCUAAAAAAUGUCAAUAGAGUUUUCAGCAGUUGAAAACAUUGUUAACUGAGGCACCAGUUCUAGUUCAACCUAAGUCGGGUAAAGAUUUUGUGAUUUUCAGCGACGCGUCAUUGAGUGGUUUAGGUUGUGUUUUGAUGCAAGAGGAAAAAGUGAUAGCUUAUGUUUCCAAGCAAUUGAAACCGCACAAAAAGAAUUAUCUGACGUACGACUUAGAGUUGGCCGCUAUUGUUUUCGCAUUGAAAAUUUGGUGACAUCAUUUAUACAGUGAAAAGUGCCAUAUCUUUACCGACCACAAGAGUUUGAAGUAUUUAAUGACUCAGAAAUAUUUGAAUUUGUGACAACGAAGAUGGCUCGAGUUGUUGAAAGAUUAUGAAUUGGUGAUUAUCACCCGGGGAAAGUGAAUGUAGUAGCAGAUACCUUGAGUAGAAAAUCUUUAUUUGCAUUGUGAGCAAUGAAUGUGCGAUUGAGCUUGUCCAAUGAUGAUUCGAUUUUACCUGAAUUAAAAGCUAGACCGAUGUUCUUACAACAAAUUUGUGAAGAUAAAAAAUGAGAUAGCAAAUUGCAAGUUAAAAGAGUACAGUGUGAGUCGAUUUUUGAUUCAGAGUUUCAGAUCAGAUCCGUUGAUUGCUUAUUAUUCCGAGGUAGAGUUUCAGAAGUGCACAGUGGUAGCUUGUCUGUUCCAUUGGAAAGUACUAAGAUGUGUAGUGAUUUGAAACAAAUGUACUGAUGGACGGGUAUAAAAUGUGACAUUUCUGAGUUUGUGUCGAAAUGAUUGACUUGUUAGCAAGUCAAAGCUAAACACCAAGUACCUUCGGGGCUAAUAAUAAUAUCCCCAAACUGAUGGUCAGUCUGAGAGAGUGAUUCAAAUUCUCGAGGAUAUGCUUCGUUGUUGUGUUUUGGAGUUCGAAGGUAAUUGGGAAAAAUAUUUACCUUUGGUUGAAUUCGCGUAUAAUAAUAGUUUUCAAUCGAGUAUUAAGAUGGCAUCGUAUGAAGCUUUGUAUGGUCGAAAAUGUCAAACUCCAUUGUAUUAGACUGAGCUUGGUGAGAAAAAGAUACACGGGGUUGACUUGAUCCGAGAAAUCGAAGAGAAGCUGAAAGUGAUUCGCGACAGCUUAAAAGCUGCUUCAGAUAACUGAAAUCUUACGCGAAUUUGAAGCAUAAAGAUAUUGAAUUUCAGGUUGGCAAUAAAGUGUUUUUGAAAGUAUUUCCUUGGAAAAGAAUUCUUUGAUUUGGUUGCAAAGGAAAGUUGAGUCCACGAUUUAUUGGACCGUAUGAGAUUAUCAAGAGAAUUGGGCCAGUAGCUUAUCAACUUGAGUUACCGUCUAAGUUGGAAAAGAUUAAUAAUGUAUUCCAUGUAUCUAUGGUACGACAGUACCGAUUGGACCCUUCGCUUAUAAUUUCUCCAACCGAGGUUGAGAUUCAACCAAACAUAUCAUAUAUGGAAGAACCGAUCUGAAUUUUGGCAUAUAAGGUCAAUAAAUUGAGAAAUAAAAGAAUAGCCUUAGUGAAAGUUCUUUUGCAUCGUCAUGGGAUUGAAGAGGCCACUUGGGAACCCGAGGAAACUUUGAGAAAAUAAUACCCUAACCUAUUUUCGGUAAAAUUUUUUAGGACGAAAAGUCCUAAGGGGGAGAGUUAUAACGGCCCAUUUACAGUGAAAUCGAAACAGUGGUUUUAGGACCACAAAUUUGAAAGUCCUAAGGGGGAGAGUUGUAACGGCCUAUUUACAGUGAAAUCGAAACAGUGGUUUUAGGACCACAAAUUUGGAGUCAAAAAUUUUAUUUAAUAUUUUUUAUGUGGUCUACAACAUGCUACAAGUAUGGUAUAAAAAUUUCGUUAAGAAAUUUUAACGUUUGUUUGCUCAAUUUGUGAAAAAGGACUAAAUCGCAUAAAGUGUGAAAGUUGUGUUCUAUUAGCUAAAGGUAUUAAAUAGAUAUAGAAUGUUAAAUUACAGGUCCUUAUUGAGUAAUUAGACCAUUAAAGAAGGUAGUGGAUGUAUAUGGGGUGAAAUCAUAAAUAGUCAAAGUUGGUAAGGGGUUAGUAAAUUGUUGACUAAUGUUAAAGUAAAUAAAAUUAAAAAAAAUGGCCAUCUUCUUCUUUCUUUUUCAACCAAAAAUACCAUCAAACUAAGAGCUUGGAAAGCUUGAAUUUUUCAGCCGCAAAGUCCCUUGCAUGUAAGUGAAAUUGGUGUUUGUUUUUGUUGAUUGUUAUGUUUUUGGAACCCUUAUAGCUUAAGCUAGCUAAAUAGGGGACUAAUUUGAAAAAUGGUUGAAACGCUAGGGCUUUUCCAAGAAAGCAUGAUAGUUUUUUAAAAUUUUAAUGGAAUAAAAUGAAAAUUGGUUGGGUGUUAAAUACUUUUUGUUAAGUGAUUUUUGACAUAAAAUUCAAUUAGGGGUUAAUUUGUGAAGUAUGAAGAUUUUGAGUUAUAUGUGUGAAAUUAGGGCUUAUAUGGGCUUCUAUGAGCACCUAGAUAAUUCGGUUAGGCUUUGAUAUGGAUGAAAUUGCAUAAAUUUUGUUUUACGAGCCUAGGAACUAAUUUGUAAAAAAGUUAAAAGUAUAGGGGUAAAAUGGUAAUUUUUCACUAAUAUGAAAUUGGAUUGAAUUGAAUAGAAUAAGCAUUGAAUUAGUUAAAUUUGAUUAUAUAGAUCAAGAAAAGCAACAUUUAGACAUAAAUCGAGGCAAAGAUAAAGUGGUAGAUUGAUCGAUCGAUUUAAUCCGUACAAUUACGAGGUUAGUUCGUACAAUUAAACAUUUAAUGUUUAUUUAUUUAAUUGAUGAAUGAUAUUAUGCACUUGUACAUAUCUAUUGUUGAACUUUGAAAUGGAAUUAAAUGUUCAAACAGGUGCAUCGCAGGAUUUAAUACAAAUGUUUUAUACAAAUGAGGAAUUUACGGAUAAGACUAUGGUUUGACCAUGGCAACAUUAUUAUGUAAGACCAUAGUUGGGCUAUGGCAUUCUCAUGAUAAGACCAUAACUGGGUUAUGGCACUACGAAUGUAAGACCAUGGUAGGGCCAUGGCAUUUUGCGUAAAAGACCAUAGUUGGACUAUAGCACAAGGAAAACAAUGUACUCAUAUCUGUAAGCCAAUCUCAGUUUCAGAAUAAUGAGGUAAGUGCAUUCAUCGAUAUUUAAAUAAUCCAAUGAGCUCAUUAAUAAUAUGAGGUGAUUCGAGUUAAAGUAAAUCAGUGUAGGUAUUCGCAAGAAUUACAAAAAAUAAUUCAUAGUGGAGGUAGCUAUACAACAUUAACCUAAUUACGAUUAUGUGAUAAGCUUUGAACUGAAUUGUAAAUUUUCUGUGUAUUAAUUUUGGUAAGUUAAAUUGUGGAUGCUUUGGAAGGUUUUUUUUAGUAGUCAUACAAACUUACUAAGCUUAAUUGCUUACUCGGUUUAUGUUUCAGAGUUUUAUAGUGAAUCAGAAGCUCACUUGAUUCGGAAGUCAUCGGAGAUCGUGUCACACUAUCAAACUCACAUUUUGGUAUUUUAGACUUUGUAUAUUUUGGGUUAAAUGGCACGUAUAGGUGUUUUGGUUAAGGUAGCCUAUAUGUUGGUUGUAUAAUUAGCCAAGUGAGUUGGCUUGAGAAUGAUAUAUGUUUUGAUAUGUAAGUAUGUAUAUAUAUGGCCUUUUGAUAUGUUGUGUAUAGCGGCUUUGUGGAUGCCUUGUUAAGGAUUGGUAUCUUGUGUAGCAAAUGGUUGGAAUUGAGAUGAGCAUGUAUGCUAAGUUAGGCAUAAGGUCUAAAGCAUGUAAUUGACCAUUUAGUUAUACUUUACAAAUAUUUUUGGUAUGUUUAAAAGUGGUCAAAUGAAUGUGCUUGUGGAUAUCAUGUUGUAUGUAUGGUUUGUGUAUGGUAUAAACUUGGUAUUGGCGUGCUUGAAGUGGCUAUUUAUGGCAUGGUUGUAUGUACAUUGUUGAGUUUAGGUUGGCACCACUUUGGGUGAGGAAUAUGGCUUGGAAAAUAGCCUAUUUUUGUCCACACGGGCAUAUAUCUCGGCCGUGUGUGACACAGGGCCGUGGUACACGGCCGUGUGUCCCCUAAUACUAUUCAAAAAGCAAGUUAAUGGCUUCACACGGUCUAGCACACAGCCGUGUGGGUUAGCCAUGUGGCACAAGUCAGUAUACCCUCCAGUUUUAGCACGGCCUGAACAUGGGCCUGUGUGGCCAUUUCAUGAGGAACACGGCCUGACACACGGGCAUGUGCUCUGGCCGUGUGAGCCAAGUUAGAGAGUUAGACGGGGUCGAAAACGGGCUGGGACACGACAUGUGAUCCCAUUUCAAAUGCCCAUAUGGCUUGAGACACUGGCAUGUCUCUUGGCCUUGUGAGAGACACGACUGAGGUAUACGGGCGAGUGACUCUUGUACCUUGAAACUUUUUAAUAUUUUCUCAAAACUUUCUUGAGUUAUUGGUUUAGUCUCGAAUCACUUCUAAUGAUUGUUUUGGGCCUCUAGGGCUCGUGUUAGGGACUAUAUGAUUGUAUUUUUGAAUAGUUCUUGUUUGGAUUGAGAAUUGAACAUGAAAUGUAUGAUGGUUUGAGUUAUAAGUCUAGUAAUACUCCGUAACCCUAUUUCGGCGUCGAAUACGGGUUAAGGGUGUUAUAAGGUGUUACACGAAGUCCAUGACGAAUGCACAAAUAGCGUCCCAUGGAGGUCAAUUGAUGAAAUAGGGCUCAUUCGACCCAUUUGAACUGGCCCAAUUCAUAGAACACGUGGAGAAGCCUAUAUACUUGAAGCAUUGGUAGUCUAGUGAAACACUUAAUGAAAAUUAGUUACCUUGGUAAAUAUGACAAGUAAUCUUAUAAGAUGUGUAAUUCGAUAAAACUUGAUUAUGUAAUAUUAAGGGAUUGUGUAAAACCUUUAAGAAUCUCAAUUUUAAGUAGGCUGUAAUCUUGAUCGUCGAUGUAAUUUAAUCUGUACCAUGGGAUUUUGGGGAGUUUAAAUAUAAAUAGAGGCCUCCCCCCUCAUUUUUAAUCACUCAAUUGUAAUUCUUCAUAGUAAUUGAAUACUAUUGAGAGCAUUUACUCAAACACUUGACGUGCUUUUUCUUUCUUGUGACUUUUCUAUUUUUUUGUUGGUUUUUUGUUUUGAGUUGCUUCCACUUUAUUUUCAAUGCGUUGGAGAAUUUUAUCAAGAAUUCUCACUUUGUGAGAGAUUGGUUGACUUAGGCAAAUUUGAAGAAAAGAAAUCACCUAAGAUCGCAUAGAUUGCGAAACUAAAGUUCUAACCCCAUGAUAAAGACAAGUACCCUAAACAUCCUUCCAAAAUUUAGUGCUACACCCAUUGCCAAUUGAUGAAUGAAUGUUGCACAUAAUAUCAUCUCAAACCCUUGCAAUGGACUGCCAAACAUGAGAAGCAACUGGUUGAUUAAUACUGGCUGGACAUGUUUCCACCAUGUUAUAUUUAGAUUGCAAAAUUCGAACCCAUAAAGCUUAUUUGUUGGUCAAAAUUGUGAAGCCUAAUUUCAUUAGGAAAGAAUGGUUAUUCACAUUCAAUUUUUGAAUGCCUAAACCUCAUGCUCAUAGGGUUUUGGCAACAUGGGUUCCAAGACACAGGAGUUGGCUUCUUCGAAUCAAUACCCCCCUCAAAUAAAGCUUCUAACAAACCCCCCUCAAAUAAAGCUUCUAACAAUGUUCUCGAUUUCCAUACAAAUGUCUAUAGGGAUCUUAGUAAUUCGUAUGUAAUAAGAAGAGAUUGAGAAUAACACUGACUUAGCAAGCAUAACACAAUUCGGUAACGAAAUAACUCUAACAUCCCAUCCAUUAACUGCUCACGAACUUUCUCAACAAUAAAGCGAAAUGUAUCUUUGGUGACCCUUUUAUGAAAAAGUGGAAUACCCAAGUGCUUUCUCAAAUUUGAAACUCGUUGGAAGCCCAGGGUACUUCACCAUGUUUUACUAUAUGAGUUAGUGAUAGACUAAUUUCAAUUGGUAAUUUUUAGCCACUCACAUGGCUUGUUUCGAGAAAAAAGGAAAAUUUUCUGCUUAUUUUGAAGAUGCAUUUUUUUACUAGAGUUUUUACUCAUCUUUCUAAUUUCAAGUGUAAAUUUGCACUAGCUAUUCUUUAUUUUAUGUCUAACUAUUGUAAUACAUAUAGAAUAAAUGAGUCUUUUCCUCAUGUUCUUACAUGAGAAACCAAACAAGUCAUAAAUGAUAAAUAUACUAUUUGAUACUUUAUUUUGGCUUCAAUGUUCAAUUUGGCACCUCAAUUUUUUUUGUCUCAAUUUGGUAUCUAAGUUUGGAUUUGAUUUUCACUUUAGUACGUACUUUUUUUUAAUUUCAUACUUGAGUUUUUUUUGUCAUACACCAAAAUUCCAUUAUAUGUCAAAAUUUUGGAUCCAUGAAUUUGCAUAGUUUUGAGUAGUUUGAAGGUUGGGAAUUAUUCUUAAAUAUAUAAUUAGAUUAUUAAAAUCGAUUAUAAGUAAUGUGAAUGAGUAAAGAUUAAGAUAUUUUAAUUUCAAGUUUGUUAUGUCGAAAGUUUCGAUUUCAAGAGAAUUUAGCUUAGGCCUAUGUUUUUAGAUAAUUUUGGUGAGUCUUUGGCUGAAUGUUGAUUGUGUUGUUGUGUGAAUUAUUUGGUUGAAGCUUUGGAAUCGUUAAGACCUUUUACGAGUAAAGAGAAAGGUAAGGAAAAGAUAGUUUGAGCUUUCGGCGUCUAGGUGAAAGCAUGAAUGGUGAGUGUUUGGAAUCGCUACUUGUAGACACGAUUAAUUGCGUUAAUUGGGAAUUUAGAAGUAGCCUAAACCUCUACGCUAAAUUCGGAGUGUAAGCUUUCUCAUACUAUUGAUUUAAUAUGUGAUUGUGUGUUGUGAAUUUGUGGAUUAAGAUAUGAUAUUAUAACAUGUGAAAUAAGCUUAUGAUGGUUAUUGUGAAAGAGUUGAUUGUGGGCAUGUUAUACGUGCCAAAUAACAGUGAUUAUGUUGUGUUUAUAAUGUGAAUAUGUGGUGAAAAGUGCAAAAAAUGGUAAGUAAUAUGUGUGUUUAAUAACGAAUAUUUUGGCCUUGUGAUUUUUGAGAUCGUUGGAUAUAGUUGACAUGCCAUAGGAUUGUGAGUACUCACCUAUAUAUGUUGUGUUUUGGGGGUGUUAAGGCCUGGGACAUUUUAGAAGAGAUAAGGGAAUGUGAGCUAAGCUCUAUUCACUGGGAUAUGUUGGUGUGUUGGAGAGUUUUAGCUAUAUGCUUCACUUUUGGGAUAUGUUCAACUCUACGAGUCAUUUGGUGUGUUGGAGAUCUAUGUAUCCGAUGUAUGGUGAUAGAGCCCACUUUUAUGUUUCAUAGCUCAAGUGCCAAAUUAUCAUUAAAUGUGAUUAUGUGUGAUGUGAUAUAAGCUUAAAUGAGUUUGUGACUUCUAUGUAAACGACCAUUUGAAUAAUGCAUGAUUAAGUAAUAUGACGCUAAAGUUGGAAAUGUUGUAAUUGGGCUAUAUGAAUGCUUUGUUAAUGCAUGAUGACAUGUUUGCGUAAUAGUUAUUCUGAUCAUUCACUGAGCUUGUUUAAGCUCAUCCACUCCUUUUUAAACCUUUGCAGGCUGUUAGCAUUGCGGUGUGAGCGGUGCGAAAUAUUUUCCAAUGGACUAAUCUAAGUAGUUUAGAAUUUGAGUAGGUGAAUUAUAGUAUUAUUCUGAACUGUGGGAAUAAGGCAAUGUAGUAGACUUGUUGCUUGAAUGCUGCCAUGAUGUUUUAGGAUGAUUACUUGGACUUGCUACUCACAGAAUUUAUAGACGUUUGACAUUGGUUUAUUGGUAUUACUUAGCUUAAACUAUUGUUGAUGCUUUAAGUUGUAUUUCCGGAUCAUUUUGAUGCUAAACUUUGAGCUUAUAAAUGCAUGAUUAGUUGGUAUGUUAGAUGUUCUAUUUUGAUGUUAUUUUUGUUGAAUUAUGCAGAGGUAUCGAUAACUCGGACAUAUGUAUUGAUACCUGUGUAAUUUAGUCUGUGUCGCAACAUCUAGUGCUUGUGUCGCGAUACUGAAGACAGUAUGCUCGAUUCCUGAUUCAGCCCCAGUAGUGUGUCGCGACAUCAAAGGCAGUCUUGGUAUAUGUGUAAAGCUUUGAUGUUUGAUGUAGCUUCCUGUUACUUGGGUUUGACAAUUGGGCUGAGUACGGGAUGUUACAUUUUUUUGUCCUGGUUAAGUACCUUAAUUUGGCUUCAAUUUUCAUUUUAGUAUUUGAGCUUUUUAUGUCCCAAUUAAGUGCCUAUUUUCUUUUUUACUAGAGCACACAUGCCAAAUAUUAGUUGGGCCACAUGAUAUUUGGCUUAGGUACCAAAUUGGACAUUGAAGCCAAAUUCUAGUACCAAAUUGAAAAAAAAAACCUCAAGUGUCAAAUUAAAUAUUAAAUUCAAACUUAGGUACCAAAUGAUAUUUUAAAGCAAUAUUAAAUCCAUGAACUUAAAGUAUUUAUUAACCCAAUUACCCAAACUUCAUUGGUAUUGAACUUAAAAAAACUUAGCCUUUAACAUUUAUAUUUUAUAUUUCUUUUUGUCAAUUUGACCCUUAUUUUAUUUUUAAACUAAAUUUGACCUUCAACCUUUUAAAAAGAGUAAAAUUUGACCAUCAAUCUUUCAAAAAGAGUUGAAUUGUUUUUUUAAUGGAAAAACUGACUAAAACAUUAAAUUUUUAAACAUUGUAGAUUAUAUGGCAAUUCACGUGUACUUCAUACUAUUUUUUAAAAUUUUAUGAACUUUUUAUAUUCUUUAAUUUUAAUUUGUUUAAUAUUUUAUAAAUUUUAAAUUAUUUGUUGAUGUAACAUAUAAGAUAAAUAUUGUUAUGUUAGCAUGUAGUACACAUGGAUUGUCAUGCAGGUUGCCAUUCCAAUAUUGUUACAAAAAGUUAAUGUUUUAGUCAAUAUUUUUGUUAAAAAAAGUGAGUUAACUCUUUUUGAAAUAUUAAUGACCAAAUUUAGCUAAAAAAUAAGACUAAAAUUAAUAAAAUAUAUAAACAUUGAGAAUUAAAUUUAGGCAUAAUAAUUUUUUGGGCCUUCCAACUUUACAAAAGAAGUCAUUGUAGCUCUUCAUUUAUUUUUCGUCUUUUUUAACACUUGAACUUGCGGUUUUUUUUUUGUCAAGUCACCUAAAAAUGAAUGGAAAUGUUAACAUUUAUUUAACAUUGUUGACAUUGCAUAUAUGUGGAUUACCAAGUGGAUAACACAUUAACAUUUAAUUAUUUUUUAAAAUUUUUAAAAAUAUUUUUAAAAAAUUAUAAUUUUUAAUAAGUUUUAUGAUUUUAAAUUUAUAAGGUGAUAUAGAAAGAAACCUACCUCAUUUGGACUUUCACUUUGUAUGCAAAAUCUUGGCCAAGUCGCCGUACAUAAGUUUAACAGUAGGUUAAAAUAACGAUCUUGGAAGACUAGUAACUUGUUGUCAUUAAGGCAUAUCUUGAAAUUUUAUGGAUAUUAUUAAGAUUUCAAUAAAGUAGGCAAAACAGUACAAUAUGACACAUAGUUUAGAGUCGUCCAAAGGAAAUUCUACAGAGCUUAGGGAUAUUUUAGGAAGAUAUGGGAAUGAUAGGGUCGCUAAUCAUUAGGCUUUUAAGUUGUUAGUUUAGUUAGUGUUUUUUAACAUUAUAUUUCUGUUUUGGUGAAUUACAAGAAGAGAGUAAAGUCCUAAUAGCAACGCGACUAACACGAUUCAAACCCAGACCAUACCUGCGGCAGUAAACACUUUGAUCAUCAAGUCAACACAUUAGGUUCUCAACAUUGCAUCUUUACAUUUUGUAUUAGAGUUAACAAACUGGUUGAAAAAAUGUCCCUAAAAGUAUAUCAAAUGCCAACACUAUAAUUAGUAAAUUAGAUAAAAAAAUUUCUAUAGCAAGAACUAUAAAAAUUUAUAUUUAUCUACUGUGAGAUAGAAAAAAAAAGCAAGAAUCACCAUUUCCAUUUUUUAAAAUAAUUUUUACCAUGUUCUAAUAAUUUCUUUUAUUUUUUAUAUUUUAAAAGAAUUAUGCCUACAAAUUAUAAUGAAACAUGGAUAAAAAGAUGUCCAUAUUUAAAUAAAUUUAGAUGUCUAUUUAUCUAUAUUCAUUUUCAAUUUGAAUUUUUAAUAAUUUUUUUUUGGUUAAAUUGAACUGCUAUGUCAAUAUCAUGAUGGUUGAUUAACAACCAUAUUAAUGUGGUAAUAAUUAAUGGUGAGAUUAAUUAGUCAACGCGCCUAAUGAAGAUAAUUAAUAUUUUUUUAGAGAAAAUUUCAACUUGUAGGACCAUUUACCUUUAUUUUUUUCUUGGGGUGGUUGAUUAUCUUUUCUUCUUUUGUUGCUUUGACUUGUAUAAAUUUUCGGGUAAUAUACAAAUAAAAGCCCUUUUUUUAAAAUUUACUAAAAUAGGUCAGGUAAAAAAUUAAUUACUGGAAUUACUCUAUUUCCCCGAAAACGCGUCCACGUCAACGCGCUGUCAGGGUUUUGGGUUUUGGGUUUAGGGUUUGGGUUUUUGGGUUUUUAGGUUUAGGUUUUUAAAGAAAAAAUUAAAUAAAUAAGGGAUUAGGGUUUAGGGUUUCUUAAUUAAAUUAAUUAUAAAUUUUUCAAAAUUAGAUUAGGGUUUUGCGUUUAUGGUUUUUAAAGAAAAAUCAAUUAAAUUAGGGUUUAGGGUUACUUGAGUAAAUUAAUUAAAAAAAUUUUAAAAAUCAGAUUAAGGUUUAGUGUUAAGGGUUUUUAAGGAAAAAUCAAAUAAAUUAGGGUUUAGGGUUAUUUAAGUAAAUUAAUUAUAAAUUUUAAAAAAAUUAGAUUAGGGUUUAGUGUUUAAGGUUUUUAAGGAAAAACUCAAAUAAAUUAGGGUUUGGGGUUUAAGAUUACUUAAUUAAAUAAUUUGUUAAUUUAGAAAAGCUCCCACGUGGACGCUCUUUUGCUACAGUAGCUCCUGAAAAAAUAAAUUCGAGGAGACGUUUUUGAGCAAAUAGUGUCAAAAACGCUUUAAGCAGGAUGCAUUGUCAGCAAAAGUAUUGAAAAAAGCUCCCACGUGGACGCGCUUUUACUACAGUAGCUCCUGAAAAAAUAAUUUCGAGUAGACGUUUCUGAGUAAAUAGUGUCAAAAACGCUUUAAGUAGGAUGCUUUGUCAGCAAAAGUAUUGAAAGAAGCUCCCCCGUGGACGAGCUUUUGCUACAGUAGCUCCUGUUUGGCCUGAGGCUAUAAAUGAGGCAAAAUUUUUUCUCAGAUUGCAUAAGUUACAGCAAAAAAAUUAGAGAGCCUAAGAAGGAUAGAAAUUGAAGAUGAGUGAAUGUAUUAGUGUUGUUAUUUACUAUGAUGGUGAGGUUCGUCACACUGAGAACGGUGUUAUUUUUUUAUCGGAGAAUACAGUGCGACUGGUUUUUAACCAGAACAUAGAUUUGAUAGAACUUCAUAAAAGAAUUAGGCGUAAAAUAUUAGAAACGACGUCAAUGAAAGUUUUAUCUAUUACGUAUCAGUUUUGUUCUUCUGUUGAUCCGGUGACAUAUGACUCGUUCGACAUAAAAUGUGCUCGUAGCUUGGAGGCAAUGGUGUAGACACAUCUCGCUAGUGGAGCACACUAUAUUGAGUUAUAUGUACAAUUUACAUCGCCAAAUGAUGCACUUGCGACUGCUGUUCGAGAGGUAUACACGACUCCUGCCUGACACUCGGUUAGUGGGUUACAAAACACGAAACAACCCAUGUUUGGCAGCGGUAUGGUAUACACAACCCUUGUUUGACACCCUGUUAGUGGAUGGGACAUGCACCACGGUGGGUCGAUGUUUGAUGCUGGAAAUACGUACUGGGGAACGGCAUCAACUUCUAGUGGUUGGCAAUCUACAUUCAAUUGGGGACGUUAUGAAAUGUCCAGAAGAAUGGAUAAUAUACUCCCUACGAUGUCCACCGGUGAGGGGACCUCGUACGUUGCAGAUGAUGGUGGGUUAGAAGAUGACUCCAAUGUGGAUCCACCUUAAGAGCCCGGGGUUUGCGAUCGAGACAACUUAUGGUUUCGCGUGACAGAGUUUGACAGACCGCACCAAGGUGUUAUUGGCAGGCAAUAUCGUGUACACUUGCGAAAUAGGACUUGCGACUGUGGGAUGUUUGACGCACUUCGUUAUCCAUGCGCUCAUGUAAUUGUAGCUUGUCAUAAUCUCCGUCUGAAUUCGAUAAGUUAUGUCGACGAAGUGUACAAAUUAGAAAACAUGUACAACGUCUGGAGACACGUAUUCCAACUGAUCCCAGAUGAACGUAAGUGGCUGUCUGUAUUGCUUGCUCCCUUUAAGCUGUUACCGGAUAGAGAAUUGCGUCGCAAACCAAAGGGUCGAUCUUGCUCGACAAGAAUACGUAACAAUAUGGAUAUUCGAGAAACAGCCAGUCAACAGACGUUGUGCGGAUGGUGUAGGAACCUAGGCUAUUCAUGCCGAUCAUGCCCAAAUCACAAUAGUUGAACGUUAUUGUAAAAAACUUUGUAUUAUAUAUAUUUUUUAAAUCAAAUAAUAUAGAAAUAUUCAGAAUACUGACUUAUUUAAAAGAAAAUCUAUUUUAUUAAAAAUAAUAAAGUAAAUUACAAUUACUUUAUUCAAAACAAUGUUUUAUUUUAUUAAAUGAAAUAAUAUAGAAAUAUUCAAAAUAUUGUGUUAUUUAAAAGAAUUUCUAUUAUAUUAAAAAUGUAAAAGUAAAUUUCUAUUUUAUUACAUGAAAUAAUAUAGAAGAAUUUCUAUUUUAUUACAUUAAAUAAUAUAGAAGAAUUUCUAUUUUAUUACAUUAAAUAAUAUCAAAAUAUUCAAAAUAUUUGUACAAAUAUAUUAAAAUAAAAAUCAAUCUCCGUGCCCACCGAAUUCAGUGCCACAUGGUGGCCGUCGAUGGUUACGCGCUGGAUUCCUCAUUUGUCUAGCUUCCGGUGGGGGUUAUGGUUGUUCCCGCGGGGAUUCUGGUUCCUCCGGUAGGGGAUAUGGUUGUCGGUGUUGGGAUGAUGAGCCACCUUGAGAGAAUAGUGAUUGUGGAGGUGUUUGCAUCACCAACGGCAAAGCUGUUUGAAACCCAUAUGGUGAUGGGGAUUGGUAAAAAGAAGAGCUCCCCGACGGCCCCUCCUACGAUCCCUCGUGCGACGGUGGCCUAUACAUCGGUGGCCCACUCGGCGUAAUCGAAAAUGGAGAUGAACCGGACCAUGAACUUUAACCUGUCAUAGGACUAAAAGAAGGAAACAUAUAAGGGUUAGGAUAAAUAAAAGGGCUAGGAUACGCACCUGGCAUCAUCUGAAAAGGUUGUGCUGUGGGUGUCGUCAGUUGAAGUGUUAGGCUGGUGACUGUGUGGAUGCUGUUGUUGGGCCUGGUGAUGGGCCGUGUGAUUGUGAUAGACCUACGUCGUCAUCCCUUCUUCUUGGAUUUAAAGGGCCACGUCGUUCCCUUUGCACACGUAAUUUCUGCUGCCUUUCCUCUAUCGACAGUAAAUACGGCUUGCCAUAGAUUCUAAACCAUUGCAUGUAUUCUGGCACGCACGCUAACUCUAGAAGGAUGAUCGGUUCUCAAGUAGGUAUAUAAUCAUAUUGAUCUUCCUAUAUUUGGAUGUAGUAUGACCAGAAUCUCGGUCAAACCGUAUGCAAUUGCCAUAGGUAGAUUUUGUGAUGAUUAUCCAACACCUCAGGUGCCACGGGAAUCGGUUGUCAUAAUCCAAAUUGUUGUAAUACUCUGUCCGACUGGUGUAUCUCCACGGUCGCAAAGUUGACCAAUGAGACUUUUACAUACCAAGCGUUUGGAUUUUGGAAAUACUCAUCCGGAAUUACAGCCCGAAUUGCCGGAUCCUUGUAUGGUGUCCAUUGGAACUAUAUGAACAUGAUGGAAAUAUUAGUUAUAUACAUAAUACUAAAUACUAAAUACCAAAUACCAAUAGACUAUCUCAUGAUGGAAAUAUCUAUUUGAUUUAAUACUUACUUGUGCUUCCGACAGUUGGUCUAAUAGAAGCCGUAUAUCUUCAAGAAAGGUAGGUAAUCCAACAUAACUUGCCGAAUAGUUCCACCUAAUUAAAUAAAUUUUUAGCAUACGAUUAUAUUUUAAAUCUACGUAAUAAUUGUAAAAUAUAAUAUAAAAUUUACCUCGUUAUGAGUGCGAAUGUAUAUUGGUGGUCCACUUGAGGACGUAAAAGUGAUAGGCAACCUCCAAUUUUCAUUUUAUUCGGUCGCGUCGCCCCGCACAUCUUCCGGUACAAUGUUGCCUACAUGGUAGACCCCCGACUAAAUUCACCAGCUGCUCUAAAAUCAACGAGUUUUAGCAGCCAUCUCAGAUGUACAAGGCUCCGUGACAAGUCCGGUAUCAGAUAACCUCCAAUUAUCUGAGGAAUGUUUGCCCGAGCAUAUCAGAUUCUUUCUAGUUCGGUAGAAUUAUCAUUCGGCUCCGGAAAUGUGUCUCGUAGCCUGCCCAUCUCAAUCCGACCUCUGUUAAUAUUAUCCGGAAUAGCACCCAAAAGCUCGUAGCAUACCGCUCCCCAAUCACCAGAUUGAACAGACCCAGUGACUGCGUACCCGUCCACCGGCAAUCCCAAUUGCAAAUUUACGUCUUCCAAAGUAAUAGUACACUCUCCACAUGGAAGAUUGAAUGUGUGCAUCUCGGGUCUCUACCUCUCAAUCAACGCACUGAUAAGUUUUGGGUCCAACUUGCAUCCCUAGUCUACCGUCGCCACGUGCCAAAAACCUGCUUCCCAUAGGUAAUUCUCUACCAACGGUGAUGGAGGACCAUGCAUAUUACGAAUAUAGCAUUGCAAUAUCCGAUCUAUAGACUUUUAUAAGAAAUAAUAAAAUAAAAAUUAUUUAAAAUUGCAUAAAUCAAAAAAAUCUUAAAUAAUUUUUAAAAAUUAAAUUUAACACUUACCAUUUUCAUUUGUUCAACGGAUAUGUGAUUGUUAUCGAGACGAAUUAAUUUUCUGGCCAUUGCUAACACGAUCAAAUUUUUAUGAUUUAAAAAAAUCAAAAAAAAUAAAACUAAAUAUUUUUUAAAAAUAAUUAAAAAAUUAAAGUUUUUUUUAGAGGAAUUUGAGAGAAUAUUGGAGAGAAAUUGAGAGAAAGGAUUUAGGUGUGAAAAAAAUGGAAGGGGGUUUUAUAGUUUUUUUUACCGUUGGGGGGUCACCAACAGUCAAAAAAGUAGCCGUUGGUACUGAUCACGCGCGGGCAAGGACGCGCUUUCUGUCCACGUGGACAAAGCGCUUCCUUGAAGAAGUGUUUUCCUGCCUCGUCACCUGACAACGCGCUAACGUAGAUGCGUUUUCGGGGUUAUUUCGGUAAUUAAUUUUUUACCGGGCCCAUUUUAGUAAUUUUUUAAAACAUGGGCUGUUAUUAGUAUUUUGCCUUAAAUUUUCAUUUGUUAUCAUAAAAUUAGUGUUAUAAUUAUUUUGUCACUGUCAAACAUAGAAUGGCGGUCUCUUUUUUCUCUUUUACUAUGUGCAAUUGGGGCAAAUUACCAAUAAAAGUCCUUUUAUUUUUAAAAUUACCGAAAUGGGCCAGGUCCUGAAUUAAUUAUCGAAAUGGGCCAUUUCCCCCAAGAAUGUGUCCACGUCAGCGCGUUGUCAGGGGAUAAAGCAGGAAAACACUUCCUCAAGGAAGCGCUUUGUCCAUGUGGACAGAAAACGCGUCCACAUGGAUAGAAAACGCAUCCUUUAGGGCGCGCUUUGUGUCCACGUGGACAAAGCACUUCCUUAAGGAAGCGUUUUCCUCGUGUCUGCUACAGUACCAACGGCUAUUUUUUUUACCAUUGGUAAUCCUCCGAUGGUAAAAAAAAACUAUAAAACCCCCUUUCUUCUUUUUUCACACUUAAAUCAUUCCCAUCUUCAAUCUUUCAAUAUUCUCCCAAAUUUCUCUCAAAUUUCUCUCAAAUUCCUCUCAAAGCUCUAUUUAAUUUUUUUAAAAAGCUCUAAUUUUAUUUUUUUGGAUUUAUUUUUUUAAAUAAAAAAACUUGAUCGUGUUAGCAAUGGCCGGAGAAUUAAUCGUCUCGAUGAUAAACACAUAUCCGUCGAACAAAUGAAAAUGGUAAGUGCUAAAUUUAAUUUUUAAAUAUUAUUUAAGAUUUUUUUCAUUUAUGCAAUUUUAAAUAAUUUUUAUUUUAUUAUUUCUUAUAAAAGUUUGUAGAUCGGAUAUUGCAAUGCUAUAUCCGUAAUAUGCCUGGUCCUCCAUCACCGUUGAUAGAGAAUUACCUGCGGGAAGCGGGUUUUUGGCACGUGGCGACGAUAGGCCAAGGGUGCAAGUUGGACCCAAAACUCAUUAGUGCAUUGAUAAAGAGGUGGAGACCGAGACGCACACAUUCCAUCUUCCAUGUGGAGAGUGUACUAUCACGUUAGAAGACGUAAAUUUGCAAUUAGGAUUGCAGGUGGACGGGUACGCAGUCACCGGGUCUGUUCAAUCUGGUGAUUGGGGAACGGUAUGCUACGAGUUUUGGGUGCUAUUCUGGAUAAUAUUAACGGAGGUCGGAUCGAGAUAGGUAGGUUACGAGACACAUUCCUGGAGCUGAAUGAUGGUUCUACUGAACUAGAAAGAAUAUGAUAUGCUUAGGCAUAUAUUCUUGAGAUAAUUGGAGUUUAUAUGGUGCCGGACUUGUCACGAAACCUUGUACAUCUGAGAUGGCUGCUGAAACUCGUUGAUUUUAGAACAGCUGGUGAAUUUAGUUGGGGGUCUGUCGUGUUGGCAACAUUGUACCAAGAGAUGUACGGGGUGACGUGACCAAAUAAAGAGAAAAUCGGAGGUUGCCUAUCACUACUGCAAUCAUGGAAAUGAUUUCACUUUCUAUUUUUACGUCUUCGAGUGGUCCACCCUAUACAUUCCCACUCAUAACGAGGUAAAUUUUAUAUUAGAUUUUACAAUUAUUACGUAUAUUUAAAAUAUAAUCAUAUGCUAAAAAUUUAUCUAAUUAGGUGGAACCAUUCGGCAAGUUAUGUUUGAUUACCUACCUCUCUUGGAGGUAUACGGCUUCUAUUAGACCAAUGGUCGGAAGCAGAAGUAAGUAUUAAAUAAAAUACAUAUACAUAAUGAGAUAAUCAAUUCGUAUUUAGUAUAGUCAAUUCGUAUUUAGUAUUUAGUAUUUAGUAUUAUAUAUAUAACUAAUAUUUCCAUCAUGUUCAUAUAGUUUCAAUGGACACCAUACGAGGAUCCGGCAAUUCAGGUAGUAAUUUUGGAUGAAUACUUGCAAAAUCCGAACGCUUGGCUUGUGAAUGUCUCAUUGGUCAACUUUGUGGUCGUGAAGAUGCACCAGUCAGACAGAGUACUACGAUAAUUUGGAUUUUGACAACCGAUUCCUGCGGCACCUGAGGUGUUGGAUGAUCAUCACAGAAUCGACUUAUGACAAUUGCAUGCAGAUUGGCCGUGUAACAGCCCGAUUCUGGGCCUAGUCGGAACAGUGGUUUCGGGACCACAAAUCCAACGAGGGAAAAUAUUAUUGUCAUUAUAUUUUUAUGGUCUACAAUUUCACAGAAAAACUUCGUAAAAAUUUCGUUCGAAAAUUUCGACGUUUGGGCACUCAAUUUAGUCAAAAGGACUAAAUUGUAAAAAGUGCAAAAGUUGAUUUCUACAUGUUAGAAGUGUCUAAUUGUUAUGAAAUUAUAAAUUGGGGGUCCUUAUAUGGUAUUUAGACCAUUAGUUAAUUGAUGGACAAAAAUAGACAUAAGAAAUGGGUGAAAUAGAUUUUUUUUAAAUGGAGGCAUUUUAGUCAUUUUGUAAUAAAAAGAAUAAAAAGGGAAAAAGAUGGCAAAAAAUCAUCAUCUUCUCCAUAAGUUGCUACCGAAACUUGGAAGACACCAUAGCUAGGGUUUCUUCACUUUCUCAAGCUCAUAGUAAGUGCAUCCUAGCCCCUAUUUUAAUGUUCUUCUCAUUUUUGAUAUCCUCGUAGCUCGGUUUAGCUUAUUCUACCAUUAAUUCAUGUUAGGGUGCAUAUUUGGAAAAAUACCCAUAGGUGAAAUAUGUUUAUUUUACUGUUUUAUGGUAGAAUAUGGAGCUACAAAUUAUGUUAAACAACUUUUGCUAAGCGAUUUUAAGUAAAAACGGGUAAAUUGACAUAAUCGGUAAAAAUAUUUAUUGUUCAUAAGUGUAUGUUAGAGUGAGAAUUUGAUGUUGCCAUAGAAGGGAAAAGUGUUCAGAAUGUUGUAAAACAUAAGAAUAAAGUGUGAAAUUUAAUUUUCGAGCCUAGGGAUGAAAAUGGAAAUAUGCAAAAUUUUGGGGGUAAAAUUGUAAUUUUUCAAAAAGUUGAGUGGAGGACUAUUUUAAUAAAUGUGAACAUUAAAUGAGUUAAAUUUUUUAUUAUAGAUCAAGAAAUACGAGAAGAUAAUCUCAAACGGGGAAAAGAGAAGGUUGUGGAGUAAAUUGCAAAAUUACGAUAUUUUGCACCGAGGUAAGUAAACAUGUGAAUUAAUGUAUUAUUUUGUUAUGAUUUAAUAUAUGUUGAGAUUUAAUUGAACAUAGAAUAAAUAUUUGGCAUAGAUCCUAAAAAUGUGGUUAAGUUGGGAAAGGUGGCAAAGUAUUGAAAAAUGAGGUUUCCGGUUAAACACUCGGAUUAAGCCGGAGUAUAUUGAAUAUAAAGGGGGUUGAUAAGUGCUGAUUCCCCCAAGGGGUUGCUAAGUGCUGAUUCCUCGAACCAUUGGUGGUUGUUAAGUGCUGAUCCCACCGUAUCUUAAAUGUGAAAGGGGUUGCUAUGUGCUGAUUCCCCGAAUCAUUGGUGGUUGCUAAGUGCUGAUCCCACCAUAUCUUAAAUGUGAAAGGGGUUGCUAAGUGUUGAUUCCCCGAUUCAUUGGUGGUUGCUAAGUGCUGAUUCCACCGUAUUUUUGAAUGUGAAAGGGGUUACUAAGUGCUGAUUCCCCGAAUCACUGGUGGUUGCUAAGUGCUGAAUCCAUCGAUAACGGAUAACAUUCCGAGUGUUCAAUGGGAAAUUGGAAAGGUGAAUAUUUAUAUAUGGUGGACAAGGUUAUGUGAGGAAUAUUGGGUUUGAUACUUAAUCAACCCAUGUGUAAGGUGAAAGGAAAUACCAAAACUUCAAAAGAACAAAUUUAAAUAUAAAACUGUUUUGUAUAAUAACAGUUGGGAAAAAUUUGAAAAAUCACCAUAAAUGGUGGAAAAUGAAUUAGAGGCUGGAUAAUAUAUGAAAUUGAAUCUGAAUAAGUCUAUUUUUGUAUGAAAGAAACAUAGCAAGCAAAAGAGUUCUGUAUUUGGGGAUAUUUAAAUUUUAUUGAGACAAGAUUAGAUUGAUUUCGAAAUCCCCUGUUUCAACUUUGGAAAAUCACCAAAAAUUGUAAAAAACUUAUUAUGGCUUGAAAUUUACAUGCUUGAACUCCUUGGUGAUUCUUUUUUUAAUAGAAACAAACAAGAACAUUGUUUGAAUUUUUUACAGAUAGUUAAGUGAAUUUUAGUAAGGAGAGGUCAGAAUUGUUAGGCACUGAAAUAGGGGAAUAUUUAGAGAAUAAACUGUACUAAUUGGAUUAACUAAAAAUUCUAAAAAUUUUAUGGUGGAAAUAUAUAUGAGUCUAGUUUUGGGGAAAAUUUACGGAAUUCAAUUUGGAGCCUUGUAACUCCAGAUAAAAAUAAAGUAGUGACCAUGACGCAGAAAAACAGUUUGCUUGAAAUUGAACAAACAAUGAAAUUUAUGUGUGAUAAAAAUUAUGUCACUAUGUAAUCUUGUGAGAAAUUUAUUUAUUUGUCAUAUGUUUACUUACUAAGCUAUAUGCUUACUCAUCUUUAUUUUUCCCCUGAUUAUAGUGACAUCAGCCAGCUCGGAAUUUGAACGAAGUUUAAAAUCAUCCACACUGUCAUCAACUUUUUGGGGUAUUUUGGCAAUCAACACUUUUGAAACAUGACAUGUAUAGAUGACUUUAUGUAUUGUGGUAUAAAUAUGUAUAUAUAGUAAUGUUCGGUUCAAUAUGUUGGUGUUUAUUAAUGGAUAAAUUAUGUCUGAUUAUAUAAUUGUAAUUGGUUAGAAAUAUUGAAGUUAUUUGAAGUUGUCUUUGGAAAUUUACAGGGGGUUUUAUGUAAAAAUAAGCAGAAAUACUGCCGAAAUUUUUAUAAAAAAAAUUUAUAAGUAUUUGAGUUCUAGUAAUACUUCAUACUCUGUUUUGGUAAGGAACAUGGGUAAGGGGUGUCACAGGCCGAGAUUCUGGUCACACUAUAUCCAAAUGUGGGAAGAUCAGUAUGAUUAUAUACCUACUGGAAUACAUGUCAUAGUAUAGGAUCCAUGGCAAGCCAUAUUUACUGUCGGAAGAGGAGAGGCGGCAACAAUUGCGUGUCCAAAGGGAACGACGUGGCCCUUUAAAUCCAAGAAUCCAGCGCGUAACCGUUGAUGACCUCCAUGUGGCACUGAAUUCGGUGGGCACGAACAUUGAUUUUUAUUUUAAUAUAUUUGUACAAACAUUUUAAAUAUUUUUAUUUUAUUUCAUGUAAUAAAAUAAAAGGUUGUUUUGAAUAAAGUAAUUGUAAUUUACUUUUAUAUUUUUAAUAAAAAUAGAAAUUCUUUUAAAUAAGGCAAUAUUUUCAAUAUUUUUAUAUUAUUUCAUUUAAUAAAAUAUAAAUAAUACAACAUAGUUUUUUACAACAACUAUCAACUAUUGCGAUUUGGACAUGAUCUACUUGUAUAGUCUGGGUUCCUACACGAUCCGCACAACUUUUGUUGAUUGGUUGUUUCUCGGAUAUCCAUAUUGUUACGUAUUCUAGUCGAGCAAGGUCGACCCUUUGGUUUGUGAUGCAAUUCUCUAUCCGAUAACAACUUAAAGGGAGCAAACGAUACAGACGGCCACUUACGUUCAUCUGAGACUGGUGGGAAUACGUGUCUCUAGAUGUUAUACAUGUAUUCUAAUUUGUACACUUCGUCGACAUAGCUCAUGGGAUCCAGACGGAGAUUCUGACAAAUUGCAAUUACAUGAGCGCAUGGAUAAUGAAGUGCGUCAAACAUCCCAUAGUCGCAAGUCCUAUUUUUCAAGUGUACACGAUAUUGCCCGCUAGUAAUACCUUGGUGCGGUCUGUCAAACUCCGUCAAACGAAACCAUAAGUUGUCUCGAUCGUGACACACUGUGUGCAUGGUGUUCACUCGCGCAUUCGCCUUGUUAAUUUCUUGCAAUCCCUUCCUGCACCAUACAUGGGCUCCCUGUAUUUGGCUUGCAUAACUCGCUGCUCGCUUUGGAAAUAGCACUGCUAAACGAAAAUAUAUCUCUCGCACAAUCGAUGUUAUCGGUAAAUGACCCGUUUUUUUUAGAACAUAAUUUAUGCAUUCAGCCAGGAUUGAGGUCAUAUGACCAUAUUGUAGGCCGCUGUCGUAUGCUAGUUUCCAUUGUUCGAAAGGUAUGUUACAGAGGUAGUCUGCGCCUUCGUCGUUAACUGAACGCAAAAUUGCCAACAUCUCAUGAAAACGGUUUUUACUUAUUUCAUACCCUGCCAAUAUAAGUUUAUAGCAAAUAUUACAUACCACUUUUUCAUUUAGAAUAAAUUCAAAAUGACAAAAGAUAAUUAUAUUAAUAGAGACUAAAUACCCAUGUUGGUCACUUGUCGUUAUUCACUUUUAGAUGGAUAUUGCCUAUAGUAGUUGGAAGCAACGUGCCUUAGGCAAUACCGAUGGUGUGUGCACUGCCAUAGGCUUUCCUGUCGCUCAAUAGCAGCUAGUAUUUCGGUGCCCCGAUCUGAAAUAACACAGAUAUCAGGUUGGGGGCACACAUGUCUCCUUAACCUAGAUAGAAAGAAAUUCUAGUCAUCAGCUGACUCUCCCGGUGUUAUUGCAAACGCAAUUGGAAGAAUUCUCCUACUACCAUCUUGUGCCACUGCUAGCAAUAGUCGAUGGGUAUAUCUACCAAACAUAAAGGUACUGUCAAUUUGUACCAAUGGCUUGUACUAAAGAAUUACGUCUCGGCAUUGCUUAAAGGUCCAUAACAGAUGUUUGAACACUUGGCAUCAAUAGAACAAUCAGUCGUUGUAGUACGCACGUUUCGUUUCAAGGUCUGUUAUGCAACCUGGGACGUAUCUCUCUAGCACUUGACACCACUGCCAUAUUUCAUUAUAUGAAGCGUCCCACCCACUAUGCAUCUUCUCCAACGCCUUCUGCUUAACUAUCCAAGCCUUGCGGUAAGAGGGCGUGUACCCCAUUUGGCUACGAAUAUUGGCAAUUAAGACCGACACUGAAGUCCUAGGAUCUGCCUUCAUCGUGGGUAGUAUUAAGCUAGCUAACAUAGCUGAAUCCAUCUUGGGAUGAUCUUGUGAAAUACCUGUCAACGAAGUACAUUAAUUAAUACAAUAUUACAUAAUAACAGUAUUAUUCAAAAACCCUAAAUACUAUACCUGUAGCACAUAUAUGUAGACCUUUGUACUUUUUUAUCUCCCACAAACUUGUCCUUUUCCUCAACGAGGCAUAGAUUUUCCAUGAACAUGUACCGUCUUACACUACACACUUCGCCUCAAACUUAUCAGAUUUGGAUUUAACCACGUGGUAGUUAACGCCAUUAUUGAUGAUAUGUUGUUUCAAUGCACCAAGAAAACUAUACUUAUUGGAAAACUCCUUACCAACUUCAAAUUCACCCGAAUCCAAUAAUGAACUUGUACGAUCACGCAUUUUGUGUUGUAGAUCUGGAAACUCCAACGCAUCAUCUGCAGAUAGAUCGACAUUAUGCAUGUGGGCUGGAUACGAGUAUGCCCUGAAUCGUGGAUCUUCUUCUUCAUCUGAACACCUUUCAACAUCUUCAGGUUCGGUUGGAAUAUGCUCCGGUUCAAAAAAUAAUACAACUUCUGCACCAUCAGGGCUAGGCUCUCAAGGUGGAUCUACAUCAGACUCAUCUUCUAACCCACCAUCAUCUGCAACGUACGAGGUCCCUCACCGGUGGACGUCGUAGGGAAUACAUCAUCCCUUUUUCUAGGCAUUUCAUAACAUCCCCAAUUGUAUGUAGAUUGCCAACAACUAGAAGUUGAUGCCGUUCCCUAGUACGUAUUUCCAGCAUCAAACAUCAAAAAUCGAUACCUAGUGUCGAAACCAUUUUUUUUGUAAAAAAGGGUCUACUUUUAUCUUGAAAAUGAAAACGAAAAAAGGGGAGUCGCCACCAAUCCUUUUUAUUUAGGUGUGAUCGAAUCACCUCAUAAUUUAACCAUUUUAAUAAAAGUUUAAAUUUACUAAAACGAUAAUUUUUGGUCUACAAAAUUCAUAAGACGGGUUCAGGAGUCGAUUACGCAUGACGAAGGAUUAGCACCCUCGAUACGCUCAAAAUUGGUACCUAGUUGAUUACUUAAUGUCUUAAUGUCGAAAGUUAAAAUUUUGAAAAAGAUUUUAAAAUAUGAUUCCUUUUUUUAAUGAUGUUAAUUUUAAAAACGCUUGAAUUAAAUCGAAACGAAUGUCAAAGACCUCUCGUCUCGAGAUAAUAAAUGUCACAUCCUGUAAGUUAGGACACGACACUUGGAACCCUCGAGAAUAAGCUAGCCUUUAACUUUUAUUGGAAUUUCAUAAACUUUGAAAAUUAGAAGGAUAUUUUUCUAUUUAGGUUCAACAAGAAAAUUAAAACCCCGUAAGUUAGGGUAUAAUUUCUCGAAUCUCCAAAACACGAAAUAUUGCCUUAUUUUAAAACUUUUCCUUUUUUGAGUAAUUGCAAGUACAAUACUUGAACGAGGUGAAUUUGUUUUAUUUGUGACAAAAUAGAACGGUUUAUUAUGGUAUUUACAAAUCGAACGAAACUUUUUAAAUGAUGCAAUGAAAUGGAACGAUAACAUAGAACAUAAAAUAACAAUUUGUGAAUAAAAUGUUACGCUAAUGAGUGGCAAUAAUAUGAGAAUAAAUAAACAAGUUAUGGUACACAUAAUGAUAAUAACCACACAACAUGCAUCAUUUUAAAAAUACCAAUAUUAAUAAUCAAAGUAAACGAAGCAAAAUAAUAUAGAAAACAAUUUCACGUAAAUAAUAGUCUAAAUAAAUAAUUUACGAGAAUAAUAAAUGAUAAAAGAUUUCUAAUAAACGAUAUAUAAAAACUUAUAAUGAAUAAUAAUACAAUAGUUUAAAGUAAAUAAUCAAGAAAAGAAAAAAAAUAUAAAACAGUUUUCCUUAAAACAAAUAAAUAAUAGUUUAAAAUAAAUAAUAUAAUAAAAACAUAUAUAAUAGUUUAAAAUAAAUAAUAUAAUAAAAACUUUUAAACAAAUAUUAAGUAAAACAGUUUAGAAUAAAUGAUAAAUAAAACCUUAAAACAAAUAAUAGUAAAAGAGUUUUUUUUUAAAUAAAAUAAACAAAUAAAUUAAAUAUACUAAGGAUGAUACUGAAAUCGAUCCAGAAUUUGGGGUUCAAAUUGCAAAUAAAUAAAAAAAUGGGCUACUAGGGACUGAAAUAGAGCGCGCUUAAGGAAUGAAAGACCGACCGGGCAAUAUUUCCAGCCCUCAUGCGCAGUAUUUCAGCGCGGACUAAAAUCAAACAAACUGAAAAUUAUGCAGCUAAAAUAAAAGGAACAAAUGGGGUCAAAUUGCACCACGUCAAACAAAUAGAGGGACCUAUUGCGCAAAUAGCCCCUUUACUGCAGAAACACACGGAUCCUGAGGGAAAACAGGUCGGUUUUCGGGUCUGAGGCCUAAACGACGUCGUUUUGGCCUCUAAGCUCACUCCUCAAAACGGCGCCGUUUCAUGUUGCUAUAAAGGCCAAAUAUUUUUAAAAAUCCUUCUUUUUUCCCUUCUCUCUAAAAAAACAAAACAGAAUUCUCUCAAGCCCUUUUUCCCUUCCCAGAAUCUAGCCAGGGGUCUGGCCAUCGGCCACCGUGCCGGCCGCCGAUCGCCGACAAUGGCACCACCAUCCGCGGUGGCCAAAAAAAGCCAAAGCCGCCCCUUUCGCUCCUCUUUUCGAGUAGAGCCCGGAUUUGGAGUUAAAAUAACCCAAAAGACCCUUAAAGUUCGAAAAAAAGAAGAGAAAAGGAAAAAAAAGGGACUUUUCGGUUUCCCAUUACUGCCGGUGGGGAUUCGGCGAGCCCACUGGCUCAAUCACCCUCAACACCGGAGAAACCUCCGACUACGGCCACAAAGGUAACAAAUCUCGCUCCUUUAUUUAUUUUAUAUUUUAUAUUAUUUAUUAUUUCGAAUAAAAAUAAAUAUAUAUAAAAAGACCUUGAUUUUCUCUGUUUCAAACUCCUUUUUGUAUUCAGAAUUAGUGUGUAACCGAAAAAAUUACAAAGAUGAUGCUCGGGCUUUUAUAGCCGAAAUACAUGAUUCGUUUUUGUUCUUUUUCUUUUGUUUGCUUCCAUUUCUUUUUUUUUCGUUGUCCUCUUUUGGUUGCAUGUUGCAGGUGGUGGCAGAGGGCGUCAGACGCGUGAGGGAGCCUGGUGCGCAUGUGGUGGUGGCAGCGUGCUGACGUGGGAGGAGCGGCGGCACUAGGGGGCUAGGGUUUCUUUUUUUUUUUCCUGAAAGUGUGUUUAGGCUAUUGGGCUUAUCGGGCCAUUAGGGUUUUUUUUAUUUGGGCUUGAUGUUUUAAAAUUGGACUUGUAAUGGACUGUAAUUUUGGACUCUUAUUUUAUUUAUUUGGUUUGGUAUUGGGCCCGGGUAAAAUUGGGCUAUUACACCUAAUAGACAAAACUUUCAUUGGCGUCGUUCUGAAUAUUUUACGCCUAAUUAUUUUACGAAGUUCUGUCAAAUCUAUGUUCUGGUUAAAACCAAUCGCACUGUAAUAUCUGGUAAAAAAAACAACACCGUUCUCGGUGUGACGAACCUCACCAUCAUAGUAAAUAACAGCACUAAUACGUUCACUCAUCUUCAAUUUCCAUCCUUCUUAGCCUCUCUAUUUUUUUUUGCUGUAACCUAUGCAACCUGAGAAAAAAAUUUGGCUCAUUUAUAGCCUCAGGCCAAAUAGAAACUACUGUAGCAAAAGAGCGUCCAUGUGGGAGCUUCUUUCAGUACUUUUGCUGCCAUUGCAUCCUGCUUGAAGCAUUUUUGACACUAUUUGCUCAGAAACAUCUUCUCAAAAUUAUUUUUUCAGAAAUUACUAUAGCAAAAGAGCGUCCACGUGGGAGCUUCUUUCAGUACUUUUGUUGACAAUGCAUCCUACUUAAAGCGUUUUUGACACUAUUUGCUCAGAAACGUCUUCUUAAAAUUAUUUUUUAGGAACUACUGUAGCAAAAGAGCGUCCACGUGGAAGCUUUUUUAAAUUAACAAAUAAUUUAAUUAAGUAACCCUAAACUCCAAAUCCUAAUUUAUUUGAUUUUUCCUUAAAAACUCUAAACACUAAACCCUAAUCUAAUUUUUUAAAAUUUUAUAAUUAAUUUACUCAAGUAACCCUAAACCCUAAUUUAUAUAAUUUUUUCUUAAAAACCCUAAACACUAAACCCUAAUUUGAUUUCUUUAAAAUUUAUAAUUAAUUUACUCAAGUAACCCUAAACCCUAAUUUAUUUGAUUUUUUCCUUAAAAAUCAUAAACUAAUUUUCUAAAAUUUAUAAUUAUUUUAAUUAAAAACCCCUAAACCCUUAUUUAUUUAAUUUUUUUCCUUAAAACCUUAAAAUCUAAAAACCCUAAAAUCCUAAAACCCUAACCCUAAUUGUAAAAAACCUAAGCCUAAAAAAUGGAGAAAACGCUUCCUCAAGGAAGCGCUUUGUGCACGUGGACACAAAGCGCACCCUCAAGGACGCGUUUUCUAUCCAUGUGGACAAAGCGUUUCCUUCAGGAAGCAUUUUCCUGCUUUAUCCCCUGACAAGACGCUGACGUGGACUCAUUUUGGAGAAAAUUGGCCCAUUCCGGUAAUUAAUUUAGGAGCUGACCCAUUUCGAUAAUUUUGAAAAUAAAGGGGCUUUUAUUGAUAAUUUUUCGGUACAAUUGUCACCCAAAAAUAUAUUAUUUUCAACAAAACUAAAGAUUUUAUUUAAUAAAUAUAUUAUUUUAAAAUUGUUAGUUAAAAAACUUAAUUGAUCCAUUCUCUAAGAAAGGGUUUAAUUUCUUUUUGGAGGGGAGGAUUUAUUAAUAAGAAAGGGUUUUUUUUAUUAUUACAAAUUUACCCGUUCCCAAAGACUAUUUUUAAUAUAAAAAAUAAAAUGUGAAUUCAAUGAAGUCAUGUCAAGGUUUUAGAGUAAGUUUAAGUAGGCGGUGUAUUUACUUAUAUUAAGUAUAAAAUUAAAAUGAUAAUAAAAUAAAAUUAGAUAUACGAUAAUAAAAGAUAAAAAGUAAACUAAAUACAUGCACUGUCCACCCAUCCAAACGCACGCUAUAUUGGUAUCAUAGUGAAAUCUGUGUCAGGUUAACAGCCGCAUAACAGCCAUAGCUAGGUUUGGUGAUGUAAAGAAAGGAGAAUGAAUAGAAAGAGAAUAUCUGACUGUAGUAAAUGAGUCAUAGUUAGGUUUGGUGAUGUAAGGAGACGAAUAAACGAGUUAAAGAGCAAAUUGGAACACUGUUGCUGGACGAAUCCAAAUGUUCUGUGACUAUUAGAGCUUAGCUUUCCAAUUUUCUCUUUAACUUGUUUACUCAUCUCCUUACAUCACCAAACGUAACUAUGGCUCAUUUACGAAAGUCAGAUAUUCUCCUUCUACUCCUCCUUUCUUUACAUAUUAUUAUAGCUCAAGAAAACGAGUCGAGCAUCAUCCAACCAGCUUCUUCACUUUAUGCCGGAAAACACCCUAGUUCAUGGCCCUCAUCUUCAGGGUAUUUCCGAUUUGGUUUCUAUCCGCAAGGCAAUGGAUAUUCGGUCGGAAUCUGGCUUGUUGGCCGGUCAGAAAACACCACUGUCUGGACUGCAAAUCGAGAUGAUCCGCCUGUCUCCUCAAAUGCUACUUUGGAAUUCACAACACAAGGCAGGUUGCUUCUUCGGACUGAGGACGGCAUGGAAAAAAUCAUUGCGAAUCUGACCAUGUCAGUAUCUGUUGAUGCAGCUUCUAUGUCGGACACCGGGAAUUUCAUGCUCUACCAGAACAGGACUGUUGUUUGGGAGAGCUUUAAUUUUCCAACGGACACAAUAUUAGGAGGCCAGAAUUUAAGCGGUUCUCAUAACAUGUUGAUUUCCAGUGUGUCAAGGUCAAACCAUUCAUCUGGGCCAUAUUUGUUGAGAAUGCAGGAUGAUGGUAACCUUGUAGCCUAUGCAAAUAAUCCUGCUGAACUUGAUCCUAGUGAUGCAUACUGGGCCACUAUGACUAAUGGUUGGUAUUUUUCUGUGUUGAAUCUCAAUGAGAGAGGCGUUCUAGCAAUGUAUUCAUCACCAAAAUUCCACCAAGAAAAAGUUUUGGCAAACCUCUCCGCAACUGGGAACGAAACAAUGAUUAUCUACAGAGCAACCCUUGAUCCUGAUGGAAAUUUCAGAUUGUACUCGCAUCAACUCGAACGCAAUACUAUCUCACACAAGUGGCAGAUUCUGAAUGAUGAAUGUGAUGCUAAAGGUCAAUGUGGGUUGAACAGCUACUGCUCCAGCAGGGGUAAGGAUACUGAGUGCUAUUGCUAUCCUGGUUUCACAUUUAUCGACGAGAAUACCAAAUCCCUGGGCUGCUCUCAGAAUUUCACAAUAGAUGGGUGCGUGGCAAGGAAAGAUCUAGUGAUACACUACAACAUCACUACCUUAGACAAUAUGUCUUGGGCUGGUGAUCCUUAUUCUGUGAAGCCUAACUUGGAGAAGGAAGACUGUAAGAAAGCUUGCCAGGAGGACUGCUCCUGUGGCGGAGUUCUCUAUUCUGACACAAAAAGCUGCAGGAUGUAUAGGCUACCGCUCAAAUAUGGUAAAAGACAUGGAAAUAUAACAACCACAGCCUUCAUCAAGUUUAUCCUGGGUAGCACCAUUAGCCCCCCACCUGAAACAAGUCAAAUAUUGAUAAGCGAAGGAAACCAAAGCCUCGUUUUAACUAUGGGGGAAACCAAAGCCUCGUUUUAACUAUGGGCUUAAGUUUGGGUUCCGUUACAAGCUUGUGUUUUGUGAUUGCAAUAUGUAGCUUCCUGUUAUACAGGCACCGAGUCCAAAAUUAUGAGAAGCUUUUAGAAAAUAAAAGUUCAGUAUUAACCGAGCAGUUUACGCUACGAUCAUUCUCUUUCGAUGAGCUAGAUGAAGCAACACAUGGUUUUCAAGAUGAGUUAGGUAAAGGUUCAUUUGGAACAGUUUAUAAAGGAAUUUUGCCAGGGGAUGGUAAAAGUAAAACUAUUGCCGUUAAAAGACUGAAGAAAGUUAACGCAGGAGAAACAGAUCAGAUUCGAACCGAGAUGACAGUCAUUGGAAGAACUAAUCACAGGAACUUGGUCCGAUUGCUUGGUUUUUGUGUGGAAGGUUCAAGGAAGCUCCUCGUUUAUGAAUACCAGGAUUGAACAGGAUAUAUCCUUUUUGGACUUGAGAAUAACCCAUAAAAAUGGAUGGUGUAGCUUUGGGAGAAAAUUUAUCAUGCAGAUUGGUUACUGUGGCAUAGCAAAGACAACCAAAAAUUUUAAGGUGAGAAAGAUUUGGUGGCGUAUUAUACAGCAGCUCAAAAGGUGUUUUCCAGCGAAGUACUGCAGAAGGUAACCUAUUAAUUAAGUAACAAGCUGUUAAAACACAUUCCCCCCAAAACUUAACAGGUACAUGCGAUUGAAAUUUUAAUGCUCGGGCAACAUCUAAAAGAUGGCGGUGUUUGCGUUCGGCCACACCGUUUUGCUGAGGUGUGUGGACACAAGAUGAUUGGUGAAUGAUUCCAAGGGAUUGAAAAAAGAAAGUACCUUCUUUAGUAAAAAAUUCAUGACCAUUGUCACUGCGAACAGUUUUAACAAUUCCAGAAAAUUGUGUUUUGGCUAACAUAAUAAACUGCUUAAGGUAAAAAAGGGCAUCACUCUUAAGUUUUAAAAGAUAUAUCCACGUCAUUCGAGUAUGGUCAUCAACAAUGGUUAAAAAAUAUCUAUGACCAGAAUGAGUUGAAGUGCGAUAAGGACCCCAGAGAUCGACAUGGACAAGAGUAAAAGGUUUUGAUUCUCGUGAAGUACUUUGUGGAAAGGGUAAGCGUGUUUGUUUUGCUAAUGGACAGACAGUGCAUGUUUGAAUGUUAUGAGAAUGCACAGAGCCAUUAUGUAAAAAGUGUAUUUUAUUCAUCUUUGAAAAAGAUGUGUGACCAAGUCUAGCAUGCCACAGAGGGUAAUCAACAUGCUUAGAAACAGAUAAAGAAGUAACAUUUGAAGAAUGUACAGGAAGAGGUACGGGUAGGGAAGUGGGAGUUGAGGAGGGUUGAGGGAGGAGUAGAUAAAGACCAUCUUGUUCCUUACCAAUCCCCAUCAUCUUUCCACUGCAAAGGUCCUGUAAAACACAAAAUGUAGGAUAAAAGGAAACAAAACAAUUGAGAUCUUUGGUGAGUUUAGAAAUGGAGAGAAGGUUAAAAUUGAAUGAGGGAAUGUAAAGAACAUCUUUAAGAGUGUGAUGAGGUGUAAGAUUAUGAGUACCAAUAUGAGUGAUGGUGGUUGUGUUACCAGUAGGCAAUUUAACAAAAGUGUUGUUAGCACAUGCAACAGGUUGAAUUAAAGCAUUAAAAGCAUGCGUCAUGUGAUUAGAAGCCCCAGUAUCAAGAAUCCAAUGAAUCGGAUCAGAUGCAUAAGAGAUACCUGCCAUGUGAGCUACAGCUUGCACAGAAGAGUUCUUGUGUAAUAGGUCCAAGAUCUAUUGAUACUGUUCAGCAGUAAAUGUAGGAGCCGAAACAAUAGAUGGUGAAGAAGCAGGCAUAGCAGGAGAAUCAGAAGAAGGAACAACAACUUGAUUGACAGUUGGUGAUUUCUUCUUGGUGAACUUGAAAUCAGCAGGAAAGCCAUUGAGGCGAUAGCAGUCGGUUCGAAUGUGACCCCGUUUUUGACAAUAACUACAAGACAAAUCAGAACGCUUCUUGGAAACCGAAGAAGUUGAUGAUUGCUGACUAAGAAGAGCAGUAGGUUCCGAGACAGGUAGUGGAGAAGCAAGUUCUCGUUGAGUUUCAUCACGCAUGACAAGCGAGUAAGCCUGAUUAACUGUGGGCAAAGGUUGCAUCAAAAGGAUCUGGGAUCGAACAUUAGAAUAUGUUUCAUUUAAACCCAUCAAAAACUGAAAAAGACGUUGUUGUUGAAGUUGAGCAUUUCGGCGAAUAAGAUCACAAUUGCAGGUAGAUGAAGGAACAAGAACAUCAUAUUCAUCCCAAAAUAAUCGAAGCUUAGUAAAGUAAGUGGAAAUAGAAUAAGCUCCCUGAGUGUGAGUGGAAAUAGCACGAUGGAGAUAGUAAAUACGAGAACCAUCAACCUUGUCAUAUCGUUCCUGAAGAUCCUUCCAAACAAUGGCAGCAUUAGACGCAAAAACAAUUCCAGCAGAAAGUUCCUGAGUAACAGUGUUAAGGAUCCAAGAAAGAACCAAAGCAUUGCAUCUAUCCCAAUGAGGCAUUAGAUCAGCAUCAAAGUCAGCACGGGAACAUGAACCAUCAAUAAUACCAAGCUUAUUCUUGGCAAGAAGGGCGAUACGCAUAGACCUGCUCCAAACGCAAUAGUUUUCAGUUCCAGUGAGCUGAUGAGAAACCAAAAGCAUUCCUGGCAUGUCAGAAGGAUGCAAAUAAAGAGGAUGGCCAAAUGGCAAAUUGAAAGAGGAAGGAUUAGCCAUGAAGAAAAAAAAGAAAGAAGAGAAGAGAAGAAUGAAGAAGAAAACUAGAUCAAAGAUGAUCAGGAAAAAGGUUUAGCCUGAUACCAUGUUAAGAAAAGAAGCUUAAAGAGUUGAAUGAAUAACUGUUAAUUCCUUUGAGUAAAAAUGCAGUAAAUAUAUACAGAAAAUGUAACUAACACUAUAACUAAUUACAUACUGUUACUUAAUUUCUAACUAACUAUACAAAUGCUGGUACAACAGUUUUACACUCUCAACAGUUUUCAAGAUGAGUUAGGUAAAGGUUCAUUUGGAACAGUUUAUAAAGGAAUUUUGCCAGGGGAUGGUAAAAGUAAAACUAUUGCCGUUAAAAGACUGAAGAAAGUUAACGCAGGAGAAACAGAUCAGAUUCGAACCGAGAAGACAGUCAUUGGAAGAACUAAUCACAGGAACUUGGUCCGAUUGCUUGGUUUUUGUGUGGAAGGUUCAAGGAAGCUCCUCGUUUAUGAAUACUUGGGCAAUGGCUCACUGGCAUACUUUCUGUUCAACAUGAAUAAACGCCCAGUGUGGAAAGAGAGAGCCCGAAUUGCAUUGGACGUAGCUAAAGGUAUCCUUUAUUUACAUGAAGAGUGUGAGGGGUGUAUCAUCCAUUGCAACCUCAAGCCCCAUAACAUACUCUUGGAUGAUUCAUUGACUGCAAAGAUUUUAGACUUUGGAUUGGCAAAGCUAUUGAGGCCUAAUCAAACAUGCAGUACUCCUGGGACCAAAGGGGCAGCAUGGUACUCGGCACCUGAGUGGCAAAGCAGUGGAUUGGUGUCGGUAAAAGUUGAUGUAUACAGUUUCGGAGUGAUACUAUUGGAGAUCAUAUGUUGCAGAAGCAACAUAGAAGUACAAGUUUGUAGUGCAGAUGAGAUACUACUUUCUACAUGGGUAUACAAUUGCUUUAUUGGGGGAGAAUUGAAUAAGCUUGUGGAAGGUGAAGAAGAAGUGGACAUGAAAAUGGUGGAAAGAUUUGUGAAGGUGGGGCUUUGGUGCAUUCAAGAUGAUCCCAAUUUGCGUCCAUUAAUGAAAAAUGUGAUCUUGAUGCUGGAAGGAACAAUGACUAUACCUGUCCCUCCAUCUCCAUCACUUCUGUUAUAACUUUGAUUUAAUAUUUACUUUAAUUUUGCUUUCCAUGUAAUGCAUGAUGAUGUGCUUAUUUUCCUUUUCUUUAAUGUCAUGUAAUUAUGUAAGAUAAAAGAGUUUAAUUCUAAAAAAAUAAAAUUUCAGUAGUUAAAAAAAAUAGUAGUGUUAAUUUUCUUACCUUCAAAAAAUAUUUAGGUGUUUCUUCACAAAAAGCUUCCAUUCUAGUCUUAAAAAAAAGUGUCUUUUGUUGAUUUAAUAUUUAUUUAAGUGGAUUGGUGUCCAAUAAAUUUUAAUAAAUAACUAAAAUGUUGUUUUUAUUUAAAAAUUUAAUAAAUAUUAUUACAGGAUUCAAUCAAAUUGUCGAUGUCUAAUCAUGUAAGUACAAUGAUAAUAUUAGCGACUAAAAUCGGUUUCCACAAAAAGUGAUGGUAUUCUUUUGAUGGUGGGUGGAAGAUGUGGAUCAUGGGCUGCGGCUUUGCUUUCGGGCAGUCACCAUAUGAUCGGCUGUCGUUCAGUCUUCAAAACUUACUAAGUUUCUAACAUUGAAUCUAAAGGAUUGGAUUGUUAUUAAUAUGUCUAGGCCUGAUUCUUUUCCCAUGGUAAGCGAUAAUUGGGAAGUGCUUUUGGGGGUUAAUUGUUGGGGACGAUGGAAUCGACGUAAUAGAAUUUUUAUGAGGAUUUUGAGGGUUUUUUUACAGAUAUAAGUUAAAAAAAAUAUUUAAUACUGAAAUAGAUUGUCAGAUAGAUUAAUUAUUAAAAUAGGUUGUUUUUUUUAAUGGCGCCUAUCUGAGAGGCGCUAAUAAAUAUUAUAUAUAUAUUUAAUGGUGCCUAUCUGACAGGCGUCAAUCAAUAUUUUAUAUUAAAUUUUUUAAUAAAAUAUUAUUAAUUUUUCCCGGGUCAGUACAUGACCCGUAUAGAUAUAGAGUUGUUGCGCCUAUCUCAGAGGCGCCAAUGGUGGAGCCUAUCUGACAGGCGCCACUAGUUGUGCCAUGUUGAGAGGCCCCAAUGGUGGGGCCCAUAGCUAGUUAUUUUUUCUUUAUAUAUACCCCCGAAACACAGACAUAAAUUUGAGCAAAGGAAUGGAUAUAAGAAGAUAGAAAGAAGAAAAAAAGAAAGGAAAACAAGAAAAAGGAUAAGGUAUUUUGGUUUAUUUCUUAUUAAAUAGAAUAUAGAGUCUUGUUAGUAAUUUUAUUAUUUAAAAGUUAUUUUGUUAGGUUAUUAAUUUUGUUAGCUUCUGAAUGAAAAUUUUUGAAUUAGAAAUUUUAUGAAAAUUUUUUGCAUUUCGAAACUGUUUUAAGAAUUUUAAAAAUUUUUUAACAGAUCUAGUAUUGAAGAUGGAAAAUUAGUUUUUUGUAUGUGUUUAUUUCGAUGGAGAAAUUUUGACAACAACCGUGGGAUGUAUUUUUGAAUGUCGCAAACAAGUAGUAAUGAGAUUUAAUAGAAAUAUCUCGUUUGAUGAUAUGAAGGAAAAAAAUUAGUGAAAAAUUUAUAGACGUUGUGGGAGAAGGAUAUCAAAACUUUUCUACAAGUUUCCAAUUUCGACAGAUCCAAUAAAAUUUACCGAAAUGGAACUUGUAGACGAUGAAGACGUGGAGACAAUGGUCGCUCUUUAUUGUGGGACUCGGAGCAACCAAAAUGCACCGAUUCAGUUAUUUGCUAAGUUAGCCGGUGUAGAGGCAAUUGAAGAUCCCACUCCAUUAGGUGAAGAAAAUGGAGUUCAAGCGCCAUGUAUGGUGGUUCCAGUAUCGUAUGUUGAUAGUCAAUCAACUAUACACGGGAUCGAUAUUGAUCUUAAUGCUGCACCAAAGACUGAUGUGGUUGGUGAUGAUGUAUACUAUAGUAGUGAUCCUGUUGAUCACGAAGUUGAUAGUGUGAGUGAUCCCGACGUGGACGAGGUCCCGGAUGAUAUUGACGACGAAGGUGUGAAUGAGGAUGGAAACGUUAACGCAUCUUCUGUUGGAAACCAGAUUCGUCGUAUUGUGAUACACAAUAAUCCUGGGGCACACAUGUCUCGAAUAGACCCGAUGCAGCGCGGGAAGCUGAGUUUUCAGAGUACCCUAAAAUACUACCUGCUCAUCAAAUGGCCGUAUAUUCUGAUCCAAAGGAGUUGUUCGUAGGCCAGAGAUUUGAAAGUAAGGAAGAAUGCAUAUUUGCCAUUAAGCAGUAUAGCAUGAAUAUAUCAAUAGACUACAAAGUCGUCGAGUCUAAACCAACAUUAUAUAUUGGAGAAUGUUGGAGGCCGGCAGAAGGCUGCAAUUGGCGGAUAUAAGCUGCAUUUAUCCAGAAGUCGCAGAUGUGGGAGAUACAAAAAUUUGUUGGGCCUCACACAUGCAUUUCAACACGUAUGACAGAAGAUUAUCAAAAACUUGACUCCAAAACUAUCUAUGCAUGCAUCAUGCCAAUGGUGAAAGACAUGCCGACCAUUAAAAUUUUGGUACUGAUUGUCGAAAUACAAGCACGAUUCCAGUAUCAAGUAUCAUACCGGAAGGCAUGAAUAGCUAAACAGAUGGCAAUGGAGCAAUUGUACGGAGAUUUCGAUGCAUCGUACAAUAAGUUACAGCGAUAGAUAGCCGCUAUGAGGGAACACGUGCCAGGGAUUGUCAUUGAGUUACAAAAAUGACCUUAUUACGGAUCGGAUAACCAACUAUAAUCGAGAAAAAAAUUUUCAUCGGAUGUUCUGGACGUUUGAUAAAUGUGUGCCUGCAUUUCCCCACUGCAAACCGUUUGUGCAAGUAGAUGGAACCUGGCUAUAUGGAAAAUACACACAGAUCCUACUUCUUGCGGUUGCUCAAGACGGCAAUAGGAAUGUGCUUCCGAUAGCAUUUGCCAUCGUCGAUAAGGAGAACAUGAAAUCGUGGGAGUUCUUCCUUACAAACCUGCAGAAUUAUGUUAUUAGCAACGAUAAUAUUUGCAUCAUCUCCGAUAGAGGGAAAUGAUUAAUUGCAGCCAUUAGUCGUUCCGGUGUACCAUGAAGAUCUGUUUACUACAUUCGGCACAUUGCGACUAACUUCCAGCAAGAUUAUAAGAAUGCAGACUGGAAGAGACAAGUUGUGAAAAUGGGUAAAGAAUUACCUUAUCUUUUUAAUAUAAGUUUUAAUAUUUUAGAGCAAUACUGUAACUUAUAUUUUCUUAAUACAUAUGCAGCACACGAGCUAAAGCCAAACAUUUUUUGUCAAAGAAUGGCCCGACUUGAGAGUGACAUAAAGGGUCAAACCAACACAGCUUUUCGGUAGUGGUUGGGUACCAUGGAGCCGUGGCAAUGGGCUCAAAGUUUUGACGACGGCUUUCGUUAUGGUCAAAUGACCACAAACUUGGUGGAAGGGAUCAACGCUGUGUUAUUAAAAACACGGCAUCUUCCAAUUUCAUCUGUCUUCUCGACUACGUUCUACAGGUUGGCUACCUUGAUGCCAAGAAUGGGUCAGCAACAAGUCAACCAGAUAGAGGCGGGACACGUCUUUGUCGAAGAUGUUAGGGAUGUAAUGGUUGCAAACUGUCGAAUAGCGAGAUCGAUGACAGUAGAAAUAUAUUCACGACAUAAUGAAACGUUUCGAGUUACAGAGACCAUCGGUCGUCGACCCAGUAUACCACCUAGGUCCUACGAGUUGAUAUCUGAAACAGACGGUGAAACUGCAAGAGGUUUCAAACACUUCAUUAUCCAUGUGCACAUGUCGUGGCAGCUUGUGCUAAAGUUGGGCUCAAUGUAGAACAAUUUAUCGAUGAAGUGUACACCAUCAAACGCACGUUGCGUGUAUGGGAAAACAAGUUCCCCGUGCUUCCUUACUUAUCUACUUGGGAGGUACCUCCGAUGACCUUCGAGCUUGUCCCAGACAAAAGAUUGCGUAGGAACCUAAAAGGUGGUCCACAAUCAUUCAGAAUCCAUAACGAAAUAGACAUUAGGGAGAAAUCCGACGGGAAGCUGUGUGGCGUAUACAGAUUAGCCAGUCAUAAUCGGAGUAAAUGCCCGCUCCUAAACUACCAUGUUGGACAAUCGUCUCAAUCGGGUAGAAAUUGAUAUGUAGUUCAUUACAUGUUAAGAGGAUUGAAUCACAAAUUUGUCUAUAAUUUGUUGCAGUUAAUCUAAUUUGAAAUUGCAAAAUAAAAAAAAACCAUAAUUAUAUAAUUUUUUUAAAUAAUUAAAAAACCAAAAUAAAAAAAACCACAUUUUAUAACUUAAUCCUAAAUUACUAAUAAAUUAAUUUUAAAAUAAUUACAAACACAAAAAUUUAUAACAUAAUCCUAAAUUACUAACAAAUUAAUUUUAAAAUAAUUAUAAAAAGCAAAAAAAAUUAUAAUAUUCAUACAAAAUACUAAUCCAAAACUAUAAACGCUAAACAUAAAUAAUUUAUAAUUAAUAAUUAAUAACAAAAAAAAUCACAAUAUCUUAAUUAAACUUUUUAAAUAAUUUAGUAAACUGCCAUGGUCAUUGGCGCCUCCCUAUGAGGCGCAAUUAGUGGCGCCUAUCUGACAGGCGCCACUCAAAAACUCAUUUCUCACCCGUAUUUUGACCUAUUGACUGUAUUUUGACCCGUAUUUAUAUUUAAAUAUUUUUAAUAAAAAUAAAAAAUUAAUAUUUAUUCAAAACAAAAAAAAAUAAUAUAAAAUAUUUAUUAGCUCCUGUCAGAUAAGCUCCAUUAAAAAAAAAUAUACCAUUUUGAUAAUUAAUCCAUCUGACAACCUAUUUUAAUAUUAAAUUUUUUUUAACUUAUAUCUGUAAAAAGCCCGGAUUUUGAGGAGAAGUUGUUGCAAUGGUGUUUUUGGUUUGCUGACGAUGUUAGUGCGAUUGGGUGGUCACAUCGACAGGAGUUAGUGAAUGCAAACAGAGGAGGCGAGGGAGUGAGGUGGGAGGUGCAUGAAGGAAGGUGGGUCAAGGUGAAUAUUGAUGCGAUUGUGUGUGAUAAUUCGUCAGUUGUCACGAUCAAAGAGUGGCCAGUAAUAGUGUUGGAUGAUGACUUAGGGGUUCUCUUGCAAGGUAGGGGUCUGUCGUGUGUUUGAAGAUGAGCUAUGGUGGGCUCUUGAGGGCCUUAAGCUAGCAUAACAGAAGGGUGUUAGUAAGGUUGUCCUUGAUAUGAACUGCAUAAAUAUGAUUAAUUUUUUAAAUGGUUAAACUCUGGAUCAAAGUUUAUUAGGGAAAAUAGUGAAGAAUUAUUUGCAGCCGAUGGAGGACUUUCGUAUGAAUCAUAUCUUGAGGUAGAACAGGGUUACAAAUGGUACUGCAUGUUUAACUAUGAAAAUGGCUGUCGAAUAAAGGAUUUUUUAGGAACGUUAUGACUACUGAGGUUCCUAGCUCAAUGCCCAAAACUGGUUGAUACUUUUCUCUUAUAUUAUGUUCUUUUCUUUUGAUAAAAUUUUGUUUAAAUCGUACUAAAAUUGCAGAUUUUCUCCAUUUGCAUCUACUUUUUGUUAUUUUCUAAAAGUUCACUUUCUAAUUCCAAUUAAAUAAAUUAUUGAUAUUUUUAAAUUUUUAUUAUCUUUUAGAUUUCAGCCAUUUAUUAUUUCGUCAUCACUCACAAAAUAGAAGAGAGAAACACCAUAUUUCCCAUGGCUUGCGUGUGGGCUCUUCUCUUGCUCCUUUCUUCUCUCUGCGUGAAGCAGUCAAGCAGCAUCAUUUCGCUGGGAUCUUCGCUUUCCUCGGCCACUCAAUCCAUCCCAUGGCGUUCGCCUUCUGGUCGCUUUGCAUUUGGCUUUUACAGUCAAGGCGGUGGCCUUUCUGUUGGAGUUUGGUUAGAUGGCAGAGGAAAGAACGAUAACAAAGUUGUAUGGACAGCGAAUCGUGAUGGUCCGCCGCUCACUUCGAAUGUGACUCUGAUAUUAAAUGACAAAGGUGUGCUUCUUUCGAUCGCUGUGAGCGGAGAAAAGAAAUUUAUUGCUAAUCCAAACAAUUCGGCUGUCAGUGUCUUCUCUGCCUCCAUGCUAGAUUCAGGCAAUUUUGUGCUCUACGACAAAGACAAUCAUACCAUUUGGGAGAGUUUCGAGCAUCCUACAGAUACCCUUUUAGGUGGUCAGACUCUAUUAACUAAUCACGAGUUGAUCUCCAGUUCGUCAGAGAAUGAUCACUCACCUGGAAGGUUUCAUCUAAGUAUGCAACUAGAUGGGAAUCUCGUUCUAUACCCUCUACAGUCCGAAGAUUCCCCUAUAACUGCCUAUUGGAGCACAAAAACUUUUGGAAUGAACUUGUCGCUCCGCCUUUUUCUUAGCGCCACAGGCCUCCUCGAACUCAUCAACAACGAUGAUUCGUCCAUCUACGACACAAUUAAUCGUUCCUUUUUUCCAGAGCCAACCUACAAUGACUACAACGAAAGCAGCAUCAACAACAACAACAGUACUGUUUUCAGUGCAAGCCUUGAUGUUGAUGGGAAUUUCCGGUUACAUGCUUAUCUGUUUGAGCGAAAUGGUGGGUUUCAGACUUAUCCACUGUUGAGUGCGUUGUUAAAUUCCUGUAAAGUUAAAGGCUUUUGUGGUUUCAACAGCUAUUGCACAUUUAAUGAUAACCAACCUUACUGUGCAUGCCUACCCGGGACUGAUUUUAUUGAUCCUCUUCAGAACAACCUCGGCUGCAAGAGAAAUUAUUCUGAAGCACACUGUAAAGGAGGGAAGGCCAACAUACCCUUUUAUAACAUCACUUCAAUGCAAGGUAUUGUAUGGACUACGGGCAGAUUUUACAGUAAAGAGCUAUUGUCCAAGGAUGCGUGCAGCCGAACAUGUUUGGAAGACUGCAAUUGUGAGGCAGCACAGUUCGAGAAUGGGAUUUGCAGGAAACAAAAGCUUCCACUCAGGUAUUUGCUACGAGAGACUGAUGCCCAAGUGAAUUCUACAGUUUUAUUGAAGGUGGGAAUCAUAAGCCUUGAAGCAGACAACGGCACUGUUCCCUCUGAAUUAAAGCCACCCAAAGUCCUAAUCAAACGGAAAAAUAAGACGGUGCUAAUUCUUCUUUUAACUUUCAGUCUUGUUGCAUGUUCAUGUGCUUUGCUUACAAUCUCUGGUGUAUACAUUUAUAAAUUUCGAGUUCUAAGGUACAAAAGGCUGUUGGAACUUGGAAAUUUGGGCCUAACGGAAGAGCUUACGUUGACAUUGUUUUCAUACAAAGAACUAAAGAGAGCAACAAAUGGGUUUAAAGAAGAGUUGGGUAAAGGAUCCUUUGGAGCAGUCUACAAAGGGUCUUUAGACAGAGGAAGACAGUUGAUUGCUGUGAAGAGACUCGAGAAGUUAGUGGAAGAAGGUGAAAAAGAGUUCCAAGCAGAAAUGCGAGCAAUUGGUAGAGCUCACCACAAGAAUUUAGUUCGACUUUUGGGAUACUGUGUUGAGGAUUCCAAGAGACUAUUGGUGUAUGAGUACAUGGGCAAUGGCUCCCUUGCAGAUCUACUUUUCAAGUCAACAAAGCCCCCAGAUUGGGAUGAAAGAACAAGAAUAGCCCUGGAUGUUGCUAGAGGAAUCCUCUAUUUGCAUGAUGAGUGUGAGACUCCAAUCAUUCACUGUGAUAUAAAGCCGCAAAACAUAUUGAUGGAUGAUUUAUGGAGAGCUAAAAUUUCAGACUUUGGGCUGGCAAAACUGUUGAUGGGAGAUCAAACAAGGACCUUCACAGGCGUAAGGGGAACUAGAGGAUACAUGGCACCAGAGUGGCAGAAAAAUACUCCAAUAUCAGUGAAGGCUGACAUUUACAGUUACGGAGUUGUGCUGUUGGAGACUGUGUUUUGCCGACGGAACUUGGAAACCAAUGUAUCAAAACCAGAGGAGGUCAUUCUAUCAAGUAUGGUGUAUAGAUGUUUGGUUGAAAAGGAGUUGGAUAAGCUAAUGCUUGGUGAAGAAGUGGAUAAAAGAAGCUUGGAAAGAAUGGUGAUGGUGGCACUUUGGUGUAUUCAAGAUGAACCAGCUCUUCGUCCUUCCAUCAAGACUGUAGUAAUGAUGCUGGAAGGGAUCACUGAUAUAUGUAUUCCUCCAUGUCCAACUGCUUCCUUCAUCAAGUGAUGAUCCAACAAUCAAUCAUUUCACUCAAAAGUAUAUGUGUAUGUUGUCAAUAAAAUAUGUAAAAUGCUUCCUGUAGUGUCCUCCUAUAAUAGGCUUGGGUUAUGUACUGGUUUGUUAGUAUGAAUAUUCAGUUGCAUUAUUAUUACUCAAUCAUAUAUUAAUGAAAUGGUGAUUUUAAGUAUGAUCAUUAAACACGAAGUAUAAAGAAUUUACUUACAGUUACUGAUUAUCCAAUCGUAAGAAGCAGUAUUGCAGUAGCCAGUUGAUGAGUUUAUGUAAUAUGUGGAAAACUAUUACUUGCCUACAGUAGAUGAGUUUAUAUAGUAGCUCGACUUAAAUAGUACAAAAGCAAAUACAAUAUUGAUAUAUAUACUAAUGGCCACAUAUAAGGGUGGGUUUACGACCCUAACCCGGCCUAAUGUACUACCAUAAGAUAAUUGGAUAGUGACCAAUUGGACUAAUGGGUCAUUUUGUCACAUAAAAAACUUUUGAGUUGGUAGUCUCUAGUCUGGGCUUUUAUACAUAGAACAACAAUUUUCAGGCCUAAUUGAGUUUCAUUUAAGCUAGUACUCAAAGCUUGGCCUUAUAAAAUGGAAUAAAUUAUAAAUACAAUAUAUUAAUACUCAAUAGGAAAAUAUAAAUUAUUAUAUACUUUUAUAUUUAAUUAAAUAAAUGUUAAUCUUUAAAUUUUAAAAUUUAUUUUUUAUUAUUUUAAAAUAAAAUUAAUAGUUAUAAUUAAAAUAAAAUAAAAAGGGAUAAAUUAGUAAUAUAAUAAGUUAAUACUCAAUAGAAACAUUAAACUAUUAUACCCUUUUGGGUAUGGAGUGAGUUCAAAACUCGUGACCAACAUUUAUCUUCUUAAUGAGCCUACAAAAUACGAAAAAUUAAUUACUAGACUUGAUCUAAUAGAUACAAUGAGAAAUUUUAAAAAAUAAUUAUUACAAAAUUUCAAAAUUAUUUAACUAUUUGACCCAAAUCAAUUAAUAUCCAAAAUGGAUAAAAUAAUUCAUACAGAAAAACUCAGCCCAUCAAUAGGUGUGCUCCCAACCCAGAACAAUAUAAAUCCAAAGAUAAUUCGAUCCGAAUCCGCCAAACCCACCCGUUUGGUUGAAGGAGACCCGUUCUUCUGCAUUGCUUCCUUUUGUGCUUCUGAUCUAUGGCUUUAUUCUCGAGUUGAAGGAAAAGUUAAAUGGCUCCAGCAAAGAAGGGAAAAGUCAAAACCCAGAAAGCUGAAUCAUCGCAGCCCUCUGAAAGUGACUUCAAGUUCCCAUCUUCAAUCCGCUCGGUUCCUCCUUCGUCUGUUGCCUCCUUCGUCUGUUAUUCAAUUUUUGCAUGGGAAAAAGUAAGAUGGAUGAAGAGGAGAAAAACCCAAAAGGCAAAAAUAAGAAAAAGAAAUGAAAAAGACCUAUGCGUAUGCACCCAAACGUGUUUGCCUAGUAGUUAUGAAGAAGCAAGAGUCUGAACUGUUCUAUUUAAUGGGUUUCCCCUGUAAUUUAUAUAGUUUAUAUUUAAUAUAAUAUUUGUAUAGCUGCUUCUUUUAGAUACUGUUUUUCGCUACUUGAAUUGCUAUUCGUUGGUUAAUUUAGUUCUUUUUGAGUUGUUUCUUACUGGGUUUUUUCUUCCCCUUAUGAAUGAGCUUCUGAUUGUUAUUUAUGGCUUUUCUACUUGCAGUGAAACUAUCUGCACGGGUGUUUCAAGUUCGAAUUUUCAGUUUCCCUUAAAAGGGUUUGAUUGUUCCACUUUUAGCUUCUUCUUCUUCUUCUUCUUCUUUUUUUAAUUUUAUAAUAUGGCAUCAUCUCAUAGCAAUACUCACACUGAAGCCGCAAAAAUGGAACAAAUCAUCACUGAAUUCUUCUAUAAGAGUCUUCUAAUUAUACUUGAAUGGAGGUCUCCUUAUGUGUCAUCGCGAAAUUAUAUUGGUGAACAAAUUAUGUCAUCUCCAUCUUCGUCCCCAUCAUCUUUCUCAGGUGUGAGACCAAGAGAUAAAUGGUUCAAUUUAGGGAGUGCCCUUCAGAACUAGAAAAUUUUUAUCUUUGUCGCCAGAGUAAUUUUGAGCCGGUAGUGAUUGAUGUUAUCUUGGAGCAGAAGCCACUUGAUUGGGAUCCUGUGACCUUUUCCCCCAAACCUGAUCUUGUUGAGCAUUCUUCAUCAAAAGAUAAGAAUUCAUUUUUCUGGAAUUCUGAUCAAGAAGAAUCAGGCUGUGAGGCAAAAGGUGAGAAGGUUAUAGAAAGGUGGUUCGUGCAGCAUGAAAGUAGAAAGGGUAGGGAUUGCAGUUCAGGGAGUAGAAGGUCAAGUAGUAAUAAUUUGAGUGCAUUAUAUAAGAAAUUGUUAUUGCUGUUGAGGUCCUUAUAUGUGACCUUUAGGCUUUUACCUGCGUACAAGAUUUUUCGUGAUCUCAAUUCAUCUGGUCAAAUCCGUGCUUUUAAGCUUCUUCCUAGGGUAUCCUCUUCUGAUAAAUCUUUCACUCAGAAAGACGAGGCUGAAAUGCAGCGAUUUUGGUUCACCCCUGUGGAUACUUCUUGUGGAAGGCUUUGCCUUUCAGUUUUGUACCGUUCAUCAAUCUCAGAUACAAGCUCCCAGUCAUCAACCCCUAUGUCCCCUCAAUUUAUACCAGAUUAUGUUGGAAGCCCAUUGACAGACCCACUAAGAAGAUUUCCUUCUCUUCCUGUGUCACAGCCCAUUGACCGCCUUCAGUUUCUCUCUCACCAUCCCCAACACAUUCAGAAUCACAUGCUUUGGUUUCUAACCCAAGCUCUCGCCGUGCGUGCCGCCACCUAUGAGCUUACCUCCUCAUCCUCCUGGGGCAUCUCUACCUCAUAAGAAGAAUACAAACUUUGAUGAGUAUUGGCCUUCCCCAAAUUUUUCUGCUUCCCCUUCCCCUUCCCCAUCCCCGCCCAUCCGCAUUCCUGGGGGUCAUCUGUCAAAAGCUCUUUUACGUUCCGAAAGUG